Molecule: long non-coding RNA, 241731 nt
Filed under: Citrus x clementina
Lineage: Eukaryota; Viridiplantae; Streptophyta; Magnoliopsida; Sapindales; Rutaceae
Description: Citrus clementina (C. clementina) long non-coding RNA (CCLE_LNC002858)
Rfam family: Plant small nucleolar RNA R71 (bases 77828-77934)
Source: RNAcentral
UUUUUUUAUUGUACUGAUGGAUAAAUUAAUAAAUUUUCAGGCCUCUGUUCGUUGGUGCAUCUGCAAGUGUUGUACAUUUAUAAUAAUGAUCUGAGAGGCAGCUUGCCUUGGUGCUUGGCAAAUAUGACAUCCCUCCGAUUAUUAGAUGUUUCUUCCAAUCAACUUACUGGAAGCAUCUCCUCAUCUCCCCUCAUUCAUUUGACAUCCAUUGAAGAGCUGAUGCUUUCAAACAAUCACUUCCAGAUCCCAAUUUCACUUGAACCACUUUUCAAUCACUCAAGACUCAAGAUUUUCAAUGCUUAUAACAAUGAAAUAAAAGCUAAAAUAACUGAGUCACAUUCUUUGACCGCCCCAAACUUCCAAUUAUCACGUCUCUCAUUGUCUUCCAGUUACGGAGACGGUUUCAUAUUCCCCAAAUUCCUUUACCAUCAACAUGACCUGGAGUAUGUUGAUCUCUCACACAUAAAGAUGAAUGGAGAAUUUCCAACUUGGUUGUUGGAAAACAACACAAAAUUAGAAACUCUUUCUCUCGUCAAUGAUUCUCUUGGAGGACCUUUUCGGUUGCCAAUUCAUUCACACAAGCGGUUAGGAAUGUUGGAUAUAUCCAACAACAACUUCCGAGGCCACAUUCCAGUAGAAAUUGCAGAUGUUUUACCAAGUUUAUACGCUUUCAACAAUUCCAUGAAUGCUUUAGACGGUAGCAUUCCCUCUUCAUUUGGUAAUAUGAAAUUCCUCCAAUUUCUGGACUUAUCCAACAAUCACUUGACUGGUGAAAUUCCCGAGCACUUGGCCGUGGGUUGCGUCAACUUGAGGUUUCUUGCGUUAUCAAAUAACAACCUACAAGGUCACAUGUUCUCUAGAAAUUUUAACUUGACAAACUUGAAAUGGUUACAAUUGGAGGGCAAUCGCUUCGUAGGUGAGAUCCCACAAAGUUUGUCUAAAUGCUCCUCACUAGAAGGAUUGUAUCUUAACAAUAAUAGUCUUUCGGGUAAGAUUCCACGAUGGUUGGGUAAUCUCACAAGGUUACAAUGUAUUAUAAUGCCCAAUAAUCAUCUUGAAGGCCCUAUUCCAGUGGAGUUUUGUCAGCUUGAUUUGCUUCAGAUUUUGGACAUUUCAGACAACAACAUAUCUGGAAGUUUACCAUCUUGUUUCCAUCCUCUCUCUAUCAAACAAGUUCAUCUUUCAAAAAAUACGUUACAUGGACAACUAAAAAGAGGUACAUUCUUUAAUUGCUCUUCCCUUGUGACAUUAGAUCUUAGCUAUAACCGCUUGAAUGGCAGCAUUCCGGAUUAGGUUGAUGGGCUUUCUCAGUUAAGCCACCUUAUCUUAGGUCACAAUAAUCUUGAAGGUGAAGUGCCAAUUCAAUUGUGCGAAUUGAACCAACUACAAUUGUUAGAUCUUUCUAAUAAUAAUCUUCACGGUCCUAUUCCUUCUUGCUUUGAUAACACCACACUUCAUGAAAGUUACAGCAAUAGUUCUAGUCCUGAUGAGCAAUUUUAAAUAUCUUUUUUCAUCCAAGAAACUCAAGGAUAUGUAGAAAAGCAAAUCCAUGAAAUUUUUGAGUUCAUAUAUGUAGAAAAGCAAAUCCGUGAAAAAUUUGAGUUCACAACAAAGAACAUUGCGUACAUUUACCAAGGAAAAGUGCUUAGCCUCCUAUCAGGACUUGAUCUUUCUUGCAACAAGCUAAUCGGUCCUAUUCCUCUUCAAAUUGGAAAUUUGACAAGGAUUCAAACAUUGAAUCUAUCACACAACAACUUGACAGGAUCGAUCCCAUCAACAUUUUCAAACUUGAAGUAUGUCGAAAGUUUGGAUCUUUCCAACAACAAAUUGAAUGGGAAAAUCCCUCAUCAACUAGUGGAGUUAAAGACAUUGGAGGUUUUCAGUGUGGCAUACAAUAACUUAUCAGGCGAAAUUCCAGAAUGGACUGCACAAUUUGCAACCUUCAAUGAGAGUAGCUAUGAGGGAAAUACUUUUCUUUGUGGAUUGCCAUUGCCCAUUUGCAGAUCACCAGCAACUAUGUCGGAGGCUUCAAUUGGCAAUGAACGAGAUGAUAAUUUAAUUGACAUGAACAGUUUCUUUAUCACAUUUACAACAUCGUACGUAAUUGUGAUAUUCGCAACUGUUAUUAUUUUAUAUGUAAAUUCUUAUUGGCGACGUAGAUGGUUUUACUUUGUUGAAAUGUGGAUAACUUCAUCUUACUAUUUUGUUGUAGACAAUCUUAUUCCAACAAGAUUUUGUCAUUGAAAUUAAUUAGUAGCUUAAUUACGAUUCUUUAAGUACUAAUCAAGUUUGCUUAGGAAAUAUUUUUUUAUUAAAAUUGUAGUAGUAUUUAGCAUUAUAUAGCUUCCAACUUCCAAGCACUUCACAUUUGUCUCUACACUUAAAAAACUGAGUAAUCAUGUUUUGCAGAUCUGUCCACCAUAACUUAUAGCUUCCCUAUACUGUGCAGCAUACUUAAAUAAGAGAACCAUCUCCAAUGUUAAAAGCAUUCACUCUAUAACAUUCAUUUAGAAACUAUAUUCAGAAUAAUUUUAUAAUUAAACACGAGAAAUGAAACACAUAGAUACACUUGAUCGCCUAUUUUACUCUAAAAAAGAACGAUUAUUGUGCUAUCAUCAUCUUCUUCACUAGCAACAUUAACACCAAAUCGAUGGACCCAUACAUUUCAUCAAGAAAGGUAUAUAUCCAAUAAAGUUGAAGCCUAACAAAAAAUUCAAGAAGAUUAAUGCCUCGCCACAACAAGGGGCACAACAACAUCAAAGUAGAGAUUAAGCAGUAUUCUCAAAGCUAAAACUCUCAAAUCCACCCACCAGAAUUUCAUAUCUCCUCAACAAUUUUAAGAACUAAAGAUAAUUAGGAUUUAACAUUAGUUUUUUAUAUAUUAGUUUCAUAAUUUACAAAUCAAUGAAGAUGAAGAUUAUGCUAAUAAAUUCAAAUUAUACCAUACAUUCUCUAGAUGUUACCAAAAAUUUCUAAGUCAAUCCCACAUAUUUCAUAAUUUUAAGACUAGAAAAUUUCACUAGUUAGAAGUUUCAUUACCUUCAAGUGGAAGAUAAAGAACAUUAUACAAGUGAUUCAGAUUAUAUCAUACAUACUCCAAAUGCAACUAGAAAUUAACAAGUUCAUGCGCACAUAUUUCAUAACAUUAUGAUUGAAAAGUUUCACAAAGAGAAAUUCUAAAUUCAAUCUCUUGCAUGAAGGCAGUUUGAUUGAUUUGAGUUACUUUCUUAUCAAGCUACUAAUAUAACAUUCAAGUCAGGGAGAAAAUAAAUUAAAACUGGGAAGAAAUAAUAGUAAAAAUUUGUUGCUCAACAUGAUGUGUAUUUUUUUUCAAGGCAAUUUGGAAACACAAUUGUUACUACAGAUAUUCUUCUCAACUUGGAGAUAAAUACAAAUAUUAAAAUGCAUAUGAUCGCACAUAUUACUUCGAGUUUAGUAAGAUUUCAUUAAAAGAAGCAAUCAAACCACUUAUCAAUUGUCGCAGUCGUUCUAUAAACUAAAAUAGCAAUAUAAUACAAGAAAAAGAACAUAUAGAUACUUGGCAAGAGUUCAUUAAGAAGUCGCAUCACAUUCGGGUGAGGAGUUUGCUUCUGAUAUCUUGCUAGCUGGGGCUUUUUCUUGUCUUUCUACGUAUGCCGAGGGAAACCAACCAGCUUGGCCCUUGCAUUCACCUUCCGACCAUCCAAUAGGAGCCACCUUGAGAAGUUAUAACUAAAACGGUGAAUUAAACAAAAGUUGACCGUUCAAAGACCUAAGGGGAAAACUAAUUCUUUUACGUAGGAGGAGUGAAUUAGUUGUGAUCACUGAAAUAACAGCAUAACUAUGGAAGCAUAACAAGAUAUAAAUUCACACGUCUAUAAGGAUAAACUGGGUGGUUCAGAACUGAGCUAGCAACCCUACUAUAUUCUGAUUUGCACUUCAAUGUAAAAGGGAAUAUAUGGUAGGAAGAAAGAAAACCAACCAUCAUUUGUUAACUCAUUGCUUUUCAAUCAAAAUUUUAAGAACAAAAUGCCAUGUGCUUUGAACAUCAAAUAAGUAUAAGCAUUAGUUCUAAAUUCCACAUAUCAUAAGUUGUUAGAAGGAUAAGUUAAUAGCAGAGUAGAAAAAUCUAUGUGUUGGUAUUUAGAGGGGAAAGUACCUGGCGAAUCACAACAUAAUCAUCAAUUGAAAGACUUAGCUCUCCAUUUGCUUGAGCAUCAAAUGGAUGUAUAACCUGCAAGAUAAUGGGAUAAAUAGAACUUAAAAAAAGCAUAACAAAAGCAGCAACAGUAGCAGCAACGUUCAUUGUAACCACUAUGAUCAUGGCCAACAAAGAUAUAUUAGAAACAAAAUUCCAUUUUUACUACGACAUUAAUAUGUACUAUACAAAUUCUAAUAAGUUCUGUAUAACUUUAUGUAGUUAUUUAAAUUAUGGAUCAGAUUUUAAAUUUGAAAUUUUGACUGCUCUCCACAAAACAUGGCCUAUGCACAAGAAAGUCAUAGAUAAUGAGGAUUACAAGUGUCCGGCAUCUUUUGAGUGAUGGAUUUAACAUGAGAGCUUAUGGUCAGUCAAUUUCCUCUGCCUAGCAAUAUAAGCUUUCUCGGCCAGAUUUAUCAUCAAAUACAUAGAUUGCCCCCAAGUCACAUCCAUAUAAACAUAGUUUUUCUAGGUAAACCAAGUAAGGAGUAUCAUAAUUCAGACAUAAUCAUAAAAAGGCCCAUCUAAAUUAAGAGAAAAUCUCAAAAAGAGGGAUGCUGAGCUAUCAGUCUUGUAUCUAUAAGCAAUAUCAAGACUUUACAUCACCUGCUACAUCGUGAGUGGCUACACAACUUUCAGUGGUUUGUCUUUCUUUGGCACGCCUAACUCAGCUUUGAUGUUAGUGAGAUAUUGAUAGUAGAGACACAUGAUACUUCUAGCUCAUGCAUUCUAUCUAACCCAUCCAACAACUAUCUCUUUUUUAAUUCAUUAGUGUUUGCUAAACCUCAUGCUUAAAAGUCCUAUUCUCCUUAGCACCACAGUUGGACACUUGUAGAGCAAUUUUAUUUGGGGGAAAAGAAUUUUCAAGGUGUUAACUAAUAAAUUUUAAAAAAUAAUUACAAUUUGUCCUACGAUCAUAUGACAAUUUAUCUGGGAUGAAAGGAUACAGAUAGACAUCUUCCACUUUCAAGACUAAUCACUACUUCCAUAGAUGUUGUGCAAUAAUACAAAUACUUGACCAGAUGGUAGUGAUGGUAGAAAAAAAUUUUAUUGCUCCAAAAUUAAAAUAAGAAUGCAAUAUGUUAAGCAAAAGGCUGUGCAACAUCAAAUUAAUUGAUAAGUUUGUAAUUCAGUAAAUUAACAACUUUCGUGGUAAAAUACAACAAAUUUCUUUUGAAAAAAAUAAAAAAAAUAAAUCUUAAAAGACAGCAUUCAAUUUUGUGCGCAUCUUAUUUCUUAAGAUUUUUCAGGAGGAGGGCAAUAGAGGGACUUUCACCUAUGCAAGAGAGCAGAAGCCUUACUUUCCCUAUAAAGUAGACGUCAUUCUGAUUAAUAUGCGUUUGCAAAUCAGCUCCGUUUGAAUCAGUAUUCUGAUAGACACACGAGCCAUUUACAUCCAUUUCCAAAGUCACAUGUUGCGAGGAGGACUCAUUUGAUUGCUCCUAUACGAUCAUCUAAUUCAAGUAGCAAGGGUUGGAAGAGAAUAAAAAGUCACAAUUAUUCUUUUGCAUAAGUGAGACGAAAAUGAUAAAUGCAAUAUUAUCAGCAGUAAACAAGAAGAGAACGCUCCAAGAAAUAGAUAGAUGCAGACAAGCAAGUUAAAAUGCAUAGUCCCAAACCUCCGCAUACAACUUCUCUAAAAUAGCAAUAACGUGUUGAUGCUAUGUUUUCUCAGCAUCUACCUGCAAAGGCCCGAGACCAGGAAAACAACAAUAAAACCACUAGCUGAAGGAGAAAGCAAAGAAAGAAAUACACUUGACAUAAAUCUUGACAAGAAGCACAAUUUAAGACAUAACAAACCCCAAUCAUAUUGUUUAGAACUACCAUUCGUUAUUUCGUUAUUGUAACAUUUCGAACAAGUGUUGACUUAAUUCAACAUUGUUGGAAAGAUGGGCUUUUAGAAGCAGAAGAAAGCCUCUCAAACCAAAGUGCUUGUCCUUGUAUUGAUCAAGGGAUGUAAACAUAUUACAUUUGCAGGAUGAGAUUUAAUCACUCCCCUGAUUUAUUUGGGUUGCAGUAAAACUAAGCGAGCAACUGUUUGACUUCCAAGCAACAGCUAAAUCAGCUAUUAAAAUUCAAAUAAAAUCAUAAUAGAAUAAUAACAGGCCAUCUUGCAUCAAAAAUUAAGUUUAAUUUGUGAAUUGUUUUCUAUAGACAUGUCAGUUUCUGCUAUUGAAAUGUUAAAAGCAUUGAAAAAUUAUUCAAUAAAUUAUGCAAGCAUUAAAAUAGAGGACAUAUUAAAAAGUUUCUAAUUACAAUGUUAAUAUUUCCUAUAUUCUAGCAUUUGCAUAUUUUAAUUUAUUUAAAAGCUACGUCGAUCAACUUUGGGCAUGAAGAUUUUAGCUUCUACGAGACUUGCUUGGAAUAUGCACAAGAGUGUUAAAAUAUGAUGCAUCCAACGAAAGACAAACCACGUGUAGUCUUUUAAUUAAGCCAAAGUAGCAGCUCAAACAAAUGACACUUGGACCAACAUGCAAUCAUGAAGUGGCCGGAAAAAGGACAAAUGCUACUUUGGCUUAAAUAAAAAAUAACAUGUGACUUGACUUUUGCUGGACAUGCAUCAUGUUAUUACAAGACAACAGAAAUCAGUAUGAUAGUACUAAAAGUUGACAAUAACAUGAAGAUAAGAGGCAGACUGUCAACACAUGCAUAGGCACACACAAGAAAGUAUUAACUUCUAUACCAUAGCAAAAAGUCUUUGAUAUGUCAUCUGUUGCUGCUGUGAUUCAACUGACAGCAUGGCAGCUGUUGCUUCUCUACCAAGAGCCAUUAUUGUAGAUUUAAGCUCCGUCUAUCUUGCUUCUGCAUUUCGAAGCUUCACAGCACUCUCUGCUGAUAUAUCAGAUUCCCUAAUCUUUGAUCGGCGCCUAAAUACUUCAGCUGCCUGGUGAAAAUAUUCAAUAUAAAUCUAACAUAAUUCUAAUCUUGCCUUAUACAUGCAUAUGUUACCUCAAAGCUUACCUGGGCUUCAACUUCAUGUCGAAGUUUGUCAUAACGAUGAGUCAGGUGUCGAGCAUCUUCCAAAGGUGUUCCGUUGAUUAACGCCCGUAGUGGCUCAGGUACCUACAUGUCCAAAAACCUGUAACAUAGUUAGAAAAAUGAAAAGAAAGAGCGAAACCUCAAUUAAAAAGUUCCUCCAACAUAAUCAUGGAAUUUGGGCCUACUUCAAGGAUAUAUAUAAGGAUAAUUUAUGCAAUUUUGGGUCUGAGGAUGAUUCAUAUUAGGUUAGUGUUCUUCUCUUCUGUAUUUAAGGUUAAAAUAGAAAUAAACCUAUGAAAAUAUCUAAAUUAGGGCUGUAAGACUUCCACAUGCAUCCUUCAGUCUCAUGGAUUUGAUUUUACUAUAGAUGCAAGUGUCUUUAAAGAAAAUGCUUGGAGUCAAUUGAGAGAACUCACGGCCAAAAACUUGUCACACGCUAGUCUUUGCUAGUGAUGUAAGAAGUCACAGGGUCUCUUCAACAUUUGAACCAAUAAAAUUAUUAAGUCAUGGAUGUCACUAGCAAUGAUUUUAAUAUAAAACAUUAAAUAUUUCAGAGUUGUAACUUUAAAAUGGAUUCUUUUAUUCAAUAUCAUAGAACUAAGUUUCCUUAUGAGAAGAUAAUAGUUUCGAUAAUAAUUUUACAUAUAAUUUUCUAUAUUUGAAUUAUUUUCUAGUUAGGGAUGAACUAACCUGAUCACGAAGAAUCCCGAGCAAAGUUUCCCUCUCAUUUUCCAUCAAAUCAUGUGAAGUGCCAAAUUGAAGAGCAGCUCUUGCAACGCAAGAAUUGUCACUUUGAUUCUCUGCUCCAUACUUGCAACAAUCUUCAGCCAACUUUCUCGCUACAAUAUUUGAAUACAAAAAUAUUGUACACAAGAACUAUAAAAAACUAAUGAAAAAUGCCAAGAUGGAGCAGAUGCUUCAAUACUGCCCGUACAAACCAUAAAAAACUAAUGAAAAAUAAAUAAAAUCAAGAAAUUUUACUAAUUAAAAGUCUAAAUAUAAUUUUGAAAAAAGAAAAGAAACGGACUUGCUGCUGCUUGGCGACUUGUUCUCGGAGCUUGAUUGCUUGUUUCUUGAUAGCUUCCAUACUGUUUCUUUCAAAAAGCGACGACGGCUCAGCUCAUGGAAGUGGAAAAAAAAAGUGUGAUCGAGAAAAAUGAAAAGGCGUGAAUAAUUUUUGACAAAAAGCGAAAAUCAAGGAAAGCCGGCUCUUUCCAGAAAAUAAAAAAAGAAAAAAGAAAAUCAUAAGUUUGAAAGGAGAAGAUGAUAGUGGAAGUAUGCAGUGUGGCUGCCAGGUACUUGGAUUGUAUUGUCGGGUAAGGUAAAAGUGGAGAAUUAUAAGUUUGAACAGAGCAUGUUGGACUUUUGUUGACCAAAUUCAAAAGCCCAAUGGGACGGUCCAGAAGCUUUUGAAUAGAAAAACUUGCUAGAAAGCAUCAGUUUAAAUCACUACUUAAACGCUUGCUUUAACUGCACCGCUUUGUACUGUUUUAUGUAUGUAGCGGUUGUGCGGUUGUAAUUCACGGCUGACGCUACGUGUUUGUUUGUACUGUUCUAUUCGGUGACAGAGUAUUAUUAGUUAGGCCAAAACUAUGUUGCAACAGUGGUACAAUAGCACUGUUGUUUUCAGUCAUUAGAUCUAUAGUUGUACAGUUGCAUUAACAAGAUCCAAUGGUUGAAAACAACAGUGGUACCGAACUACUGUUGCAACAUAGCUGGACCCUAUUAGUUAUUUCAAAGGGAUAAAUAAGAUUGGUUACAACAAACCUACUAAUUUUAUAAAAUUCAAGUAAUAUAGAAUAAAAUAAAAAAAUAAAUACAAAAUUGACUUUUAUUUUUUAUGGUUGACUAUAUUUUGUGUUCUCUUCGGGCACUGCUACAAUUCUUCCCUAUAUAUCAAUUACACCACAUACUAUCGACACAAGAAAUGAAAUCUAAUAUCACCUAUUUAGUUAAAAAAUCACUCAUGAAAAAAUUUUACCAUUUUGAUUUGAGGAUCCAUAUUUUGAACUACAAGCUAAUGUUCAUCAAGAAUCACUGAUGGCCGUUGAGUAGAAAAAUUAUUUUUGGACAAAUUAUUUUUGUUGAUAGAAGAAUUUCUUUAGGGACUACUAAAUUAUUAAUAAAAAUAUCGAACACACCCAAAUAUCAUCGACACAAUUGAUUUUGAGGAUCCAUGCUUUGAACUGCCGCCUAAUGUUCAUCAAGAAUAGAGUAUGGCUUGUGAGUAUAAAAUUUUCUUAUUUUGGCCCGAAAUAAAAAAAAAUUAAAUUGGAUGAGAAUCUGCCACUUUCUCAUGAAGAAAGGCAUACGGAGCAUACCAUGGUACCAUACAAUAUAAGGAGCCUCCGUUCUUUGGUUUUUCAAACUCUGAAGGGGCCAAUAUUGCCAAAUUCCCCCUUGAAAAUUCUGAUUACGACAUUAUUCAUCGCUUGAUGCAAUCAAAGUAGUGACAAAGUAAUUGCUAGGCAAGGUUGCUGAGAGCAAAAUUGUCCUAAGCAUUAUAUGCAUACAUGGUGCGGUACAUAGAGCACGUUGAAUUCCCCACUAUAACACAAAUCCAGAAAGACAAGUAAUAACUCAACUGAUAUAAAGACAAAAAGAAGAUAAAAUGAUAUAGAACAAAGAAUUUCAAAGAGACAGCAACAUACGAUAGACUGAAGCCACUUGAUCUGCUCAUUGAUUGCAGCCUUAAACUUGCAAAUAGUUACUGUACGCUAGUGCUCUAAGAAGUGAAAAUGAUGCAAGCCCUGAUUCCCUUUUGACUUCCAUUUACUGUCAAACAUUCUAGUAAUACAAAAAAUUGUUUAGAUAUCUUGCUAUAAAUAUAGCCGUUUGACUGUCAUAAUAAAGUCACAAAUAACCAUUCAUAUUGAUCUACUAUCACACAGCAUGCUUUAUGCAUACAACAGCUGUAUGUAUACCAACUCCUAACCUUAUCAACACAUUUGGCAAAAACUUAGGAAGAAAACUAUUUCUCCAUCUCUUUUUUGAAAUUUCACAAUAACCAGCACAAUGUGAAAGCUAUGUUCUAACCUUAUGAUAAAUGCUCCAGACUCCAAAAGGAUUUUAUAUAUGAGAGUUUGUUGCAGCAGAUAUAUUGACUUAUCAAGUAUGAAUCAUUGUCUGGAUGAACUAUCUUUAGAUAAAAGAAUAUUAGAACCACUGUAGAAUAUCUUUACGCUGCUGGUUCUAACAGGAAUCUGCAUGUGGCAACAAUUGCUAGAUCCACAACUCCCCAACUUGAAAUACAUAGUUGCACACCAUGAGAUAGUGCUACAAUCUACUGAGAUCUAACUUAUAUGGUACUUUAAGCUACUAAUGUUUGCAUAUUUCUACAUGUUAAAUUAACACUAUUAUCUAUAAUCACUCCAAAACAACAAAUGAUAAGCAACUUUUGGCCACUUAUUACUAGCAUCCACAAUUAUAAAUAAGAGAUCAUGGGUUUACUUGUUGCACCUACUUAAUUAUCUGCAGUUGACAUCCUGACGCAAGGUUUAAAUAGUGACUGCUUAGAACCCUUGUAGUUGGAUCUUGACCUCUCCCAUUGUAGCCAAGAUUGGUUACUCUGGUAAUGAAUCAACACUCUCCUGCUCAGGGCCAUGAAGAUCUGAAAGCUCAGCACUAGUGGAGAACUUCAUCAAUCUCUUCUUCUCAGCAUACUUGAGACAAGGCUGCCUUACGAGACCAAUCACCAUAGCACCAACGCUUAAAACUGCAACUUUUAAAGAAGAAAGAGCCAACACAACACAACACAACACAAAUCAAUAUGGUUGGAGGAAUACACAUGAUAAUGGCUCCAACAGUGACAGUGGGUAUCUUGUAGGGACGAGAUGCAGCAGGAUAUUGCAUCCUUAACCAUACAAAUGCUAUGAACUCCAUAAUCAUUCCAAAACAGUACAGGAAGUUCUCUGCAGCUACAAUAUCUCAAAAGCUCAGCCAUGAUAGCAAAACCACACCGGAUGCUGAGAAUAUGAUUCCAAUCAAAGGAGUCCCAUAACAAGACCUCUUAGCAAAAAACUCAGGUAGCGUUCCACGCUCAGCCAUCCCCAAAAGUUGGAAAGAGUCGCUGCUCAUCUCAGCCACAAACAUGCCCAUAUUGGACAUUGCUGCAGCCCCCUGGAUGCACCAUCUCAACCAAACUCCUCCAAGCACUUUAGCGAUAUCUGAAAAGUAACCAUCGGUCCACAAGUCGCGAUCUAAUGGAAUAGCUCCAGUUCCAACUAGAAGGGGAAAGAAAUAUCCAAAAACGACCAAGAUCAAAGCAUAAAACAAAGCCUUUGGAAGAGUCUUCUUUGGGUUAUCCACCUCUCCAGCUAGUUUACUUAUUGAGUCCCAGUAGUUGGAGAUUCCAAAACAGGGUGUUCAAAUACAAAUUCCAGUCCACUUCACCUAAAUUUACUACAAGCCAUCUUGAAGGCUCUAACUUGGGAAGGGACACAAGUCCCAUAACCACAAAAGGAAGGAAUGAGAAAAUCUCUAAAAGAACAGCAGCCCAUCCCACAAUGGUUAGACCCCUAUAGUUCAUGAAAGUGAGAACAAAAGUCAAAGCUAACGCCGCAAAGGCUCUAGGUAACCCAUCGCCCAAAGCAGGGAUAUACCAGACUUCAAGUAGUCAAGAAACAGAACUGGGUAUAAAGCAUUAUCAAUAACCCCACUUAGCCAUUUCAUCCAAACUUGCUGAAAACCCCAAUAUGGGCCUAAGGCAGAUGAAACCCAAACCACAUAACCACAAUUUUCAGGAAACACGGUACCCAUCUCGGCAGUAAUUAAAGCUUCAGGGACACUCCAUAUAAUCGGAAACACCAAGAAACCAAGAAGUGCUAAAAGAGGACCAGCUGCCUUUACACUAUCCUCAACACCAAACGCCCCCCCAGAAACCUCAUAGAAUAUAAGGAAAAUAAGUGGCAAGAUUGAUACUUUUUUAGCGCCAUGGACUCUAGGAGAAGAUGGUUGGUCAUUGAUAUUAACAUAUUCAACAGCAUCAGACUGCCCCAUUUCUACUGAAAGUUGCCUAUUCACAGUGUUCCUCAAUUUCUGCAUCAAGUUUAAGCAUAACUAUCAAAAGGGUAUCGGCAUCUAAAUUAUGAAACAAAAUGAGCAUUUACUUAUUAAAAAAAUUCAAAAAAACAGAAAUGGAUUUCACAGAACACAUGAAUUUAAGUUCAACAUUAAACAGGCGCUUAAGAAAACAAAAGGGUCUGGUCGUAAAGCCAUCAGAUUGCAAGAUUGAACAACAUUAACGGAAUCAAUAGAAUCGAUGUAAAGAGAUCUGAAAAGAAAAUAAAAUAAAAGAUGAAGAGGGAUAAAACGACCCAUCAAAUAAGUGCAUGCAGAGCAGAGAGGCAGAUACUAGAGAAGCUCCGUCAUGUUAGAGAGAGCCUAAAUCAAUCAGAGCUCACUGAGUUUCUUUUCAACUGACCGGCAGAUUUGGAGUAGCAUAACAUAAUAUUUUUGCUUUUAAUUUUCGGAACACUUUUGAAUGGAAUUUUUUGUUUUUCAAAACUAACGAAAUCGUAAAAAUAAAUAAACACGUGUUUGGUUUUGGGCUUCUUCUUUUGUUCAUUUAAUAUCAUUUGGUUCCCUGAUUUUUGACUAAUUAUCAACGGUAUCCUGUUAGUUUCCAAAUUGAAAUAAUAUUAGGUCAUGAGAUUAUUUACUCCAUUUAGCAAUGUAGACUUAAUAGUGUAUUGAAAAAGCUUUGUCAAAUAGUAGUAAUAGGGGCAUAAGAAAUAAGUUCUUCAGAAUUUAGAUAAUAUACUUGGCUCUAGGAAGAUUCCCCUCUUAUCACUCAAGUUAGGCUUUUACCUUAGAGUUGAGUAAAUUAUUAAAAUAAAUUAUAGCUAUCACAAAUUCGUCAGGAGACUUUCAAUUUUUUUCCAUCAAAUGGCAAUGAGGCAAAAUUACCUCAACUUAUAUUUCAAAACUAAUACUUCAAAUUCUGACAAUAAAUUUGAUGACAGUCAAUUUUAUGUAUAGUAAUUUUGACUCUUUUGUUUGGUCUAAAAGUAAUUAUUUAAAAUGACAAUAUAACUUAUUUAGAAGAAAUGGUAAACUUAUAGUUCGUAAUAUUAUUUACACAAAUAAUAAAGACUAAUUUGAUAAUAAUCUUUCAAAUAAUAAUGAAGUGUUAAUUACUAUUUAACAUUUUUGAUUAAUUUCUAAAUUUAAAACAAAUAUGAAAGUUGAUUGCUUUGAAGGUUGGAUCGUGACAAAUUGACAAAUGAAAAGAGAAGUAGAGAAUAUAUAUUCUGAUGAAAGGGACAAGAUUCAGCAAGGGGACAAUAUUCUCUAUUGGACCGACAAAUGGGGGAAAAGAAUAUAUAUAUAUAUAUAAUUUCUUAUUUGUGGAUUGGCCAACACGUGUAACAAAUAUGAAAAGAUAAAAUUUGGCGUGGUUUUAACCGAUAUAAGACAAGAAGAACAAAGCAAAGCCCAUGAAAAUUCACCUUUCAUGUGGGUUGGAUCGGAUAAAAUCAAUAUCUUGAAUCAAACAAAAUGUUUGGUACAUAAAGUUUUUUUUUUUUACAUGAUAUUAGAUUUUUAUCCCUCGAAUUUUUACAUGAUAUUAGAUUUUUAACCCUCACUAAUAUUCGAGAGAUAUCUACUCCUCAUUUUUGGGUAAGGGAGAAGACUACCUUCACUCAAUUAUAAUUAAGGAAUGAAAUACCCCCACAUUACACUUGUAGGGGUUCAAACUGUUGCCCUCCAACUUGGAGUGCAGCAGCGCUGACCACUCGGCCAAAGUCCGAGUGGCUGGUACAUGAAGGUUUUGAGUGUGUGUAAUGAGCCAAAAUUUACAUAAGGAUAUUUUAGUAAAUAUAAGAAAAAAAGGCUCAGGGAAUGGCCUAUAGAUAGAAGCACGCAGCCCAUGAGUGAUGAGAAUACAAUUUAACUGUUCAAACUAAUUAGAAGCAAAUUCUUUCAUAUCUUUCUUUAAUUUUUCCGCUUAGUUCCUUAGCAUCCAAUCAAGUUCAAGUUAAAACACUGUUGAGACAACAAUAUGCAGGCAUCAAUAAGCAUAGUAGUUUUUUAUAUGUAUUCUAUACGACAAUUAUAGAACUUUUUGCAGCAACUUUUUUUCAUUAACUAAUGUUUGAAGAACUUGUUAAAAAAAAUGGUAAAUUUAUAAUUUUGAAAAAAAAGAAAGAAAGUGACGUUACCUCAUCGUCAUUAGAGACUUGUUGCAAUGAUAGCUCAAAAUUAAAAUUUUUGAAGAAUUAGUAGACGACGAUGAUGUAAUAUUUAUACAGUCACCAACAUGUUGAUUUUUGUUUAAUGUUUGAUCGAUAGAAACGCUUGUCGUCGUCGCUGUUGUUGAAUUCAUACAUAGAACACAGAAGAGAAGGAGGGAGGAAAGGGAAGAGAAGAAGAGAGAAGUGGCAUAUAGCAAAUAUGAUAUGCUAGCUGCAUACCAGCCUUAGAGAGAUUUUUUUUAAUAUUUAUUAUAUUUUUGUUUUUGUUAUUGGUUUGUCAUAUGCUUCCAGGGAAGCAAUACGUUACAUCAUAAAUUGCACCUUUUAGGGGAGGUGGUAAAAAACGUGAGAGCACUACGCUCCAGCGCAUACAUAUAGAAAGAGUUUUCGAAUUUUAAAAAGUUUCUUUAUUUCUUCCAUGUUUUUGUGCUUAAAAUAAAAUUUAAUUGUAUUUUGCAUUAACUUAGAAAAGAAAAGCCAGUUCUAUAUAUAAACUCAUGCAUUAAUUAGAAGAGUUGAACUAUUGGCACCCCUCUAUAAUCUUUAUAAAAUUCCUCUCCUAUUGUAAUUACAUUAAAGGACAAAAUAAAUCUAAUUAUAUCAUUAUAUUUCUCUUUUCAACUCUUUACACCCGUGCAACUACACCAAAGUCUUUUACAAUUUUUGUUUCCUCACAAACAACUUUUUCUUGAGAGAUUUACAAAACUUAUUUUUAAUUUUAAAAAAUAAAUAAUAGUUAUUUGAGUCCACUUUAAUUUACAAAACUUUCUAAUAAUAAGUUUUGUAGACUUAUUUUUCAUUUACAAAACUUUCUGAACUUAUUUUUAUUUUUAAAAAAUAAAUAAUAGCUAUUUGAGUCCACUUUAAUUCUACUUAAUUCAUACAUGUAUUUGAUUUUUUUGAGUAAAAUAUGUAUGAUUUAAUAAUUCAAAAAUUUAUAAAAACAAUAUUUGUAAUUGGAGUUAUUUGGAAGAAACUGAAUUGUUUUUCUUUUUGAAUAAAAAAAAGCUGAAAAAAGAAAAAGGAUAUUUUAGGAAUUAAAAUAGAUUUUGAUAGAAAAGGGGUUUGAACAGAAAAUUACAGGGUGCUAAUAGUCCCACUCUAAUUAAAAAAUGAGUUCAUGUGGAUGCAAAUGUACAAUAAAAGAGAUUCUCUUUUGUAUAUUGGAAGUAACAUAACUAGUGAGUAUAAUAUGUAAAUACAAGUUACCAAGAAUUUGCACUAGUGCUAAUUAAUGGCACAACUUUUGAGCUAUGAAUUUCUUCUUGAUAGUUUAAUUAUAUUUUUGAGUUUUCGGUAAACCUAUUUUAAUAAUUAUUAAAUUAUUUUCACUUCUUACGCCUUAAUAAAAAAAAAUCAAUAUUUUCUGGUCUAUUCUAUAUUUUGAAACUUAAUUUUUAAUUCUUUAUAUUGCAAACCAAACUAAGUCAAACAGAGUAUGCUCUUCAAAGAAUUUUUCCAUUGGCCAUUGCCUUCAAGAAGAUUUUAUUUUAUUUUUAUAUAUUAAUUUAACAUUUUUCCGUGCACUUGUAAACCGGGCCGUCGGAUUCCACAUAAAGCAAAUGAUCAAACCGUUACAAGACCGACCCGGACCCACUGACUCUCAUUUUCUUUCAUUUGACCAUUAAAAGCUUUUGACCACCCCCGCCAAAUAAAUAAAUAAGCUCUUGUUCUCUUUUGUUCCUUCUUAAAGGAAAAUAUAUCUGAUCACCAGAUAAUGAUUCCGGUGUCACAAAAUAUCAAGACAACCCCUAAAUUCCCUUAAAUUUACGAUAACACCCCACCAUGGAUGAUUCCGUUGAAAUGCCGCCUUACGAUGAAAGGCCUUAGAAGGGUUUUAACUUCACACCCAUGCGCUUGAUCUUAACCCUCAUUUUCCCAAUUUUAACUUUCUUUUCGUUGGCAUUUUUGAUCGAGAUCGUUACUGUUUUAUUCGGCGAAUCAUCAGUUUCGAGUUCCAUUUUUGUCCCUUCCCAGUGCAAGAUAGUGCCAGCAGUAAGCUUUUUUAAAAUUUUCAAUUUUUUUCCAUUUAUGAAGCUCAAAAAUUUUAUUAAUUUUUGAAUUUUUUUUGAAUGAUUUUGCAGGUGUUGAUAUAAGGUCAUCAAAGGUUUGUGAACUUGGAGUGUUGAAUUAUAAGGCGAAGCGUGUGUUUUAUCCAUUUGAAGCAAGUAAAUUUCGCCGUCGAUAUGAUUACUAUUGGGCUUCUAUCUUCAAGGUAUUCAUACAUUUUCUCAACUUUAAUUACUUACCUGUACUAUUAGCUUCUUAGUGGCGGUCUUGUUUUGUGUUUUUGAUGAAUGUGUUUAAGGGUCAGUUUGGGAAUGCUGGUAAUAGGAUGUUGUUAGUGUUUGGCAGUAAAUUUGCUAUGCAUAAUUCAGCAAUGUGCUUGAUUUUGGUUAUUGUCUUUAACAAUUUUUAGGUAGAGUACUUAGAUCAUUCACUGGGACAAACGCAGAGCUUGGUUGACCAAAGAUAAGUUCCAGGCUGGGGUCGGCAAUGCAGAGCUUCUGCGUGUAUUAAAAUUUGAAGCCUAGUAAAUGAAUUUCUAAUUUAUUUAUAGUGUUUGUUUUAUCUUGAUAGAAAUGAAUGCUAACUCAAGAUUUUCCCAACUUUGAUUACUUACCUGUACUAUAAGCUUCUUAGUGGCGGUCUUGUGAGCGGUGUGGCUGACAGCUUCUUGAAAAUUAUAAGUUUGAACAGAGCAUGCUAGACUUUUGUUGACCAAAUUCGAAAGCCAAAUGGCACAGCUCAGAACCUUUUGAAUUGAAUAACUUACUAGAAAGCUCCAAUUUUUUGUUGGCUACGGUAAAAGGAUGUUGUUUUAUUCUUCUUAUACUUUACGCUUGCAUCAGCUUAAAUCACUUCUUAAACGCUUUGCUUUAACUCCACCGCUUCAUACUGUUCUAUAUAUGUAUCGGGUAUGCGGUUGUAGUUCACUGCUGAGACUACGUGUUUGUUUGACGUGGUAAUUACGUUACGAGUCUGUUAAACAUUCGGUGAUUAAAGUAUUAUCAGUUAUUUCGAGGGGACAAAAAAGAUUAGUUACAACACACCCACUAGUUUUAUAAAAUUUGAAUAAGAUGGAAUAAAAUAAAAAAAUAAAUAAGUAAAUUGACUUUUAAUUUAGUGGUUGAAUAUAUUUUGUAUUCUCUCGGGGUACUGCUGUAAUUGUUCCUUAAAUGUCAGUCACACCCACAUGUUACAGACACAAGAAAUGGAAUCUAAGAUCACCUGUUUAAUUAAAGAAUCACUCAUGAAAAAAUUUUGCCAUUUUGAUUUGAGGAUCCACAUUUUGAACAACCAACUUAUCUUCAUCAAGAACAGAUCAUGGCCUGUGAGUAGAAAGAUUAUUUUUGGACAAAUUAUUUUUGUUAAUAGAAGAAUUUCUCAAGGGACUAUUAAAAUUACUAAUAAAAAUGUCAGACACACCCACGUACCAUCGACACAAUUGACUAUGAGGAUCCAUGUUUUGAACUGCCACUUAAUGUUCAUUAAGAACAGAGUAUGGCUUGUGAGAAGAAAAUUUUCUGAUUUUGGCCUGGAACAAAAAAAAAUUAAAUUGAAGGAGAAUCUGGUACUUUCUCAUUAAGAAAGGCAGACGGGGCAUACUAUGGUACCAUAAAAUACGAAAAGUCUCCAUUCUCUAGCUUUUUAAACUCUGAAGGGGGCAAUAUUCCCCAAUUACCCCGUGAAAAUUCUGAUUACGACAUUACUCAUCGGUUGAUACAUAAGUACAAGUACUGACAAAAUUAGGAAAAAUAUGACUCAUAAGUAAUUACUAGGCAGGGCUCUUGAGAGCAACAUUAUACUAGGCUUUAUAUGCAUACAUGGUGUGGUACAUAGAGCACGUUGAAUUCCACACUAUAACACAAACCCAGAAAGACAAGUAAUAUCUCAACUGAUAUAAAGACAAAAAGAAAAUAAAAUGAUAUAGAAAAAAGAAUUUCUAAGAGACAGCAACAUACAAUAGACUGAAGCCAGUUGAUCUGCUCAUUGAUUGCAGCCUUAAACUUGCAAAUGUUUACUGUAGCCUGGUGCUCUAAGAAGUGAAAAUGAUGCAAACCUUGAUUCCCUGUUUACUUCCAUUUACCAUCAAACAUUCUAUUCAUAAGAAAAAAAAUCUUUAGAUAUCUUGCCGUAAAUAUAGCCAUUUGAUUGUCUUAAUAAAGCCACACACAACCAUUCAUAUUGAUCCACAUUGCCACAUAGCCUGAUUUAAGCAUACAACAGCUGAAUGUAUACUGACUCCUAACCUUAUCAAUACAUUGGCGACAACUUAAGAAAAAAACUAUUUCUCCAUCUCUUUUUUGAAAUUUCACAAUAAAACAGCACAAUGUAAGAGCUGGAAUGAAAAUGGACCGUUUGGAACUAUGGCGGAAGCUUCAACUAGUGUAGUGAGUUGACCUUCUUAUUAACCUAGCGAGAUCAAACACUGCCCUUGAUCUUGAACAUAUCAAUACGAUACGCACAACUUAUGAUUGAAUCCAGAAACAAUCAAAUCUUUAGCAAGAAUAAUUAAUCAGAAUCAAGAAACAAGUUUAAUGAAUAUAAACCUAUAAUUGGAACAAACACAGCCAAAGAACCCAAGAAUGACACAACGAACACCAAGGGAGAAGCUUUCCAGUGAGAUUAUAUUAAUGAUCAAAGAAGAAUCUUUUUACAAAGAUAACAAAAGAGAUUUCAGAGAAUAAGCUAUGACCCUCUCUCUCUUCAAUCUCUGUCUAGUUUGUUAACAGUGAUGACCCCAAUCUGCUUCGUUAGCCAGCUUCAUAACUGCGUCAGUGACAAACUAGCAAACCCAGAUUGAGCAGACUAACGACACGUGCAUAACGGCUUUAACGAACUUGGUUAAAGAACUGCUCACAUGUUCGUCACGCGUGUUGCUUAAAUGAUAGCCAAAACGACUUCAACCAAAUGCCGUUUUGAAGCUUAUGAAUUAUAAGUGAAAACACGUGCUUGUCUCGUGACAUUUAAAUGCAACAACAAGCCCAAAACACUGCCGGUUCACUAUGUUGAGUUUGCCAUCUCUAAGCUUCACAACUAGCAGCGGACAAGAUGAUAAUUUAAUUGACAUGGAGAGCUUUUAUAUCACUUUUACAACAUUCUAUAUAAUUGUGAUAUUGGGAAUCGUCGGUGUUGUAUAUGUGAACCCUCGUUGGCGACACUGGUGGUUUUAUCUUUAUUGAAAUAUGGAUGACUUUUCGUUACUAUUUUGUUGUACAUAACAUUAUUCUCAGGAGAUUUAAUCAUUGAAAUUAACAUGUUAGUUUCAUUAGAAGGCUGAGUGGUUAGGGCUGCUACCCUCCAACUUGGAGGGCAAUAGUUUGAACCCACAAGCGCAGUGUGGGGGUAUUUCAUUCUUUAAUUACAUUGUAUAAUUGAAUAAAGAUAAUAUUCUCUCUUACCCAAGUGUGAGUGGAGUAGACAUCCUUCGAAUAUUAGCGAGGGUUAAAACUUGGGCAGAGCUCAAUAAGUAUUGAUGUAAGUUGGUCCUAAUAAUAGUCUGAUUUGUAAAUAUCAGUUAUAGUCUCAUGUUUCCUUCCUUAAUUAUAUUGUAUAAUUAAGUAAAUGUACUCUUUUCUCUUACCCAAGUGUGAGUGGAGUAAACAUCCCUCGAAUAUUAGUGAGGGUUAAAAUCUGGGUAGAGCUCCAUAAGUAUUGAUGUAAUUUGAUCCUAAUAAUAGUAUGAUUUGUAAAUAUCAGUUAUAUUAUCAUGUAAUAUGAGUUGUAAUUUGAGUAAUAAUUUCAUGUAAUUACAAAAAAAAUGUUACUUUCAUUACUUUUUUCUUCGUUAAAAUUCUCAAGUAUCAAUUAUGUUUGCUUAAGAAAUAAAAUUUCGUUAUGAAAAUUGUAGCAGUAUUUCCGAGCACCUCACAUUUUCAAUGAUUUUUCAUAAAUCAAUUAAUCUGCCAUACCAAUAUCAGGUUUAGUUUUUCAGACUAAAUGAUCAAGAAAGCAAACAUACAAAUUCACAUUUUAGAGGGGUAAACUAGCUUUUAGAUUUUAGAACUAGGCUAGCUACCUCACCAAAUUCCAAUCUGUACAGUGAACUACAAGAUUAAGAAAAUAAUGUAUUUAUAGUUUAAUUGAAUCAUGAGAAAACAAUGUAGUCAUAGCUCAAUCGGACAUGAUCACGGAGAGGCAUAUUCUUUUCAAGUUAAUUUGAUCCAUUUAUAAGAAAUGAAGUGGAUUGAAGUUAAAAGUUCAAAUAACAAAUCCUUGUUCUUGAGUUUUACGACGUCGUUACUCCUUCAAGAGGCUGAUUAUGCAAGUGAAUGCGGAAACAGAAUGCAUUAUCCACGGGGAUGAUAAAUCAAAAGGCGGGAUCAUAGUCUAUGCCCGCAGAUUAACAAUUUCACUCAUAUAGAAAAUUAAUUUUUUUAUAUAUACUAAUCAACACUAGAUUGAUUAUGUUUUGUAUGUUUAUAUGCUAAUCAACAAUAAAUUAUAUUAAAUGAAGAAAUGCUUCAAAUUUUUCUAAUUUAAUUUAGAAAAUCAAUUAUUAACAUUAAUAUUCCUAAUAAAAAUUAUUUUCCAUCGGUAUUCAAAAUUUUCACUUAUAGAAAAUGUGUUUUACGUGAAUACAAGUUAUUGUGUAAAUUUGAAUGAUAGCGAAAAAUAAUUUUUUUAAUUAUUGUAAAAAUAAUUAACCAUAACAAAUCCCUUGUGUAAAUAAUAAUCAUUAUUUAAAAGGUAGAAAGAUGGUUAGUGCACAAUCAAAUUUUAAGCCCCUACCUCCUCGGCCCAAGAUUCAAACUUAGAUGAUCAGCCAAAUAAAAUUAUUUGAAAAUCAUUCAAUCAGGUUCUCGGGGAAAAAAUACAAGAUCCGUAUUUGCAUGAUAUAUAUGAAUUAAUGUAAUUUAUUUGAAUUAUCCAAAUUCAUUAGAGAUAAAACUAUAAAAGAUACCAAAAAAGUUAGAAGGAAGGGUGUGCUGGGAUAUUUUACAAACUAUAGGAAUCUGGUGAGAUUUUGAGCCAAACUGUAGGGAGUUGAAGGCAUUUGCCCAAUAUGUUUAGACGUACACUAACCGUUAUUUGAUCUUGUUGUUGGUCAUGUGAACUAAGAUGUAAAUUAAAGAAAAAGUAUAAAAUUAAAAAAAGAUAAGAUUUCUAAAAUGUGUGGAAGGUGAUUCAUGAUUCACUAAAAUUACUUGCCCCACAUAUAAAGGUAAACAUGUCUAAUUUCAUUAAAAAUAGGUGGAAAAAAUUAACUAAUAGAAAGCUACGGAAAUUAACCCCCACAAAAAUGACUUUUUAUAGAAGAAUUUAUGUUUUUUAAAAUAUGUUAUCAAAGUGUAUUUGAUCAAAUCUCAAUUGCUUAGUAUGGUUAGGAUUUUGUGAACAUAACUAAAAAGUGAAAAAUAUGAAUGAUAGGGGUGAUGCUUGCAAUAUGAAUAAAUAAUGGACUGAUUCAAUUGAUGAUUAAAUUUAUAUAUUAUUGAUUAUUUAUGAAUUUUCAGACUUGUUAUGAUGUAUAACUAUGUGAUUUUGAAACUUGAAACCGUGGCAAACAUUGAAAGGAAUUAUAACUUGAAAUCAUGACUCACGGGGUAUGUCAUGAUUCACGUGCACAAAAAAGGUAGAAUUGUGGAAAUUUACAACCCAACGACAAGUACGGAAAGAAAGGAAGAAAAUUAAAAGACUUCGGGCCUAGCCUGCGUGUAUUAAUUAUUAGAUUACUUUUUUUUAUAAGGGUAAUCAUCAAUUUACUCCAUAACAAUCUUUAAUUCAUUUCUUAAAAAUAUCAAAACUUUAAUUUAUCUUUUAAACAUCGUUACCUCUCUAUUGGUUUUAACAGUUCAAAGGGUAAAAUUAUAUUUGCAUAUUUUCUUGACCGCCAACUAAAUGAUAAAACUCAAAAUUCAAUCUUGUUAUCUUGUUUCAAUCCUCUAUCAAUCAAAUAAGAUUUCUAAAAUAUGUGGAAGAUAUUGCAUGAUUUCCUCAACCUACCUGGCCCGAACAUCAAGGUAAAUAUCUCUAAAAUAGUUGAUUAAAUCUCAGUUGCUAAGUAUAGUUAGGAUUGUGUGAACAUCACUGAAAACUAUGAUUGAUAGAAGUGAUCUUUGCAAUAUGAAUAAAUAAUUAACUGAAUCAAUUGAUUUAUAUAUUAAAGUUUAUGAAUUUUCGGGCUUGUUGCGAUAUAAUAAUAGCAUAUGAUUUUGAAACUUGAAACAGUGGUAAAUAUUGAAAGGAAUUAAUUUGAAAGCAUGAUCCGUGGGGAAUGUGAUGAAUCGUGUUUACAAAAAAGGUAGAAUUGUGGAAAUUUAUAACAGAACGAUAAAUAUGGUAAAAAGGAAGAAAAUUGAAAGACUUGGGGCCUGGCCUGGGUGUAUUUUCUAACUAUCCAAUGGACAAAAUUAUAUUUCUAUACUUUCUCUUACCUAAGUUUCAUAGAAUAGCUCAUUUCAUUUUUAUUUUUUAAAUAAUAGCCCAAAAUAUCAUUAUGUUAACUCAUUAUUAGUUGAAUGGCGUUUGUUAGUAAUUCAUUAAGGGUAAAAAAUGAUUUUCUAUCAAAGAGAAAAUUAGAAAAAUAAAUAAAAAUUGAUAUAUAACUAAAAAUUAUUUUAUCUAAUCCCACUAAAUAAGAAAUGCCAAAAAAGAUGAAAAAAUUAUAUUUCAAGCAAUUCUUUUUUCACUUAUUUCUAUUUUGGCAACAUGAAAGCCCUAUAAACCCUAGAUCUAAGUACCAAAAAUAUCACAAUUUUCUUAUUCAUAUAAGUAUACUCUCUAAUUGCAUUGUAAAAUGGCUUGAAUUGAAUUGAAGAUAAAGAAGAUAUUCAGCACAUGCAAGCACAUAAAAAUUGGUGGCAUUUUUGAGUUUUUCUUCCAAUGAUUUAAAGAUAUUGUUUUAAUUACAGUUUGUUCCUUAUGACAAUUAUUCAAUGGCGAUAUCAAACUAUAUCAUCGUUGAUUUCAUUUAAGAAAAAAGUUAAUGAAUUUUGCAUACUUUGUAGUGUUAUUUAAUUGUGUAAAAAAAUUAUUUUAAUAUAGUUUGUAUCGCUUUAAUGAAAAAUCCUAUUUUGCCCUCAAUGAAUUACUGGUUAACGAUUUUACACUAAUGGUGAGUUAAUGGAAAGAUAUUUUAGGCUAUUGUUUGAAAAGUAGGGAUAAAAUGAGCUAUUGCAUUAAACUCUAAGGAUGAAAAAUGAUUUUUCCCUUUUAUUAUCAAUCAACUAUCUGAUAAAAGUCAAAACUCAUAUUUUUUUUUCCCUUGUUUCAAUCCCCUCUCAAUCAAAAAAGUUUCCUUGUCUAAGCAAUGAGGAAUAUGGCUAGAAAGAUUGUUAUUAGAAAGAUUUAUCAAUAGUAAUUAGUUCACAACUGAACAGUUUUAGAUUAUUGUGAGUCAAUAUAGGUCCUGUUUAGGAUUGAAGUGUUGCAGUUUUUAAGCUACAGCUGCUGUAGAAAAAAAAACUAUAAUUAUGAAAUAAGAGUUAAUAAUAUAUAAUAAAUAUAAAUUUUAAAUAAUAAUUUUGACAAAAUUAUUAAAAAUAUAAUAGAUUUUUCAUAAUACAAAUAAAAAAAUCAUAUCAACAUAGCUUGCAAGGUACAACAGUUAGUAUGAUGUUAGUUUAUUUUUGCGUCAAUAUAAGUAGUCAAAUUGAAUAAGUUAGUGAAAUGCUGCCUCACUGUCCCAUUGAAUAUGAUUCAGCUAACAGGGCUAGAGCUUGUGGAUGCCAAUGGCACUGAACAAAGUAUUGGGUGGUAAUUUUAAGACCACGCUAUGCCCAAAACCCAAGUUAGGCGAUUACAAAUACGGGAAUCAAUGUCACUUUGCUAGGAAUGGAGAGGAUAGAUUGCUUAGUGAAAUGCAACUUUGUAGAAUGCUGAGAGAUGUGCUGAGAGAUGAGGAUAGUUGUCGAUUUCUUCAUGUAAAUGCUGAGAGAUGUGCGGAAGUUUCUACUCAGUUUAGGCUUAGUUUAAGAAUAGCCUGGUGAUAAACAUUUUGAGUGGUGGAUCUUCUGUGGAUAACAAAAGUAGGUCUAUUCAAUGGGAACGCGACAAGGGGCUGGCUAACUCGCUCAGGUUGUGCAAAUGUUAAAAGCAGAAUGCCAGUUGUAUGAAGUUAUGUCAUUUUCUUUAUAGAACUAUGAAAGCUUGGAGUCCACGAUUCAAUGGAAUCUCGGGCUGUGCCAAUGAUUGUUUCAAGUACUUUUUCUACUUUCAAUGUCCAGACUAAGACUAUUUCUAAGCAGCAAGUGCAGGAUAUAAAGUGCAAAUCAAAAUAGACAGAAGUGAAGAGGAAGAUACGUGGUAUAUAUGUUGAUUGGAUUGAAGAUAUACCACUUUUGCCUAGUUCUUAGAACAAAGCAGAAAGCUGUAGUUAAAAAUAUACCUUCUGCUAAAGAUAAGUAGUCAAUAGUUCUAUUAGUGCAUAACUUUGCGAUUAAGGAUGAUCGCUGUCUAUUUUAAGAGCUUUUAAUAGAAUUUAGUAGCCCUGAUUUUCAAUCUCAGUGUUUUGCGGCUGUUAUCGACAUCCCUCUGUUACAUUUUUCAAGUUUCAUUGAUAAAUUAGUAGUUAGCCUUAUGAAGAAUGCACACACCAUAACCAUGUACGUUAAAUAGCAAACCUGCAUUUUAUUGAACUGUGAACUACUGAUUCAAUAAAGCUCAACAUAAGCUAACAAGUCUUUGUGAAAUUGCUUCAUGGUACAUUGUUUGAAGUAUUUAAGCUAAUAUAUGAUUAUUAAUGGGCUCGUGAGCCAACCCCAUUAAUUAUAUGUACAUAUAUAUAAUGUUACCAUCAAUAUGAUAUGUGACAUCCCAUAACAGCUAAUUAUAGAUCUUUAUCCAUUUUCAUAAUUUGCCUUCUGGCUUCCACUGCUCGUCACUAAAUUCAAAAUCCAUUGCACCUCAAAACAACAUGAGAAAUCUUAUAGGCAAAUCAUGACCAGUUCAAAGAUAAUAGCGAUUAUAGGGAAAGAAAAUUAAAAUCGAAGACGCAUAUAAAAUAAUCAAGCUACUGAUGAACAAAAUAACAUGAAAGUGUAAGUAUUUAUACUAACCUUCACUUAUUAGGAAGUUUGUUUCGCUAUUGGGUAAGAUCAAGCUCUCUGCAUAUCCUAUUGGCAAAAGGAAAUCACGCACGUGUGAUCUCUCUCUCUCUCUCUACACACGCACACAUAUACACACGCAUAUACAUAUACAUGCAUGGUCAUCAUCUUAGAAACCGAUUGAGAAAUUAUUGUCAGAGUUUGAAUUUGCGCAAUGACUAGUCAUGUUGCUAAAAAGAAAAAAGAUUGAGAUUGAAAGAAAUUCAUUAUCAUCAAAUUGGUCCAAUAUCCACUUCACUGUGUGGAUCAAAUACGUUUUCGAAUAGUGCACUGAUCUACAAUCUACUGCAAUAAUUUGUUAGGACCCUACAUCAACAAAUUAUGGGAUUAGUUGGUUUAUUAACCCUAAUACAUCCGGACAAGUCAAUCCUUUCAUGAGAAACAAAAUGAAUUUUGCAUCCCAUGAAACACAACAUACUCAGCUAGUUGAAAUUGUGGAUAUACGGGGGUAACGUAAGCAUGCUUUCACAAUUUGAAAGAUUUAUUUUUUAAGAUUUAGUAUUUCUGGGAUCCUAUUGAGAUAGAGGGGUGGUGAAGGUCUAUAGAUUUUAACUUGACAGCUUCCUAUAACCAAAGAUACAUAACUAUACUAAAUGAGCAUCAUUGAAUUUCAAAGUUAUUCAUUAUAAAUACUUAAAGAAAGAAAAAUAGAUAUUUUGGUAAUAGUAAUACAUUAUACCUUUUCUCUUUUCCAAAUUUGCUUAACCUUACUACAAGGCAAGCUGAGUCCAAUCAGGUUCUCCAAUUCAAAAUCUGAUGUCAGUAUUUUCAAAAGAUAUUUAUGCCAAUGGAGAUUUCUCAAUUCUAUAGGAAGGCAUUUUUUUUUUUUGAAACUGAUUAAGCAUCAGUUGGUUACUGUAUUACACAGAGAUAUAUACAACUGCUAUGACAGCAGGUCAUUACACUGAUAUUUACAAUCAGAUAUAUACAUGUGACUUAUAUUAUUACAUUUUUAUUCUAUGAAGUACAUGCCCAUCCAAAUACCCCUCACAGAGGAGGGAUGUCUCUACUCCACUCCCAUUGCGCAAGGGAGAAAGACGUUGUAAGAAGUCUCCAUACAAUUAUAUUUAAUUGAGGGAGGUUGAGUCCGUGGGGACUCGAACCAUUGCCCUCAUAGUCAUGCUUAACUUUGAGGGCAAUGAUUCACCACUGGGCUACAAGCCCAAGUGGCUAUAGGAAGGCAUUCUAAACCUCAGUGAAGUUACACCCUGGAGCUUAUAAUUAGAACACCAUCAUACUCGGAUAUAUAAAAUUUCAGCAAUCUAAAAUUUGACAUUGUUUUAAAUGCUCCAGAAUCUAAACGUAUGUCUCUUAUCCUGGAGAAUUCAAGAAUAUACUUUCGGUUGCAUGUGUCCCUUCAGAAAAGAAGCAAAUAAUGAGUUCGCAUAAAUUUUCUCAGGAAAAAAAUCCUAAAAUUUAUAAAGAGCUCCUUAAAUGAAGACAAAACCUGCACUCGCUCAACUCUUUUUUUUUUUUUUUAUGUUGUUCUAGUCUUCUUCAAUCCCCCCCUCUAAAACUUUAAUCCAAGCGUUAAGUGUAAGUAAACUAAAAUAUGAUUUUCGUAUGCAAGUACAACACAACAUACCCAUAAAAAUGAAGAGCGGAAGUUAGAAUCAAACCUCCAGCAAUUGAUAUUUUGCAAACUGAUAUUUGAUUCUUCUGAGACUUAUGUAAUCGUUUUGAUGGUGCAGUUUUUGAAUUAGAUUACAUAGCCUCAGGUACUAAUACCAUUUUCACCAUUUUGUUUUUAUUUCAUCUUUCCAUCAAAGAUGAAGGGGUGGGAAAUUAUCAAAGCAGCUGUUAGAUGACACCUGCUUCUAGACCUGCAAGUAAAACCAAAGAAUGAGCUCCAUUAGAUACAUUUGAGUUAAUAAAAUCCCUUGUUCCUCCUAAUGAUUAUAGACAUUAAUUAGGAGGGAGAAAUGAAGUAAAUUAAAUUAAAUGAAGGACCUUCAUUCUCCACGCAUGCAGCCGGCUAUUUUGUUACCAAGUUGUUGAAAGGAAGUAAAUAGAGAAGCAUUCAGAUACCACUCUCCCAGAUCGAUAUUCCUAGUAAGACCAAGGUGUAGUUGUACCACUCGGCCUGUGGAGUUGCUGCAGUCAACCCUUUCCCUUUGUUCAUCUACCCAGUUUUGAAGUCUAUAAGGGGAAUUGAAGAAAUGUUUAAGCCACAAAAGAUCAAAUUCCUCAUGCUCCAAACAUCCCUCACUCCACCCCCCCCACCCCCCGGCGCCCUCUUCUAAUAUUAUUAAUACGAGAACUAACAUUGUCACCAUUUUGAAUUUUGAACCACCCAUUCUAGCUAUAUCUCUAACUAUUAAAAAACACACAUUCUCUCUUUCUCUAUAACUAUAAAUAACAAAAGGGCUCUAUGUUAUUUAUAACAAACACAUCUAACAAUUUAUACACUCAGGCCCCAGCUAGCUUUCAGUUGUCUUCUUUGGUAGUCUUCAGCCUUCUCAAAGACUUUCGUCAUGCCUUACUUUCAGCCUUCCUUUCCAUAUUUGUCAUUUUGCUUUAAUUUUCCACAAUUCUACCUUGGAUGGUAAUAUUUAAUUCGCCACGAAUUGAGUGAAACGCUGGUCCGUUACCCAUCCCACUUCAAUAUUAACAAUAUUAAUAAUAAUAAAUAAAUUCUUCAAGCAAUUGAGAUUUGACACCCACCCCACUUCAAUAUUAAUAUUAAUGGGAAAUCAUAAAUUCUUCUACAAAUGAGUCAUUAUUUUAAAAUUGUUAUAAGCUUAUUUAUUUAAAAAAAAAAAAACGAGAAGGGGAACUUGUUAUCUUAAAAUUAAAAGAUUCUGGUGUGGCUACCCGAAUCCGCACGUUUUUUAAGAUUUUUUUUCCAAUCUUGUGUACCGUUCAACACCUAUAUAUGCUUUGCAAUUGAUUAGUUAACAAAAUAAAAUUCUUGAUCAGUUGUGCGGUAAAAAUAAUAUUAUUUUACAAAGCUUUACCUGGUGCAGUCAAUACGGCUAGAAAUUAAAGGAUCCCCAGCAUGAUAAUUAAGGAAUAAUUAUUAUUCUAGAUUUGUGCAGUGGCGAAGCUAAUAGCAUUUUUCGUUUUCGAGUGAGCUGAACUUUUUCCCCCCCCUAAUUCAAUACAUUUUUAUCGUACAAUAUAAUUUUGUAAAUAAGAAAUUAUAGAUGCACCUAAUAAUGCGCGACAAAAUAAGCUUUACCUCUCAAAAUAUUUGUUCUAAACAUUAUUUAAAAUAAUUUAGACACAUAUUUAUUCACAAAAUGAUGAACAGACAAGAAUUUGAUGAUAAUUGAAGAGGCAGCAUAACUAAUUAAUAUAAAAAUUUUUAUAUAGGUUUCAAUAAAGGAAAUUUUGUAACUAAAUAAUUUUUUUUCUGAGAAGCCCGGCCUUGCCCUCUCCAAAAUUCGCCACUGAAUUUGUGGGGUGGUUACUGGAGUUCACACGUUUUCAAAUUUUUUUUUCCCGAUCAUUCAAUAGUAAUUUUGCUUUUUAGUUUAUUAUUAUUGUUGUUAUUAUUAUUAACUCAGGCAUUUAUUAAAGCUCGAACACAUAAUCUAAACUUUGAUAUAUUUUUUGCUGAGAGGAGUCAAAAUUUGGGAAUUAUAUGCGCAUCAUAACAUAAUAAACAACCGCAAAGUAUCCUACGGAAACUUUCAGUGCACUCUGACAGCAGCUUUUGGUAGUCAAAUAGUCUUGGAAUCAUUUUUUAGCGCAUAUUCUUUUCGGUAAUGUGAUGAAUUCAUAUCUAAAGAAUCAAAACUAUGAUGUGAAUUUGCUGCAAAAACUGAUCCAAGACUAUUCAUUCAUUAUUAAACAUAUGAUAUCGUCCGUAAGACUGGAGAAAUAUGAAUGAAUUUGUUGAUGAUAACUCAGAAGACGGUUAACGGUUAAAUAUGCUAUGUUGAAAUGCACUGUACAGUCAAUUAAUUUAGUUAGGACUCUGUUUCUAGAAAACAGAGUAUAAAAGAUGACUAACUGUUUUGGGAGAUGCUUUUGGAGGGACUUCUAGAUGAAAUUGAGAGAGAGAGAGUGUGAGAGAAACUCUGUAAAGUCUUCUCCAAUUGGUAACCCCUUUUGUUGCGAAUAAUAAAGCUUCAAGGCUGUUCAUUUAUUUGUACAUAAGCAGGGGGAAAGCCUAUGUAUAGACAGCUUCAAAUGAGGAAACUGCACCUAACUACGCAGCAGCUGUAAUGAAGAAGACAUUGAUGCAUUAGCUUCCUGUUCCGUCUUCUUGGUCUUCGGGGAGGUUGGUAGCAGCAACUUUAAUUGUUCAAAGCAAACACUUAUCUUUCGUUUCUCAUAAAACCUCGUGAGGUAAUGCUUUAGAUGACUGGUAUGCAAUAUUGUCAAUGACAAAAUGUAAUGUUGUAUUCUGCUGAUCAACAUGUAAAAACUACAUAUUACUUGAAUUAGUUUUUUUUUUUUUUAAUUUACUAAAUUUCAGAAUUUGUUAACGAUGUUUGUACUUGGUUUUAACUCGAUUAAAGCUCAUGAAACUUAAUUGAUUAAUUAAUCAUUUAGUUAAAUUUAUUCGCUUUCAUGCUAUGGAUCUUUGCUAUAAUAACAAAUGCUUAAUUAUAUGCGUAUGUGUGAUAUAAUAGCUGCGUCUUACAUAGCAUAACACUACACCAAAUAUGCCCCCCUCAGAUACUAAUUAAUUACACAAAUGUACUUUUAUUCAAUUUAUUAUUUAAAAUAAUAUUUGAAAAAAAAUGGACUUGAGCAGAGCAAAGUAGAGAUAAUAAACAAGGGUAGAUUAUGCAUGCGUCAAAAGAUUUUAAAAAAGAAAAAGAGAAAAUAUACGGAAAACAAGAAAAUUGCGGGGAGCCACUCUUGUCUUUUACUUUGGACUUGAAGUCGUUCCAGGUGGAUAAUGUUUUCCUUUUAAAUAUUUAGAAUUAUAUUGUGGCGCUAUUUAAAAUAAGUUAUAAUUUUCUUAAAAUCAGACUAUGAUUACGGUACUCCAUGGUCAGAGUGUCGUUGAAUAAUGCUGAGUCUAUUGAGUCCUUUUCAAAUCGAAACCAGAACUAAAGAAAAAUCCAGAACUGAAACAAGGGCACGAACCAGCAAGAUUUGAAGGAAAAAUUUACUUCGUUAGUGAUCAACAACUAAUCAAACGUAAGUGGAUUUACAGAAGACUUUGUACAGAUCACAAUGAAACAGAUUCUAUGCAAAUUGACGAACAACUGAAGAAGAAAAAGGAUCGUACAACAGGCACUGCUCAUAAGCUUCUAUUUAUACUGAUGUUUCUGGAAACGUUGUAACAGAUUAUAACUAAUUCGUGCCACGUCAGCAUAAAAUAUCUACUAGACCCAUUUAACUGAAGUCAAUCUGCACAACGACUCUGAACCUCUUCAUAUUUUCCAUUUCAGUCCACAGACUCAACUACACACGUCUCCAAAAAUAAUAAGUUUUAUUUAUUUAUUUUUAUUAAUAAAAUAAAUUUUUAUUAACUUUCGUUGAUUUUGGUAGAUUUUGUUUUUGAGCUGUUACUACACUGUCGGCUGGUGUGUCAUCAUACGUAGUAGCGUCAUCAACCCUCUCAUGACUUUGACGGCCGAAACAUGUUUCAUGGCACAAAUAAUGACAGAUUUGUUUGAGGUACGGCGGAGAUGCCUAUUCAAAUAUUUGAAGCCAGCCCCUCCUUGUUUAACAUUUUUUUUUUUAAAAGGGGAACAACUGCUUUAGCUGUAUAUAUCAAGAAAAUUAGCUAACAGUUUAUGCACUUAAUUAUUUAUUUUGCCACACAUUUGUAAGUGGUCAAUGCUGCCGUAAAAUUAUUAGACCCAAAAUAAAGUGUGAUGAGGGACAGGAAUUAAUGUUCCCAUUAGCUGUAGCACCUAUCUUCCAUCUCUAAUUUUAACUUUCGAUUGAUGAAGUGUUUUCAAAUUUGUCAAAUGUCUGUAAACUGUUUAAUAAUUGAAGAAAGUUAAAAUUCAUUUUCUAAAAAUUAUUUUCAUUCAAAAUUGCGAUUGGAUGGUAAUCAGGGUUAAUAUCAGAGCUUAAGAUACUAUAACCGUGAGAACCUAUUGACUGCCAAUUAAAAUAUCCAUUAAAAUGUCUAGGGAGUUAUGAAGGUGGGGGUAACUUCCAAUUUCUAAGGCCACAGAGUAGACAUCAUCCAGGAUCCUAGGAAAGUCCAGUUAACCUCCUGCUCGAUGCAAUUAAUAAAUUUGGUCAAUGCCACUGAAACCUGCUAACUGACGUCACAAUGCGACAUGAGCACUUCAAAAUGGGACGGACAGUCAGUAGCACUGAAUUUUUCUUGCCUAAGAUUGAGCAAUUGGUCUAACUACUAAUCCCUAUUGUAGGUUGAUCAUUAUUUUUUCAAUUAUGUUCAGUUUGACCCAAAAAGUUGCAGAAUCUUGAGCUGAAUAUUGUCACGGAACACUGUCAAUGUCGCUUAGCAUAGCCAACAAACUUGAUGUUAAAACAAACACACAGUGUGUCUCAUGUCUCACAAAUCAAAUUAUCAUCUGUAAUGAUGGAGAAUUUUUCCAAUGUAUGAAGUAUGCUUUGAUACGUGGGUUACCUUGGAGAAGAUAUCUCAAAAUAAAGAAUAUGGGGAGAAAACAGUUCAGUAGUUUAUUAUUCUGUAGUCAAGUUUUGUCUCGAAAAUGGUCAAAAUUUAAAUGAUUAAGGACAGGGGAUCUUCAUUCUUUUUCCCCUUUUUUAUACCAAGAUAUCUCUCAACCUUUAUAUAAUCCCCACUGGAUAUCUGCUUCUCAUAAUUAAAAUAAAAAUUUCACCGCUCUAACAAUAAAAAGUAACAUCUUUAGUCAAAUAAUUUUGCGGUUCCUCAUCAUCUUAGUGUGAGACUAUCAGUACUUCCAAAAACAUAAUAAAACUGGUUUGAUCCUGUUUAUUAAUGUUUAAAUGUUGUUCAUUGUGACAUGUAGAAAUGAUGAGGCGAAGUUUAUUUGGGCAUCAAUUAGUAAGAUCUUGUUCGAAGUUGUUUUCUGAAAUGAACUGCCAAAUGGUAGUUUUUUGGGGGCAUUUGAUGGCUCUUUUUUUUUCCUCAUUUUCAACAUGUGCCUGCUUGGAACAGGAAGGAUUAGGCUUUAGAGUUGUUAUUUAUUUUGAGAUGCUCUGGUCAUUGCACAAUUUGUUCACACUGGAAAUUAGAAUGAGAAAUUUGUUGAUGCUGUUUUGAGAGAUCUGCAUUCUAUGCACAAUAACAUGAUUAAUGAAAAUGUAUUGUAGGACUGGAAAGAUCUGUGGCAGCCUGAGCUCGCAGGAAGAAUUUCAAUGGUUAAUUCUCCCCGAGAGGUUAUUGGUUCAGUUUUGAAGUAUAGGGGAGCAUCAUACAAUUCAAACGAUAUUGAUUCGCAAGUUGCUGGUGGGAAGAUUGCUGUUCAGCAGAAUCUGGCAUUACUGGCAAACCAGGUACUCUUACAGAAAUGAUAUCUGGUCAUUGCAUGUUAUUGCCUGACAACUGAUUUUGUUUGUAAAAGUCUACUUCUUCAUACAUAUGAAUGCAUAUGUUAGUGUUUUCUUCUCGUUUUCAUACAUAUAAAUGCAUAUGUUAGUGUUGUCUUUUCCUUUUCAUACAUAUUACUACAUAUGUUGGUGUUCUCUCCUGAGAUGGAUGCAAUAAAGGCUUUUGCUCCUAAAUUUAGCUGAAGAAAUGGCAAGGGAUGUGAGAUUCUGUCUCAUUAAAUUAACAAAAACCCAAAGCAAUGAAAAUCCAUAAUAAUGUGGUGUGGGUAAAUUGGCUCCAUUUGGUUCGUUUCCUUAAUGUGAAUGCGCGAGCAAUAGAGACUAACAAAAUGAAGUGACAACAAGAAGUCAGUGUCCUUUGAUGGAUGCAUUUUUAGGCAGAAAUAGGUUUGUAAUUGACCAAAUUUGUCUGGCAUGCCAAUUUCAAAAAAAUUAAAUUAUGUGGUUAUUAGCUGUAAUGAAGGGGGAUAGUAGGUGCAAUCAGGUGGAUCCUGGAAAGUUCAAUAAAGUUUUGGUAUGGCGUAGUGAAAUUGGUUUGUGCAACUCAGGAGUCUUUCAGGUGAACGAUGAUAGGUUUUGAUUUAUGAAUAUUAUAAAUCUACUGUGCAUAGUAUUCUAGUAGAAUCAUCUAUAAGUUCUAGUUAUUGAAAUUGUAUACUUUGCCCGGUUUGAGUUAAGGGCACAUGUAAUAUGAAAGAUAGUUGUCGCAUCUUUUAGGUUACCUAACAUUUGAUCAAUCCUAUUAUGGGGGCUUCAAGAUGUCUAACAAUAUGUAGAAUGCCCAUGCUCCUCCCCAUUGUUUAUCUUCUACAAUAAUUUGUUUUAGAUGCUAAUAUCUUUGUCGAUACCGGUAACAAUAUUACAAUAUCUGCGUUUAUUGGGUUUUACAUAGGUUCGACUGUUUGACAGUACACACUAUCUGAAGGCAUUUGCAAUUGGAGAUGUAUGGGUUGCUGUUGGGUGGAUUAGUGAUGUUCUUCCUGCUGUCAAACAUAUGUCUAAUGUUGCUGUUGUUGUUCCCAAGUCUGGUGCUAGCUGCCUGCCAUUCUACUUCGAUAUUCACAUUGUUAUCUCCUUCAUAUUAGCGAUCAGUAAACACGAUAAUGUGACUAAUAAGUUCGUAUUCUCUUUAUAGGCAAUCCCUGCUGCCUCAAGACUUGAAACAAAACAAAUUGGAGGGCGAGUCGGAGGUCCAUCUCCGUUAAUCCAUCAAUGGAUAGAAUUCUGCUUGCAAACAGCGAGAGCAUUACCUUUCAAGCAAGAGGUAAUCCCAGGUGCAUCUCCCUCUGCCCUUGAAAGUACUCUGGUUAAGUUGCCUGAAGAACUUCUGGAGGGUAAACCAAGUCUGGAUACUAACUUAAUUGCUGGAGUACUCCCGGCUGAAAUUCUGGCCAGAUGUGAGUUUUUGGAGCCAUUAUCUGAAGCUACUUUGUCAGAUUAUGAGUGGCUGGUUGUUAAUCUGCAAAAACCUGCUCCUGUCUUGAUGAAAAGGGUGCAACAUUACUUGUCAUCAUUAAUCCAAAGCUUUCUAGCAAGAGCUACAUUGAAAAGUUAAUGGCGCUGCAUGCCAGUCAUUAUAAUGCUGUCAGGACAAUUGGGUCAGGGCAAUUAGGUCAGAGCAUAACUUCAUUAGGAAAGGGGGCUUCAGCUACGUUAAAUAUUACAGGAUGUACUGAGAUGGCUGAAGUUCUUGAGGUUUUAUGAGAAACGAAAGAUGAGUGUUUGUUUGAACAAAGUUGUUGCCAAUCUUGCAGAGUUUGAAAACAAAGAUCACGGAGCGAAUGCCACCGAUUUCUUCAUCAUUUUAGCCUCCAUAAUUGAAGUUUCCUCAUUUGAAGCUGUUUAUGCAUACGAUUUUUCCCUGCUCUAGUACAGGAAAUUGAAGAAUUAACCAGAUGUGAUAUGCUGAAAGAGGGAAGUUUUCUUCCUUGAAUGUGGCCUUUGUGAUUUGUCUUGAAGGAAUAGGAUGAUCACUGGCAAGAACCCUAUCAAGGUAGAUUUUAUGGUGUUAACAUAUUAUUCAGCAUUUUGUUACAUUAGCAAUGAUGCUUUCAUAGCAUGAAAGUGUUUAAAUUUAACUGAAUGAUCUUGAUUGAUCAAUUAUGAGUUUUAAUCGAGUAAAAACUAAAUACAAUAAUCGUAACAAANNNNNNNNNNNNNNNNNNNNNNNNNNNNNNNNNNNNNNNNNNNNNNNNNNNNNNNNNNNNNNNNNNNNNNNNNNNNNNNNNNNNNNNNNNNNNNNNNNNNUGCUACCUUUUGAUUUUAGUGCUUAAUAUUUAUUGAACUAUGAUGCAGGGAAUUUGAAAUCAAACUCGUAAUACAGAUUAUCUAAUUGCGAGUUGCUGUCCAUAGCUGCUAAUUUGUAGUGAUUAUCUAAUUGACUGAGGUGACAAUAAUUCUUUUAUUUUCAAUAGCACAAUGUGGAAUUCAAUAAUUAAAUUCUCCUGUUUAAUUUGUUUCAAGUUAAAUUAUUAAUUACUUAAACUCGGUUUUAAGUCUUUAAUUUUAUGUGUUUAUGCAGAAUUGGAUUCUUGAGCGUGUUGGACACGACCAACAAUGAAAUUGACAGUAAACAAACAUUAGAACAUGUGGACUCCGGUAAGCACCAAUGAAUUUCUAGCCCCGUUGACUCCGCCAACUAAAGUUUUGUAAAAUAAAAAAAAAUACAUAGAAUUCCACCAAAUGCAAAACGCGUAAAAUUUAAUUUUCGGCCGUGUGGACCAAAACAUAAUUUAACAAAAAAGAAAAAAAUGAUAAGAUUUUUAAAAUGUGUGGAAGGUGAUCCAUAUUUUACUGAAACGACUUGUUAAAUUUUUCAAGGAUUUAGAAUAUUUGGUCAUAAAUUACGUGCAUGUUAAUUUUUCCGCCAUUGACUAUCAUAUUCUAGACUUAAUGGUACCUUUUUUGAUGAAGGGUACUUAGUCUCUCUUCUCCUCUUAUAAAAAUUAUAUUAAUUGAUUUCUUGUUAUAGUUAAUAGUCUUCAAGAACGGAUAGAUUUAUUGUUUUCAUGACCAAAUUAUGCAUGCCUAACGUUGCAACUAUUAAUAAAAUUAAUAUUUAAUAUUUAUGUUAAAAGAUAUAAGAUUUUAUGCAUUCAUUAAUUGUUAUUAGCUAAAGGAUGAAUUAUUUUUUCCCAAUCAGUUGAUGCAUCUGCAAGAGUUUUUUUUUCUUUUAUUGACCAUAAUUAUAUUCCGGGUACAAUAAAUUGUCUUUGGUGCUUGGAAGAUAUGACAUCUCUCUGUCAACUUACUGGAAAUAUCUCCUCAUCUACUCUCAUUUAUCUAAUAUCAAUUGAAGAUCUCAUAUUUCCAAACUAUGACUUCCAAAUCUCAUUAUCAUUUGAGCAUUCAAAACUAAUCAAGUGUGGAAAUAAUCAAAUAUAUGCAAAAAUCGAGUCACAAUCUUUGGCCCCUCAAAAUUCUAAUUAUAUAACUUCUAUAUAUCUCAUACAUUUUCCAAAUUCCUCUUCCAUCAACAUCAUUAGGAGUAUGUUCAUCUCUCACACAUUAACUUGAGUGGAGAGUUUCCAAAUUGAUUGUCAGAAAACAACAAAAGAACUAGACACGCUUGAUCUGUCUAAUAAUUCUCUUUCGGUAAAAUUAAUUAAUUUUAGGGGAAUUCAGCCAACCUCUGUAAUUUUAUAGUGAUCAUUAAUUAAUUAAACAAUACAAAUAUCUAAAGUGAUUAGAUGUUUACUGACAAUACAAGUUCAUGGCUUGAAAUUUGAUCUCUAUCGAUUGGUUUUGUAGUGCUUAAUAUUUACAGAACUCCGGGAAUUUGAAAUCAAACUCGUAACUACAGAUUAUCUAAUUGUAAGUUUUUGUCCAUAGCUGCUGAUUUGUAGUGAUUAUCUAAUUGACUGAGGUGACAACAAUUGUUCUUUUAAUUUUCAAUAGCAUAAUGUGGAAUUCAAUAAUUAAAUUCUCCUUUUUAAUUUGUUUCCAAUUAAAUUAUUAAUUACUUAAACUCUAUUUUAAGUCUUUAAUUUUAUGUGUUUAUGCAGAAUUGGAUUCUUGAGCGUGUUGGACACGACCAACAAUGAAAUUGACAGUAAACAAACAUUACAACGCGUUGAGUGUCGACUCCGGUAGCUGCCCUACAAGUCUACAACUUUACAAAAAAUAAUUGAGUACACACAUUCGAUUCUCGGGACCCUUCAAUGAAUUUCUAACCCCGUUGACUCCACCGACAAAAGUUUUGGAAAAUAAAAAAAAAAUUUAUAGAAUUCCACCAAAUGCAAAACGCGUGGAAUUUAAUUUUCGGCCGUGUGGACCAAAACAUAAUUUAAUGAAAAAAAAGAAGAUAAAAUUUCUAAAAUGUGUGGAAAUUGAUCCAUAUUUUACUGAAACAACUUGUUAAAUUUUUCAAGGAUUUAGAAUAUUUGGUCAUAAAUUAUGCUCAUGUUAAUUUUUCCGCUAUUGACUAUCAUAUUCUAGACACAAUGGUACCUUUCUUGAUGAAGGGUACUUAGUCUCUCUUCUCCUCUUAUAAAAAUUAUAUUAAUUGAUUUCUUAUUAUAAUAAAUAGUCUUUAAGAACGUAUAGAUUUAUUGUUUUCGUGACCAAAUUAUGCCUGCCUAAGGUUGUGACUAUUAAUAAAAUUAAUAUUUAAUGUUUAUGUUAAAAGAUAUAAGAUUUUAUGCAUUCAUUAAUUGUUAUUAGCUAAAGGAUUAAUUAUUUUUUCAACCCAAUCUGUUGAUGCAUCUGCAAGAGUUUUUUCUUUUAUUGACCAUAAUUAUAUUCCGGGUACAAUAAAUUGUCUUUGGUGCUUGGAAAAUAUGACUUCUUACUUCAAGUUUGAUAUGUCUCUCUCCAUAAGCUUACUGGAAAUAUAUCCUCAUUUACUGUCAUUUAUCUAAUAUCAAUUGAAGAGCUCACUUUUUCAAACUAUCACUUCCAAGUCUCAUUGUCACUUGCCAUUCUUGGACCAUUCAAAACCAAACAAGUGUUGNNNNNNNNNNNNNNNNNNNNNNNNNNNNNNNNNNNNNNNNNNNNNNNNNNNNNNNNNNNNNNNNNNNNNNNNNNNNNNNNNNNNNNNNNNNNNNNNNNNNNNNNNNNNNNNNNNNNNNNNNNNNNNNNNNNNNNNNNNNNNNNNNNNNNNNNNNNNNNNNNNNNNNNNNNNNNNNNNNNNNNNNNNNNNNNNNNNNNNNNNNNNNNNNNNNNNNNNNNNNNNNNNNNNNNNNNNNNNNNNNNNNNNNNNNNNNNNNNNNNNNNNNNNNNNNNNNNNNNNNNNNNNNNNNNNNNNNNNNNNNNNNNNNNNNNNNNNNNNNNNNNNNNNNNNNNNNNNNNNNNNNNNNNNNNNNNNNNNNNNNNNNNNNNNNNNNNNNNNNNNNNNNNNNNNNNNNNNNNNNNNNNNNNNNNNNNNNNNNNNNNNNNNNNNNNNNNNNNNNNNNNNNNNNNNNNNNNNNNNNNNNNNNNNNNNNNNNNNNNNNNNNNNNNNNNNNNNNNNNNNNNNNNNNNNNNNNNNNNNNNNNNNNNNNNNNNNNNNNNNNNNNNNNNNNNNNNNNNNNNNNNNNNNNNNNNNNNNNNNNNNNNNNNNNNNNNNNNNNNNNNNNNNNNNNNNNNNNNNNNNNNNNNNNNNNNNNNNNNNNNNNNNNNNNNNNNNNNNNNNNNNNNNNNNNNNNNNNNNNNNNNNNNNNNNNNNNNNNNNNNNNNNNNNNNNNNNNNNNNNNNNNNNNNNNNNNNNNNNNNNNNNNNNNNNNNNNNNNNNNNNNNNNNNNNNNNNNNNNNNNNNNNNNNNNNNNNGUAUUUUACUUGGAAGAUAUGACAUCUCUCUGUCAACUUACUGGAAAUAUCUCCUCAUCUACUCUCUUUUAUCUAAUAUCAAUUGAAGAUCUCAUAUUUCCAAACUAUGACUUCCAAAUCUCUCAUUAUCAUUGAGCAUUCAAAACUAAUCAAGUGUGGAAAUAAUCAAAUAUAUGCAAAAAUCGAGUCACAAUCUUUGGCCCCUCAAAAUUCUAAUUAUAUAACUUCUAUAUAUCUCAUACAUUUUCCAAAUUCCUCUUCCAUCAACAUCAUUAGGAGUAUGUUCAUCUCUCACACAUUAACUUGAGUGGAGAGUUUCCAAAUUGAUUGUCAGAAAACAACAAAAGAACUAGACACGCUUGAUCUGUCUAAUAAUUCUCUUUCGGUAAAAUUAAUUAAUUUUAGGGGAAUUCAGCCAACCUCUGUAAUUUUAUAGUGAUCAUUAAUUAAUUAAACAAUACAAAUAUCUAAAGUGAUUAGAUGUUUACUGACAAUACAAGUUCAUGGCUUGAAAUUUGAUCUCUAUCGAUUGGUUUUGUAGUGCUUAAUAUUUACAGAACUCCGGGAAUUUGAAAUCAAACUCGUAACUACAGAUUAUCUAAUUGUAAGUUUUUGUCCAUAGCUGCUGAUUUGUAGUGAUUAUCUAAUUGACUGAGGUGACAACAAUUGUUCUUUUAAUUUUCAAUAGCAUAAUGUGGAAUUCAAUAAUUAAAUUCUCCUUUUUAAUUUGUUUCCAAUUAAAUUAUUAAUUACUUAAACUCUAUUUUAAGUCUUUAAUUUUAUGUGUUUAUGCAGAAUUGGAUUCUUGAGCGUGUUGGACACGACCAACAAUGAAAUUGACAGUAAACAAACAUUACAACGCGUUGAGUGUCGACUCCGGUAGCUGCCCUACAAGUCUACAACUUUACAAAAAAUAAUUGAGUACACACAUUCGAUUCUCGGGACCCUUCAAUGAAUUUCUAGCCCCGUUGACUCCACUGACAAAAGUUUUGGAAAAUAAAAAAAAAAUUCAUAGAAUUCCACCAAAUGCAAAACGCAUGGAAUUUAAUUUUCGGCCGUGUGGACCAAAACAUAAUUUAAUGAAAAAAAAAAGAUAAAUUUUCUAAAAUGUGUGGAAGGUGAUCCAUAUUUUAUUGAAACAACUUGUUAAAUUUUUUAAGGAUUUAGAAUAUUUGGUCAUAAAUUACGCUCAUGUUAAUUUUUCCGCUAUUGACUAUCAUAUUCUAGACUCACUGGUACCUUUCUUGAUGAAGGGUACUUAGUCUCUCUUCUACUCUUAUAAAAAUUAUAUUAAUUGAUUUCUUAUUAUAAUAAAUUGUCUUUAAGAACGUAUAGAUUUAUUGUUUUCGUGACCAAAUUAUGCUAGAUUAAGGUUGCGACUAUUAAUAAAAUUAAUAUUUAAUGUUUAUGUUAAAAGAUAUAAGAUUUUAUGCAUUCAUUAAUUGUUAUUAGCUAAAGGAUUAAUUAUUUUUUCAACCCAAUCAGUUGAUGCAUCUGCAAGAAUGUUUUCUUUUAUUGACCAUAAUUAUAUUCCGGGUACAAUAAAUUAUCUUUGGUGCUUGGAAAAUAUGACUUCUUACUUCAAGUUUGAUAUGUCUCUCUCCAUAAACUUACUGGAAAUAUAUCCUCAUCUAUUAUCAUUUAUCUAAUAUCAAUUGGAAGAUCGCACUUUUUCAAACUAUCACUUCCAAGUCUCAUUGUCACUUGGCCAUUCUUGGACCAUUCAGAACCAAUCAAGUGUUGAAAUAAGUCGAGAGGGGGGGCAAAAUUAGAGUCACAAUUUUUGGUCCCCCAAAUUCUAAUUAUAUAACUUCUAUAUAUUUCAUUGCCAGGUCACGAACUUGUUGGCACAUUUUCCAAAUUCCUCUUCCAUCAACUCUCACACGUUAACUUAAGUGGAAAGUUUCCAAGUUGAUUGCUAGAAAGCAACGCAAAAUCAGACACGCUUGACCUGUCCCCUAAUUCUCUUUUCUACGUUGAAAAAGAAAAAAAAAAUAUAUAUAUAUAUCUAUGUAAAAAUAAAUAAUAAACUGAAUAAAAGUACAUUUGUUUAAUUAACAUCUGAUCGUGGCAUUUUUGGUGUAAUUUCGUGCUGUGUAAGCCACAACUAAAAUCAAACAGCCCCUUAGCAUACUUCUUCCAUUUUAUCUGGUACUUUUGUGGAUCUUAUAGGGUGGGCAUGUGGACAGAAUUUAAAAGUUUUAAUAGUCUCAAAGAAUAAGAUAUGUUAAAGCUAAAGUUGUUGCACCUUCUAAUUAAAUAAAGUUGUACAAUUUCACCAACUUGGAAGAAUUGACAUUAAUGGACUGGUCCCUUCUCCAUAUAUGAAGCCUUCUUAAAAGUUAAUUUUUAUUUCAGAAAAAAAAAGUUAAAGUUACAUAUAUUAUAGUAAGAUUUUUUGAGACCAAUUCCCUUCUUGAAAUAAUAAUGGAAAAGUAUUAAUUUAAUAAUAAAAUGAAUAUGUAUUGAUUAUAUCUUGAUUUUCAUCGAUUAUAGUGAGAGUUUCUCCAAAUCAAUUCCCUUAUUCAAAUAAUAUCGAAAAAAUAGUAAUUUAAUAGUAAAAUAAACAGGUGUUGAUUAUAUAUUCUAAGUUUCAUCGAUUAUGUGAUCAAAGUGGCAUUGUUGAUUUAUUUCUUGUUCAAUGUUAAUUUUUAGGUUAUCUAAAUUUCAAGGAUUUAAAAUCUUUGAUCAUGGAUUACACGCUUGUUAAUUUUUCUGCCAUUGACUAUCAUAUUCUAGACUUAAUGAUACCUUUCUUGAUCAAGGGUAAUUACUCUCUCUUCUCCUCUUAUAAAUUCCUCUUCCAUUAACAUCACUAGGAGUAUGUUGAUCUCUUACAAAACAACAAAAGAACUAGACACACUUGAUCUGUCUAAUAAUUCUCUUUCGGUAAAAUUAAUUAAUUUUAGGGGAAUAUUCGACCAACCUCUGUAAUUUUAGAGUGAUCAUUAAUUAAUUAAACGAUACAAAUAUCUAAAGUGAUUAGAUGUUUGCUGACAAUGCAAGUUCAUGACUUGAAAUUUGAUCUCUAUCGAUUGGUUUACAAAUGGACAUACUUGUGCCUUUGUGGCGAUAAUCGAACAAGUUCCAAUGAUUAUUAUUUUUUCCAAAAACUUUUUUACAACAAAUUCAUCUCGCCAAAAAUUCUAUGUUGCUAGCUAACAAUAAUUGAGCACUUGGCCGCAUUGACUCCACGUCUCCACCUCUUUCUAAAUUCUAAGUAAAAACAUGGAAAUGUAAUUUCCACAAAAUGCCAAACGUGUGGAAUUUAAUUUUUUGCCUUGUGGAUCAAAAUACAAAUGAAAGAAACAGGAAAAAAAAAAAAGGCCCAAAGACUUCUAAAAGAUGAAGAAGUCUUUGGGCCUUUUUAUAAUGGUGGAUUUUUUAAAAGAAAAAAAUAACAACACUUUUAUGGUUGGUUUUGAUAAUCAUAUGUGCGUAUAUACUCUCUAAUUUUCAAAAUGGACACAUAAAUCUUUUUUUUUCACAAAAUAUAUAUUAUUCAUAUUUUUUAUUUUUUAUUAUCAUAUUUUUAUUUAUUAUAAAUGUUUAGAGUAAAUUUUUAGGUUGAAAUAUAAUAAAAGGGUAUAAUCGUUCUCUUAUUAAACACACAUACUUUUAUUAGUUUCUAUGCAUUUGUCAUCUCAAUCUCUCUCAAUUAUUCUUUAUUGCUAGCUCAAAACACGUUGCUGUUGCAAAUUAUAGCAAAAUGACAAAUAUGGAAAAAAAGGGAAGAAAAUUAAUGCAUGAAAGACUUGGAGAAAACAACAAAAUAAGCCAACUAUGAGCUAGUUGGGUGUAUAAAUUGUUAGAUGUGUUAUAUACAAAUAGCAUAGAGCCCUCUAGUUGGUUCUAGAGACAGAAAGAGCGUGUGUGUUUUUUCACAGUUAGAGAUAUAGUUAGAAUGGGUGGCUCAAAAUCAAAAAUGAUGAUAAUGUUUAUUAUGUUAUUAAUAAUAUUUAAAAGUGGGUGGAGUGAGGGAUGUUUGGAUCACGAGAGAUUUGCUCUUUUGCGACUCAAACAUUUCUUCACUGGUCCUUGUAAUUAUCUUUACGACUGGGUAGAUGGUGAGGGAGCUACUGAUUGUUGUCAGUGGGAAAGGGUUGAGUGCAGCAACACCACAGGCCGAGUGAUAACGCUAGACCUUUUUGACACGUAUGGGGGAGAGCACAACUGGUAUCUGAAUGCUUCUUUGUUUACUCCCUUCCAACAACUUGAGUCACUUGAUUUAACUUACAACAAAAUAACCGGUUGUGUUGAGAAUGAAGGUGCUUCGUUUAAUUUAAUUAAUUUACUUUCUCCCCCCUAAUUUAAGUUGAAUAUCAAGACCGAGCAAUUAUAUGCAUAUUCAUUCAGUUGACAAUUUUGACUUUUUUUUUAAAGAUUAAUUUUGAAAUUACACUAGUAUCUAUGAUCCUUUUUUUUUUUAUUUUACUUGCAGGUAUAGAGAGGCUAUCAAGAUUGAACAACUUGAAGAUGCUUAAUUUAAGUGAUAACUCGUUCAACAAUAGCAUUUUAUCAUCACUAACUCAUCUUUCAUCAUUAAGAUCAUUAAAUUUAUAUGGGAAUAGAUUAGAAGGAAGUAUUGACGUUAAAGGUACAUAAUUAAAACUUCAUCCCUUCUCCAAGCUCUUUCAUUAACUUGCUAAAAUAAGAUUCAAGGCUUUGAAUUCAAUUUUUUUUAUGAUUAGUAUUAAAAAAAAACAGUUUUAAGCAAUUUAUAAAUACAAGUUUUAAUCUUUCUCAUAAUUUCAUCUUGUACUUUCAUGUGUCUUGAAUUUAAGAUUAAAAAGAAAUCUAAUAGCAAACCAAACACCUCCACAACUUAUUAUUAUUAUUAUUAUUAUUUGCGGUGAGGUUUGAAACAUUCAACUCAAUUUGUACUUAUUACAGAAUUUGAUUCUUUGAGAGAUUUAGAGGAGCUAGACAUUGGCGAGAACAAGAUUGACAAAUUUGUGGUCUCAAAAGGUACUACAAAUACCAUAAAAAAAAAUGCUAACUUAUACAAAUUAGUUGGAUUCUUGGCCAUUUGGUUUAUUAUUUUACAGGUUUGAGUAAGUUGAAGUCUCUCUGUUUAAGUGGUAUCAAACUCAAUCGUAGCAUCUUCGCUUCUCUUUCUUCGUUAAGAGAAUUAGAUAUAAGUUAUACGGGAUUCAAAGGAACAUUUGAUGUUCGAGGUAAGUCUAAGCCUUGCUUUCUCAUUUUAUAUAUGCGAACUAGAUUUGUGUAUCAUCGACAUAAUUUAAUAUUUAAUUUAAUAAGUCUGAAGGUAUUACAUGCUAAUUUAAACAUACUUUUAUUUACUUUGUCAAUUAAUUAAUUAAUUAAUUAAUUACUAUUUGGCUUGGUUUGGACGAAAUUCUCAUGAUGUUUUAAUUUCUUUAAAUUAAUUAAUUAAUUAACUCUGUUUUUAAGUCUUAAGUCUGGGCAUGUUUGCAGAAUUUGAUUCCUUCAAUAACUUAGAAGUGUUGGACAUGGGAUACAAUGAAAUCGACAAUCUUGUGGUUCCUCAAGGUAAACAAUUAAAAUAUUAUUCAAUUACAUUAUUUUAAUUCAUUUGAUUAGAGAAGGCCAAAAAGGUCCCAAAAAAAUUAAUAAUAAAGAAACAGAUAAUUUGUAUUAUUUAAAAAAAACAGAAUGUAAUAAAGAUUUGAUUCCAGUUCUUUAAUCUUUAAAGCGAUUGAAAAACAAUGUUGCUCUUUUCCCAAAGUAUAAAAUACGAAUUGAAUGCCAAUUAACUUAAUCAUUCAUUUCGUUUAGCUCUAAAUUUAGACAAUGAAUUUUUAUAUUAUUUCAAAAACAGGACGUAAUAGAAUUUUUUUAAAAACAGAUUGUAAUGAAGAUUUGAUUCCAAUUUUUUAAUCUUUGCAGCGAUUGAAAAACCAUACCGCUCUUUUCCCAAAGCAUAAAAUACGAAUUGACUCCCAAUUAAAUUAAUCAUUUAUUUUGUUCAUCUCUGAAUUUAAAUAAUGAAUUUUGAUCUUCAAUCAUAUUCUAACUACUAUUAAAAAACAAGUUACAAAGGUUUGAGGAAGCUGAAAAGCCUUGAUCUAUCGGAAGUUGAAAUUAGAGAUGGAAGCAAGUUGUUACAGUCGAUGGGAUCAUUCCCAUCCCUCAACACUCUUUACCUGAAGGAUAAUAAUUUUACCGAUAUAGCGACAACUACUACUCAAGGUAAGUAAAAGGUACAGAUGUGGCCAAAUUUAUAAAUAAAUUGUUAAUUAAUUAAUUUUUCCGUAUUAUUAAUUAAGCUAAAUUCGUUGCUCCUUCCUUCUAAAUCUAAACAGAGUUGCACAAUUUCACCAACUUGGAAUAUUUGACAUUGACCGGUUCCUCUCUCCAUAUAAGCCUUCUGCAAAGCAUUGCAUCAAUAUUCCCUUUGUUAAAAAUUUUGCCGAUGAUUGGUUGUGAAGUCAAUGGCAUCCUACGUGGUCAAGGUAAAAGAAAAGCGUUGAAUGUGCACUCACUGAGUGUUGUCCUACGUGUUCAAUAUUUUCAUUUAUUCAUUUUAUUGUUUAAUGUUUCUGCUAGGUUUUACUCAUUUCAAGAGUUUGGAACAUUUGGACAUGGAUUACGCGCUCAUUGCACUCAACACCAGCUUUCUUCAAAUCAUCAGUGAAUCGAUGCCUUCUCUUAAGUACUUAUCACUAUCAAAUUCUACUCUUGGCACUAACAGCAGCAGGAUUCUUGAUCAAGGUUAAUCAGAUGCUCCCACCCCCCUUCUUAAUCUAUAAUAUUAAUUUUCAAUUAAAUAUUUAAUUACACAAACGAAUCACUUAUUAUAAAAGAAUAAUACGCAUUCAUUAAUUUUUAUAUUGUAUUAAUUGAUGAAUUUAAUAAAUUUUCAGGCCUCUGUUCGUUGAUGCAUCUGCAAGAGUUGUACAUUGAUAAUAAUGAUUUAAGAGGUAGCUUGCCUUGGUGCAUGGCAAAUAUGACAUCCCUCCGAUUAUUAGAUGUUUCUUCCAAUCAACUUACGGGAAGCAUCUCCUCAUCUCCCCUCGUUCAUUUGACAUCCAUUGAAGAGUUGAUGCUUUCAAACAAUCACUUCCAGAUCCCAAUUUCACUUGAACCACUUUUCAAUCACUCAAGACUCAAGAUUUUCAAUGCUUAUAACAAUGAAAUAAAAGCUAAAAUAACUGAGUCACAUUCUUUGAUCGCCCCAAAAUUCCAAUUAAAUACACUCUUGUUGUCUUCCAGUUACGGAGACAGUUUCAUAUUCCCCAAAUUCAUUUACCAUCAACAUGACCUGGCGUAUGUUGAUCUCUCACACAUAAAGAUGAAUGGAGAAUUUCCAACUUGGUUGUUGGAAAACAACACAAAAUUGAGCCAACUUUCUGUCGUCAAUGAUUCUCUUGCAGGACCUUUUCGGUUGCCAAUUCAUUCACACAAGCAGUUAAGACUGUUGGAUAUAUCCACCAACAACAUCCGAGGCCACAUUCCAGUAGAAAUUGGAGAUGUUUUGCCACGUUUAUACGUUUUCAACAAUUCCAUGAAUGCUCUAGACGGUAGCAUUCCCUCUUCAUUUGGUAAUAUGAAAUUCCUCCAAAUUCUGGACUUAUCCAACAAUCACUUGACUGGUGAAAUCCCCGAGCACUUGGCCGUGGGUUGCGUCAACUUGCAGGCUCUUGCAUUAUCAAAUAACAACCUACAAGGUUACAUGUUCUCUAGAAAUUUUAACUUGACAAACUUGAGAUGGUUACAAUUGGAGGGCAAUCGAUUCGUAGGUGAGAUCCCACAAAGUUUGUCUAAAUGCUCCUCACUAGAAGGAUUGUAUAUUAACAAUAAUAGUCUUUCGGGUAAGAUUCCACGAUGGUUGGGUAAUCUCACAUGGUUACAAUAUAUUAUAAUGCCCAAUAAUCAUCUUGAAGGCCUUAUUCCAGUGGAGUUUUGUCAGCUUGAUUCGCUUCAGAUUUUGGACAUUUCAGACAACAACAUAUCUGGAAGUUUACCAUCUUGUUUCCAUCCUCUCUCUAUCAAACAAGUUCAUCUUUCAAAAAAUAUGUUACAUGGACAACUAAAAAGAGGUACAUUCUUUAAUUGCUCUUCCCUUGUGACAUUAGAUCUUAGCUAUAACCGCUUGAAUGGCAACAUUCUGGAUUGGGUUGAUGGGCUUUCUCGGUUAAGCCACCUGAUCUUAGGUCACAAUAAUCUUGAAGGUGAAGUGCCAGUUCAAUUGUGCGAAUUGAACCAACUACAAUUGUUAGAUCUUUCUAAUAAUAAUCUUCACGGUCCUAUUCCUCCUUGCUUUGAUAACACCACACUUCAUGAAAGUUACAGCAAUAGUUCUAGUCCUGAUGAGCAAUUUGAAAUAUUUUUUUCCAUCGAAAGCCCUGUGGGAGAUGUAAAAGAGCAAAUCCAUGAAAUUUUUGAGUUAACAACAAAGAACAUUGCGUACAUUUACCAAGGAAAAGUGUUUAGCCUCCUAUCAGGACUUGAUCUUUCUUGCAACAAGCUAAUCGGUCAUAUUCCUCCUCAAAUUGGAAAUUUGACAAGGAUUCAAACAUUGAAUCUAUCGCACCAUAACUUGACAGGAUCGAUCCCAUCAACAUUUUCAAACUUGAAGCAUGUCGAAAGUUUGGAUCUUUCCAACAACAAAUUGAAUGGAAAAAUCCCUUAUCAACUAGUGGAGUUAAAGACAUUGGAGGUUUUCAGUGUGGCAUACAAUAACUUAUCAGGCGAAAUUCCAGAAUGGAAAGCACAAUUUGCAACCUUCAACGAGAGUAGCUAUGAGGGAAAUACUUUUCUUUGUGGACUGCCAUUGCCCAUUUGCAGAUCACCAGCAACUACGCCGGAGGGUUCAAUCGGCAAUGAACGAGAUGAUAAUUUAAUUGACAUGGACAGUUUCUUUAUCACAUUUACAACAUCGUACGUAAUUGUGAUAUUCGGAAUUGUUAUUGUUUUAUAUGUAAAUUCUUAUUGGCGACGUAAAUGGUUUUACUUUGUUGAAAUGUGGAUAACUUCAUGUUAUUAUUUUAUUGUAGACAAUCUUAUUACAACAAGAUAUUGUCAUUGAAAUUAAUUAGCAGUUUAAUUACGAUUCUUUAAGUUCUAAUCAAGUUUGCACUUGAUCGCCUAUUUUACUUUAAAAAAUAAUGAUUAUGGUGCUAUCAUCAUCUUCUUCACUAGCAACAUUAACACCAAAUCCAGCGAUGGACCCAGACAUUUUAUCAAGAUAUCCACCAUAACUUAUACUUCCCUAUACUGUGCAGCCUACUUAAAUAAGAGAACCAUCUCCAAUGUUAAAACCAGCCACUCUAUAACAUUCAUUUAGAAACUAUAUUUAGAACUCUCCAAUCCACCCACCAGAAUUUCAUAUCUCCUCAACAAUUUUAAGAACUAAAGAUAAUUAGGAUAUAACAUUAGUUUUUUAUAUAUUAGUUUCAUAAUUUACAAAUCAAUGAAGAUGAAGAUUAUGUUAAUGAAUUCAAAUUAUACCAUACAUUCUCGAGAUGCUACCAAAAAUUUCUAAGUCAAUCCCACAUAUUUCAUAAUUUUAAGACUAGAAAAUUUCAUUAGGUAGAAGUUUCAUUACCUUCAAGUGGAAGAUGAAGAACAUUAUACAAUUGAUUCAGAUUAUAUCAUACAUACUCCAAAUGCAACUAGAAAUUAACAAGUUCAUGCGCACAGAUUUCAUAACAUUAUGAAUGGAAAGUUUCACAAAGAGAAAUUAUAAAUUCAAUCUCUUGCAUCAAGGUAGUUUGAUUGAUUUGAGUUACUUUCUGAUCAAGCUAUUAAUAUAACAUUCAAGUCAGGGAGAAAGUAAAUUAAAACUGGGAAGAAAUAACAGUAAAAAUUUGUUGCUAAACAUGAUGUGUAUUUUUUUUUUAAGGCAAUUUGGAAACACAGUUGUUACUACAGAUAUUCUCCUCAACUUAGAGAUAAUACAAAUAUUAAAAUGCAUAUGAUCGCACAUAUUACUUUGGAAGCUUAGUAAGAUUUCAUUAAGAGAAGCAAAUCAAACCACUUAUUUCAUUGUUGCAUCGUUCUAUAAGCUAAAAUAGCAAUAUAAUACAAGAAAAAGAACAUAUAGAUACUUGGCAAGAGUUCAUUAAGAAGUCGCAUCACAUUCGGGUGAGUUUGCUUCUGAUAUCUUGCUAGCUGGGGCUUUUUCUUGUCUUUCUAUGUAUGCCGAGGGAAACCAACCAGCUUGGCCCUUGCAUUCACCUUCCGACCAUCCAGUAGGAGCCACCUUGAGAAGUUAUAACUAAAACAGUGAAUUAAACAACAGUUGACCAUUCAAAGACCUAAGGGGAAAACUAAUUCUUUUACGUAGGAAGAGUGAAUUAAUUCUGAUCACUGAAAUAACAGCAUAACUAUGGAAGCCUAAAAAGAUAUAAAUUCACACGUCUAUAAGGGUAAACUGGGUGGUUUAGAACUGAGCUAGCAACCCUACCAUAUUCUGAUUUGCACUUCAAUGUAAAAGGGAAUAUAUGGUAUGAAGAAAGAAAACCAACCAUCAUUUGUUAACCCAUUGCUUUUCAAUCAAAAUUUUAAGAACAAAAUGCCAUGUGCUUUGAACAUCAAAUAAGUAUAAGCAUUAGUUCUAAAUUCCACAUAUCAUAAGUUAGAAGGAUAAGUUAAUAGCAUAGUAGAAAAAUCUGUGUUGUUAUUUAGAGGGGAAAGUACCUGGCGAACCACAACAUAAUCAUCAAUUGAAAGACUUAACUCUCCAUUUGCUUGAGCAUCAAAUGGAUGUAUAACCUGCAAGAUAAUGGGAUAAAUAGAACUUAAUCUCAAAAAAAGCAUAACAAAAGCAGCAACAGUAUCAGCAGCGUUCAUUGUAACCACUAUGAUCAUGGCCAACAAAGAUAUAUUAGAAACAAAAUUCCAUUUUUACUACGGCAUUAAUAUGCACUAUAUGAUAUCAUGACGAUUGGGUUACCAAGAGCUAUCAAAGUCCAAUAAAUUCUGUAUAACUUUAUGUAGUUAUUCAAAUUAUGGAUCAGAUUUUAAAUCUGAAAUUUUGACUGCUCUCCACAAAACAUGGCCUAUGCACAAGAAGGUCAUAGAUAAUGAGGAUUACAAGUGUUUGACAUCUUUAGAGUGAUGGAUUUAAGAUGACAGCUUAUGGUCAGUCAAUUUCCUCCGCCUAGCAAUAUAAGCUUUCUCGGCCGGAUUUAUCAUCAAAUAUAUAGAUUGCCCCCAAGUCACAUCCAUAUAAACAUAGUUUUUCUAGGUAAACCAAGUAAGGAGAAUCAUAAUUCAGACAUAAUCAUAAAAAGGCCCAUCUAACUUAAGAGAAAAUCUCAAAAAGAGGAAUGUUGAGCUAUCAUUCUUGUAUCUAUAAGCAAUAUCAAGACUUUACAUCACCUGCUACAUCGUGAGUGGCUACACAACUUUCAGUGGUUUGUCUUUCUUUGGCAUGCCUAACUCAGCUUUGAUGUUGCUGAGAUAUUGAUGGUAGAGACACAUGAUACUUCUAGCUCAUGCAUUCUAUCUAGCUCAUUCGACAGCUAUCUCUUUUUUAAUUCAUUAGUGUUUGCUAAACCUCAUGCUUAAAAAUCAUGCUGUUCUAAACAAAGUUUCCUAAGAAUGACUUCCUCAGCACCACACUUAGACACUUUUAGAGCAAUUUUAUUUGGGGGAAAAGAAUUUUCAAGGUGUUAACUAAUAAAUUUUAAAAAAUAAUUACAAUUUGUCCUACGAUUAUAUGACAAUUUAUCUAGGAUGAAAGGAUACAGACAGACAUCUUCCACUUUCAAGACUAAUCACUACUUCCGUAGAUGUUUUGCAAUAACACAAAUACUUGACCAGAUGGUAGUGAUGGUAGAAAAUAUUUUAUUGCUCCAAAAUUAAAAUAAGAAUGCAAUAUGUUAAGCAAAAGACUGUGCAACAUCAAAUUAAUUGAUAAGUUUGUAAUUCAGUAAAUUAACAACUUUCAUGGUAAAAUACAACAAAUUUCUUUUCAAAAAAUUUUUUUAAAAGACAGCAUUCAAUUUUGUGCGCAUCUUAUUUCUUAAGAUUUUCCAGGAGGGCAAUAGAGGGACUUUCACCUAUGCAAGAGAGCAGAAGCCUUACUUUCGCUAUAAAGUAGACGUCAUUCUGAUUAAUAUGCGUUUGCAAAUCAACUCCAUUUGAAUCAGUAUUCUGAUAGACACAUGAGGCAUUUACAUCCAUUUCCAAAGUCACAUGUUGCGAGGAGGACUCAUUUGAUUGCUCCUCUAGGAUCAUCUAAUUCAAGUAGCAAGGGUUGGAAGAGAAUAAAAAGUCACAAUUAUUCUUUUGCAUAAGUGAGACGAAAAUGAUAAAUGCACUAUUAUCAGCAGUAAACAAGAAGAGAACACUCCAAGGAAUAGAUAGAUGCGGACAAGCAAGUUAAAAUGCACAGUUCCAAACCUCCGCAUACAACUUCUCUGAAAUAGCAAUAACGUGUUGAUGAUAUGUUUUCUCAGCAUCUACCUUUAAAGGCCCGAGACCAGGAAAACAACAAUAAAACCACUAGCUAAAGGAGAAAGUAAAGAAAGAAAUACACUUGACAUAAAUCUUGACAAGAAGCACAAUUUAAGACAUAACAAACCCCAAUCAUAUUGUUUAGGACUACCAUUCGUUAUUUCGUUAUUGUAGCAUUUAGAACAAGUGUUGACUUAAUUCAACAUUGUUGGAAAGAUAGGCUUUUAGAAGCGGAAGAAAGCCACUCAAACCAAAGUGAUUGCCCUUGAAUUGAUCAAGGGAUGUAAACAUAUUACAUUUCCAGGAUGAGUUUUAAUCACUCCCCUGAUUUAUUUGGGUUGCAGUAAAACUAAGCGAGCAACUGUUUGACUUUCAAGCAACAUCUAAAUCAGCUAUUAAAAUUCAAAUAAAAUCAUAAUAGAAUAAUAACAGGCCAUCUUGCAUCAAAAAUUAAGUUUAAUUUGUGAAUUGUUUUCUAUAGACAUGUUAGUUCCUGCUAUUGAAAUGUUAAAAGCAUUGAAAAAUGAUUCAAUAAAUUAUGCAAACAUUAAAAUAGAGGACAUAUUAAAAAGUUUCUAAUUACAAUGUUAAGAUUUCCUAUAUUUUAGCAUUUGCAUAUUUUAAUUUAUGUAAAAGCUACGUCGAUCAACUUUGGGCGUGAAGAUUUUAGCUUCUACGAGACUUGAUUGGAAUAUGCAUAAGGAAGAGUGUUAAAAUAUGAUGCAUCCAACGAAAGACAAACCACGUGUAGUCUUUUAAUUAAGCCAAAGUAGCAGCUCAAACAAAUGACACUUGGACCAACAUGCAAUCAUGAAGGGGCCGGAAAAAGGACAAAUGCAACUUUGGCUUAAAUAAAAAAUAACAUGUGACUUGACUUUUGCUGGACAUGCAUCAUGUUAUUACAAGACAACAGAAAUCAGUAUGAUAGUACUAAAAGUUGACAAUAACAUGAAGAUAAGAGGCAGAAUAUCAACACAUGCAUAGGCACACACAAGGAAGUAUUAACUUAUAUACCAUAGCAAAAAGUCUUUGAAAUAUCAAUAAAAAAAAAACAAUUAAUUAAAGGUCGAAGAUGGGUCCUUUACAUAUGUUUUUGUUUUCGUAUUAGGUAGGAGGUUAUUAUAUUAUAUCAUGUAAUUAAUUUAUAUUAUAUCAUAUUAUAUCAUAUAUAUAUGAAAAAAAAAAAGAAUUUCAAAGAGAUAGCAACAUACAAUAGACUGAAGCCAUUUGAUCUACUCAUUGAUUUCAGCCUUAAACUUGUAAAUACUUACUGUACGCUAGUGCUCUAAGAAGUGAAAAUGAUGCAAACCCUGAUCCCCUUUUGACUUCCAUUUACUGUCAAAUAUUCUAUUCAUACGAAAAAAAUGUUUAGAUAUCUUACUAUAAAUAUAGCCGUUUGACUGUCUUAAUAAAGUCACACACAACCAUUCUUAUUAAAUUAGCAAGAUCAAACACUGCCCUGGAUCUUGAACAGAUCCACGCAAGUUGCACAACUUACGAUUGAAUCCGGCCAGAAAAAAUCAACUCUUUAGCAAGAAAAAUUAAUCAGAGUCAAGAAACAAGUUUAAUGAAUAUAAACCUAUAAUUGAAACAAACAUAGCCAAGAAACAAAUAGAGAUUUUACAUGUUUCAGUUGUACCAAGGAUGGCACAACCUACACCACGGGAGAAGCUUUCUGGUGACCCCAAUCUGCUUAGUUAAUAAUAGAGAUUUCAGAGAAUAAGCUAUAACCCUCUCUCCCUCUUCAGUCUCUCUCUAUUUUGUUCCCAUUGAUGACCCCAAUCUGCUUAGUUAUCCAGCUUUAUAGCUGCAUCAGUAACAAACCAGCAAACCCAGAUUGAGCAGAUUGACGACACGUGGAUAACGGCUUUAACGAACCUGGUUAAGAACUGCUCACAUGUUCGUCACGCGUGCUGCUUAAAUGAUGGCCAAAACGACUUCAAACAAAUGUCGUUUUGAGGCUUAUGAAUUACAAGUGAUAACACGAGCUUGUCUCAUGACUUUUAAAUGCAACAACGUGCCCACAACGCCGUCGUUUUACUCUGUUGAGUUUGAUUCAUUACUAAGCUUUACGACUGGCAAUGGAGAAGAUGAUAAUUUAAUUGAUACGGACAGUUUUUAUAUCACUUUUACAACAUCCUAUGCAAUUGUAAUAUUGAGAAUUAUUGAUGUUUUAUAUCCUCAUUGGCAAAAACUAGUGGUUUUAUCUUUGUUGAAAUAUAGAUGACCUCUCGUUACUGUUUUAUUAUAAACAUAUAGUUUCAUAAGUGAAACUAUAUGUUUAUAAUAAAAUUAACAUAUAGUUUCGUUACAUUUCUGCCUCAUUAAGAUUCUCAAAUACCAGUCAGGUUUGCUUAAGAAAUAAAAAUUUUCCAUUAAAAUUGCAGUAGUAUUUCCAAGCAUAUCGCAUUUUCUAUGAUUUUUCAUAAAUUAAUUAAUCUGCGGUGCCAAUAUCAGAUUUAGUUUUUCAAACUAAAUAAUCAAGAAAGCAAACAUACAAAUAUACAUACAAAUAUACUAAGCCAGCUACCUCACUAAAUUCCGAUUCGUACAGUGAACUGCAAGAAAUUGAGAAAACAAUGUAUUUAUAAUUUAAUAGAAUCAUAAGAAAACAAUGUAGUCAUUGCUUAAUAUAAGAUGAUUUCGGAGAGCCACAUUGUUUUCAAGUUAAUUUGAACCGUUUAUAAGAGAUGAAGUGGAAUCAAGUUGAAAGUUUAAAUAACAAAUCCCUGUUCUUGAGUUUUACGACGUCGUUACUCCUUCAAGUGGCAGAUUAUGCAAGUGAAUGCAGAAACAUGUGCAGAGCAUGUCAACAUGGCACAUUUAACCAUCAUUCAAGUGAUGAUGGGUUUUAUAAGACUGCUUAUGGGUUUUAUCAAGUUCCUCUGCCUCUAAGCAAAAAAUUAAAUUCGUAAUUUGUAAACGAAUUUUCCUGACAUGUAUAGUAAAUGAAGUUGUUGAUCCUUUCUUUGGAUUAUUGCAGCUCUGGUUGUGGGUCACCGAUGAGCCAAAGUCUUAUGGGUUUUAUCAAGUUCCUCUGCCUCUAAGCAGAAUUACUAUUGAAGGGCCAAAAAGAAAAUGAAAACGUGUGAACUCCAACAACCACCCCACAAAUUCAAUGACGAUGCUCAGAGACGGUUACGUUGGGCCUCUGAGAAAAAAAAUUUAUUUAGUUAAAAAAUUACCCAUAUUGAAACAUGUAUAAAAAUUUUAUAUUAAUUAGUUAUGUUUCCUCUUCAACUAUGAUCAAAUUCUUAUUCGAGCUCAUUAUUUAAUGAAUAAACGCGUAUUUUAAUUAUCUCAAUUAAUAUUUAGAACAAAUAUUUUAAGAAAUAAAGCUCAUUACAUCUCCCAUCAUUAGGUAUCUCUUUAAUUUCUUAUUUACAAAAUUAUAUUGUACAUUAAAAAUGUAUUGAAUUAGAAGAAAAUAAAUUCAACUCACUCCAAAAAUAAAUAAAAAAUGCUGGUAGCUUCGUAAUAAUUACUGUAUUGACUGCACCAGAUAAAGUUUUGUAAAAUAAUAAGUUCCCAUUAGAGGUUUUUAAAUUUUUUUUUCCGGCACACCUGAUCAAGAAUUCUAUUUUGUUAACUAAUCAAUUGCAAAGCAUAAGUGUUGAACGGUACAAAAAAUUUGAAAAAAACACUUAAAACGUGGGGUGGGUAACGGUUCACUCAAUUCGUUAGGUAGAAUUUUGGAAAACUAAAGCGAAAUGAGAAAUAUAGAAAGAAAGGAAGAAAGUUAAGAUAUGAAAGAUCAGCAGUGAAAUUGAUAGUCAUGUUUGAUUCAUCCUUCUAUGAAUUUCUAGCUGUAUUGACCCCAACUGCUAAAGUUUUGUAAAAUAAAAAAAAAAAAAAACUGGAAUUUCAACAAAAUUCAAAACGUGUGAAAUUUAAUUUUUGGCCAUGUGGAACAAAAUGUAAAUUAAGGAAAAAAAGUAUAAAUCUGAAUUGCUUAGUAUGGUUAGGAUUUUGUGAGCAUCACUAAAAAGUGAAAACUAUGAAUGAUAGAGGUGAUGUUUGCAACAUGAAUAAAUGAUGAACUGAAUCAAUUGAUGAUCGUAAUUAUAUAAAAUUUUACAAAAUCAACAAAAGUUAAUAAAAUUUUAUUUAAAUAAUAAAAAAUCAAUAAAAACUUAUUAUUUUACGACGCUCUAACCAUGGAGUACCAUAAUCAUAUUCUUCUUUUAAGAAAAUUAUUCUAGAUAUUUAAAAGAAAACAUUAUCCACCUGGAAUGACUUGAAGUCUAAAGAAAAAGAGAGAAUGGCUCCCCGCAAUUUUCUUGUCUUCAGUAUAUUUUCUUUUUUUUUUCUUUUUUAAAAUCUUUUGCCGCAUACUUAAUCUACCCUUGUUUAUUAUCUCUACUUUGCUCUGUUCAAGUCCUUUUUUUUUUCAAAUCUUAUUUUAAAUAAGAAAAUUGAAUAAAAGUACAUUUGUGUAAUUAAUUAGUAUCUGGGGGGGGGGGGGGGGGAUAUUUGGUGUAAUGUUUUGCUAUGUAAGACUCAGCUAUUAUUAAACAGUUCCUUAACCUGUUUCGCAGUUUAUUUGCUAUCUUUGUGGAUCUCAUAGGCGUUGCAGAAUUUAAUAAUUUUAUUCGUCAGAAGAAUAGGAUAUUGGCUUCAAUAAAUUUAAUUUAAACCAACUUUUAUUUACUCCAUCAAUUAAUUAAUAUUAUGCAUUUAUUAAUUGUUAUAAUCUAAAAAAAAUUAAUUAGUUCAGGUCAAUCUGAGUUGAUGCAUCUGCAGGAGAUUUUUUUUAAAUUUUUUUUUCCCCUUAUUGACCAUAAUGAUCUAAGGGGUAUAAUUCGACCUUGGUUCUUGGGAAAAAUGACAUCUCCUUCAACAUGACUAUUGACUAGGAGCAUGUAAAAACAUGGAAACAGAAUUUCCACAAAAUGCCAAACGUGUGGAACUUAAGUUUUGGCCAUGUGGACCAAAUGCAAAUGAAGGAAAAAUGAUUUCCCCUGCUUAUGUACAAAUAAAGGAACAACCUCGAAGAAAAAGGGGUUACCAAUUGGAGAAGACUUUACAGAGUUUCUCUCACACUCUCUCUGUCAAUUUCAUCUAGAAGUCCCUCUGAAAGCAUCUCCCAAAACAGUUAGUCAUCUUUUAUGCUCUGUUUUCUAGAAACAGAGUCCUAACUAAAUUGAUUGACUGUACAGUGCAUUUCAACAUAGCAUAUUUAACCGUUUUAACUGUUAUUUGAACCGUCUUCAGAGUUAACAUCAACAAACUCAUUCACAUUGGUCCAAUCUUACGGACGAUAUCAUAUGCUUAAUAAUGAACGAAUUGGAUCAGUGUUUUGCGGCAAGAGCAACUCGACACAAUCUGGAUUCAACCUCCUCCUAUCUAACAAGGGAUUUCGAUUUGAGUUACUUUGUGCUCAAGCAAAUUCACAUCAUAGUUUUGAUUCUUUAGAUAUGAAUUCAUCACUUUACAUAUAUCAGAUUAAUGUGUAACAAAAUUUUUAAUUUACUGCGAAAAGAAUAUGCACUAAAAAAUGAUUUCAAGACUAUUUGACUACCAAAAGCAGCUGUCAGAGUGCACUAAAAAUUUCUGUAGGAUAUUUUGUAGCUGUUUAAUAUGUUAUGAUGGGCAUAUAAUUCUCAAAUUUUGAUGCCUCUCAGCGAAAAUCUAUCAAAGUUACAGAUGAUAUCACGUAAAACAUGCAUGGCUCAGGCUCAGGCUCAGGUAAGAAGCCACGGAAAAGGAAAAUCUCACUGUCACGACUCACGUCACGCAUCAUUCAAGUGAUGGAUUUAACAAGACUGCUUAUGUUCUAUCAAAUUCCUCUGCCUCUCAGAAGAUAACUUUUCUGGGCCAAAUUUCUCAUCUAAAGCAUAUUAUGCCCCAAAGUCACAGAUAACAAAAUGGGGCACUACCGAUUAUGAAAGAGAACUAGUAGUUGUCAGAAGCCUAAGUCAAAUUCCGGUAGUAAGAAGAGGCCUUUCUUGAGUUUAGAUUAUGUGUUCGAGUUUUAAUAAAUGCCUGAGUUAAUAAUAAUAACAACAGUAAUAAUAAACUAAAAAGCAUAAUUACUAUUGAAUGGUAAAAAAAAAAAAAUUGUGUGAACUCCAAUAACACCCCAGUGGCGAAUUUUGGAGAGGGCUAGGCCGGGCUUCUUAGAAAAAAAAAAUAUUUAAUUACAAAAUUACCUUUAUUGAAACCUAUAUAAAAAAUUUAUAUUAAUUAGUUAUGAUGCCUCUUCAAUUAUCAUUAAAUUCUUGUCUGUUCAUCAUUUGAUGGAUAAAUGUGUAUUUAAAUAAUCUUAAAUAAUGUCUAGAACAAAUAUUUUGAAUGGUAAAACUCAUUAUGUCUUGCAUUACUAGAUGUAUCUAUAAUUUAUUAUUUACAAAUUAUAUUGUAUGAUAAAAAUGUAUUGAAUUUUUUUUUUAAAGUUCGGCUCACUCAGAAAAAAAAAUGUUAUUAGACUCGCCACUGCACAAACCUAGAAUAAUAAUUAUUCCUUAUUAUAUUGACUGCACCAGGCAAUAAACUAAUAAGUUCUCAUCAGUGGUUUUUAAUCUUUUUAAUUCUUUUUACCGCACACCUGAUCAAGAAUUCUAUUUUGUUAACUAAUCAAUUGCAAAGCAUAUAUUAGUGUUGAACGGUGCACAAAAUUGAAAAAACAAAAUCUUAAAAAACGUGCGGACUCGGAUAGCCAGACCAGAAAUCUAUGACAAUAAUUAGAUUUGAUGCUGGGAAUCUAUUAAUUUCUGGCCGUAUUGACUCCACCAGUGAAGUUUUUAAAAUAACAAGUUCCCAUUCUCGGCUUAUAAUAAUUUUAGAAUAAUGACUUAUUUGUAGAAGAAUUUAUGAUUUCCCAUUAAUAUCAAUAUUGAAGUGGCAUGGGUCAAAUCUCAAUUGCUUGAAGAAUCUAUUUAUUAUUAUUAUUAAUAUUGAAAUGGGGUGGGUAACGGUUCACUCAAUUAAUAUGUGGGGAAUUAAAUAUUACCACCCAAGGUAGAAUUGUGGAAAAUUAAAGCAAAAUGAGAAAUAUGGAAAGGAAGGCUGAAAGUAAGGCAUGAUGAAAGGCUUUGAGAAGGCUGAAGACCACCAAAUAAGUCAACUGAAAGCUAGUUGGGGCCUGGUAUAUAUGUUAGAUGUGUUUGUUAUAAAUAACAUAGAGCCCUUUUGUUAGCUAUAGCUAUGGAGACAGAGAGAGUUUGUGUUUUUUAGUAGUUAAAGAUAUAGCUAGAAUGGGUGGUUCAAAAUCCAAAAUGGUGACAACGUUAGUUUUGUUAUUAAUAAUAUUAGAAGGGGGUGAAGUGAGGAAUGUUUGGAGCUUGAGAGAUUUGCUCUUUUGCGGCUUAAGCAUUUCUUCAAUUCUCCUUAUAGACUUUAAAACUAGGUAGACGAGCAAAGAGAUUGUUGUCAGUGGGAAACCGUUGAGUGCAGGAAAGUGAUACGACUACAUCUUAGUCUUACCAGGAAUAUCGAUCUGGGAGAGUGGUCUCUGAAUGCUUCUCUAUUUACUCUCUUUCAACAACUUGGCAACAAAAUAGCCGGUUGGGUUAAGAACGAAGGUCCUUCAUUUAAUUUAAUUUACUUAAUUUCUCCCUCUUAAUUAAUGUCUAUAACCAUUAGGAGAAAUAAGGGAUUUUAUUAACUCAAAUAUGUCUAAUGGAGCUCAUUCUUUGGUUUUACUUGCAGGUCUAGAAGCAGGUGUGUCAUCUAACAGCUGCUUUGAUAAUUUCCCACACCUUCAUCUUUGAUGGAAAUAUGAAAUAAAAACAAAUUGGUGAAAAUGGUAUUGGUACCUGAGGCCAUGUAAUCUAUUUCAAAAACUACACCAUCAAAACGAUUACAUAAGUCUCAGAAGAAUCAAACAUCAGUUUUGCAAAAUACCAAUUGCUGGAGGCUAGAUUCUAACUUCCCCUCUUGAUUUUUAUGGGCAUGUUGUGUCGUACAUGCAGACAAAAAUCAUAUUUUACUUUACUUAUUUCUUACUUUCACUUGCAACCCAAAGUGGCAAGAAAUAAAUAACAUGCUCCGAUUAGCUGGACAAAAGGAUGAUGACAAUCGAGUCGAUAUUAUAUGCAGAGUUUUCGAGAUAAAAUUAUUCCAACUAAUGCAAGAUCUGAAAAAAGAUCAACCAUUUGGAAAAAUAAUUGCAUGUAAGUUCACUUCAAAUUCGUAUACAUAACAAAUUCAACUCAUUUGUUAUUGAAAAGUGCAGGGAAGAACAAUAAUUUCACAAUUGAAAUCAAUGUUUCUAACUUUUAAAUUUUACUCCAUUUUGUGGCAGGUCUAUAGACAAUUGAGUUUCAAAAAAGAGGCUUGCUGUUGUGCAAAUUUUAAUGUACUCGCAAGCGCACGAAUCUAUUGUAGUAUAGAUCAAUGGUGACGAGUGUCGAUCCCACGAGGAGGUGGAUUUUAAUUGUGUAGAAUUAAUUUUGUGAAUGGGUGAUUGGAUUUUGUGGUGAAGGUGACUUAGAUUAUCCUAAAAUUGGAAUUGAAAUGGCGAGAAUAACUUGAAGAGAAUUCUAUUGAAAUGACGUACUUGGGUAUCUGGAUCCGUAUCAACAUGCAUCAUGGGCUAAAUAAUCUGUAUUAAUGCCAAUUAAAUCAUGAGGGGGGAAUCCACACUUCAUGAACCACGCUCUAAUCAAUAUGGUGCUAAGGGCUUAUCGUGCCAAAUAAUAAUAACCUUGUACUAGAGGGCCGGUGAAACCAAGGCGGUACUAGACAAGAUUAGUAUUAUUUAUCGACGAGAAGUCAAAACAUCCACAAAAACUAGAGGGGAAGAGAAAAUAAAUUUACCAAAUUAAGCCCAUGACACAUGUUGAGACUUCACCUUCAACCCAAGCUUGAAAGAAAAUUAGCCACUCAUAAUUGAACUAGGGGUAAAAUGGGAAUUUAUUACAAUACGAAGAAAAUACAAGAUGGAGAGGGAAUUACAGAAAACAGAGUCCAAAAAUGGAUUCAGAGGUAUCAAAUUAGGGGGGGGGAGGCCCCCUUUUUAUAGAUACAUGGAGUAAAUCAUGGCCAUCGGAUUAAAAACAGUUUGGACGCUCAGGAUUGCGCCACGUCAUCAGUCAACAGUCCACGGUUUGACCACGCGGAUGAACAGUAAUACGGUUUGACUCGGAUGAACAGUAACGUGGUUUGACUCGGAUGAACAGUAACGCAGUUUGGUUGAAAAUAAUCCUGUGUGAUGCAUGUACCGUACGCGAGAUUUUUCAUCCACUGAUAUGCUGCCACGUCACCAUCAACAGUACAUAAGAAUUUUAGCCCAACAGGAUCGUGACACCUCAUCAGUCAAUGCCACAUCAUCGGUCAAUGCCAUGUCAUCGAUCCGUCUAUGUGAACAGUGUUGUGAACAGUAACGUAGAUAGUACCGUACACGUGAAUAGUACCGUACAUAUGAAUAGUGCCAUUUUUCCUUUUAUGCUUCUCCUAAGGUUUUCGACCGUCCUGAGUUCAAAAGUGAUGUUCGUUUUGCCGUCUGAUCUCUCCUUUAUUGUGAAAUGACUAUAAUGCCCCUAAAAUACAUAAAAUACUUAAUUAAAAUAAAACACAUGUAAUUAAAUCACAAGAAGGUUAAAUACAUAAAAGUAAGGGUUGUUAGUAAGACUUGAAAUGUAAAAUGACGGUUUUCUCCUUUAUAAAUAUGCAUUUUCUAACACUCAACACACCCCCCAACCAGCUUAUUGCUAGUCCCUAGCAAAUAAAGCGAAAACAAAAUUUAAUUCAAAAUAUUUUUUUUUUUUAAUAAAAACACUCGUAUUUAUUCCAUCAGAUUAAUGAUAGCAAUCAAAUAAAAGUAUAAGCAUUAUCUCCAGUCUAAAGCAACAUCACACCCACAUCAACCAUCCACAUGAAUCAGCCCAGUAGACUUUUUUAUAGCUACUUUCAAGAAUGACAUGUCAAACCCCAAAAUCUCACUGGAAGUAGUGACACUCUCACAAAGAAAUUAAAACCAAUAAAAAUAGUCACUCCAAUGAAUGGUAAUUGAGAGAGAAAAUAAUAAAGAAGUGAUAUCACAUGCUCUCACCAAGAUGAAAUAAAUAUGCCCUUAGCUUAUAAAUAAUACGAUCUCAAGUCAAACAAAAAUGGUAGUCAACCCAAUUUAUUUAUCUUUUAUUUAUUUAUUUUUAUUAUGCACCACUACAUCUUUUUAGCCCAUAUAACUAGCUUCUACUUCAAACUAUAGUUCCCUAAAAUCAAGAAGGACUUUUAUUAGGACGUAACGUAGGCUAGGGAUAUGGCUAACAAAGAAAGGAAAUAAGGAAAACAAAGUGUAUGUUUGAGAAAAAUGCAGAGAAUUUUUUUUUUUUUUUGGAAGUUGCAAGGUGGAUUUCACCUAUUUUUAUUCUUUUGAAACAACAACUUUUGUUUUUGUUUUUUUUUUUGCUUUUAUUUGGCAUAACUUCACUGAACAAAAUAAUUAUUUACAUUUUCUCAAACAUAAAUAGGUGAUGGAACUUAUAAGAUAUCGGGUAACACUCCAAAUCGGAGUGGGUCAAGAUGAUAAGUUGACAAAGAAAAUGAUUUUUUUUUUAAAGGCUCAAAAUGGUUAACUAUGGAUAUUUAAUAAAAGGGAUGGCUAGAAAGGCUCAAACGGAUCAAAGAUGGCCUUUCCAUCGUCUUUUAGGGCUCUAAAUAAUCAUCCAUAUCUACUAGUUAGAUGGGCCUCCCAAUGUAGCAACACACAUUUUUUUUUCUUUUUUUUUAUUUUACCAUUUUUUUUUAAGGGUUAACGCAAAAGAAAUCUAGAGAUCGUGUAUAAAAUAAUAAACUGUUAAGCUGUAUAAAGAAUGGGCAAAAGGGUUACUCUCCAAGAAAAAUGAUAGGCUCAAAAACUCACUUAGUACUUAUUAUGACAUGUUCAUUCCUUCAAGCAACUCAUAUAUGUCUCCGACAUCAACAUGUAGAGUAGCAAACAUAAUGUAACAUCACUUAAGACCAAAGAUAAUACAAAUACUAAAAUUUGAAAUUAAUCAUGUCAUCCAAUGUUAAAACAAAUCACACAAUUUUUAUUUUUUUAAACAACAUUCUACCCCCCAACCUAUUCUAAACAUGAAAGGAAAAAUAUGCAUGCAGGAAUGUGAAAAUGAUGCAUAAAAACUAAUUAAAAAAAGUUACACUUAAAAUGAUAGAAAACGAAAAUGGGUUUUUUUUUUUUAACUUAGAAGAUGCGUUUCUAGAGGCACUACUCUCCAUAUUCAGCCAUCUUCGACUCAAAAUUUUGAAAAUAUAUAUUUAUAAGGAGAAAUUAAAAAGAAGAAGAAAAAUAAACAUCAAAACAUAAUAAAGAAAAAAAAAAUGUCUGAAUUUUUUUUUUUAGUUUUUUUUUUAAUUUUUUUUUUAAAACGAUGAAGAUGCGUUUCUAGAGUCACUACACUCCAUAUUCAGCCAUCUUCAACACAAAAAGUUAGCAACAGUUAGUUUCUACAACAAAAAAUUAGUAAAAACCUAACCAAAAUUCCACAAUUGUCGACUAUUCCCUCCCCCCAACCAGAAUGAAACAUUGUCCUCAAUGUUUGAAAGGAAAGAAGUAGAGUUUAGAAGACAUCACCUGGGUGGUGCAACACAGAAGAAAAUAUUUACAGGCGGAGAGUUAAAUCUAAUUUGUACUUCUUACUGCUGCUACUGUUACCAUCAUUAUUUGGACGCUCCAACACAAAGGUCCAGGGGUCUGGCUCCGGUCUAUAAGCUUGUAACAGAUCAAGUAGCUCAUUAGCAGUGUGAGCACAAAUAAAGAGUUUUUUCACAUUAGCGGGAAUGAAAUAGUUUUUUAUUGCAUGGUUAAGAAAUGCGAUAAAGCCAUCAUAAAAGUUAUUGACAUUUAACAAACCGAUGGGUUUCUGGUGGAUGUGGAGAUGGGCCCAAGAUGCUAGUGUGAUAAGUGCCUCUAGUGUUGCAAGAUCUCCUGGAAGGAAAAUAAAAGCAUCAGCAUGAUUAAGCAUUUCAGUUAUUCUUUCUUGCAUACCUGAGACAACUAACUCUUCUCCAGUUGAUGAGUCAGACGAACUGCCCAACGGUUUUAGGACUCUUGGGAUGAUGCCUAACACUUGGCUGCCUCUGAUUAAAGCUGCUUCUGAGACCAUUUUUGAUAACCCUCGAUUACCUCCUCCAUACACCAAGUGUAAUUUUCUCUCUGCUAUACUUCGACCAAGAUCUAUGGCUGCCUCAACGAACUCUUUAUGUUUGCCAUAGGUAAAUCCGGAAAGCACACAAAUGUUCUUGAAUUGUCUAUUGGGAGUAGCUACCAUUGCGAUACUUCUCAAAAACAAUUUGUGAGUGCUUGACAAAAGAUAUCACAUUUAAGAGUCUUGGUGAUAGUGGGUCAUGGUUGUGUAUGAGGUAAUAUGUCAGUGUCAAAUAACGCUUAAAGCACGUGGCUCGCAAGUAAAAAAGGAAACAGUAAAAAUGAAAAAGUAAACAGUAAUAAGAAAAAAGCAAACAGUAAUAAAAUUAUUAAGGACAAUAAUACACACAAUAAACAAUAGUGAAAUAAAAUAACAGUAAAGUGAAAGGAUAUUUACAGGUAGUUGCGACUGUGGCUCACAUCUUCCUCUGGUUUUAUGUCCAGAAAUGGCUUGAACGCCCUCUAUGGGUCGAGGAUAGGCUUCCUAUCCAGUUUUCUUAUAAACUGGCAAACAAGGUCGUUUAUAGUCAGAUUCCCAAGACUAUAUCGUGCAUGCUCUUUCUGGAAUAAUGGCCAUAACUGGAGAAUCGCUCCUUGCACAUAUCCACUGGGAUGCGUUUCAAGAGACAAAAGGAUAUCAUCCAAUGACUCCUUAUUCAAGCCAUCCCUAAUGAAUUGAAUCUUAUCUUCCCUGUUAUCAGACAUCAUUCCUAAAGAACAUGGGUUUUUAUUGCAACUCAUUCUGGCACACUUAUGACAAGCAACAGAAAUUCUUCGAGCUCGUCGUUUUCUUGCAUAAUUUCCUUUACCACAACCAGGCAUGUAUGUAAUAAAUUUUGGAGGUAACUCACCUGCCGAUCGUACUUUAGCCUCAAUUAACCAACGGAUGUCAGCAGGUAUGUUAUUCCUCAUAAGUAAUCGCAUGCGUUCGGACCGAGCUUUAUAGACCGUAAGGAGGGCAUUCUGAGGAAGUGAAGGGAAUCGCUUGUGAAGCUUCGCUAGAGUCUCGUUUCUGUCCAUACUUUCGCCUCAGAAUAUCAGUUAUUAUGGGAAACUGAAGUAACCGACUUGAUUGUCACGGAGUACCGUUAUCCGCCACUUCACCGGGGUAACAAACUAAAGCACACAAAUAGAAAAAAAAAAUUAAAACACACAAAGAAAAUUAAAAUCGUCCUCUUAUUGAAUAUACCUCAAGCUCCAACUGGAUGUCGUAAACACUUCUCUCAAUGUCUCUGAGUUGGAGUUCUAAACCCUCAACAUAGGCUACUAACUCUGGUGGUUGUAGAGCCCAAAUGCGUUGUGUUUUACAAAAUUGAAUCUGCCUUUUGAGAUGAGUUUUGACACGUUGAAGUGGUUUAAGAAUGUUCAGGAGGAACGGUCUAAGUAAUGUACUCAUGAUUAAAAAUGAUAAAAGAAAACAUACUAGUUAAACAAAUACACUUAUACAAAAAUAAUUUCAAUUAGCAAAAGAAUAAUAUAAAGAAAGAAAGAAAAAUCAAAUCAACGAAAAGAAAAAUCAAUUCAAAUCUGGUGGGUCACUCAAAUUUAUUUCGGUGUCUUCUCCAUGUGAUUGGUAUUCUAGAUAUGGCUUUAAUCUUUGACCAUUAACUUUAAACGUGACACCGUUCUUUGGGUCCUUAAUUUCAAUUGCCCCAUGUGGAAAAACAGUAUGAACAAUAAAUGGGCCAGACCAACGAGAGCGUAACUUACCUGGGAAUAGGUGCAAGCGAGAAUUGAAUAAAAGCACUUUCUGACCUGGAGUGAAAGAUUUUCUCAUAAUUUGCUUGUCAUGGAAGACUUUCAUUCGUUGCUUGUAAAUCUUGGCAUUUUCGUAUGCAUCAUUGCGAAUUUCUUCAAGUUCUGCCAACUGUAAUCUUCUUUCUGAGCUGGCUUGCUGCAUGUCAAAAUUGAAUUUCUUGAUGGCCCAAUAUGCACGAUGCUCGAGUUCCACAGGUAGGUGGCAAGCUUUUCCAUACACUAGCCUGUAGGGUGACAUCCCAAUCGGGGUCUUGAAAGCCGUUCUAUAUGCCCAUAAGGCAUCAUCAAGUCUUAAUGACCAAUCUUUUCUGUCUGGCCUCACCGUCUUUUCUAAUAUGUGCUUUAUUUCUCGAUUGGAGAUCUCAACUUGGCCACUGGUUUGCGGAUGAUACGGAGUCGCCACUUUGUGUGUGAUUGAAUACUUUGUCAAAAGAGAUUUGAAUGCUUUGUUACAAAAGUGGGCACCACCAUCACUAAUUAUUGCUCGAGGGAAUCCAAAGCGCGAGACAAUGUUGCUUUUCAAAAAUCCUAUCACCACCUUGUGAUCAUUAGUACUGCAUGGAAUUGCUUCUACCCAUUUGGAUACAUAGUCAACAGCAACCAAUAUGUAUUGAUGGCCAAAAGAAGGGGGAAAGGGUCCCAUGAAGUCGAUACCCCAUACGUCAAAAAUUUCAACCACUAAAAUUGGAUUUAAUGGCAUCAUGUUCCUUCGUGUAAUGCUCCCCAUUCGUUGACACCUAUCACAUGAAGAACAAAAAGUGUAAGCAUCUCGAAAUAUAGUUGGCCAAUAGAAACCACAUUGCAAAACUUUAGUAGCUGUUUUCUUAGCACUGAAAUGGCCUCCACAAGCUUGUUCAUGGCAGAAUGAAAGGAUAUUCUGAAUUUCAUUUUCUGGGACACAUCGUCUAACAAUUUGAUCAACACAAUACUUGAACAAAUACGGGUCAUCCCAAAAGAAAUUCUUUAUCUCUGCAAAGAAUUUAGCCUUAUCUUGCUUGGUCCAAUGCUUUGGAAGUUGACCUGUAACAAGAUAAUUCACGAUGUCAGCAUACCACGGUAAUACUUCCACAUUCAUCAAUUGUUCAUCAGGGAAUGACUCAUUUAAUGGUAAUGGCUCUGUAGUUGUGUCAAAAUGGAGACGAGAGAGGUGGUCCGCCACAACAUUUUCUGUCCCUUUCUUAUCUUUGAAUUCCAAGUCAAAUUCCUGCAAAAGUAACACCCAACGAAUUAGUCUAGCUUUUGCAUCUUUCUUUGUGAGAAGAUAUUUAAGAGCAGCAUGAUCCGUGAAUAUAAUUAUUUUACAACCAAUGAGAUAAGAUCGAAAUUUUUCUAAUGCAAACACUACUGCUAGCAUUUCUUUUUCAGUAGUUGAAUAGUUCAACUGUGCAUCAUUCAAUGUCAUACUAGCAUAGUAAAUAACGUGGGGAAUUCGAUCAACUCUUUGUCCUAAUACUGCUCCUACUGCAUAAUCAGAUGCAUCACACAUGAGCUCAAAUGGUAAGUUCCAGUUCGGGGGCUGAAUGAUGGGUGAUGAUGUCAACAAAUGCUUUAAUUUUUCAAACGCAACAAGACAUGAAUCAUAAAAAACAAAAGGUACAUCUUUAGCAAGUAGAUUGCAUAAGGGUCUAGAAACUUUGCUAAAAUCUUUAAUGAAACGUCUAUAAAAACCAGCAUGCCCAAUGAAAGAUCUUACUUCUCUGACUGUUUUGGGUGAAGGAAGAUUAGAAAUGAGAUCCACCUUAGCUUUGUCAACCUCAAUACCUUUGCUCGAAAUGAUGUGACCGAGAACAAUACCUUGUUUUACCAUAAAAUGACACUUCUCCCAAUUUAAGACCAAGUUCUUCUCGAUACAUCUCUGCAGAACUAGUGUUAGAUGAUGUAAACAUUGAUCAAACGAAUCACCAAAGACAGAAAAGUCAUCCAUAAAGACUUCAAGGAAUCGUUCAACCAUAUCAGAAAAAAUGCUCAACAUGCAUCGUUGAAAUGUAGCAGGUGCAUUACAUAAUCCAAAUGGCAUCCUCCUAUAUGCAAAAGUGCUAAAGGGCAAGUGAAAGUAGUUUUCUCUUGAUCUUUUGGUGCUAUGGGAAUCUGAUUAUAUCCUGAGUAGCCAUCUAGAAAGCAAUAAAAUUCAUGGCCUGCCAAUCUAUCAAGCAUUUGAUCGAUAAAUGGUAAAGGAAAAUGGUCUUUACGUGUGACAGAAUUCAACUUUCUAUAAUCAAUGCAUACACGCCAUCCUGUAGUCACUCUAGUGGGUAUCAAUUCAUUAUCAGCAUUGGUAACUACUGUGACUCCUGACUUUUUGGGGAUGACUUGUACAGGACUGACCCAUGAACUAUCAGAAAUUGGGUAAAUGAUACCUGCAUCUAAUAGCUUAAGGACUUCUGUUCUAACAACUUCUUUCAUAUUAGGAUUUAACCGACGUUGCAUUUCCCUAGUAGAUUUAGCAUUUUCAUCGAGGUGAAUGUAAUGCAUGCAGUCUACUGGAUUUAUACCUUUUAUAUCUGCUAUGGUCCAUCCUUAUGCUCCUUUGUGCUCUUUUAAAACAUCCAACAACUUACCUUUUUGUUCGUCAUUUAGGGAUGAUGAGAUGAUUACCGGCAGAGUACUUUCUUCUCCCAAAAACGCAUAUUCCAAAGUGUUGGGCAAUGGUUUGAGCUCGAGUUUCGGUGGUGAUUCUGAUGAUGGGAUGAGUUUCUUCUCUGAUGGUGCUACUCUUGACUUCCAUUUAUUAGUGUCCAUGGAUGGUGCUGAGUCAAGUAGGGCGUUGACCUCAUCGACCGAUCUGUCAAUAUCAAUAUCAAAAUCCAAACCAAAGUGAGUUAAACAUGUUUGUAAAGGAUCACCACUAAGGUUUGAAAGAAAAGUGUCAUCAACUAAUGAUUCAAUUAAAUCCACAUCAACAAUUCCAUCAUCUACACUGUGAGGUUGUUUGGCAAUGUUGAAAAUGUUUAGCUCCAUAGUCAUGUUGCCGAAGGACAACUGCAUAUUUCCAGUCCUGCAUUGAAUGUGAGCAUCCGCAGUUGCCAAGAAAGGUCGGCCUAGGAUAAUGGGGAUGUGCUUCCUUGAAUCCUGUAUUGGUUGAGUGUCAAUUACAAUGAAAUCAACAGGAAAAUAAAACUUGUCUACCUGGAUAAGCACGUCCUCCACAAUACCACGAGGUAUUUUCGUGGACCGAUCUGCGAGUUGUAACACCACUAGAGUUGGGUGCAAUUCUCCAAGUCCAAGUUUCACAAACACAGAGUAAGGCAAUAAAUUUACACUAGCUCCUAAAUCCAACAAAACAUUCUCAAUUGUGUGGUUCCCUAUACUACAUGAGAUAGUGGGGGAGCCUGGGUCUUUGCAUUUUAAAGGAAUUUUAUGUUGGAGUAUAGAACUAACGUUUUCUGUUAAAAAUGCCUUCUUUUGAACAUGCAUAUUUCUCUUUUUAGUACAAAGGUCUUUAAGAAACUUGGCAUAAGAUGGAACUUGCUUAAUAGCAUCAAGCAAAGGGAUGUUAACACUUACCUGUUUGAAGAUUUCAAGAAUCUCACUUGUGGAUUUUCCCUUUUUUCCUUUAGCUAACCUCUGAGGAAAUGGAGCUUUGGGAACAUAUUCCCGUGGGUUGGUUUCUUCUUUCUCCUCCGGUGAUGAGUCUUCAACAUUCACAGGUACAAUUUGAUUUUCUUUUGUCACCGGCAUCUCCACUUUGUUGUCGACUUCUUUUCCUUUUCAUAAGGUCAUGACUGCUUUGACCUCUCCAUGCUGCUGUGAUGAACUGGUACUUGCUUCAUGUACUCCUUUAGGAUUAGGCACUGGUUGACUUGGAAAUUUGCCUUUCUCAACAGUCAUUGCCAAUGUCUGAACUGAAGAAGCAAGUUGUCCCACCAUCUUCUCGAGGCUUGAAACUGAUUGAGCUUGUGAGUUGAAGCCUUCUCUCAACUCAUUUCGUAGUCCAUCAAUGGUGCGGUUCUGUUGCUCAAUCGUGGAGUGAGUAACAUUCCUGAAAUUCUGGAAUUCAUCCUCCCAUGGUCUAGGUUGAGAGUGGUUCUGGUUCUGAUUGUAUGGUCUAAAUGGUGGCUGAGAGGCUUGAGGAACUUGAGGAAUUUGUUGCAUUGGUGGAGCUGGAGCUGCUGGUCCAUUCUGUUGGAAUCCUUGAGACCAUGAAAAAUUGGGGUGGUCUCUCCAUCCAGGAUUAUAUGUGUUGGAGUAUGGGUUGUAAUUUGAUGGUUUUUUCAUUAUACCUAUGGCAUUGGCUUGAUCUGAGUAUGAGUCAAGGUCAUGUGGUUCAGUUGAUUUAGCAGUCGAUAACGAUGCUAUUUGUCGAGCAAGACCUUCAACCAUCUCCUUGACUUCUUUGAUUCCUGAAGUUGAUUCGCCAAUUUAAACCUCAUUCACUCCUUUAAUUCUUCUAGUAGUCCUGAGUGAUCGACUCCGUUGUUGGGAAUUAUCUGCUUGUCGUUGGAAGAAUUCCCAAAUUUCUGAUGCACUUUUUGACAUUAGCUCUCCUCCACUUGUUGCCAUUAGCCAUUCUUGCACAUUUGGUAGUAAUCCCUCCAAAAAGUAUUGGCAUUGGUGCCAUUUCUCGUACCCAUGAUGUGGACACUUCAAGAGUAGCCCAUUAAAUCGCUCCCAUGUUUCGAAAAAUUGUUCGUCCUCUCUCUGGGUAAACUCCGAGAUUUCCCUGCGAAUAGCAUUGGUUUUAUGCACUGGGAAAUAUUUAUUCAAAAAUUUAGUUACCAUUUGUUCCCAUGAUGAAAUGCUAUUAGCAGGUAAAGUAUUUAACCAUGAACGAGCUCUAUCUUUUAAAGAAAAUGGGAAUAGUCUAAGUUUAACAUUAUCGUCUGAAAAAUUUUCAUAUUUAAAAGUUUGACAAAUGGCAUGAAAAUCAUUCAGAUGAUUAUAUGGAUCCUCAUUUUCUAGGCCAUAAAAUGUUGGGAGACAAUUUAGCACACUGGGUUUUAAUUCAAAACUCCUAGCAGCUACAUUUGGGUAUCUUAUGCAUGAUGUGCUCAAAUUAGCUAAGGGACUGAAGUAGUCCUUAAAUGGCCUCUCCUGUGGUUGCAAAUCCAUUUUAUUUUUAAUUUGUUUGUGUGUGCGAAGUGUUCUUUCUAGUUCAAGGUCCAUAGGUUCAAGAUUAGGUAAUAAUGACCUACGACCAUGCAUGCAAAACAAAUAAAAAAAAUAAAGAUGGGAACAAAAAAAUAAAAUAAAAAUAAAGAAGAGGGAGAAAUUACGAUACUAACCUUAUUGCGCUAUUACAAUCUUUCUAUAAAAAUACACAAAAAUAAAUACGUGAAAUAAAUUAACUAAAAAUAAAUUAAUAAGAUAAACAAAAAAAAAUUACAAAGAAAAAUAAGUUGAAAAUGAAAUAAUAGAAUUUUAAAGAAGAGAAAAAGAAAAAAAAAUACUAACCUUUAAAUGUAGGUUCACUUUUUUUUCUUUUUUUUUUAAGAAAAAAAUAUAUAAGAAAACAAAUAAAAGAUAUUAUUCACACAAAUUAAUUCUAUGAAUUAAAAUUACUUACCUCCCCGGCAACGGCGCCAAAAACUUGUUGUGCAAAUUUUAAUGUACUCGCAAGCGCACGAAUCUAUUGUAGUAUAGAUCAAUGGUGACGAGUGUCGAUCCCACGAGGAGGUGGAUUUUAAUUGUGUAGAAUUAAUUUUGUGAAUGGGUGAUUGGAUUUUGUGGUGAAGGUGACUUAGAUUAUCCUAAAAUUGGAAUUGAAAUGGCGAGAAUAAAUUGAAGAGAAUUCUAUUAAAAUGACGUACUUGGGUAUCUGGAUCCGUAUCAACAUGCAUCAUGGGCUAAAUAAUCCGUAUUAAUGCCAAUUAAAUCAUGAGGGGGGAAUCCACACUUCAUGAACCACACUCUAAUCAAUAUGGUGCUAAGGGCUUAUCGUGCCAAAUAAUAAUAACCUUGUACUAGAGGGCCGGUGAAACCAAGGCGGUACUAGACAAGAUUAGUAUUAUUUGUCGAUGAGAAGUCAAAACAUCCACAAAAACUAGAGGGGAAGAGAAAAUAAAUUUACCAAAUUAAGCCCAUGACACAUGUUGAGACUUCACCUUCAACCCAAGCUUGAAAGAAAAUUAGCCACUCAUAAUUGAACUAGGGGCAAAAUGGGAAUUUAUUACAAUACGAAGAAAAUACAAGAUGGAGAGGGAAUUACAGAAAACAGAGUCCAAAAAUGGAUUCAGAGGUAUCAAAUUAGGGGGGGAGGCCCCCUUUUUAUAGAUACAUGGAGUAAAUCAUGGCCAUCGGAUUAAAAACAGUUUGGACGCUCAGGAUUGCGCCACGUCAUCAGCCAACAGUCCACGGUUUGACCACGCGGAUGAACAGUAACACGAUUUGACUCGGAUGAACAGUAACGUGGUUUGACUCGGAUGAACAGUAACGCAGUUUGACUCGGAUGAACAGUAACGCGGUUUGGUUGAAAAUAAUCUUGUGUGAUGCAUGUACCGUACGCGAGAUUUUUCAUCCACUGAUAUGCUGCCACGUCACCAUCAACAGUACAUAAGAAUUUUAGCCCAACAGGAUCGUGACACCUCAUCAGUCAAUGCCACAUCAUCGGUCAAUGCCACGUCAUCGAUCCGUCUAUGUGAACAGUGUUGUGAACAGUAACGUAGAUAGUACCGCACACGUGAAUAGUAAUGUACAUAUGAAUAGUGCCAUUUUUCCUUUUAUGCUCCUCCUAAGGUUUUCGACCGUCCUGAGUUCAAAAGUGAUGUCCGUUUUGCCGUCUGAUCUCUCCUUUAUUGUGAAAUGACUAUAAUGCCCCUAAAAUACAUAAAAUACUUAAUUAAAAUAAAACACAUGUAAUUAAAUCACAAGAAGGUUAAAUACAUAAAAGUAAGGGUUGUUAGUAAGACUUGAAAUGUAAAAUGACGGUUUUCUCCUUUAUAAAUAUGCAUUUUCUAACACUCAACACUUGCCCCAUGCACACAUACUGCUUUUUUUGCAUCCAACAAUGAAAAAUCCUUCUGCAAACCAUAUUGAUAAAAUAAUAAUUGCAGAAAUCCCUAACUUAAAUGUUGAUCCUGAUGGUUAUAAUGCAGUUAACAAAUUUAUGAUUCAUGGACCGUGUGGAAAACACAAUUCUCACUCUCCAUGCAUGAUGCAAGACAAGUGCACAAAACAUUUUCCAAAAAAAUUCAAUGAUCAAACAAUAGUGGAUACAUAUGGCUUUCCAGUCUUUAAAAGGAGAAAUACAGGUAUUCAUGUCGAAAAGAAAGGUGUCUUCUUGGAUAAUCGAUAUGUGGUCCCUUAUCACAGGAAUUUAAUUGUCAAAUUUGAUGCACAUAUUAAUGUUGAGAUUUGUAAUUACUCGAGACCAGUUAAAUAUUUUUUCAAGUAUGUCCAUAAAGGGUCUGAGAGAACAACUGCAACAAUAGAAUCUAUUGACACUACCCAAGAAAUGGACGAGUGAUGGGUGUUGAAGCCAACAAAAAUAAAUUCCUACUCUAAAUAAAUUGUGUAUAGUGAUUGAGCAGGGUCGUGUCCACAGAGAUCGGUAAUUAUUUAAAUCCUUUUGAAACGUAAAACGUAAAAUGGGGGAAUUGUUGACAAUAAUAAAAAUCAAAUUAAAAAUAACAAGAAUGCAAAUUAAAGUUGUAAUUCAAAUUGGAGAAAGCUCUGGUUGAAGGAAUUAACUCAGCUUGAUUCGACUACUGAUCAUUGAUUCAAAUAUAGAUGAUUAUUACUCAUGAAUAGACUGGUUAUAGCUACUGAGACCCUCUAAUAGCCAAUCUCUCCUUAACUAGUCGAUAACCAAGGUACGACCAUUGGUUAUUUCCCUAAUCAAUAGACAACCCUAGAUACGAUCAUAGAAUUUAAUCAAUUGACAGCCUGAAAAACCAGAGAGACCCAAAUCCUAAUCAACACAUAUGAUGAUUCAUUUAAAUUAGAUUGUUUAUUCUCACAACACAACUCUCUGCUAUGUUAUUUGUCACAAGCAUUAAAUUCUUCAUACGAUGAAUCCUUUAAUUGACAAUAGAUUAAGUUGAUAAUUAAAUAGUGGCCAAUUACCUAAUUAACAAACAUAAUCAUGAAAAUAAUUUAGAGAAUAAACAAAUACCCAAAAAGCAAUAAAACAAUUAAAGCACAAGAAAGAUCUCACAGUAGUGAUGAAUCAAAGCUUCGUUAUCCUUCAACUAGAAAAAUAGGUUUAGUUCUUCAUAGAGAGAAGAGAAAAAUUAAAUCUAGGGUUUCUUUCUUUUUCUCCAAUCCAAAAAAUCCCCCCUUUUUCACAAUUGAUUCCUCCCUUAAAUACUCUCUCUCUCUUCUCUUUUAGAGUUCUAUUUAAAAUAAAAUACUAAUAUCUAAAAUAUUAAAUUCGUAAUUACAAAAAUAGCCAAAAAUAUAAAACACGUUAAACUAAAAACUGCAGGUCCGCAAUUGACAGCACGCGCCCACGCCUUAUCAACAAAGUUCUUCUGCCGCUCAUAAUUUCUCCAAGGGAACAAUCAUCCCUAAACAUCAUCUUGUAGCUCAAUUUUAUCACCAAUCAAUAGAAUUGCACCUACAAAAGUAAAUCACAGGUAAAUCACUAUUAUUAAAUGCAAAACAUCGAUAUUAAGGGAAGUAAACAAUGCAAAACUAGUGCAUAAAUUGCACUCUAACAAAUUCCCCCACACCAAGAUGAUGCUUGUCCUCAAGCAUAUAACUCAAGAUUAAUCUCAAAUUUCCACUCAAUUCUCAUCUCAACUCAUCCAAAAACAAUUUUAAGCAAGCAUACCUCAAGAAAUUAAGUCGUUCAACGUUCGAGAGACAAGGAUUUUAAAGCAUAGAAUUUCGUAAGAUAGAAUAAGAACAUUCAACCACCAAGAAGAUCCAUUCAAAACUCAAGUGCAGCAAGAUUUAAUAGCCCUCUCAAUAACUUCACUCCAUGCACUCAAAGUGUUUAGGGUGUCAUUUAUCCACUCAAAUCAAAUCAAAGAAUGCUAUUACCAUAAGCUUGCUCAUAUAUCACAUCUCAAUCCACAAAACAUGAAUAAAAUGCAAAAAUCUAAGGGUCUUAAAAGGGUUGUAAUGGGGUUAAAUUGGAGAAAUGAAAAAGAAAGGUUUAUGAAAGAAAAAGAGAUCAAAAUGAGAAGAAUGAACUCAUUGAAUGAACUUAUGAUAUCAAAAUGCUUAUUUCUACUCAAGUCACCAAGAAUGUAAAAUUUUUUUUUUCGAUUUUUCUUUUUCUUUUUUUUUCUUUUUUUUCUUUUUUUUUCUUCUUUUUUUUUCUUUUUUUUUUGUUUUUGAUUUUUUUUUUGAAUCAAACAAAAGAAACGAACCUUGCACAAUUUAAUUCAAGCAUAAUGCUUGUUGAUCUAAUUGAGAAACUUUAAUACAAGGUAGAAAAAGCAACAAAAUAUAUCCACACAAUGAGUCCAAAAAUCUCCUUAAAUUGAGGCUCAAAAAGAAGAAAAAUGGUUAAGUCGACGGAGAGAAUUAGAUGGGUAAUGGUUAAGGCUCAAACAAAGGUAGCAAAUAAAGGUCUUCGGGUAGAGAAGGAAAAAAAAAUGCGAGAAUAGAAAAAUGGAAUAUGGUUUGCCCUUAUCAUUUUAAUGCAUAAAAUCCCGUAAUGUGGCUUCAACAUGCAUAAUAAAGCAAGUUCUAGAAUAAACAAAGUAGGAUUGAUAUUCACAUAACAAAAAUAAUUAGAGCAAAGUGGUUGCUCAUAGGCUCAAAUCCUCACAAAGUUGGUAAAUUUGCCAUCAAAUCAUGUACACUCUUCAAAUGAAUCAACCAUCAAUAGUGGUGUAGAAUGAGAAGAAGGUAUGAGUGAGAUGUAAAAGGAAAGGUAAAAAUGAUAAGAAGUGAGAAAGAUGUAUGUAGUAAUAUGAAAAGUGAAAGAUAAAAUGUGAGUGAUGAAAGAGUAUGAUAGAAUAAAAAUAGAUGUAAAUAAUUUGAGAUAGAUGGGAAAAGAGUAGUGAGAGAGAGAGGAAAAGAAAAUUAAUAAUAUAUGAAGCAUACUGCAAAAAUCAUUUAAGGAUGAGUAGAGUGAAAACAAUAAUUUCAGACAUCAAUAAUGCAAAAAUCCCUCCCCCACACUAAGAACUGACAUUGUCCCCAAUGUAAGAUAAUCAAAGCUCACAUAAAAAUUAAAGCGUAAGGAUAAAAGAUUAAGGGCAAAAACUUCCUUGAAUUGUGAGCUUUGAUCCUCAUAACGUCUAUGGGCUUGGCGGGAAUGGUGGGAUAAAUCCCACACUCUUGAAGUAUGCGGCCAAAUUCUGCUCCAUCUUGUCACGGAUUUCGAUUCACGGACCUGGAAUGCAGGUCGUAGGCUGGUUGCGUUGCGAUUGCUGCUCGGCUGGAGCUUGCUUGAUGGACGCGGGAUGGCACUGAUUGUGUUGCGCGCGCGCGCUGGGGCUGCUGGAUCUGCGCGUUGCGUGGGCUGUGUUGUGCGCGAGAGCUGGGCUGACGCUGGUGCUGCGUUGCGUUGCGCGCGCGGGACUGAUGCGCUGCGUGAUGGUGAUGGCUGGAGCUUGCUGCGUUGCGCGUGGCUGGUUUCGCUGGUGGGACUUCGUUGCGCGCUGCUGGGCUGCGAGACACGGGAUGCUGGUGCUUGCGCUCACGGGAUGGUGCGUUUUCCGGCGGGUUGGUUUGCUGCUGGUGUGCUGCAAGCGGCUGGAGAAGAAAACAAGUUCUGGAAAAUUAGGGAUUUUGUGAACAGUGAAUAGUGAACAGUGAUUUUCGAUUUUUGGUUUUUUUUUUAAUAAAUAAAUAAAUAAAAAGAAAGAAAGGAACGAAAAAAGAAAAAGAAAAAAAAAUAAUAAAUAAUUUUUUUUUUUUUAUAGUGAUGAAUCACUUUGAGACACUAAAAAUUUCAGAAGUACUUUUCUAAUAAGUACAUGGGCACGCCUUAUAAAAAAUUUUCUUCUGACCAAAAUAAGCAAACACAUUAAAUUUCAGAAGUACUUUUCUAUUAAGUACGUGGGCACGCCUUAAAACUAUGUUACUUUAAAAAUUACAGAAGUACUUAUUAGCUAAGACGUGGGCACGCCUUAUCAAAAAUUUUCUUCUGACCAAAAUAAGCAAAAUUUUUCUUUUUUUUUUUUGAAUUAAAAUUAAAAGAAGAUAUAACAAAAACCAAAACAAACAAAUCAUUUGGGUUGCCUCCCAAAAAAGCGCCUUUGUUUUAUGUCUUUGGCUAGACACAUUUAUGCAUCAAUCUCCAUAAUUGGGACUCUCGAGAGCCACAUCCUCCACAAUAUUCACCGAAAAACCUUCAUAAAAAGGUUUUAAGCGAUGACCAUUAACCUUAAAAACUUUGUCAGAGGUCGGGCUCCGAAUCUCAACUGCACCAUAAGGAAAAACAUUAGUAACAAUAAAAGGUCCAACCCAACAAGAACGUAAUUUACCCGGAAAAAGUUUAAGCUUAGGAUGAAAAAGAAGAACUUUUUGACCAACAGAGAACUCCUUUCUCAAAAUCAUUCUAUCAUGAAAUGUCUUCGUCUUUUCCUUGUAAAAAAUUUCCUGCGCUAUAGGGUUAAUAACAUCCACAGAAAAUACCGAAUGUUCCUCACUAGGAUAUUUCAUGGCAUCAUUCAUAUUGAAUUCUAUAACCUCUCCAUCAAACUCCAUAGUGAGAGUCCCUUUAUGUAUAUCCAUUUUAGUCCUAGCAGUCUUAAGAAAAGGUCUUCCUAGCAAAAUUGGGAUAGAAUUAGAGGAGUUAUCAUCUUCCAUAUCAAGUACAUAAAAAUCAGCAGGAAAAACCAACUCAUUAACUUGUACUAAGACAUCUUCUAAUACCCCAUCAGGAUAUGCAUUAGACCUAUCAGCUAGUUGAAUUAUCACACAAGUUUCUUUUAAUGGACCAAUAUUCAAAGAUGAAUAAAUGGAACGAGGCAUGACAUUAAUAGAAGCUCCUAGAUCUAACAAAGCCUUUUCAACUCUAACACUACCAAUUUUACAAGGGAUAGUAAACAUACCUGGAUCCUUGCACUUAGGAGGUAGUUUCUUUUGAAGAACUGCUGAAACAUUCUCCCCCAUGUGAACUUUUUCAUCUCCUCUUAAUUUUCUCUUGGAGGUGCACAGUUCCUUAAGGACUUUAGCAUAUCGAGGUAUUUGUUUUAUAGCAUCUAAUAAAGGAAUAUUUACCUCAACCUUGCGAAAUGUCUCAAGGAUGUCUUUCUCUUGUUCCUCCUUCUUGGAUUUUACAAAUCGGCUUGGAAAAGGAGGAGGUAUCACAAUAGGUAGGGGUUUCGCUUUGGUGGGUUGCGCAUCUUGAGAUUUAGGUAUCAAUUCAUUCUUCUCAAGCUCAUCUUCUACAUGCUUUGUCACUUUCUUACUAGGCUCUUGCAACUCCUUCCCACUUCUAAGGAUGACAGCACUAACGUUUUGCUUUGGAUUCACCUCAGAUUGUGAAGGCAAUCUUCCUAAUACUUGAGACUCCAGACGGCUUACUGUAGUCGCCAAUUGACUCAUUUGGUUCUCCAAGUUCUGAAUGCUUGUUGUAGUUGCCUGCUGAAAUUGUUGAGUGUUAGUCGCAAGUGAUUUAACAAUUUCUUCAAGAGAUAUACCUGACUUGGAGUUUGACUGUGGAGGUGUUGGUUGUCUUGGUGGAUACUGUUGUGGGAAUCCUGACGGCCUAAUGCCAUAGCUGAAGUUUGGAUGAUCCUUCCAUCCCGGAUUGUAUGUUUGUGCAUAAGGAUCAUACCUCCUCUGAGGCAUGCCUGGAAAUCCUCCAACUGCAUUGGCUUGUUCAACGGGUUCUUCUUGAAGUGUAGGACACAUAUCAGUUGAAUGACCCAUAUUGUAACAAAUACCACAAGUCUUCACCUGUUGCACAUUACCUACAACAAACUUUUCCACAAGAGAAGUGAGUUUAUCUAAACGUUGUUCAACAGAAGAAAUAUUUACCUCAUUCACAUUCCUUAAGGUGGCAUCUUGUCUGCUGCCAAAUUGUUGUGCAUUGGCAGCCAUAUUUGAUAUCAACUCCCUUGCUUGAGUAGGAGUCUUGUUCACCAACACACCUCCACUAGCAGCAUCUAUCAUACUCCUAUCCAUCAAUGAUAGUCCUUCGUAAAAAUAUUGAAUAAGAAGUUGAUCAGAAAUCUGAUGCUGAGGACAACUGGCACACAAUUGUUUGAAUCGCUCCCAAUACUCAUACAAAGUCUCCCCAGGAAGUUGUCUGAUCCCACAAAUAUCUUUUCUGAUGUUGGCAGCUCUUGAAGCAGGAAAGUACUUCUCGAGGAACUGCUUCUUCAAACCAUUCCACGUUGUAAUCGAUUCAGGAGGCAAGUAGUACAACCAAUCUUUAGCUAGCCCAUCUACAGAGAACGGAAAAGCACGCAGCUUAAUCUGCUCUUCAGUCACGCCUUGUGGCCUCAUACUUGAGCACACAACAUGAAACUCCUUGAGAUGUUUAUGAGGAUCUUCACCUGCAAAACCAUGAAACUUGGGUAAUAAGUGAAUAAGACCAGACUUUAAUUCAAAAUUUACCUCCAAGUCUACAUAUUGAAUGCAGAGUGGUUGUUGAUUCAAGUCUGGGUCAGCUAACUCUCUAAGAGUUCUUUCUACAGGUGCAGGUCUAUCCAUCACUUGUUCUUCUGAAUCGCUAGAUGAUUCAACUAAAUCAGGCACCGUAUCUGUUUCAGAAAGCAAAGGCGACGAGGAUCGUUGCUUAGCUCGUUUUGUCUGCUGUCUCAGCUGGCGAGCUGUCUUCUCAAUUUCAGGAUCAAACGAAAGUGUACCUGUACGAGAAGAACGAACCAUACACCAAGUAAAACGUAAAAAGGAUUAAAUAAAUGACACCAAUCCCCGGCAACGGCGCCAAAAUUUGAUGGGUGUCGAAGCCAACAAAAAUAAAUUCCUACUCUAAAUAAAUUGUGUAUAGUGAUUGAGCAGGGUCGUGUCCACAGAGAUCGGUAAUUAUUUAAAUCCUUUUGAAACGUAAAACGUAAAAUGGGGGAAUUGUUGACAAUAAUAAAAAUCAAAUUAAAAAUAACAAGAAUGCAAAUUAAAGUUGUAAUUCAAAUUGGAGAAAGCUCUGGUUGAAGGAAUUAACUCAGCUUGAUUCGACUACUGAUCAUUGAUUCAAAUAUAGAUGAUUAUUACUCAUGAAUAGACUGGUUAUAGCUACUGAGACCCUCUAAUAGCCAAUCUCUCCUUAACUAGUCGAUAACCAAGGUACGACCAUUGGUUAUUUCCCUAAUCAAUAGACAACCCUAGAUACGAUCAUAGAAUUUAAUCAAUUGACAGCCUGAAAAACCAGAGAGACCCAAAUCCUAAUCAACACAUAUGAUGAUUCAUUUAAAUUAGAUUGUUUAUUCUCACAACACAACUCUCUGCUAUGUUAUUUGUCACAAGCAUUAAAUUCUUCAUACGAUGAAUCCUUUAAUUGACAAUAGAUUAAGUUGAUAAUUAAAUAGUGGCCAAUUACCUAAUUAACAAACAUAAUCAUGAAAAUAAUUUAGAGAAUAAACAAAUACCCAAAAAGCAAUAAAACAAUUAAAGCACAAGAAAGAUCUCACAGUAGUGAUGAAUCAAAGCUUCAUUAUCCUUCAACUAGAAAAAUAGGUUUAGUUCUUCAUAGAGAGAAGAGAAAAAUUAAAUCUAGGGUUUCUUUCUUUUUCUCCAAUCCAAAAAAUCCCCCCUUUUUCACAAUUGAUUCCUCCCUUAAAUACUCUCUCUCUCUUCUCUUUUAGAGUUCUAUUUAAAAUAAAAUACUAAUAUCUAAAAUAUUAAAUUCGUAAUUACAAAAAUAGCCAAAAAUAUAAAACACGUUAAACUAAAAACUGCAGGUCCGCAAUUGACAGCACGCGCCCACGCCUUAUCAACAAAGUUCUUCUGCCGCUCAUAAUUUCUCCAAGGGAACAAUCAUCCCUAAACAUCAUCUUGUAGCUCAAUUUUAUCACCAAUCAAUAGAAUUGCACCUACAAAAGUAAAUCACAGGUAAAUCACUAUUAUUAAAUGCAAAACAUCGAUAUUAAGGGAAGUAAACAAUGCAAAACUAGUGCAUAAAUUGCACUCUAACAACGAGAUCAAAACAUAUUUGGAGUGCAGAUAUAUAUCAGCAACCGAAGCUUGCUAACGAAUCUUCUAAUUUGACAUACAUUAAAGAAAGCCGGCAGUUGAAAGAUUGCCGUUCCAUUUACCGGGAGAGCAUACAGUAAUAUUCGAAGAAUCCAAGUGCUUAGAAAAUGUGCUUACCAUACCUGGAAUAGAAAAAACAAAGUUCACAGAAUGGUUGCAGGCAAACAAGAAUUAUGAUGAUGCACGAGAGCUAACUUAUUCUAAUUUCCCUACAUGUUGGGUAUGGAAUUCAAAAGACAAAACUUGGACUAGGAGAAAAAAUGGCUUAGCAAUUAGAAGAAUUUACUUUGCACAUCCUUCAAGUGGAGAACGAUUUUAUAUGAGAAUGUUGCUCAAUUUUGUAAAAGGAAGCACUUCAUUUGAAAGUACUAGAACAGUAAAUGGAGUGACAUAUCCAACUUUUAAAGCUGCGUGCUAUGCUUUGGGAUUAUUAGACGAUGAUAAAGAAUGGAUCGACUGCUUGACUGAAGCUGCAAUAUGGGCGACUGGAAAUGAAUUAAGACAUCUUUUUGUCACGAUACUCAUUCAUUGUCAGGUUUCUGAUGCAUCCCAACUUUGGAAAUCUAAUUAUACUAGUUUAUCAUAAGGCAUAACUUCAUUGCAAAGGAAAAGAUUCAGAUUGAAAGAUCUUCAGUUAACCGAGCAACAAGUUGAAGCAUACACAUUGUUGGAGAUUGAAACUAUCAUGUUGAAAAUGGGAAAAAGUUUAAGAGACAUAGAUGGAAUGCCACUUCCUAAUUCUUCUUUGAUAAGAGAUUCAGGUAACCGAUUGGUCAAUGAAGAGCUUGAUUAUGAUCGUGAUCAAUUAAAGAAGUUGCAUGAGAAAUCAUUUACUGCUCUAAAUGCUUGCAAAAAAUCAGCCUAUGAAGCAAUAAUGCAUUCUGUUGAGAAUGAAGAAGGGUGUUUAUUUUUUAUCAAUGGACAUGGUGGUACUGGUAAAAUAUUUUUGUGGAAUACAAUUAUUGCAAAGCUCAUAUCACAUUCUAAAAUAGUCUUGCCUGUUGCAACUUCAGGUAUAGCAGCUUUGUUAUUGCCUAAUGGUAGGACAGCUCAUUCGCGAUUUCAUAUUCCUUUGGAUGUGAUAGCAGAGUGCACUUGUGAAAUCCGACAAGGCACCUUAUUAGCUGGACUUCUUAUGAAAACUUCUUUGAUCAUUUGGGAUGAAGCGCCUAUGGCACAUAAGUUCUGCUUUGAAGCUUUGGAUAAGACCUUGAGAGAUAUUCUAAGAACAAGGUAUGAAAAUACUUCUAUCAAACCUUUUUGAGGACUUACAAUAGUAUGUGGUGGUGAUUUCCGUCAAAUAUUGCCAGUUGUGCCAAAGGGGACAAGAGCAGACAUUGUUGACGCUUCACUUAACUCAUCCUACUUAUGGCCAUUUUUCAAAAUUUAUGAGCUCAAACAAAAUAUGAGGCUCUAUAAUGGAAGCAUGAGUGGCUCUGAGGCUGCUAAAAUAGCUUCUUUUGACAAAUGGUUGUUACAGAUUGGAGAUGGUUCAUUAUAUGAUGACAUUGAUAGAGAGUUAGUUAAACUACCUUCUGAUAUCUGUAAGAAACCAUAAAAAAAUCUAAUGAAAUCAAUAGUCGACACUAUCUACCCAUCAAUUCUACAUAAUUACAGUGAUCCAACAUAUUUGAAAGAAAGAGCAAUAUUAACGCCAAAAAAUGAAAUGGUGCAUGAAUUGAACGAGAUGAUUAUGAAUAUAAUACCUGGUCAAGGGAGAACCUAUUUUAGCUCAGACAGUAUAUGCAAAGCAAGCGCAAACACAAAUGAUGAAGAUGUUCUGUAUCCAACUGAAUUUUUGAAUAGUUUGAAAUUCAAUGGCAUCCCUAAUCAUGACAUACGACUUAAGGAAGGUGCUCCCGUAAUGCUUCUCAGAAAUCUAAAUCAAAUAGAAGGCCUAUGUAACGGCACAAGAUUGAUUGUAACUCGUCUUAGUAAAUGGUCCAUUAGAGGUGACAUCAUUUCUGGAACAAAUAUUGGACAAAAUGUCACAAUUCCAAGAAUUGUUAUGUCUCCUAAUGAAUCAAGAUGGCCAUUCAAGCUUAACAGACGGCAACUUCCUUUGGCACCAUGUUUUGCCAUGACGAUCAACAAAAGCCAAGGACAAUCUCUUAAACAUGUUGGCUUGUAUCUCCCUAAGCAAGUAUUCACACAUGGUCAAUUAUAUGUCGCCGUAUCUCGAGUUACCACAAGAGAAUGAUUGACCAUACUAAAUGCUGAUCAAGAGGUAGAAGACCGAACCUUCAUAAAAAAACAUUGUCUACAAAGAAGUAUUUCAAAAUAUUCACACAUUAGCUCACAAAAUCAAGGUAUCACAUUUUUAGAUUAUAUUUUAAAAUUUAAUUUAUACAUUGCAAGCUCUUACUUCACCCUAUAAUAAUGAUUUUUAUUAUGUGUUUUAAUUAUUCAGUAGACAAAUGAAUAAAUCAAAGGAACUAUCGAGACAGCAAAAUGGUAGUUUGGUUGAGUUUUCCAAGCUAUUAUGGAGAAUUUAAUCGCCAAAGAACAUAGUACGUGAAGAAGCAUUCCUUUUUACAUCAACUAUUUCUCCUUUCAUUCUCUCUAAUCCAUGGAGACAUGGUUUAUAUACAGAUAAAGAACAUUUUGGCACUAGGUGUUGCUGAUCCCCAUUGGAACUUGCCAUAGCUGCAAGCUUGAUAUAAACAACUGCUCACCUACGCAGCUACAAACGAUGCAAAAUAACUUACAGAAGUCUUUACAUGUAUUUUACUUAUUUCUUUUAUAAUUCAACGCAUUGCUAAGGAUCCUCAAUUACAAAAUUUAAUUUGGAACUUAUCAACUACAAAAGGUAUAAGGUCUGUACACCUAGACUAUACACGUUAAUAUAUAUAUUUAAAGUUAACAAAAAAAUAGUUAACUUUCAUAAAUAACAUUAGUUUUAUAAGGCUACCUCAUUUUAAAAAAAAUCAAUUUAUAUUUUUUAUCAGUUUUAUUGAGUAUAAAGAAAGAAAAAUUGAUAAUACUAAAUUCAUUUUCUAAAGCCGCGCGAAGCGCGGUUUUAUUUCCUAGUAUAUAUAUAAAGCUGGGACUAUAAGAGGUGAUGUGACAUCACCAUUUCUCAUCUUUGUAUAUUUUCUAUUAUCUAAUAAAUAGAGAAUUUUUCUUUCAAAUUUGGCUUUUCAUCUUCUCAUAAUUAAUUUGAUUGUUAUUACAAUUAUGUAAAUGUUUUAAUGAGGCAUAUUCUUUAUAAUGAACAUCCAAUGGGGAGUGUUAUAAAUUUAUUAAAAUAAAUGUGGAUGUUCAUAACAUAUAUCUCUUAGUCUCUCCACUAUCUCUCAUUAGCAACCUUUAGCUUCUCUGUAACUCCCACAAUCUCACAAGGAAUUAUGAUCCAUAAUUUUUCAUUAAUUUCAUGGAGUGAUUAUGUAACUACAAAAGGAGAGCUCAUCUUUUUGUUUUGUAUACACAAUUGGAAUGAAUAAAAUCACUCUAAAAUAUAUUCUCUCAUUUUAUUCUUUAUCUUGCGUUGCUUCUUUAUUUGUGUUGUUGGCUAAUAGUUUUUUUUUUAUUUAAACCACCCGGUUUCCGACGACCGCAUUGGAUACUUCUACUGCAUUCAACAUUUCUAAUUUUUAUUGGUUGAUAUACGUGUGAAUGACAACACAAUCCUCUGAGGUAUUUUUUUAAUUAUUAAUGUUUGUUAAUCUUUAAGUGUAUAUUAGAAAUUAUUGAUCCUUAUGUUUUAACAUAUUUAUGUUAUUUUCCCAUAAUAUUACAGAUGUUGUCGGAAGUUUAUGUGGUGUGGGUGAUAUUGAGAUUGUUGGAGCUGGUUGGAAAAAAAGACAUAUAAAAGUUCUAAAAGAUUAGCAAGUUGAAUAUAAUUUGGAACUUAUCAACAACUACAAAAGGUAUAAGGUUUGUACACUUACUAUACACAUUAAUAUAUAUAUAUUUAAAGUUAACAAACAAAUAAUUAACUUUAAUAAAUAACAUUAAUUUUAUAAGGUUGCCUCAUCUUUAAAAAAAAUCAAUUCAUAUUUUUUAUCAGUUUCAUCAAGUGUAAAGUAAGAAAAAAUGAUAAUACUAAAUUAUUUUUUUAAAGCCGCGUGAAAUGCGGUUCUAUUUUCUAGUAAUUUAUAAACCGAGGCCGGGCCCCAAGUCUUUUAAUUUUCUUCCUUUCUUUCCAUAUUUGUCGUUGGGUUAUAAACUUCCCCAAUUCUACCUUUUAUGUGCACGUGAAUCAUGACAUACCCCUUGAGUCAUGCUUUCAAGUUAUAAUUCCUUUCAAUCUUUGCCACGGCUUCAAGUCUCAAAAUCACACAGCAAUACAUCAUAACCCGAAAAUUUAUAAAUAAUCAAUAAUAUAUAAAUGUAAUCAUCUAUUGAAUCAGUUCAUUAUUUAUUCGUAUUGCAAGCAUCACCCCUAUCAUUCAUAGUUUUCACUUUUUAGUGAUGUUCACAAAAUCCUAACCAUACUAUGCAAUUGAGAUAUGAUCAAUAACACUUUGAUAACAUAUUUUAAAAAACAUAAAUUCUUCUAUAAAAAGUCAUUAUUCUGGGGGUUAAUUUCCAUAGGUUUCUAUUAGUUAAUUUUUUCCAACUAUUUUUGAUGAAAUUAGAUAGAUUUGCCUUCAUAUUUGGGGCAAAUAGUUUCAGCGAAUCAUGAAUAAGCUUCCACACAUUUUAGAAAUCUUAUCUUUUUUAAUUUUAUACUUUUUCUUUAAUUUGCAUUUUGGUUCACAUGACCAAAAAUUAAGUUCCAUGCGUUUUUCAAUUUGUGGAAAUUCAGUUUUUUUUUUUUGUGGAAAUUUCGGUGGAGUCAAUAUGGCUAGAAAUUCGUAGAAGGAUGAAUCAAAAUACUCAAUUAUUGUUGUAGACUUGUAAGGCAGCUAACGGAGUCCACACGUUUCAAUGUUUGUUUACAGUUCAGCUUUCCCUUUGAUUAGUUAUCAAAAUAGAAACAUGAUUAUCAAUUUCAACUGUAUGUCUUUCAUGCCUUAACUUUCUUCCUUUCUUUCCAAAUUUCUCAUUUUGCUUUAAUUUUCCACAAUUUACCUCCACGAAUUGAUUGACCUGUUACCCACCACACUUCAAUACUAAUAAUAAUAAAUAAAUUCUUCAAGCAAUUGACAUUUGACCCACCCCACUUCAAUAAUAAUGCUAAUGGGACAUCAUAAAUUCUUCUAUUCAAAUAUAAUACUCAUGACUUUGACGGCCGAAACAUGUUUCAUGGCACAAAUAAUGACGGUUUUGUUUGAGGUACGGUGGAGGUGUCUAUUCAAAUAUUUGAAGCCAGCCCCUCGUUUUAUCUAAACCACAAGCAGGCUCAGCCGAAAUUGUUUAAUAUUUUUAUUUUUUCAAGAAACUCUCACUAUAAGGCUUAUGUGAAAAUUUGGUUGACAGUUUAUGUAUUUAAUUAUUUAUUUUACCACACAUGUCAUGUGUAGGUUUUAUUUACCUUGAGCAGUGGUCAAUGCAUUAGACCCAAGAUAAAGUGUGUUGAGGUAGGGGAAUUAAUGAUCGCAUUAGCUGUAGCACCUAUCUUCAAUCUCUAAUUUUAACUUUCUAUAGAUGAAGUGUUUUCAAAUUCCUCAAAUGUCUGUAAUCUGUUUAAUAAUUGAAGAAAGUUAAAAUUCAUUUUCUAAAUUUAAGGUUAAACUCCCAAUAAAAAAUUUUAUUUUCAUUCAAUAUUGUCAUUAGAUGGUAAUCACUUUGUACGAGAGAUUCCAAAAAAUUUGUCUCAUUGCUCCUCACUAGAAAGAUUGUAUCUUAGUGAUAAUAAUCUCUUGGUAGGAUUUCACAAUGGUUGGAUAAUCUUUCAACAUUACAACAUUUUAUAAUGCUCAAGAAACACAUUCUUGAAGGUCUUAUUUCAAUGGAGUUUUAUCAGCUUGAUUCUCUUCAAAUUUUGGACAUUUCAAACAAUAAUGUAUUUAAGAGUUUAUUAUCUUGUUUACAUAAAAAUAUAUGCCUAUAGGCAGGUAAAAGAAGGUACAUUUUUUAAUUACUCUUCCUUAGGGACAUCAUAUCUUAGCUAUAGCCACUUGAAUGAGAUCAUUUCAAGUUGGGUUGAUAGGCUUUCUCAAGCAAGCCACUUCAUACUGACCCACAAUAAUCUUAAAGAUGAAGUAUCUGCUCAGUUGUGCCGAUUGAACCAAUUGCUAUUGAUAAAUCAUGCUGAUAACAGUCUUUCCAGCCAUAUUCUUCAUUGCUUAAACAAGUGAACUUGUUUCAUUGAGAGAGUAGUGAAACAAGGAAAAAAAAAAGUUUUGACUUUUAUCAGUUAGUUGACUGUUAAGUAAAAAGUAUGCAAAUAUCAUUUUAUACUUUAGAUUGUUAAAAACUAAUGGAAAAAUAACGUCAUUUGAGGAUAAAUUGAAAUUUUCAUACUUUUAAAAAGUAAAGUGAAAAUUAUCAUUCUAAGUGUGGAUAAAUUAAAGUUACACUCAUAAAAAACACAUCUAAUAAUUUAUACACCAAGGCAGGCCCAAGUCUUUCAAUUUUCUUCCUUUCUUACCAUACUUAUCGUCCUGUAAUAAAUUUCCACAGUUCUACCUUUUUUGUACACAUGAUUCAUGACAUACUCCAUGAGUCAUGCUUUCAAGUUAUAAUUCCUUUCAAUAUUUGCCACGUUUGCAAGUUUCAAAAUCACAUAGUAAUAUGUCAUAACAAGUCCGAAAAUUCAUAAAUAAUCAAUAAUAUAUAAAAGGAAAUUAUCCACCGUCUAUCCGUUUUUUCAACUUUUUCAAAAAUACACAAUUUUUUUUUUUUUUGCUGGAAUCCACCUGAAGUUACAUUUCUUUUCACUUUUCCACUUCCGUUUGGAAUCCGUUAAGGAAAUUAAGGGAAUAUUGUUAAAUGACUUUUUUACCCUCAAAUGUAAAAGAUAAUUUAUCCAUCGACCACUUGUUUUUUCGUAUUUUUUCAGAAAUACACAAUUCUUAAUUUUUUUUUUGCUGACCUCCACUCGAAGUUGUAUUGUUUUACACCUAUCCACCACUGUGUCGUUGUAAAAUGAUGAUUUACCCUUAUAAUGUUAGCAAAGUUAUAACGGUCUCCAAACGGAAGUGGAAAAGUGAAAAGAAAUGUAAUUUCAGGUGGAUUCCAGCAAAAAAAAAAAAGAAUUGUGUAUUUUUGAAAAGCAGUGAAAAACGGGUGGAUGGUGGAUAAUUUCCCAUAUAUAAAUAUGAUCAUCAAUUGAAUUUGAAUCAGUUCGUUAUUUGUUCAUAUUGCAAACAUCACCUCUAUCAUUCAUAGUUUUCACUUUUUAGUGAUGUUCACAAAAUCCUAACCACACUAAGCAAUUGAUAUUCAAUCAAAGACACUUUGAUAACAUAUUUUAAAAAACAUAAAUUCUUCUAUAAAAAGUCAUUAUUCUAGGGGUUAAUUUCUGUAGGUUUCUAUUAUUUAAUUUUUUUCCAAUUAUGUUUUAUGAAAUUAGAAGAUUUGUCUUCAUAUCUAGGGUACUUAGUUUUAGUAAAUUAUGCAUCACCUUCCACACAUUUUAGAAAGAUGAUCUUUUUUUUAAUUUUAUACUUUUCUUUCAUUUACUUUUUGGUUCAUAGGGCCAAAAUUUAAGUUCCAUGCAUAUGCAUUUUGUGGAAAUUCAGUUUUUAUUUUUUUAUUUUGUGGAAAUUUCGGUGGACUCAAUACGGCUAGAAAUUCUUAGAAGGAUGAAUCUAGGGCAGCUAGCAGAGUCUACGAGUUUUAAUGUUUGUUUACAGUUCAAUUUUCCAUUUGAUUAGUUAACAAAAUAGAAACAUGAUUAUCAAUUUCAACUAUAGUUCUUUCAUGCCCUUAACUUUCUUCCUUCCUUUCCAUAAAUUCUCAUUUUGCUUUAAUUUUUCACAAUUCUACCUUGGAUGGUGUUGAUUCAAAUUUUUUCUCAAUGUACAAUGAUUGAUUUGUGUUUCGGACAUUCUUCUAAAUCGAGUUCUGUGGCAUAUUUUUUUCCUUGAGGCGAGUGUCUCAAAUCAUAUGUCUCCUUGUGGUUAAUUAUUUUGUAAAAAGAAACAAUUAUCAAAGGGUGCCGACAUGCCGGCAAUAACCCUCCGACACUCAAGUUAGUUCUUUUUACUCAAGUUUUAAAGAGAGAGAAUCUAGAGCAAGAUGGGCAGAGUUUUGCUCGCAUUUUAUGCCUUUUUUCCUCUUACUUUCAAAUGCCGGUCUUGGCCUUUAUAUAGACAACUUAGAGUCAAUUGGAGAGAUUAUGUGGCACUUUUCUUGUGACAAGUGUCAGCCAAAGUCCAUGCAUGGCGACAUAUAUUCAUAUGUGUCAAUACUUGCUCAUGACAAAUAAUCUUUGGACAUUUGUCAUGUUUUUGGGCUAUUAACCUUUAAUGGACUUUAGCUUAAAUUCGGCACUUAUAUUGGUUUCUUACAAAGAGGAUUGAUUUUGCAACAUUUUGCCCAUAAGCACAUUCCGCAAAAUGUUUGUUAGCCAGUAGGUGUUGAGUGUUAGAAAAUGUAUAUUUAUAAAGGAGAAAAUCAUCAUUUUACAUUUCAAGUUUUACUAACAAUCCUUACUUUUAUGUAUUUAAGCUUCUUGCAAUUUAAUUAUGUGUGUUUGAUUUUAAUUAAGUAUUUUAUGUAUUUUAGGGGCAUCAUGGUUAUUUCACAAUAAACGAGAGAUCAGACGGCAAAACGAAUAUCACUUUUGAACUUAGGACGGUCGAAAACCUUAGGAGGAGCAUAAAAGAAAAAAUGGCACUAUUCACAUGUACGGUAUUAUUCACGUGUACGGUACUGUUUACGUUACUGUUCAUAAUACUGUUCACAUAGACGGAUUGAUGACGUGGCAUUGACUGAUGAGGUGUCACGAUCCUGUUGGGCUAAAAUUCUUAUGUACUGUUGAUGGUGACGUGGCAGCAUAUCAGUAGACGAAAAAAUCUCGCGUACGGUACAUGCAUCACACAGGAUUAUUUUCAACCAAACCGCGUCACUGUUCAACCCAGGUCAAACCGUGUUACUGUUCAUCCACGUGGUCAAACCGCGUACUGUUGACUGAUGACGUGGCGCAAUCCUGAGCGUCCAAACUGUUUUUAAUCCGAUAGCCAUGAUUUACUUCAUGUAUCUAUAAAAAGGGGGCCUCUCCCCCCUAAUUGGAUAGCUCUGAAUCCAUUUUUGGGAUCCAUUUUUUGUAAUUCCUUCUCCAUUUUGUAUUUUCUACAUAUUUUAAUAAUUCCCAUUUUGCCCCUAGUUCAAUUAUGAGUGGCUAAUUUUCUUUCAAGCUUGGGUUGAAGGUGAAGUCUCAACAUGUGUCAUGGGCUUAAUUUGGUAGAUUUACUUUCUCUUCCCAUCUAAUUUUUGUGGAUGUUUUGACUUCUCGUCGACAAAUAAUACUAAUCUUGUCUAGUACCGCCUUGGUUUCACCGGCUCCGUAGUACAAGGUUAUUAUUAUUUGGCACGAUAAGCCCUUAGCACCAUAUUGAUUAGAGUGUGGUUUAUGAGGUGUGGAUUUCCCCCUUAUGAUUUAAUUGAUAUUAAUAAGGAAUAUUUAGCCCAUGGUACAUGUUGAUACGGAUUCAGAUACCCAAGUACGUCAUUUCAAUAGAAUUCUCUUCAAUUUAUUCUCGCCAUUUCAAUUCCAAUUUUAGAAUUUAUUCUCGCCAUUUUAAUUUAAAUUUUAGCAUAUUCCAAAUCAUUUCCACCACAAAUCCAAUCACCCAUUUACAAAAUUAAUUCUACACACAAUUAAAAUCCACCUCCUCGUGGGAUCGACACUCGUCACCAUUAGUCUAUACUACAAUAGAUUCGUGCGUUUGCGAGUACAUUAAAAUUUGCACAGCAGUAGGCUCGCUCCGUGGAAUGUUUGUUGGCCCGUUGGCACAUUCCAUAAAAUGCAUAUAUUUGCCCGUAUGCACAUAUUGUAGAAUGUAUAUUUCUUCGUAGGCGCAAUCUGCCCGUAGCCGCCAUCCGUAGAAUGUGUAUUUGUCCAUAGGCCUAUUGCAUAGAAUGUGUGUUUGCCUGUAGACCCAUUCCGUAGAAUGUGCAUUUGCCCGUACGCCCAUUUCGUAGAAUGUGUAUUUGCCCGUAGGCUCAUUCUAUAGAAUGUAUAUUUGCCCGUAGGUGCACUCCGAGUAGCUCAUGUGCUCUUAGAAAUAUUUUUGAAGUGUCUAGAUCAUGAACGGACCUAGGUCAUUUUUUGUGAGGAAUGGACCUAGGUCGUUCUUUGUAAAAAAUAGACCUAGGUCCUUCUUUGUUGAAUCAUGCCUUUGGCACUUUGUGAAGACUCGUAAGGAAUGGACUUAGGUCAUUCUUUGUAAGCAAUGAACGUAGAUCAUUCUUUAAGACUUAGGUUUUUCUAUGAUAAAUCACGCUUUUGGCUUUUUGUCGUGUCUUGCAUUUAGACACUUUAGUUAGAAUUGUAAAUACCUUGGCCAUUCUUAUAGAGAACACACAUGGGUUAUUUUAUAUAAAAUAAUUUUAUUGGGCCUAUAUUUUUUGUGGGUUUUGGACCUUUCAUAAUUUGGGCUAACAGAGGCCCCCGAAGUCUUACUUUUCAAUUUUGAGAAGUGAGACUUUUUUUGUACUUUUUUUUAGGCUUUUCUUUGGCUUUUCUUAUUACAAAUUAAAUUUUAAGGCUUGAAAUUUCUCUAAGGCACCUAUCCUAUUAAAAUUAGUCUACAACCAAUCUCACAUACUUCAUUUAAUGAUUUGUAGCUCUCUACAAUCUAUCUUAAUUUAACAAUUAUUGAAAAGUAUAAAAAUAAGGAGUUAGUAAAAGUAUCAUUUAAAAAGAGAUACUUGACUUUUUCUAAAUAGUAUGUGAGAAUUUUCUGACAAUUCUUUGGCGAGCUACUGUUGAAGCUCUUCGAGUGCUCAUCGAUCUAAGAAGCAAUGCCAAAUCUUUUCCUGAAAGGUCAUCUUUGAAACUGAAUUGCUUCAAUGGUAAACAUUUUUGUAGAUAGCGAUCCCAGUCAAUUCUCAUAUAUACUUACCCUUAGGCAUUUUGGUUGAGAUCAACCAAAGCUGUAGUCAACAUCCGCCCUUGGAAGAUUUAGUCAAUAGUUGCCCCUAAGCUUUUUGACAUUGGCUUUAAGGUGUUUCUCGUCAACACUAACUCUCGGACGUUUUUAUCUAAAACAUGUCAUUAGGUGUUUCAGACAAUCAUUUGCCUUUUAAUGUUUCACUUAGAAUAUUUUCCCUCAGGUCUAUUAUUAUAAUUCGCUUGUGGACGGUUUCCUUCAAAAAUUAAUUUGAAGUAAUUGGACCUAGGUCAUCCUUUAAAAGAAAGGACCUAGGCCCUUUUAUCAUAAUUUACUCGUGGGCAGUUUCGUAGAACUUAGCCCGUAAGCAUUCUCUUUAGAAUGAUUUUUCUAAGAAUUGGACCUAGGUCAUUUUUUACAAGAAUGGACCUAGGUCUUUUUAUUAUAAUUCGCAUGUGGGCACUUUUUAUAGAAUACUAAUUCUAAGUGAUUGGACCUAGAUCAUUCUUUGAAAGAAAGGACCUAUAUCUUUUUAUCAUAAUUCAGCCAUAUAUGGUUUCCUUAGAAGAUUAAUUCUAAGUAAUUUGACGUAGGUCUCUUUAUUAUAAUCCGCCCGUAGGCACUUUCCUUAGAAAAUUGAUUUUAAGUAAUUGGGCUUAAGUCUCUUUUUAAAGGAAAUGACGUAGGUCUCUUUUUAAAUUGAUUCUAACUUUGUCACUACUUUGAUUGCAUCAAGUGAUGAAUAAUGUCGUAAUCAGAAUUUUCAAGGGGGUAUUUGGGAAUAUUGCCCCCUUCAGAGUUUUAAAAGCCAGAGAAAGAAGACUUUUUGUAUUGUAUGGUACCAUGGUAUGCCCCGUAUGCCUUUCUUAAUGAUAAAGUAGCAGAUUCUCCUUCAAUUUAAUUUCUUUUUGUUCCAAGCCAAAAUAAAAAAAUUUCUGCUCACUAGCCGUACUCUGUUCUUGAUGAACAUUAGGAGGCAGUUCAAGACAUGGAUUCUCAAAGUCAAUUGUAUCGAUGAUACUUGGGUGUGUAUGACAUUUUUAUUAAUAAUUUUAAUCAUUCAUUGAUAAAUUCUUCUAUUAACAAAAAUAAUUUCUCCAAAAUUAAUUUUUCUACUCGCAGACCAUACUUUGUUCUUGAUGAACAUUAGUUGGUACUUCAAAACGUGGAUCCUCAAGUCAAAACGGUAAAUUUUUUUCAUCAGUGAAUCAUUAACUAAACAAGUGAUCUUAGAUUUCAUUCUUGUGUCUAUGAUAUGUGGGUGUGACUGACAUUUGAGGAACAAUUACAAGAGUGAAAAAGGAGAAUACAUAAUAUAUUCAACCACUAAAAAUAAAAGUCAUUUUUAUUUUAUUCCAUCUUACUCGAAUUUGAUACAACUAGUGGGUGUGUUGUAACUAAUCUUAUUUGUCCCUUUGAAAUAACCGAUAAUAAUCUUAUCACCGAAUGUUUAACAGACUCGUAACGUCAUAACGUAACUACCACGUCAAGCAAACACGUGGACUCAGCCGUGAACUACAACCGCAUAACCGUUACAUAUAUAGACUAGUAUGAAGCGGUGGAGUUAAAGCAAGCGUUUAAGAAGUGAUUUAAGCUGAUGCAAGCGUAAAGUAUGAGACGAAUAAAACAACAUACAAUUCAACAAAAGUCUAACAUGCCCUGUUCAAACUUAUAAUUUUCUACUAUUACCUUACCCGACAAUACAAUCCAAGUAGCUGGCAGCCACACCGCAAACUUCCACUAUCAUCUUCUCCUUUCAAACUUAUAAUUUUCUUUUUUCUUUUUUAUUUUCUGGAAAGAGCUGGCUUUCCUUGAUUUUUGCUUUUUGUCAACAAUUAUUCAUGCCUUUUUAUUUUUCUCCAUCACACUUUUUUUCUUUCCCAACUUCCACGAGCUGAGCCGUCGUCGCUUUUUGAAAGAAACAGUAUGGAAGCUAUCAAGAAACAGGCAAUCAAGCUCCGAGAACAAGUCGCCAAGCAGCAGCAAGUCCGUUUCUUUUCUUUUUUUGUUUUUAAAUUAUUUAGACUUUUAAUUAGUGAAAUUUCUCGAUUUUAUUUAUUUUUCAUUAGUUUUUUAUGGUUUGUACAGGCAGUAUUGAAGCAUCUGCUCCAUCUUGGCAUUGAAAAUGUUGCGGUUGAUAAAGCUGACAUUGAGUGUCACCAACAACUUCAAAAUCUAUACAAUUCCACCAGGGCAGCUAAGGCACCAUCCUCCUUUAGCUAAUAAUAAGACUCUGUUUGAUAUUGAUUUAUUGUGGCUUUUGGUAAUUAGAUAUGAUUUUUAAAUAAUAAUUUUGUCAAAUAUGGUACAAACAACUGUAUUUUCUAGACUGAAGUUGCAAGUAUUUACCAACGGAGCUUAAUGUAUGUUGAACAAUUAUGAUGGUUUGUAUGGUUUUAUCUGAACAAUAAUUUGGAAUAUAUGCUCUGUAGCGCAGCAUUUUCAGAGGAAUAUUGUCCGUGGCGUUGAAGGGUUUGUUGCAGUAAGCUUGAAACAAAUGGAAAUAUGUUGUUUGUUUGCUCUUGCUCUUGUUAUAAUAUUUGAUUUUUUUUUAUUUAUUUUCUUGACUAGUUCUUGUGUACAAUAUUUUUGUAUUCAAAUAUUGUAGCGAGAAAGUUGGCCGAAGAUUGUUGCAAGUAUGGAGCGGAGAAUCAAAGUGACAAUUCUUGCGUUGCAAGAGCUGCUCUUCAAUUUGGCACUUCACAUGAUUUGAUGGAAAAUGAGAGGGAAACUUUGCUUGGGAUUCUUCAUGAUCAGGUUAGUUCAUCCCUAACUAGAAAAUAAUUCAAAUAUAGAAAAUUAUAUGUAAAUUACUACGGAAACUAUUAUCUUCUCAUAAGGAAAUUUAGUUCUAAGAUAUUGAAUAAAAGAAUCCAUUUUAAAGUUACAACUCUGAAAUAUUUAAUGUUUUAUAUUAAAAUCAUUGCUAGUGACAUCCAUGACUUGAUAGUUUUAUUGGUUCAAAUGUUGAAGAGACCUUGUACUUCUUACAUCACUAGCGAAGACUGGCGUGGGACAAGUUAUUGGCCGUGAGUUCUCUCAAUUGACUCCAAGCAUUUUGGAUAAAGACAUUUGCAUCUGUAGUAAAAUCAAAUCCAUGAGACUGAAGGAUGCAUGGGGAAGUCUUACAACCUUUAUUUGCAUAGGUAGAUGCUGAGAAAACAUAUCAUCAACACGUUAUUGAUAUUUUAGAGAAGUUGUAUGCGGAGGUUUGGGACUAUGCAUUUUAACUUGCUUGUCCCCAUCUAUCUAUUCCUUGGAGCGUUCUCUUCUUGCUAUUUUCGUCUCACUUAUGCAAAAGAAUAAUUGUGACUUUUUAGUCCCUUCCAACCCUUGCUACUUGAAUUAGAUGAUCCUAUAGGAGCAAUCAAAUGAGUCCUCCUCGCAACAUGUGACUUUCGAAAUGGAUGUACAUGCCUCAUGUGUCUAUCAGAGUACUGAUUCAAAUGGAGCUGAUUUGCAAACGCAUAUUAAUCAGAAUGACGUCUACUUUAUAGCAAAAGUAAGGCUCCUGCUCUCUUGCAUAGGUGAAAGUCCCUCUAUUGCCCUCCUCCUGGAAAAUCUUAAGAAAUAAGAUGCGCACAAAAUUGAAUGCUGUCUUUUAAGAUUUUUUUUUUUAAAAAAAAAGAAUUUUGUUGUAUUUUACCAUGAAAGUUGUUAAUUUACUGAAUUACAAACUUAUCAAUUAAUUUGAUGUUGCACAGUCUUUUUCUUAACAUAUUGCAUUCAUAUUUUAAUUUUGGAGCAAUAAAAUUUUUUUUCUACUAUCACUACCAUCUGGGCAGGUAUUUGUAUUAUUGCACAACAUCUACGGAAGUAGUGAUUAGUCUUAAAAGUUGAAGAUGUCUGUCUGUAUCCUUUCAUCCUAGAUAAAUUGUCAUAUGAUCGUAGGACAAAUUGUAAUUAUUUUUUAAAAUUUAUUAGUUAACACCUUGAAAAUUCUUUUCCCCCAAAUAAAAUUACUCUAAAAGUGUCCAAAUGUGGUGCUGAGGAAGCCAUUCUUAGGAAACUUUAUUUAGGAGAACAGGACUUUUAAGCAUGAGGUUUAGCAAACACCAAUGAAUUAAAAAAGCGAUAGAUGUCGGAUGAGCUAGAUAGAAUGCAUGGGCUAGAAAUAUCAUGUGUCUCUACUAUCAAUAUCUUAGCAACAUCAAAGCUGAGUUAGGCAUGCCAAAGAAAGGCAAACCACUGAAAGUUGUGUAGCCACUCACGACGUAGCAGGUGAUGUAAAGUCUUGAUAUUGCUUAUAGAUACAAGACUGAUAGCUCAACAUCCCUCUUUUUGAGAUUUUCUCUUAAGUUAGAUGGGCCUUUUUAUGAUUAUGUCUGAAUUAUGAUUCUCCUUACUUGGUUUACCUAGAAAAACUAUGUUUAUAUGGAUGUGACUUGGGGGCAAUCUAUGUAUUUGAUGAUAAAUCUGGCCGAGAAAACUUAAAUUAUUAGGCAGAGGAAAUUGACUGACCAUAAGCUGUCAUGUUAAAUCCAUCACUUAAAAGAUGUCGGUCACUUGGAAUCCCCAUUAUCUAUGACUUUCUUGUGCAUAGGCCAUGUUUUGUGGAGAGCAGUCAAAAUUUCAGAUUUAAAAUCUUAUCCAUAAUUUAAAAAUGGAAUUUUGUUUCUAAUAUAUCUUUGUUGGCCAUAAUCAUUGUAGUUACAAUGAACGCUGCUGCUACUGCUGCUGCUUUUGUUAUGCUUUUUUAAAGAUUAAGUUCUAUUUAUCCUAGUAUCUUAUAGGUUAUACAUCCAUUUGACGCUCAAGCAAAUGGGGAGCUAAGUCUUUCAAUUGAUGAUUAUGUUGUGGUUCGCCAGGUACUUUCCCCUCUAAAUAACAACACAGAGAUUUUUCUACUAUGCUAUUAACUUAUCCUUCUAACAACUUAUGAUAUGUGGAAUUUAGAACUAAUGCUUAUACUAAUUUGAUGUUCAAAGCACAUGGCAUUUUGUUCUUAAAAUUUUGAUUGAAAAGCAAUGAGUUAACAUAUGAUGGUUGGUUUUCUUUCUUCCUACCAUAUAUUCCCUUUUAUAUUGAAGUGCAAAUCAGAAUAUAGUAGGGUUGCUAGCUCAGUUCUAAACCACCCAGUUUACCCUUAUAGAUAUGUGAAUUUAUAUCUUGUUAUGCUUCCAUGGUUAAUGUUGUUAUUUCAGUGAUCACAACUAAUUCACUCCUCCUACGUAAAAGAAUUAGUUUUCCCCUUAGGUCUUUGAACGGUCAACUUUUGUUUAAUUCACUGUUUUAGUUAUAACUUCUCAAGGUGGCUCUUAUGGAUGGUCGGAAGGUGAAUGCAAGGGCCAAGUUGGUUGGUUUCCCUCGGCAUACAUAGAAAGACAAGAAAAAGCCCCAGCUAGAAGGAUAUCAGAAACAAACUCCUCACCCAAAUGUGAUGCGACUUCUUAAUAAACUCUUGCCAAGUAUCUAUAUGUUCUUUUUCCUGUAUUAUAUUGCCAUUUUAGUUUAUAGAACGACUGCGACAAUUGAUAAGUGGUUUGAUUGCUUCUCUUAAUGAAAUCUUACUAAGCUCCAAGUAAUAUGUGCGAUCAUAUGCAUUUUAAUAUUUGUAUUUAUCUCCUAGUUGAGGAGAAUAUUUGUAGUAACAACUGUGUUUCCAAAUUGCCAAAAAAAAAAAAAUACACAUCAUGUUUAGCAACAAAUUUUUACUAUUAUUUCUUCCCAGUUUUAAUUUACUUUCUCCGUGAAUUGAAUGUUAUAUUAGUAGCUUGAUCAGAAAGUAACUCAUAUCAAUCAAACUACCUUGAUGCAAGAGAUUGAAUUUAGAAUUUCUCUAUCUUUGUGAAACUUUCCAAUCAUAAUGUUAUGAAAUAUGUGGGCAUGAACUUUUUAAUUUCUAGUUGCAUUUGGAGUAUGUAUGAUAUAAUCUGAAUCACUUGCAUAAUGUUCUUCAUCUUCCANNNNNNNNNNNNNNNNNNNNNNNNNNNNNNNNNNNNNNNNNNNNNNNNNNNNNNNNNNNNNNNNNNNNNNNNNNNNNNNNNNNNNNNNNNNNNNNNNNNNUUCUAACUAAUGAAAUUUUCUAGUCUAAAUUAUGAAAUAUGUGGGAUUGACUUAGAAAUUUUGGUAACAUGUCGAGAAUGUAUGGUAUAAUUUGAAUUCAUUAGCAUAAUCUUCAUCUUCAUUGAUUUGUAAAUUAUGAAACUAAUAUAUAAAAAACUAAUGUUAGAUCCUAAUUAUCUUUAGUUCUUAAAAUUGUUGAGGAGAUAUGAAAUUCUGGUGGGUGGAUUUGAGAGUUUUAGCUUUGAGAAUAUUGCUUCAUCUCUACUUUGAUGUUGUUGUGCCCCUUGUUGUGGCGAGGCAUUAAUCUUCCUAAAUUUUUUGUCAAGCUUCAACUUUAUUAUAUAUAUACCUUUCUUGAUAAAAUGUCUGGGUCCAUCGCUGGAUUUGGUGUUAAUGACACUAGUGAAGAAGAUGAUGAUAGCACCAUAAUCAUUAUUUUUUAAAGUAAAAUAGGCGAUCAAGUGCAUCUAGGUGUUUCAUUUCUUGUGUAUGAUUAUAAAACUAUUCUGAAUAUAGUUUCUAAAUGAAUGUUAUAGAGUGGCUGCUUUUAACAUUGGAGAUGGUUCUCUUAUUUAAGUAUGCUGCACAGUAUAGGGAAGUAUAAGUUAUGGUGGAUAGAUAUGAGUUUGGAAGUGUGGAGACAAAUGUGAAGUGCUUGGAAGUUGGAAGCUAUAUAACGCUAAAUACUUCUACAAUUUUAAUAAAAAAUAAAAAUAAAUUUAUUUCCUAAGCAAACUUGAUUAGUACUUAAAGAAUCAUAAUUAAGCUACUAAUUAAUUUCAAUGACAAAAUCUUGUUGGAAUAAGAUUGUCUACAACAAAAUAAUAACAUGAAGUUAUCCACAUUUCAACAAAGUAAAACAAUUUACGUCGCCAAUAAGAAUUUACAUAUAAAACAAUAACAAUUCCAAAUAUCACUAUUACGUACGAUGUUGUAAAUGUGAUAAAGAAACUGUCCGUGUCAAUUAAAAUGUCUGGGUCCAUCGCUGGAUUUGGUGUUAAUGUUUCUAGUGAAGAAGAUGAUGAUAGCACCAUAAUCAUUCUUUUUAAAAGUAAAAUAGGCGAUCAAGUGCAUCUAGGUGUUUCAUUUCCUGUGUAUGAUUAUAAAACUAUUCUGAAUAUAGUUGGCGAUCAAGUGCAUCUAGGUGUUUCAUUUCUUGUGUAUGAUUAUAAAACUAUUCUGAAUAUAGUUUCUAAAUGAAUGUUAUAGAGUGGCUGCUUUUAACAUUGGAGAUGGUUCUCUUAAAUAAAGUUUGCUGCACAGUAUAGCGAAGUAUAAGUUAUGGUGGAUAGAUAUGGGUUUGGAAGUGUAGAGACAAAUGUGAAGUGCUUGGAAGUUGGAAGCUAUAUAACACUAAAUACUACUACAAUUUUAAUAAAAAAUAAAAAUAAAUUUAUUUCCUAAGCAAACUUGAUUAGAACUUAAAGAAUCGUAAUUAAACUGCUAAUUAAUUUCAAUGACAAUAUCUUGUUGCAAUAAGAUUGUUUACAACAAAAUAGGAACAUGAAGUUAUCCACAUUUCAACAAAGUAAAACCAUCUACGUCGCCAAUAAGAAUUUACAUAUAAAACAAUAACAAUUCCGAAUAUCACAAUUAUGUACGAUGUUGUAAAUGUGAUAAAGAAACUGUCCAUGUCAAUUAAAUUAUCAUUUUUUGUUGGGGGGGGGAAAAAAGGGGCCCCCAAAAAAAAAAAAAAAAAAACUUUUUUUUUUUAAAAAAAAAAAAAUUUUUAAAAAUUUUUGGAAGGCGUUAAAUGUUGCAAAUUGUNNNNNNNNNNNNNNNNNNNNNNNNNNNNNNNNNNNNNNNNNNNNNNNNNNNNNNNNNNNNNNNNNNNNNNNNNNNNNNNNNNNNNNNNNNNNNNNNNNNNNNNNNNNNNNNNNNNNNNNNNNNNNNNNNNNNNNNNNNNNNNNNNNNNNNNNNNNNNNNNNNNNNNNNNNNNNNNNNNNNNNNNNNNNNNNNNNNNNNNNNNNNNNNNNNNNNNNNNNNNNNNNNNNNNNNNNNNNNNNNAUCAGCUUGUUGCAAGAAAGAUCAAGUCCUGAUAGGAGGCUAAGCACUUUUCCUUGGUAAAUGUACGCAAUGUUCUUUGUUGUGAACUCAAAAUUUUCACGGAUUUGCUUUUCUACAUCUCCGUCAGGGCCGUCGAUGGAAAAAGAUAUUUCAAAUUGCUCAUCAAGACUAGAACUAUUGCUGUAACUGUCAUGAAGUGUGGUGUUAUCAAAGCAAGGAGGAAUAGGACCGUGAAGAUUAUUAUUAGAAAGAUCUAACAAUUGUAGUUGGUUCAAUUCGCACAAUUGAACUGGCACUUUACCUUCAAGAUUAUUGUGACCUAAGAUAAGGUGACUUAACUGAGAAAGCCCAUCAACCCAAUCCGGAAUGCUGCCAUUCAAGCGGUUAUAGCUAAGAUCUAAUGUCACAAGGGAAGAGCAAUUAAAGAAUGUACCUCUUUUUAGUUGUCCAUGUAACAUAUUUUUUGAAAGAUGAACUUGUUUGAUAUUGAGAGGAUGGAAACAAGAUGGUAGACUUCCAGAUAUGUUGUUGUCUGAAAUGUCCAAAAUCUGAAGCAAAUCCAGUUGACAAAACUCCAUUGGAAUAGAACCUUUAAGAUGAUUCUUGUGCAUUGUAAUAUGUUGUAAACUUGUGAGACUGCCUAACCAUCGUGGAACCUUACCCGAAAGACUGUUAUUAUUAAGGUACAAUCCUUCUAGUGAGGAGCAUUUAUAUAAACUUUGUGGGAUCUCUCUUAUGAAGUGAUUGUCCUCCAAUUGUAACCAUAUUAAAUUUGCCAGGUUAAAAUUUCUACAGAACAUGUGACCUUUUAGGUUGUUGUUUGAUAACGCUAGAAACUCCAAGUUAACGCAACCGACGGCCAAGCGCUCAGGGAUUUCACCAGUCAAUUGAUUGCUGGAUAAGUCCAAAAUUCUGAGGAAGUUCAUUUUACCAAAUGAAGAGGGAAUGCUACCAUGCAAGGCAUUCGUGGAAAUGUUAAAAGAAAAUAAACUUGGUAAAAUAUCUCUAAUUUCUACUGGAAUAUGGCCUUGGAAGUUGUUGUUGGAGACACCCAAGAAUCUUAACCGCCUGUGUGGAUGAAUUGGCAAUUAAAAAGGUCCUCCAAUAGAAUCAUUGAUGAGAAAAAGAGUUUCUAAUUUUGUGUUGUUUUCCAACAACCAAUUUGGAAAUUCUCCAUUCAUCUUUAUAUGUGAGAGAUGAACAUCCUCCAGGUCAUGUUGAUGGUAAAGGAAUUUGGGGAAUGUGACACCAUCUCCACAACCGGAAGACAACAAGAGAGAUUGUAAUUGGAAGUUUGGGGCGGUCAAAGAAUGUGACUCAGUUAUUUCAGCUUUUAUUUCAUUGUUGUAAGCCCAUAAGCUCUUGAGUCUUGAGUGAUUGAAAAGUGGUUUAAGUGAAAUUGGGAUGCAGAAGUGAUUCUUUGAAAGUAUUAGCUCUUCAAUGGAUGUCAAAUGAACGAGGGGAGUGAUAACUCUAGGAAAUGAGAGUUAUUACAUCAAUUCUAAACUUGAAUCAGGAUCUUUUAGAGAACAAAUAAGGUGUUUUUAUUACAUUUUGCUUAAACAUUCAUUUUAGUUGAGUAUUAAUAAGUUUUGCUUGAAUUAUAGUAAUUUGUGCUAAAAACAUAUGCAUAAUUGUAGGUUCUUGGAAAGUCUUAAUUCAUGAGGGGAUGUUGAGGCAUUAGAUGAGCAAGAGGAGGAAAUAAGCCAGUCAUAAAAGAACAAAAGCACAAUCGGGAGUAAUGCAGUGCUGUUACGGAUGUUAGAGCAACCCGUUCUGUAGCAAUCUGGAAGUAAAUGCGAGAGAAAACUUGGGCGCGGGUCAGCACAUGUUUCUUAAUUUAACGCAUGCACACUCAUAGGCUUGUGUUUACCCUAAUUUGCAAUAUAAAAGGGAGGCAAUACCACAAAGAAAGGCGGCAAGGAAAUUAUCACUAGAAUAAUCACAAAGGAACGAAGAAGAAGAAGAUCAGAAUUAAAGAGUUUUGUUUUGGAAACAUUGGAGAAUCGUGCAGAAUUACUUGGCUUUGAUUUUCGCCGUGCUCAACUUAUAUUUAUCUUCUUCCUUUAAUUAUUUUGAUGUAUUCCGGGAUCAAUAUAUUUAUGAUUAUUUUUGUCAUCCAGAUUAUGAACUAAAUUUACUUGUAGUUGAGUGACAAAUAAUCCAAUGGGUUCUUGAUUGUUCUUAUAUGUUGUUAUGGUAAUGCUGUAGCAUUUUACUCUAGUAGUUUUUAUGAGUAUAACUGUUAUUUCGGUUGACCACCCAUUUAAUAGUUUCAGUUAAGAGCAGCAAAGGGGCAUGUCUUAGCGGACAUUAUUAGAGUAUUACUUGUUCUUAAAUUGAGUUUCCUGGAUUAGGUUAUCUUGAAUCCCAUAAGGGCAAUACUUGAAGUUAAGAUUUGUGACACUCUGGACAUAGGUGUUCACCUUGUAGGGUAGAGAGAUUAAAGGAUAUAAUGACGUACCAUAAAUAUAUGAGCAACUGGUCAUUGUUAGUAGAUUUAAAGGUAUGAGAUUUCUAACAUGCGAUAGCUGAGGAUGCAGAUUUAUUCUGCCCAGUGCUGCAGCACUUAUUGUAACAACUGGUGCUAAUUUGGUAAACACCAAUCACCCCAUUAGGAGAGUUUGAUUAUUCAACUACUAUAUUCUCAAUUGAAUCUUAGACACAGUUAACUUAGUUUAUUUCAUUACAGUAUUGUUUUAUUUCCAUCUCUCGCAAUUAUUAAUUACGAUAGAAUUAUUUAACAAUUGUUUGUUUCGGUUUUAGUUAAUUUGCACUAUUGUGAUUGCUUUAGCAUUUUGAGUAACAUCAAUCCCUGUGGAGACGAUCUUGAAUACUCAUCACUUUAUUACUUGUUGUGUAUAUGAUGAAGAGUAGGAAUCCAUAUUAUACUAGGAUUAGUUUCCUUAUUAACUAAAGUUUAAGACUUUUAAAUUCCUUUCUAAUUUAGAAUUUUGUUUCCCUUUCAAUUUAGGAUUUUGUUUUUACUUCAUGAAUUAGGAUAAUUACUACUACUAUAAAUAGCUUCCUCUUGUAACCUUUGAAUGCAUAAUUUUGAGUUCAAUAAUAUUUCAAUUUUCAAAUCUCUUUGUGAGUAUUUGAACAGUUAACUCUCGGUAUUCUGCGGAAUCAACGAGUCUUAAUCCCUAAAUUCACGGUAUUCUUUUGAAUCAACGUGAAUUUAAUUAUUAUUUUGUUCCGGUAUUCUCUAGAAUCAACGGAAUAUUUUGAACAUUAAACUUCCGCUGCAUCAGUAUAUUUGCACAUCGGCAUUGGUAGUAAUUGAUUAUAAAAAUAAAUCAAUAAGUGUUUGGGGUCGUUGCCGGGGAUUGAUUGUUUAUUUUUAAAGUGUAAAGUAAAUCUUGAUAGCGCCAAAUUUGAUUUGAUUUAUUCUAUUUAUUAGGAGAUCGGUACAUGCAUGCGCAAAGACAGGUCUGUGGUAUUCUAAUUCGAUCCUGAGAUUGAAAGGACUGUCAGGAGAUUGCGAAGAGAACAAAGGAAUUCAGAAAUUGAUUCAAGCAUGAAUAAUUUGCAGGAUGCGGGAAAUUUGAAUCCUCACGGGCCCUUACAACCAGUAAACAUUCAAGGAGAGCAGAAUGAACAUGUUAACGGGAGACAGCCAGGCAAUAACAAUAUUAUUUACAUGGCUGAUGACAGAGACAGAGCUAUAAGAGAUUAUGCUGUGCUAACUCCUCAAGUUGUACAUCCUGACAUCAUCAGACCUGAAGUAGACGUUGCAAAUUUUGAGUUAAAGCCAGUGAUGUUUCAAAUGUUGCAAACAGUUGGUCAAUUCAAUGGAUUGCCAGAUGAAGAUCCUCAUCUCCAUCUUAAAUUGUUCUUGGAAGUAAGUGAUACUUUCAAGAUUGCUGGAGCAAUACAAGAUGCUUUAAGGCUGAGACUCUUUCCUUAUUCCUUAAGAGAUCAAGCAAGAGUAUGGUUAAAUUCGUUACCAUCUGAUUCCAUCACUACAUGGAAUGAAUUGGCUGAUAAAUUCCUAAUGAAAUAUUUCCCACCAACAAAAAAUGCAAAGUUGCGGAAUGAGAUUACUUUCUUCCAUCAACUUGAAGAUGAAAUGCAAAAAAUGCAAAAAAUGCAAUGUUAGUUAAUGAGUGACCUCAUUAACUAACAUAGUAAAGGCCUUGACAUCUGCUCCAGCAACAGUAAAGCAAGUUACUGAACUUUCUUGUGUAUACUGUGGUGAAGAGCAUAACUUUGAUAAUUGUCCUGGAAACCCAGCUUCAGUAAACUAUGUGGGUAAUUUCAGUUGAUAACCUCAGAACAACCCAUAUUCAAAUACUUACAACCCUGGCUAGAAGCAACACCCAAAUUUUGCAUGGAGCAGUCAGAAUCGAAAUGCUCCAGCAUUAAAUAGACAAAAUAAAAACACACAACCACUUGGUUUUCAUCAGCAGAGUCAAGGGCAAAAGCAUAACAGUCAGGAUCCAAUCACUUCACUGGAAGCACUGAUUAAAGAGUACAUUGUAAAGAAUGAAGCAAUUGUGCAGAGUCAAGCUGUAUCCUUGAGAAACCUGGAAAACCAAAUGGGACAACUAGCCACAGUAAUAAGCAGCAGAACUCAAGGAAGCCUACCUACCAACACAAAAGACCCUAGGAGGGAGGGCAAAGAACACUGCAAAGUAAUUAAUUUGAGGUCUGGAAAGAAUGUUGAUAUCCCAGCUGAUGUAACAAAAAAUGGGAUGGAAUUCAAUUCAGCACAAAAAUUACCUCAAAAGGGAAGCAUGUUACAACAACCUCCUCUUCAAGACACUGGUUACAUGGGCCAAGUUACAGCAACUACAGAGGAAAUUCAACCAAAACAUGUUGAAAAAGAAAUUGCAACACCAGUAGUCACAACCUGCACCAAACCAAACAAACAGAGUUUGAUAUCUCCUGAAGCUACCUAGCAGUUUAGACAUCCACCACCUUUCCCACAAAGGAUCCAGAAGCAAUAACAAGACAAGCAGUUUAGCAAAUUCCUGGAAGGGCUGAAACAACUGCACAUAAAUAUACCUUUUGUGGAAGUUUUGGAGCAAAUGCCAAAUUAUGUGAAAUUUUUAAAAGAUAUCUUAGCAUGAAAAAGAAAGCUGAGAGAGUUUGAAACUGUUGCUUUAACACAGAAGAGCAGCCAUAUGCUCAAGAGUAAAAUUCUCACAAAAGUAAAAGAUCCAGGGAGUUUUACAAUACCCUGCGCUAUAGGAACUAGGUAUGCUGGCAAAGCACUUUGUGACUUGGGAGCUAAUAUUAAUUUGAUGCCAUUAUCUGUAUUUAAGCAGCUGGGAGUAGGGGAGUGCAGACCAACAACAGUCACUCUGCAAUUAGCUGAUAGAUCUCAUGCAUACCCUGAAGGAAAAAUAGAGGAUGUAUUGGUGAAGGUUGACAAAUUCAUUUUUCCAGUGGAUUUCAUUGUACUGGACUUUGAAGUUAAUAAAGAGGUACCCAUUGUAUUGGGAAGACCUUUUCUAGCAACUGGAAAGACUUUGAUAGAUGUGCAGAAAAGAGAGCUCACCAUGAGAGUGAAUGAUCAGCAAGUCACAUUUAAUGUCCUAGAGGCUAUGAGAAACCCCGAUGAAGUAGAAGAUUGCAAUUUCCUAAGUGCAGUGGAUUUUGUUGUAGCAAACAAAAUGGACAGAUGCUACAAUAAUGCACUUGACAAAGUCACCACCUUUGAAGAUGUUGCAGCAAUCCAAACAUAUUAGAUGGACAAACAGCAAUCUAAUAGGCACAACAUGUUUAUUGAACACCUGAAUGUUUCAGACAGGGAAGUAAAAACAACUUUACCAUCUAUUGAAUCACCUCCUAGUUUUGAAUUAAAACUGUUACCUUCACAUUUGAAGUAUGCAUAUCUUGGUCAAAACAACACACUCCCUGUAAUCAUUUCUUCUACUGUGGAUGCAGGUCAAGAACAGAGUCUAGUAGAUUUACUGGGAAAAUACAGAAGAGCAAUUGGAUGGACCAUGGCAGAUAUAAAGGGGAUAAGUCCAUCAAUAUGCAUGCAUAAAAUCCUGUUAGAAGAUUGUUCCAACAAUUCGGUGGAGCACUAGAGAAGGAUGAAUCCUAUUAUGAAAGAAGUGGUGAAGAAGGAAAUCAUCAAAUGGUUGGAUGCUGGAAUCAUAUACCCAAUAUCGGACAGUUCAUGGGUAAGCCCAGUUCAAUGUGUUCCAAAGAAAGGAGGGAUAACAGUAAUGGCUAAUGAAAAGAAUGAACUUAUUCCUACAAGGAUAGUGACUAGAUGGAGAGUGUGUAUGGAUUACAGGAAACUCAACAAAGCCACAAGGAAAGACCAUUUCCCACUUUCAUUCAUAAAUCAGAUGUUGGACAGACUUGCUGGAAAACAAUACUAUUGUUUCUUAGAUGGGUACUCAAGUUACAACCAUAUUGCUAUAGCUCUAGAAGAUCAAGAGAAUACUACAUUUACUUGUCCCUAUGGAACAUUUGCCUUCAGAAGAAUGUCAUUUGGGCUAUGCAAUGCUCUAGCAACUUUUCAGAGAUGCAUGAUGUCUAUAUUUUCUGAUAUGGUAGAGCAGACUUUGGAAGUUUUCAUGGAUGACUUCUCAGUUUUUGGAGAAACAUACAAUGAUUGUUUACACAACUUGGAAGAAGUUCUUAAAAGAUGUGAGAUGACCAACUUAGUACUCAAUUCGGAAAAGUGUCAUUUCAUGGUGCAAGAAGGAAUAGUGUUGGGUCACAAGAUAUCCAAGGAUGGUAUUGAGGUAGACAAAGCUAAGAUAGAGGUAAUAGAUAAACUGCCACCUCCAACUUCAGUAAAGGGAAUUAGGAGUUUUUUGGGCCGUGCUGGAUUCUACAGAAGAUUCAUUAAGCAUUUUUCCAAAGUAGCUAAACCACUGUGUUCAUUGCUGGAGCAUGACAAACCGUUUCACUUUGACAAAGAUUGCCUUCAAGCAUUUGGAGAAUUAAAGAAAGCUUUGAUCACUGCUCCAGUAGUUAUAUCUCCAGACUGGACUUUACCAUUUGAAUUGAUGUGUGAUACUAGUGAUCACUCUGUGGGGGCAGUAUUAGGGCAAAGAAAGGAUAAAGUUUUUCACUUCAUCUACUAUGCAAGAAAACUCUCACUCAAACUCAAAUCAAUUACACCACUACAGAGAAAGAGUUGCUAGUAGUAGUAUUUGCUUUUGACAAAUUCAGAGCCUACUUAGUAGGCACUAGAGUGACUGUAUAUACAGACCAUGCAGCAAUCAAAUACUUAAUUUCAAAGAAGGAUGCCAAGCCAAGAUUAAUUAGAUGGAUUUUAUUGCUUUAAGAAUUUGAUCUGGAAAUUAAAGAUAGAAAGGGGACUGAGAAUCAAGUAGCAGACCACCUGUCACGGCUGGAUGCAGACACAAGCACAUUGACCAGAAACGACAUCACUGAAACUUUUCCUGAUGAACAGCUGUUGGUAGUACAAUAAGCACAGAUGCUGCAGCAGUCAGAAUCUCCAUAGUAUGCAGAUUUUGCUAACUAUUUAGUAAGUGGGUUGCUACCACCUGAGCUAAAGUUUUAAGAGAAAAAGAAAUUUCUUCAUGAUGUUAGAAGUUAUCAGUGGGAUGACCCACAUUUAUAUAAGCUAUGCUCAGAUCAAGUAAUAAGAAGAUGUGUUGCAGCAGAAGAGAUACCCCAUAUACUGGAGUCAUGUCAUGCUGCAGCAUAUGGAGGACAUUUUGGUGGUCACAGAACAGCUGUCAAAGUUCUGCAAUUAGGUUAUUAUUGGCCCACUAUUUUUAAAGAUACUUAUGAAUUUGUUAAAUGUUGUGACAGGUGUCGAAGGACAGGGAACAUAAGUAGAAGACAUGAAAUGCCACUGACCAACAUCCUGGAAGUGGAAGUUUUUUAUGUCUGGAGAAUAGAUUUUAUGGGACCCUUCCCGCCAUCUUUUGGGAACUUAUAUAUCCUUGUUGCUGUGGAUUAUGUCUCCAAGUGGGUAGAAGCUGCAGCAUUACCUACCAAUGAUGCUAAAACAGUUGUGGCUUUUCUUCAGAAAAAUGUUUUCUCUAGGUUUGGCACUCCUAGAGCAAUUAUUAGUGAUGAGGGCACACAUUUUACAACAAAAUCUUUGCUGCAGCAAUGAUGAAAUAUGGAGUCAGGCUGAAGUGUCCAACAGAGAAAUUAAAAAGAUCUUAGAAAAAGUGGUGAAUCCAAUAAGGAAGGAUUGGUCUUUACACUUGCAUGACUCUCUAUGGGCCUACAGAACAGCAUACAAAACUCCACUCGGAAUGUCUCACUACCGAAUUGUUUAUGGCAAAGCUUGUCAUUUGCCACUAGAGCUAGAGCAUAAAGCACAUUGGGCACUGAAGAAAUUAAAUUGGGAUAUGCAUGCUGCAACAGAGCAAAGGAAACUUCAACUUUGUGAGCUUGAUUAAUUACAACUAUUUUCAUAUGAAAAUGCAAGAAUCUAUAAAGAGAGGACAAAACACUGGCACGACAAGCAUAUUCAGCACAGGAAAUUCAACCCUAGUCAAUUAGUGUUGCUCCACAAUACAAGACUAAGAUUAUUUUUGGGAAAGCUCAAGUUACGAUGGUCUAGCCCGUUUAAGUUGUUAAAAUCUUAUUCUCAUGGAGUUGUUGAUCUUCUAGAUGAACAAACAGGCCACGAAUUCAAAGUUAAUGGACACAGGGUUAAGCAUUACAUACAUCCAGCAGUAGAAUGUUCAAAGGAGAUGUUACUCCUUAAAGAACCCAGCUAUUGAACAAUGAAGGAAGGUCAGGCUGAAGGACCUUAAAUCAAGCGCUCCAUGGGAAGCAGCCCAUUUGGGAGACAACCACUUCAAACCAAUUUUGAUCUCCUUUGGUUUAGUUGACAGCUCUCCCUCCUUACCAUUUUAUUUAAUUUUGUUCUUUCAUUCUAGCUAUUUAAUUUUAUCUUUUCAAAUUAUUGCAUUCUUUAAUUUUGCUAUCAUUUAAUCUAUUUAUUUUUAAAUGUUAGAAUUAAUUUGAAUUUGUGGGAAGUAUGUGUAACAAUUGAAUUCCAUACUGACAAGUGAGGUUGUAUGGUGGCAGAGUAUAGAGGUGAGCCACGUGUCAGAGGCUUUAGUGUGGAGUAUGUACCGUUGCUAGAGUAAGCGAAUGGGUGCUGCAGCAACCAAUUUUACCGUUGCAAUAAAUUGAAAGAUGAAGCCUCUCACUUACCGUUGGAGAUAAAUCAUGACAGAUGGAGGCUUGGAUGUGGAUAGAAAUUGCAAAUAAAUCUCUGAAAUUAAUGCCUUAAAUUACCUAGCCGAUGUUUUUGGGAUACGCGCUUUAAAUUAAAAAAUAUUUUCUUCCCUCAUUUAUCUUUAGUUACCGUAUUUAUCUCCAAUUAAAAGUCCACUAUAAAAAAGUCAUUGUACUUAGUGCUCUACACCACUAUUCCCCAUCUCCUUCGCAAAUCCAACUCUCCUAAUUCUUAGCCUCUUCUUCUCUUUUUACUCUCAGGAACAGUAGACUAAAUUUGUUACUGCUACAGUAAUGCCGAGAUAUAAGAAAACAGCAAGCCGCCUCAAAGAUCCGUCACGAUUCUAAAGUUACCACGCCGAAAAAAAAUAUGAAGAAUUCAUAGAGCCGCGUAGGAUUCUGGAAGAAAAAAGGUUUCAAUUUCCAGACCAACUCACGGGAAUUGUGCAAACAAUUCAUAAUGCUGCAGCAAAGCGAGGAUGGCUAGAGUUUUACAAACACCCUCGGGAUCCUGUGCUGCCUGUAGUAAAAGAAUUUUACGCCAAUUUGGUAAGCCCUGAUCAGCACAACAUUUGGAUAAGAAAUACACUUGUCCCAUUAGACUCUCGUGUUAUCAAUGCUUUUUAUAACUUACCUGCUGAAAUUACUUGUGAGUAUGCUAAGUUGCGUGAUAAGUUAACCCCGAAAAAGUGGAACACCAUUUUUACAACUCUUACAAUCGAAAGAGCAUCAUGGGCUAACAAGGAAGGGCGUGUAGUUAAUAGGAUAGAUUUGAAACCUAUUGCUAAGAUGUGGGUGAAAUUUCUGAAAUCUAGGCUUAUGCCCACCACUCACACUACUACAGUUUUGCAAGAAAGGUUGGUCUUGUUAUAUGUCAUAGUUCGCGGGCUUCCCAUAGAUGUGGGUAGCAUCAUCGCAAAAGAAAUCCGAGAUUGUGCAGUCAAGACUCACCGAACUGCUGCUUUGCUAUUUCCAUCACUCGUUACUAGCAUUUGUGUAGUUUCAGGUGUUCAUCUUGACGCCAGAGAUGACCAUGUCAAUAAUGAUGGUGCCUUUACGGCAUGAACCAUUGAGAGAGUUGCUGGUGAGAGUGCUGGAACAACCACUGAACCAGCUGCUGAGACAGGAGCAAGAUGAGCUAUUGGCUUAGAAAAGACCAUCCAGGCACUCAGCACAAGUAUAACUCAAUGUACGGAACCACAGCAGUGGGAAAACGAUCGAUUUUGGAGCUAUCUCCAGCACCUGGACAACCAACUACACCAAUUUUCUCUGUACAUGAAACGCACUCACCGGAACUUCCUUGAUGCACUGCUCCAGCAGUACAAUUUUGACACCAACACCACAAAUGCAUCAACAGAGGCUAGUGCAGAAGCCACUGCCACAGAGGAACCAGCAGAAGAUGCUACAGCCGAACCUCAAGCAGAGGAAGAAUCAGAAGAUGCUGAACCAUCUGAUUAGCCUGAGGAAGAAGGUGACAAGUCUGAGAUUGAUAGCUCACCUACAGAGGAAGAAGACAACUCGGAGAAAGACCGUGAGGAACCAACCAUCCUAACCCAGCCCAAAACCAGAAAAAAAAAAAGCACGUUAUUCAAGAAAAUGAGGAGGAAGACCUUGAAGAGGAGCCGUAUAUUCCAGUCCUUGCAGGCAAGAGAAAGGACAAGGGUAAAGCAAAAAUGGCAACAACUCCAGCCUCUGAAGAUGAGAUGGAGCAAGUCGAUGCUAAGCUGGCUGCUGCAGCAGCCAGAGCUAUGCCUACACCUAAGCAAGCUAAGCAACUACUUGCGGUUAUUGCUGCCAUCACAACUGAGGGCCAGGCAGCUGAUGCAUUAACUCAACAACCUCCACAGCAAACUCCUAGCCAGCCUAUUCGCACAAGUCCAAGACAAUCCAGCAAACAAAAAGGCAGUACGUCUACAAGUACUUCUACAGCAACCCCAGCCACAACUCCUCUCACCAGCCGCGCAGUGAAAAAGACAAAGACAUUGCCAGCUACUUCCCCAAAAGCUUCACCAAAGGAUGAGCUGCGCAGUGCAUCCAAGAAGUGCUGAUAGCAUCCCGUCAUGCACUCCAGUCCCCACCACAGGGGAGUACUCUAUCCUUACUAGUUCAUAUUUAAAAAAAAAAAAUUAUGUUUGUCAAUUUGUAUGCCUUUGUUAUGUAUGCUUGUGAGGACACAGCAUCUCUCAAGUUUGGGGGGAUUGUGUCCGAAUGCAUGUGUUUAUGUAUGUGUUUAUGUUUGUGUUGUGUGAAGCUCUGUUAUCUGUUAUUUGUGUAUGGAUUUGAAAACCUAAUAAAGAUAAAUUGAGUGUUAUUCAGUAUUUAUGAGAAUGCCAAGUAGAGAUAGUUAUAGAUAGAAGUGAAAUUAUGUCCCAACACUUAGACUUUGGUUGAAUUGUAUGAGACUGUUAGAGCAAAGCCAAAAGAAUAGAAAAUAUCUUAAGUUUGAAGGGAGAAGCAAGUUGAUUGACUGUGAUAUUUAUGAGAUAAAACUCUACUCCAAUGGCUCAAGUUGCUGAGUAACCAAAUCUGAGUAUGUACCCCAUAUGCAGAAUUGUGUAAAAGGUAGCAAGAGUUAUGAGCAAUGCUGUAGCAAAUAAAAAAAAAAGUCCUAUGUCUAAGGCAUUGAGUAGUCAGGUCUGUUCAUGAACCCCAUGUUCAGCCUUGAGUAAAAGAUACCUUUAGAUGAGAUUAUACCGCAAAUAUUGCUGCAGCAACUCUGAUCUGGGCAUGGUUUAAGUAAUUGGGUGUCAUCAUUACAAGUGAUUGACAUUCACAUGAAAGAUAAAUGUUACAGUAAGGAGGUUGAUUACUCCCCAGUUUAUCAAUGUAAAACAAUCACAGUUUGAAUAUGUGAAAUUUAUGCUACCCCAUUUAUGAAUGAAGUAUAUCACUGCUGAAAUUUAUGCAGUCCUUUGGUGAUGUUACAGCAUAUCUGGAAUUCAAUCAAAGGAAGCACACACACACAAUGGACAGAAAGAAGCUUAAGUCUAGAACUGAUUUACUAUGGCAUUUUGUAUGAUUGGGAUUGUGAUCUGAAGGUGGAAGAAUCCUUGCAAAUUUGAUAAAAGAGCUAAAGUUGUGUGCAUGUUUGUUUGCGGAAAAUGUUAGUAUGUGUCAUUACUUGAAGGCAAGUAAUGGUUUAAGUUUGGGGGUGUGAUAACUCUAAGAAAUGAGAGUUAUUACAUCAAUUCUAGACUUGAAUCAGGAUCAUUUAGAGAACAAAUAAGGUGUUUUUAUUACAUUUUGCUUAAACAUUCAUUUUAGUUGAGUAUUAAUAAGUUUUGCUUGAAUUAUAGUAAUUUGUACUAAAAACAUAUGCAUAAUUGUAGGUUCUUGGAAAGUCUUAAUUCAUGAGGGGAUGUCGAGGCAUUAGAUGAGCAAGAGGAGGAAAGAAGACGGUCAUAAAAGAAGAAAAGCACAAUCGGGAGUAAUGCAGUGCUGUUGUGGAUGUUAGAGCAACCCGUGCUAUAGCAAUCUAGAAGUAAAUGUCGGAGAAAACUUAGGCUCAGGUCAGCACAUGUUUCCUAAUUUAACGCACGCACGCUCAUGGGCUUGUGUUUACCCUAAUUUGCAAUAUAAAAUGGAGGCAAUACCACAAAGAAAUGCGGCAAGGAAAUUAUCAUUAGAAUAAUCACAAAGGAACGAAGAAGGAGAAGAUCAGAAUUGAAGAGUGUUGUUUUGGUAACAUUGGAGAAUCGUGCAGAAUUACUUGGCUUUGAUUUUCACCGUGCUCAACUUAUAUUUAUCUUCUUCUUUUAAUUGUUUUGAUGUAUUCCGAGAUCAAUAUAUUUAUGAUUAUUUUUGUCAUCCAGAUUAUGAACUAAAUUUACUUGUAGUUGAGUGACAAAUAAUCCAAUGGGUUCUUGACUGUUCUUAUAUGUUGUUAUGUUAAUGCUGUAGCAUUUUACUCUAGUAGUUUUUAUGAGUAUAACUGUUAUUUAGGUUGACCACCCAUUUAAUAGUUUCAGUUAAGAUAGAGCAGCAAAAGGGCAUGUCUUAGCGGACAUUAUUAGAGUAUUACUUGUUCUUAAGUCGAGUUUCCUGGAUUAGGUUAUCUUGAAUCCCAUAAGGGCAGUACUUGAAGUUAAGAUUUGUGACACUCUAGACAUAGGUGUUCACCUUGUAGGGUAGAGAGAUUAAAGGAUAUAAUGACGUACCAUAAAUAUAUGAGCAACUGGUCAUUGUUAGUAGAUUUAAAGGUAUGAGAUUUCUAACAUGCGAUAGCUGAGGAUGCAGAUUUAUUCUGCCCAGUGCUGCAGCACUUAUUGUAACAACUGGUGCUAAUUUGGUAAACAACAAUCACCCCAUUAGGAGAGUUUGAUCAUUCAACUACUAUAUUCUCAAUUGAAUCUUAGACACAGUUAACUUAGUUUAUUUCAUUACAGUAUUGUUUUAUUUCUAUCUCUCGCAAUUAUUAACUACGAUAGAAUUAUUUGACAAUUGUUUGUUUCGGUUUUAGUUAAUUUGCACUAUUGUGAUUGCUUUAGCAUUUUGAGUAACAUCAAUCCCUGUGAAGACGAUCUUGAAUAUUCAUCACUUUAUUACUUAUUGUGUAUACUUGCACAUUGGCAUUGGUAGUAAUUGAUUAUAAAAAUAAAUCAACAGGGAGAUAAGGAGAUGCUUCCAGUAAGUUGAUUGUAAGAAACAUCUAAUAUUCGGAGGGAUGUCAUAUUUGCCAAGCACCAAGGCAAGCUACCUCUUAAAUCAUUGCUUGCAAUGUACAACUCUUGUAGAUGCACCAACGAACAGAGGCCUGAAAAUUUAUUAAUUCAACCAUUGGUACAAUAAAACAAUUAACAAAUGCAUAACAUUCUUUUAUAAGUGAUUGGUUUGUGUAAUUAUAUUUUUAAUUGAAAAUUAAAAUUAUAGAUCAAGAGGGGAGGGUGGGAGCAUCUGAUUAACCUUGAUCAAGAAUCAUGCUGCUGUUAAUGCCAAUAGUAGAACCUGACAGUGAUAAGUACUUGAGAGAAGACAUCGAUUCACCGAUGCUUUGAAGAAAGCUGGUGUUGAGUGCACUGCGCAUGAAUUCCAUGUCCAAAUGUUCCAAACUCUUGAAAUGAGGAAAGCCUAGCAAAAACAAUAAAAUAAAUAAAUAAAAAUGUUGAACACUUAAGACGACAUUGAGUUCACAAUCAACACUUUUCUUUUACCUUGACCACGUACGACACCAUUGACUUCACAACCAAUCACCGACAGAUUUUUUAACGAAGGGAAUAUUGAUGCAAUGCUUUACAGAAGGCUUAUAUGGAGAGGGGAAUCGUUCAAUUUCAAAUAUUCCAAGUUGGUGAAAUUGUGCAACUCUGUUUCGAAGCAAUAAUUUUAGCUUUAUUAACAAUACGGAAAAAUAAUUAAUUAUUUAACAGUUUAUUUAUAAAUUUGGCCACAUAUGUACCGUUUAUUAAUAAUAUGGAUAAUUAAUUAAUUAAUUAGCUGCUUAUUUAUAAAUUUGGCCACAUUUGUACCUUUUACUUACCUUGAGUAGUAAUUGUCACUGUUUCCGUAAAAUUAUUAGACGAAAGGUAAAGAUUGUUGAGGGAUGGGAAUGAUCCCAUUGACUGUAACAACUUGCUUCCAUCUCUAACUCCAACUCUCGAUAGAUCAAGGCUUUUCAACUUCCUCAAACCGCUGUAACCUAUUUAAUAACAAUAAUUAGGAUAGGAUUUAAGAAAAUCAAAAUUCAUUGUCUAAAUUUAGAGCUAAACGAAAUAACUGAUUAAUUUAAUUAGGAGUCAAUUUGUAUUUUAUGCUUUGGGCAAAGAUCAGUAUCAUUUUUCAAUCGCUGCAAAGAUUAAAAAAUUAAAAUGAAAUCUUUAUUACAUUUUGUUUUUGAAAUAAUAAUAUUACGUCCUAUUUUUGAAAUAAUAUAAAUUCUAUGUUUCUUUAUUUUUAUUUUUAUUUUUUUGUACCUUUUGGGCCUUCCCUAAUCAAAUGAAUAAAAUUUAUGUAAUUGAAUAAUAUUUUAAAUGUUUACCUUGAGGAACCACAAGAUUGUUGAUUUCAUUGAAGCUCAUGUCCAACAAUUCUAAGUUGUUGAAGGAAUUGAAUUCUGCAAACAUAAACAGACUUAAGACUUAAAACAGAGUAAAUUAAUUAAUAAAUUUAAAGAAAUUAAAACGUCAUUAGAAUUUCGUCUAAACCAAACCAAAUAGUAUUUAAUUAAUUGAUUGAAAAAGUAUGCUUACUUUGUAUGUAAUUCCUUCAGGCUAAUCAAAUUAAAUAUUAAAUUAUGUCGAUAAUACAGAAGUCUAGCUGGCAUAUAUAAAAUGAGAAAGCAGGGCUUAGACUUACCUCGAACAUUGAAUGUUCCUUUGAAUCUCGUACCACUUAAACUAAGAGACUUCAAUUUACUCAAACCUGUAAAAUAAUAAACCAAAUGGCAAAGAAUCCAGCUAAUUUGUAUAAGUUAGCAUUUUUUAUGGUAUUUGUAGUACCUUUUGAGACCACAAAUUUGUCAAUCUUGUUCCCGCCAAUGUCUAGCUCCUCUAAAUCUCUCAAAGAAUCUAAUUCUGUAAUAAGUACAAAUUGAGUUGAAUGUUUCAAACCUCACCAAAUAAUAAUAAUAAUAAUAAUAAUAAGUUGUGGAGGUGUUUGGUUCACUAUUGGAGUUUUUUUUUAAUCUUAAAUUCAAGACAUAUGAAAGUACAAGAUGAAAUUACGAGAAACAUAAAAACUUGUAUUUAUAAAUUGCUUAAAACUGUUUUUUUUAAUAUUAAUCAUAAAAAAAUUGAAUUCAAAGCCUUGAAUCUUAUUUUAGCAAGUUAAUGAAAGAACUUGAAGUUUUAAUUAUGUACCUUUAACGUCAAUACUUCCUUCCAAUCUAUUCCAAAAUAAAUUUAAUGAUCUUAAUGGUGAAAGAUGAGUUAGAGAUGAUAAAAUGCUAUUAUUGAAUGAGUUUCCACUUAAAUUAAGCAUCUUCAAGUUGUUCAAUCUUGAUAGCCUCUCUAUACCUGCAAGUAAAAUAAAAAAAAGAUCAUAGAUACUGGUGUAAUUUCAAAAUUAAUCAUUUAAAAAAAAAGUCAAAAUUGUCGACUAAAUGAAUAUGCAUAUAAUUGCUCGGUCUUGAUAUUCAACUUAAAUUAGGGGGGAGAAAGUAAAUUAAUUAAAUUAAACGAAGCACCUUCAUUCUCAACACAACUGGCUAUUUUGUUGUCAGUUAAAUCAAGUGACUCAAGUUGUUGGAAGGGAGUAAACAAAGAAGCAUUCAGAUACCAGUACUCUCCCCCAUACGUGUCAGAAAGGUCUAGCGCUAUCACUCGGCUCAUGGUGUUGCUGCACUCAACCCUUUCCCACUGACAACAAUCAGUAGCUCCCUCACCAUCUCCCCAGUCGUAAAGAAAAUUAUAAGGAUCAUUGAGGAAAUGUUUGAGUCGCAAAAGAGCAAAUCUCUCAUGAUCCAAACAUCCCUCACUUCACCCACCUUCAAAUAUUAUUAAUAACAAAACAAACAUUAUCACCAUUUUUUUAUUUUGAACCACCCAUUCUAACUAUAUCUUUAAGUUUUAAAAAACACACACACUCUUUCUAUCUUUGUAACCAACCAGAGGACUAUACGCCAUUUGCUUAUAACGCAUGUAACUAUUUAUACACCCAACUAGCUUAUAGUUGACUUUUUUAGUUGUUUCUCCAAGUCCUUCAUGCAUUAAUUUUCUUCCCUUUUUUUUUCAUCUUUGUCAUUUUGCUAUAAUUUGCAACAGCAACGCGUUUUGAGCUAGCAAUAAAUAAUAAUUGAGAGAGAUUGAGAUGACAAAUGGAUAGAAACUAAAAGUAUGGGUGUUUAAUACGAGAACGAUUAUACCCGUUUAUUAUAUUUCAACCUAAAAAUUUACUCUAAGCAUUUAUAAUAAAUAAAAAUAUGAUAAUAAAAAUAAUAAAAAAAUAUGAAUAAUAUAUAUUUGUAAAAAAAAAAGAUUUAUGUGUCCAUUUUGAAAAUUAGCGAGUAUAUGUAAAUAUAAUUAUCAAAACAAACCAUAGAAGUGUUGUUAUUUUUUCCUUUCAAAAAAUCCACCAUUAUAAAAAAAGCCCAAAGACUUUGACAUCUUUUAGGAGUCUUUGGGCCUUGUUUUUUUCCCUCUUUUUCUUUCAUUUGCAUUUUGAUCCACAAGGCCAAAAAUUAAAUUCCACACCUUUGGCAUUUUGUGGAGAUUACAUUUCCAUGUUUUUACUUAGAAAGUAGGUGGAGACGUGGAGUCAAUGCGGCCAAGUGCUCAAUUAUUGUUAGUUAGCAAAAUAGAAUUUUUGGCGAGAUGAAUUUGUUGUAAAAAAGUUUUUGGAAAAAAUAAUAAUCAUCGGAACUUGUCUUGUGUCUUUAUAACAAUUUACUACUGCGAAAUCUUUACAACUUCACAUCUUUGAUUCAAUUAUCGCCACAAAGGCACAAGUACGUCCAUUUGUAAACCAAUCGAUAGAGAUCAAAUUUCAAGCCAUGAACUUGUAUUGUCAGCAAACACCUAAUCACUUUAGAUAUUUGUAUCGUUUAAUUAAUUAAUGAUCACUCUGAAAUUACAGAGGUUGGCCGAAUAUUCCCCUAAAAUUAAUUAAUUUUACCGAAAGGGAAUUAUUAGACAGAUCAAGUGUGUCUAGUUUUUUUGUUGUUUUGUAACAAUCAAUUUGGAAACUCUUCACUCAAGUUAGCAUCUUAGAGAUCAAGAUAAACAAACUCCUAGUGAUGCUAAUGGAAGAGGAAUUUAUAAGAGGAGAAGAGAGAGUAAUUAUGCUUGAUCAAGAAAGGUACCAUUAAAUCUAGAAUAUGACAAUUAAUGGUAGAAAAAUUAACAAGCAUGUAAUCCACGAUCAAAGAUUUUAAAUCCUUGAAAUUUAGAUAACCUAAAAAUUAACAUUGAACAAGAAAUAAAUCAACACUGCCACUUUGAUCACAUAAUCGAUGAAACUUAGGAUAUAUAAUCAACACCUGUUUAUUUUACUAUUGAAUUACUAUUUUUUCUGUAUUAUUUGAAUAAGGGAAUUGAUUUGGAGAAACUCUCACUAUAAUUGAUGAAAAUCAAGAUAUAAUCAAUACAUAUUCAUUUUAUUUUUAAAUUAAUACUUUUCCAUUAUUAUUUGAAGAAGGGAAUUGGUCUCAAAAAAUCUUAUUGUAAUAUAUGUAACUUAAACUUUUUUUUUCUGAAAUAAAAAUUAACUUUUAAGAAGGCUUCAAAUAUGGAGAGGGGACCAGUCCAUUAAUGUCAAUUCUUCCAAGUUAGUGACAUUGUGCAGCUUUAUUUGAUUAGAAGGUGCAACAUCUUUAGCUUUAACAUAUCUUAUUCUUUAAGACUAUUAAAACUUUUAAAUUAUGUCCACAUGCCCACCCUAUAAGAUCCACAAAAGUAGCAGAUAAAAUGGAAGAAGUACGCUAAGGGGCUGUUUGAUUUUAGUUGUGGCUUACACAGCACGAAAUUACACCAAAAAUGCCCCGACCAGAUUUAAUAAAACAAAUGUACUCUUACUCAGUUUAUUAUUUAUUUUUACAUAGAUAUAUUUUCUUUUUUUUCUUUUUUUUUCUUUUUCAACUUAGAAAAGAGAAUUAGGGGACAGAUCAAGUGUGUCUGAUUUUGCGUUGCUUUCUAGCAAUCAACUUGGAAACUUUCCACUCAAGUUAACAUGUGAGAGCUGAUGGAAGAGGAAUUUGAAAAAUCGUGACUCUAAUUUUGCAUAUAUUUGAUUAUUUCAACACUUGAUUGGUUUUGAAUGGUCCAAGAAUGGGCAAGUGACAAUGAGACUUGGAAGUGAUAGUUUGAAAAAGUGAGAUCUUCAAUUGAUAUUAGAUAAAUGAGAGUAGACUAGGAUAUAUUUCCAGUAAGCUUAUGGAGAGAGACAUAUCAAACUUGAAGUAAGAAGUCAUAUUUUCCAAGCACCAAAGACAAUUUAUUGUACCCGGAAUAUAAUUAUGGUCAAUAAAACAAAAAACUCUUGCAGAUUCAUCAACUGAUUGGGUUGAAAACAUAAUUCAUCCUUUAGCUAAUAACAAUUAAUGAACGCAUAAAAUCUUAUAUCUUUUAACAUAAAUGUUAAAUAUUAAUUUUAUUAAUAGUCGCAACCUUAUGCAGGCAUAAUUUGGUCAUGAAAACAAUAAAUCUAUCCGUUCUUAAAGGCUAUUAACUAUAACAAAAAAUCAAUUAAUAUAAUUUUUAUAAGAGGAGAAGAGAGACUAAGUAUCCUUCAUCAAGAAAUGUACCAUUAAGUCUAGAAUAUGAUAGUCAAUGGCGGAAAAAUUAACAUGCGCAUAAUUUAUGAUCAAAUAUUAUAAAUCCUUGAAAUUUAACAAGUCAUUUCAUUAAAAUAUGGAUCACCUUCCACACAUUUUAGAAAUCUUAUCAUUUUUUUUCUUUUUUCAUUAAAUUAUGUUUUGGUCCACACAACCGAAAAUUAAAUUCCACGCAUUUUGCAUUUAGUGGAAUUCUAUGUAUUUUUUAAUUUUACAAAACUUUAGUCGGUGGAGUCAAUGGGGCUAGAAAUUCAUUGAAGGGUCCCGAGAAUCAAAGGUGCUUACUCAAUUAUUAUUUGUAAAGUUGUAGACUUGUAGGGCAGCUACCGGAGUCCACACGUUGUAAUGUUUUGUUCACUAUCAAUCUCAUUGUUGGUCGUUUCCAACACGCUCAAGAAUCCAAUUCUGCAUAAACACAUAAAAUUAAAGACUUAAAACAGAGUUUAAGUAAUUAAUAAUUUAACUGGAAACAAAUUAAAAAGGAGAAUUUAAUUAUUGAAUUCCACAUUGUGCUAUUGAAAAUUAAAAAAAAAAAUUGUUGUCACCUCAGUCAAUUAGAUAAUCACUACAAAUAGUUCUUUAUGUAGAUGAUAUUCUUCUAAUUGGAAAUGAUAUAGGAAUAUUGACUACAAUAAAGAGUUGGUUAGCAAAACAAUUUGAUAUGAAAGAAAGACAUGAGAGAAGCAAGUUAUAUUCUUGGUAUCAAAUUACUACGAGACCGGAAGAAUAAAACUUUAGCCUUGGCUCAAGUGGUCUAUAUCGACAAGAUAUUGGUUAGAUUUAGCAUAGAAAAUUCCAAGACUGGUUUAUUACCAUUUAGACAUGGAAUUGUAUUCUCUAAGGACCAAUCACCUAAAACAUCUAAAGAGAUGGAGAAAAUGAGACGAGUUCCCUAUGCAGAAGUUGUGGGAAGUCCCAUGUAUGUCAUGCUUUGCACUAGGCUAGACAUCUGUUUUGUGGUAGGAAUGGUUAGCAGAUAUCAAAUCCUGGACCUGAACACUAGACUGUAAUCAAGCAUAUAAUGAAGUAUCUUAAAAAAACUAAAACUUAUAUGCUUGUGUAUUCUAGUGAUGAACUCAUUCCAGUGGAUUCUAGAAAAUCAACUUUCGGCUAUAUGUUUACAUUAGGAAGUGGAGCUAUUAAUUGGAGGAGUGUGAAACAAUUUGUAUCACAGACUCCACAACUGAAGCUGAAUAUGUGGAUGCAUCUGAAGCUGCAAAAGAAGUUGUAUGGCUUUGCAAGUUCCUACAAAAUCUUAAGGUGGUACCUGUUGUAACUGCACCCCUUAAACUAUUUUGUGAUUAUGGUGGUGCAGUAGCUCAAUCUAAGGAACCACAAGAAACAAAAACAUAUUGAGAGGAAACAUCAUCUUAUAAGGGAAUAGUAUAGAAAGACUAUAUGACAGUACCCCAAAUGACAUUAGAUGCUUUAUGGUAGAUUUUAUUACAAUGGCCAUUAGUGGGAAACCUUUAUAACCUGCACUUAGAGCCCCUAGAGCAUGUGCAAUAUGCCAGAUAUGCUUUAAAGAGCUAGUGGGAGAUUGUUGGGAUUAUGUGCUCUUUUAAAAGUAUUAUUAAUUUAUUUUCUGAUUAAUAAAAUAUUUGAGAUAUUUCAAUUGCAUAAAUAUAUUGAAUAAGGUCCGUUUAAUCAUAUUAUAUUUUCUCUUGCUAGUUGCUUUUAGUAGUGAUAAAAGCACCCACACGUCAAGUGCAGAUCAAACUUGAGUCAUAACCCAGAAGAUUAUUUGGUGACAGAUCGUGAUCUAACAAGCGUGGUGGUGACAGAUCGUGAUCUAACAGGCGUGAUGGUGACGGAUCAUGAUCUGGGAAGCCUGGAUUAAUUUCAAUUGUUCAUCUUCUCAGUUGCACUCAAUGUGUAUUAGAAUCCACGAAGGUCCGAUCCNNNNNNNNNNNNNNNNNNNNNNNNNNNNNNNNNNNNNNNNNNNNNNNNNNNNNNNNNNNNNNNNNNNNNNNNNNNNNNNNNNNNNNNNNNNNNNNNNNNNAACGUAGAACCCUGUAGUUGGUUGCAGAGAUAGAAAGAGUGAGUGUGUUUUCCAUAGUUAAAGAUAUAGUUAGAAUGGAUAGUUCAAAAUCAAAAAUGGUGAUAAUGUUUGUUCUGUUAUUAAUUAAAUUUGAAGGUGGGUGGAGUGAGGGAUGUUUGGAUCAUGAGAUAUUUGCUCUUUUUCGACUCAAAUAUUUCUUCAAUGAUCUUCAUGAUUGGGUAGAUGAUGAGGGAGCUACUGAUUGUUGUCAAUGGGUAAGGGUUGAAUGCAACAACACCACAGAUCGAGUGAUAGCACUAGACCUUUCUGAUACUAGGAAUUGGGAUUUGGGAGAGUGGUAUCUGAAUGCUUCUUUGUUUACUCCCUUUCAACAACUUGAGUCACUUGAUUUAAGUUGGAACAAAAUAGCCGGUUGUGUUGAGAAUGAAGGUGAAUUUACUUCUCCCUCCUAAUUUAAGUGGAAUAUCAAGACUGAGCAACUAUAUGCAUAUCGAUUCAGUUGACAAUUCUGACAUUUUUUUUAAGUGAAUAAUUAAUUUUGAAAUCACACAAGUAUCUAUAAUCCUUUUUUAUUUUACUUGCAGGUCUAGAGAGGCUAUCAAAAUUGAACAAUUUGAAGAUGCUUGAUUUAAGUGAAAACUUGUUCGACAAUAGCAUCUUAUCAUUUGUAGGUCGUCUUUCAUCAUUACGAUCAUUAAAAUUAUCUUACAAUAGAUUGGAAGGAAGUAUUGAUGUUAAAGGUACAUAAUUAAAACUUUAUCUCUUCUCCAAGCUCUUUCAUUAACUUGCUAAAAUAAGAUUCAAGGUUUUGAAUUCAAUUUUUUAAUGAUUAAUAUUUUAAAAAAAUAGUUUUUAGCAAUUCAUAAAUACAAGUUCUAGUGUUUCUCAUAAUUUCAUCUUGUACUUUCAUAUGUAUUGUAUUUAAGAUGAAAAAAAAAUUCUAAUUGCGAACCGCACACCCCCACAACUUAUUUUUUUGUGAGGUUUGAAACAUUCAACUCAAUUUGUACUCUUUACAGAAUUAGAUUCUUUGAGAGAUUUAGAGGAGCUAGAUAUUGGCUGGAACAAGAUUGACAAAUUUGUGGUCUCAAAAGGUACUACAAAUACCAUAAAAAAUAUAAACUUUUACAAAUUAGCUGGAUUCUUUGCCAUUUGUUUUAUUAUUUCGUAGGUUUGAGGAAGUUGAAGUAUCUCGGUUUAAGUGGCAACAAACUCAAUCAUAGCAUCUUAUCUUCUCUGACUAUCUUUUCUUUGUUAAGAGAAUUAUAUCUACGUGAUACGGGAUUCAAAGGAACAUUUGAUGUUCGAGGUAAGCCUAAGCCUUGCUUUCUCAUUUUAUAUAUGUCAGCUAGACUUGUGUAUCAUCGACAUAAUUUAAUAUUUAAUUUGAUUAGUCUGAAGGAAUUACAUGCUAAUUUAAACAAACUUUUAUUUACCCUGUCAAUCAUUAAUUAAACACUAUUUGGUUUGGUUUAAACCUACUUUUUUAUUUUAUAUGCUAGCUAGACUUAGAUACUAACUAUUUUGAUGAGUCUGAAGGAAUUAGAUACUAACUAAACAUACUUUUAUGUACUCCCUCAAUUAAUUAAUUAAUUAUUUCACUUGGUUUGGACGAAAUUCUCAUGAUGCUUUAAUUUCUUUAAAGUUAUUAAUUAAUUAAUUCUGUUUUUAAGUCUUAAGUCUGGGUAUGUUUGUAGAAUUCAAUUCCUUCAAUAACUUAGAAGCGUUGGACAUGAGCAACAACGAAAUCGACAAUCUUGUGGUUCCUCAAGGUAAACAAUUAAAAUAUUAUUCAAUUACAUAAAUUUAAUUCAUUUGAUCAGGGAAGACGCAAAAGGUACAAAAAUAAUAAUAAUAAAAUAAAGAAACAGAGAAUUUAUAUUAUUUCAAAAACAGGACGUACUAGUUAUUUCAAAAACAGAAUGUAAUAAAGAUUUGAUUCCAGUACUUUAAUCUUUACAGUGAUUGAAAAACGAUACUAAUCCUUUCCCAAAGUAUAAAAUACGAAUUGACUCCCAAUUAAAUUAAUCAUUUAUUUAGUUCAUCUCUAAAUUUAAACAAUGAAUUUUGAUCUUCAAUCCUAUUCUAAUUACAAUUAAAAAACAGGUUAUAGAGGUUUAAGGAAUUUGAAAAGCCUUGAUCUAUCAGAAGUCGGAAUUAGAGAUGGAAGUAAUUUGUUACGGUCAAUGGGAUCAUUCCCAUCCCUCAACACUCUUUACUUGACUUCUAAUAAUUUUAUCGAUACAACGUCAGGUACAGAUGUGUCCAAAUUUAUAAAUAGGCUGUUAAUUAAUUAAUUAAUUUUCUGUAUUGUUGAAAAAGCUAAAUUUGUUGCUUCGAAACAGAGUUGCACAAUUUCACCAACUUGGAAUAUUUGGCAUUGGACUCUUCCUCUCUCCAUAUAAGCCUUUUACAAAGCAUUGCAUCAUUCACUUCGUUAAAAAUAUUGACGAUGACUAAUUGCGAAGUCAAUGGCGUCCUAAGUGGUCAAGGUAAAAGAAAAGUGUUGAUUAUAAAUAAACUAUUAAUUAAUUAAUUAAUUUUCCGUAUUAUUGAUAAAGCUAAAUUUGUUGAUCCUUCCUUUUAAUUCUAAACAGAGUUGCACAAUUUCGCCAACUUGGAAUAUCUGGCAUUGGACUUUUCCUCCCUCCAUACAAGCCUUCUGCAAAGCAUUGCAUCAUUCACUUCGUUAAAAAAAUUGUCGAUGACUAAUUGUGAAGUCAAUGGUGUUCUAAGUGGUCAAGGUAAAAGAAAAGUGUUGAUUAUGAAUAAGCUGUUAAUUAAUUAAUGUUGUUGCUCCUUGCUUCUAAAAUGAGUUGCGCAAUUUCACCAACUUGGAAUAUUUGAAUUGGACUCUUCCUCGCUCCAUAUAAGCCUUCUGCAUCUGCAAUUGCUUGAAGAAUUUAUUUAUUUAUUUAUUAUUGUUGUUGUUGUUGUUGAAAUGGGGUGGGCAAGCGUUCACUCAGUUAAUAUGUGGUGAAUUAAAUAUUACAAUCCAAGUUAGAAUUGUGGAAAAUUAAAGCAAAAUGAGAAAUAUGGACAGAAAGGAAGAAAGUUAAGGGCAUGAAAGACUAGGAGAAGACUGAAGACCACCAAAUAAGUCAAUUGAAAACUAGCUGGGGCUUGGGUGUACAAAUUGUUAGAAGUGUUUGUUAUAAAUCACAUAGAGCCCUCUUGUUGGUUGCAGAGCCAAAGAGACAAAGAGUGUGCAUUUUAUUAAUUAAAAAAAUAUAUAGAAUGGGUGGUUUAAAAUCCAAAUGGUGAUAAUGUUAGUUUUGUUAGUAUUAAUAAUAUUAGAAGGGGGUAGCGUGAGGGAUGUUUGGUGCAUGAGAGAUUUGCUCUUUCGAGACUUAAAAAAUUUCUUCAAUUCUCCUUAUAAUUUUUGUCACGACUGACCAUUGUCAAUGGGAUGGGGCUGGGUGCAGCAACACCACAGGGCGAGUGGUAUCUGAAUGUUUCUUAGUUUACUCUUUUUCAACAAAUUGAGUGGGUUAAUUUAAGUUGGAACAAUAUAGUUGGUAGUGUUGAGAAUGAAGGUGUUUCGUUUAAUUUAAUACUUUCUCCCUCCUAAUUUAAGUCGAAUAUCAGGAUUGAGCAACUAUAUGUAUCUUUAUUCAGUUGACAAUUUUGACAUAUUUUUUUAAAUGAUUAAUUUUGAAAUUACAUCAAACUGAUGUGAUCUCUGUUUUGAUUUUACUUGCAGCACUAGAGACGCUCUCAAGAUUAACCAACUUGAAGAUGCUUGAUUUAAGAGGAAACUUGUUCAAUAAUAGCAUUUUAUCAUCUCUAGCUCAUCUUUCAUCAUUAACAUCAUUAGAUUUAUCUGAGAAUAAAUUGGAAGGAAGUAUUAAUGUUAAAGGUACGUAAUUAAAAUGUCAUCGCUUCUCCCAACUCUUUCAUUAACAUGCUAAAAUAAGAUUCAAGGCUUUGAAUUCAAUUUUUUUUAAUGAGUAAUAUUAGAAAAAUAGUUUUAAGCAAUUCAUAAAUACAAGUUUCAAUGUUUCUCAUAAUUUCAUCUUGUACUUUUGUAUGUCUUGACUUUAAGAUUAAAAAAAAAAAUUAUUCUAACUGUGAAGCAAAUACCCCACGACUAAUUUAUUAUUUUGUCUAGUUAAAAAUGAUAAAAUUUAUUAUUUGCUUAUAUUGAUUAAUUAACUCUAUUUUUAAGUCUUAAGUCUUGGCGUCUUGGCAUGUUUGCAGAAUUUGAUUCCUUGAGCAACUUAGAGGAGUUGGACAUGAGCGGCAAUGAAAUAGACAAUUUUCAGGUUCCUCAAGGUAAACUAUUAAAAUAUUAUUCAAUUACAUUAAUUUAAUUCGUUUGAUUAGGGAAGGCCAAAAGGUACAAAAACAUAAUAAAAAACUAAAGAAACAAAGAAUUUAUAUUAUUUCAAAAAAUAAAAUGUAAUACUAUUAUUUCAAAAAUAGAAUGUAAUAAAGAUUUGAUUCCGGUUCUUUAAUCUUUACAGCAAUUGAAAAACAAUGUUGCUCUUUUUCUAAAGCAUAAAAUAUGAAAUGAGUCAUAAUUGAAUUAGUCAUUUAUUUUGUUUAGCUCUAAAUUUAGAUAAUAAAUUUUGAUUUUUUUCAAUCCCAUCCUUAUUAUUAUUAUUAUUAUUAUUAUUAUUAUUAUUAUUAUUAUUAUUAAACAGGUUACGGAGGUUUGAGGAAGCUGAAAAGCCUGCAUCUAUCGAGAGUUGGAAUUAGAGAUGGAAGCAAGUUGUUACGGUCAAUGGGAUCAUUCCCAUCCCUCAACACUCUUUACCUUUGGGGUAAUAAUUUUACGGAAACAAUGACAACUACAACUCAAGGUAAGUAAAAGGUAUAGGUUUGGCCAAAUUUAUAAAUAAAUUGUUAAUUAAUUAAUUUUCCACAUUAUUAAUGAAGCUAAAUUCCUUGCUCCUUCUUUGUAAUUCUAAACAGAGUUGCACAAUUUCACCAACUUGGAAUAUUUGACAUUGGACCAUUCCUCUCUCCAUAUAAGCCUUCUGCAAAGCAUUGCAUCAAUAUCCCCUUCAUUAAAAAAUUUGUCGAUGUGUGGUUGUGAAAUCAAUGGUGUCGUACGUGGUCAAGGUGAAAGAAAAGGGUUGAAUAUGAACUCACUCAAUGGUGUCCUAUGUGUUCAACUUAUUUAUUUUUUUAUUAAUUUUAUUUUUUAAUGUUUCUACUAGGUUUUCCUCAUUUCAAGAGUUUGGAACAUUUGGAGAUGGAUGACGCGCGCAUUGCACUCAACACCAGCUUUCUUCAAAUCAUCGGUGAAUUGAUGCCCUCUCUUAAGUACUUAUCACUAUCAUAUUCUACUCCUGGCACUAACAGCAUCGAGAUUCUUGAUCAAGGUUAAUGAGAUGCUCCACUCUCCCCGCUUAAUCUAUAAUAUUAAUUUUUGAUUAAAUGUUUAAUUACACAAACGAAUCACUUAUUUUAAAAGAAUAAUACGUAUUCAUUAAUUUUUAUAUUGUAUUAAUUGAUGAAUUUAAUAAAUUUUCAGGCCUCUGUUCGUUGAUGCAUAUGCAAGAGUUACACAUUGCUCAUAACGAUUUAAGAGGUAGCUUGCCUUGGUGCUUGGCAAAUAUGACAUCCCUCAGGAUAUUAGAUGUUUCUUCCAAUCAACUUACUGGAAGCAUCUCUUCAUCUCCCCUCAUUCAUUUGACAUCCAUUGAAGAGCUGAGGCUUUCAGACAAUCAUUUUCGGAUUCCAAUUUCACUUGAACCACUUUUUAAUCACUCAAGACUCCAGAUUUUCGAUGCUUACAACAACGAAAUAAAUGCAGAAAUAACUCAAUCACCUUCUUUGACCCCAAACUUCCAAUUAUCACAUCUCUCAUUGUCUUUCGGUUAUGGAGAUGGUGUCACAUUCCCCAAAUUCCUUUACCAUCAACAUGACCUUGUGAAUGUUGAUCUCUCACACAUAAAGAUGAAUGGAGGAUUUCCAAAUUGGUUGUUGGAAAACAACACAAGAUUAGAAACUCUUUCUUUGGUCAAUGAUUCUCUUGCAGGACCUUUCCGAUUGCCAAUUCAUUCACACAAGCAGUUAAGACUGUUGGAUGUCUCCAACAACAACUUCCAAGGCCACAUUCCAGUAGAAAUUGGAGAUAUUUUACCAAGUUUAAUAUCCUUUAACAUUUCAAUGAAUGCUUUAAACGGUAGCAUUCCCUCUUCAUUUGGUAAUAUAAACUCCCUUCAAAUUCUGGACUUAUCCAACAAUCAAUUGAUUGGUGAAAUACCCGAGCACUUGGCUGUGGGUUGCGUCAACUUGGAGUAUCUUACAUUAUCAAACAACAACCUAGAAGGUCAUAUGUUCACUAGAAAUUUUAACCUGACAAACUUGAGAUGGUUACAAUUGGAAAGCAAUCACUUCGUAGGAGAGAUCCCACAAAGCUUGUCUAAAUGCUCUUCACUAGAAGGAUUGUAUCUUAAUAAUAACAGUCUCUCGGGUAAGAUUCCACGAUGGUUAGGUAAUCUCAAAGGGUUAAAACAUAUUAUAAUGCCCGAGAAUCAUCUUGAAGGUCCUAUUCCAAUGGAGUUUUGUCAACUUUAUUCGCUUCAGCUUUUGGACAUUUCAGACAACAACAUAUCUGGAAGUUUACCAUCUUGUUUCCAUCUUCUCUCUAUCGAACAAGUUCAUCUUUCAAAAAAUAUGUUACGUGGACAGCUAAAAAGAGGUACAUUCUUUAAUUGCUCUUCCCUUGUGACAUUAGAUCUUAGCUAUAAUCGUUUGAAUGGCAGCAUUCCGAAUUGGGUUGAUGGGCUUUCUCAACUAAGGCACCUUAUCUUAGGUCACAAUAAUCUUGAAGGUGAAGUGCCAGUUCAAUUGUGCGGAUUAAACCAACUGCAAUUGUUAGAUCUUUCUAAUAAUAAUCUUCAUGGCCAUAUUCCUCCUUGCUUUGAUAACACCACACUUCAUGAAAGUUAUAGCAAUAGUUCUAGUCUUAAGCCAUUUGAAAUAUCUCUUGUCAUGGAAAGCGGGAUGAUCUAUGCAGAAAAGCAAAUCCAUGAAAUUUUUGAGUUCACAACAAAGAACAUUGCGCACAUUUACCAAGGAAAAGUGCUUAGCCUCCUAUCAGGACUUGAUCUUUCUUGCAACAAGCUAAUCGGUCAUAUUCCUCCUCAAAUUGGAAAUUUGACAAGGAUUCAAACAUUGAAUCUAUCACACAACAACUUGAUAGGAUCGAUCCCAUCAACAUUUUCAAACUUGAAGCAAAUCGAAAGUUUGGAUCUUUCUUACAACAAAUUGAAUGGGAAAAUCCCUCAUCAACUUAUGGAGUUAAACGCAUUGGCUGUUUUCAGUGUGGCAUACAAUAACUUAUCAGGCGAAAUUCCAGAAUGUAAAGCACAAUUUGCAACCUUCAACGAGAGGAGCUAUGAGGGAAAUACUUUUCUUUGUGGACUGCCAUUGCCCAUUUGCAGAUCACCAGCAACUAUGCCAGAGGCUUCAAUUGGCAAUGAACGAGAUGAUAAUUUAAUUGACAUUGACAGUUUCUUUAUCACAUUUACAACAUCAUACAUAAUUGUGAUAUUUGGAAUUGUUAUUGUUUUAUAUGUAAAUUCUUAUUGGCGACAUAGAUGGUUUUACUUUGUUGAAAUGUGGAUAACUUCAUGUUACUAUUUUGUUGUAGACAAUCUUAUUCCAACAAGAUUUUGUCAUUGAAAUUAAUUAGUAGUUUAAUUACGAUUCUUUAAGUACUAAUCAGGUUUUCUUGGGAAAUAAAUUUUUUUAUUUUUUAUUAAAAUUGUAGUAGUAUUUAGCAUUAUAUAGCUUCCAACUUCCAAGCACUUCACAUUUGUCUCUACACUUAAAAAGCGAGUGAUCAUGUUUUGUAGAUCUGGAUUUGGAGCAGGAUGGAUCCAAACCCAUAUCUAUCCAUCAUAGCUUAUAGCUUCCCUAUACUGUGCAGCAUACUUAAAUAAGAGAACCAUCUCCAAUGUUAAAAGUAGCCACUCUAUAACAAUCAUUUAGAAACUAUAUUCAGAAUAGUUUUAUAAUCAUACACAAGAAAUGAAACACCUAGAUGCACUUGAUCGCCUAUUUUACUUUGAAAAAGAACAGUUAUGGUGCUUUCAUCAUCUUCUUCACUAGCAACAUUAACACUAAAUCCACCGAUGGACCCAGACAUUUCAUCAAGAAAGGUAUAUAUCUAAUAAAGUUAAAGCUUGACAAAAAAUUCAGGAAGAUUAAUGCCUCGCCACAACAAGGGCCACAACAACAUCAAAGUAGAGAUGAAGCAGUAUUCUCAAAGCUAAAACUCUCAAAUCCACCUAGGGGUGUUUAGAAUCCAAUUUGAUCCGCUCAAUCCGUCUAAUCCAUAGAAAUCCAAUUUGUAAAAAUCUGAUCCGUGGAUUGGUGGAUUAGAUUAGAUUGAAAAUUUGAUAAUCCGCAAUCGGUGGAUUAGAUACGGAUCUACUUCUGUAAAUCUAUAAAAAUCUGUGAAUCCGCAAAAAAAUAAAAAGUAUUUAUUUAAUUAAAAAAUAAAACUUGUAAAUAUGGUAUUAGUACUUACUAGUACAUAAAUAAGUUAAAAUAUAGUUAUAUUAACAGUAUGUUAUAUCUUAUCCGAUAAUAAUAAAAAAUAAAAAAAUAAUUAAAUAAACAAAUAUAGCUUUCUAAAUAGUUAAUUUCUAUGUACUGAUCUAAACGAAUGAGAUUUUUUUCGUUUUGAUGUGUUAUAUUUCGAAACUUUAAAUGAAUUUUUUAAGCUUUAUUUAAACAAUUAAUUUAUUUAAAUCUUAUUUAAUUUUAAAUUUGAAGUCCGUAAACCAAUCCGCAAAAUAUUAGAUUUGGUCAAAUCUGCAUCCGAUCCGUAGAUGUAUGGAUUGGAUUUGGAUUGAAUUUUACCAAUCCGUGGAUUGAAUUGAAUUGAAGAUUUAUAAUCCGCAAAAUCGUAGAUCGGAUAUGGAUUGAGGUCUAAUCCAUAAAAUCCGAUCCACGAACACCCUUAGUUGGAUUCUUGAGUGAGAACAAUUCCUAGGCCAAAUCCAAAUUGUCUACAAGAAAUCCAACGUCCUCAAGAGAUCAUAUAUAGUUUUCAAAUUGCGGGAAAGCUCUAAAACUUGUGAAUUGAGAAAUUGUACAUGCAUGUCAAGCUUUAACCAAUGAAUUUGCUUUAAUUUAUCAACAAUAAGAAUAUAAGAUGAGAUUUGACCUAGUUGUUACUCUUGUGAAUAAAAAAAUUGUGUGCCUGAACAUGAUUUAACUAAUGAAAUGAAUUUUCUUUAAUUUUUUUUAAUAAUAGGAUGAGACUUUCCUGAAACGAAAAGUACGGAUAUAUAAUUUGUUGGCUUUAGUUACCUUACAUAAUAAUGUAUGGUACAUAACCGUUUGAUGAAAAUCCAACAGUCGUGGAAAUAAUAAAAUUUUAUUAUCUUAUAUUUUCACAACUGUUGGAUUUUCAUCAAACGGUUGUGGAAAAUCAAAUGGUUGUGGAAGAGUCAUUUACCUUACAUUAUUAUGUAAGGUAACAAGCUCCUAAUUUAUUUAGUAUGAUUGAAAAUUAUGAAUGAAAAUAGUUUUGCCAAAAUUGACAAAAUCAAAAUCUUUAAAUUAGUGAAAAGUCUUCAAGUCCUAUGUGAUAUAAACACGUAUUUGGCCUACUUCUUAGAACUCUUAUGGCUAUAGUCAAGCUAGAUGAAAAAGAGAUUUACUAAUUCUGAGUUAGAGAUCAUGAUGGUAACAUCUACACCUUACUCAAUAAAAUUCUUUGCUUAUUUUUUUAUUACUUAUGGUUGAAUUAGAAAUUCAAUUAUUCUUUUAUAACGUGGUUUAAAAUAUUUAAUAAAAGGAAAUUCUUAAAUACUUUGGAGAUUUCAGAGCUUUUUUUUUAAUUUUUAAAAAAGAUAGAGAUGUGACAAAACUAAAAAAAAAAAAUUAAACUCAGAUGACCAACUAAAAGUUAUCUGAUCACUUUAUUUGAACGAAAACUUUAAUGCUGUUAUGAAAAUGUGUAGAUCAAGCAAUGAAAAAUUCCAAAAUAUUGGUAAUAACUUCAAAUUACAACGACGGAGGUAGGUUGACGGCGACCUUAUGUAGCGGAGGCAGCCAUAAAUUUUAAAUUUUGUUUGCGUUGAAGUCAAAAUUCAACUGUCGCCGACCCAUUUGGUUUGAACUCUAUGUCAAUCGGGUCUGCCCAAAACCAAACACAACCCAAACCAUAGCCAGCAUAGGUGCUAAGAAGAUUCUUUUACUUUGUCACUUGUCGCCUACAAUGAAAUUGACAUUAAACAAACAUUAAAACGUGUGGACUCCGAUAGCUGCCCCACAACUGUACAAUAAUAAUUGAGUAUGCACUUUUGAUUCUCGGGACCUUUCAAUGAGUUUCUGCCCCGCUGAUUCUAUCAACUAAAGUUUUGUAAAAUGAAAAAAAAAAAGUACAUAGAAUUCCACAAAAUGCAAAACGUGUGGAAUUUAAUUUUUGGCCGUGUGGACCAAAAUAUAAUUUAACGAAAAAGGGCAAAAAUGGUAAGAUAUUUAAAAUGUAUGGAAGAUGAUCCAUAUUUUACUGAAACGACUUAUCUCGAACAUUAAGAUGAUUGAUUUUUUCUUUUUGAAUAAUAUCAACUUCCAUAUCUUUCUACCGGAGAACAUGCUCACAUUAAAGUCUAUCUUACUAAUUUGAAAAAGAAAAUCAAAUCAACACCAAAGCAAUGAAAAGUAAAGCUUUUGAAUUUUAACUCCGGCUGGCAAACGUAUUCAGGAAUUCUUCCCAUUGCAUAUCUUAUUCCUCCAUCAAUGCAAUAUUAAGUAAUUUUUCUUUAUCAUAUUCUUUUCUUUGCAUUUCUUCUUCCUCUAUCAAUGCAAUAUUUGAACAAUUAAGAAAGAGUUUAAGAACAUAAAAGAUCUCCUAGAUUUAUACGGUAUAACAAAUUUAAAUUCUCAAUUAUAAUGGAUAAUAAUUAAACUAAUAAUUAUUUAUUUACUUAUUUUAAUAGUUUCACCUAAGAAUAAUAUUGUAAUUAGAAAAAAUCUAAAAAGCGGGGUGGUUUUAUACAAAAUCAAUUGCAUACACAUAUCCAGAAGCAUAUGCGGAUGCAAAUAAUAUUUUUUAUUCUUUUUUUAUAAGAAAAUUGUGUAUUGAGAUGAAUAAAAUGUUUAAUUUAAUUAAUUUCCUUACUUUCAUAUACAUUGUCUUUCUAUCUAAAGAAAGCUCAUGUUUGUUAGUAUUCAUUCUUAGAGAGGUGAAAAAAUUACAAAUCUUGAACAACAAGGAGUAGUUUAAUUGCCACUAACUUUACUUGGCCUUCUUUAGUUGGAGCUGUGUUUUCUGAUAAGCCAAAGAAUUAGUAGCUGUUAGAAAGCUGAAAUGAGAUUGUAAACUUUGUUUGGAAGCUAAGAAAAUGAAAAGAAAAUGUUCUGGAAAUUUCUUGAUUUUAUUCAAUUUUUCUCAUUACAUAACAAAUACAAUCACGAUAGUAUUUAUACUAAAUCAAGUCUCUAAAACAAAAAUAAUAGUUUGCUUAACAGCUGACGAACAGGACGUAAUGCAUGCUUAACGGAAUUGCUGAGCUGGCUUCUUUUCUUAACUAACUGCUGACGUGUCAUUGGCACACACGUGUUGAAUAUGCAGCUCCCUUUUGUACAAUGUGUGCUUCCUUAACAGCCCCCCUCAAACUCAAGGGGCAGGGAUGCACAUUGAGUUUGCUUCUAAAGUAGUUAAAGUGAAUGAAUGUGAGAGGCUUGGUCAAGAUGUCUGCAAUCUGCUCUUCACUGGGAAUGUAAUUGAUCUCCAGCUCUCUUGCCAACACUUUAUCUCUUAUGAAGUGCAUGUCUAGUUCAAUAUGUUUAGUUCUCGAGUGGUAGACAUGAUUUUUGGCUAGCUCAGUUGCACUUAUAUUAUAGCACUAUUUUGUAGGCACUGAAACACAUUCUAUCUUGAUCGUCUUGAAUAAUGACUGCAACCAUGUAAUUUCUGCACUUGCAAAAGCAAGAGCUCUGCACUCACUCUCUGCACUUGAUCUUGUGACUAUUGAUUGCUUCUUGGAUGACCAAGAUAUCAAAUUAUGCCCCAAGUAAAUGCAGUAUGCCCCUAUUGAUUUUUCUAUCAUCAACAUCAUAUGCCCAAUCUGCAUCUGCAUAUUCUAUUAGCUUUAUUUCUCCACCAGCUGUACACUUUAAUCCAUAGUCUUCUGUUUCUUUCAAAUAUCUAAGUAUCCUCUUACAAGCCAUGAUAUGUUGAAGUGUUAGUGUAGACACAUAUUGACUUAAUUUGUGCACUGCAAAAGCAAUUUCUAGCCUAGUCAGGACUAAAUACUGUAACUCUCCAAUCAAGCUUCUAUAACUAGUUGCAUCUUCAACAUACUGACCCAAAGAUCCCUUAACUUCUUUAUGAAGUUUUGUUCUUGUAACCAUUGGAGUAUCACACCCUUUGCAGUCAAGCAUAUCAACUUUUCUCAGCAAGUCUUUAAUAUAUUUUUUUUUGGGACAGAUAUAUAUCAUUCUCAGUAUAAGAGACUUCUAUACCAAGAAAAUAUGAAAGCUUUCCUAAAUCUUUUAAUGCAAACAUUUUGCUCAAACCUGAGAUAAAUUUUUCAAGUUCAUCACUAUUAGGUCAUGUUAUCAAUAUGUCAUCAACGUAAAUCAGGAUUAGUAUCAUUGAAUUCUGUUCUCCCUUGAAAAAUAGUGAAGUGUCGGCUCUGGAAUUUUGAAAACCCCAAUUUGUAACCAAACAACUCUUCAGUUUGUCAAACCAUACUCUAGGAGAUUGUUUCAACCCAUAUAAGGCCUUCUUCAACUUGCAUACAUAAUCAGGUCUUAUCUCAUCAACAAAUCCUUCAGGUUGGCACAUGUAAACAUCCUCUGUCAAGUCUCCAUUUAGGAAAGCAUUACUAACAUCUACUUGUCUGAUCAUCCACCUAUGCAUUACAGCCAAGCUCAAUAUAACUCUCACUGUAGAAGCCUUUAUAACAGGGCUAAAUCUUUCAAAAUAAUUGAUUCCUUUAGUUUGUUGGAACCCUUUUGCAACCAACCUAGCUUUAUAUUUGGCAAUACUGCCAUCACUAUUUUGUUUGACUCUAAACACCCAUUUGUUUCCAACAAUUUUGUAUUCAGCUGGAGGUGGUAUAAGAGACCAAGUCUCAUUUCUGAUCAAGGCUUCAUAUUCCUCUUUCACGGCCUUAUACCAGUGUUUAUCAUUAAGAGCUUCUCGAACUGUGUUAGGUUCUUUGUUGAUCAAGGUGGUUGUGUACAACUUAGGCUUGAAUAUUCCAGACUUCGAUCUAAUGGUCAUUUUGUGUGUGGGUUGUGAAGUCAGAAUUCUGUUUGGACUGAGUUCAGUUUGUUGUUGACUGGUUACAUGUGGUUCAAAUUGUGUUUGAGUUGGUUCAGGAAUAUGACGGAUAGUUUGUGAUGUUGAUGAUUUUGAUAUGAAUGACUAGAUGAUUCUUGUUGAUGCUGAUUAUUUGUAUGCUCAGGUAAUACAGGUGUUUGUUCAUUACUCGGUACUCUUGCUGAGUAAGUAUCUUCAAAGCUGCUGUUGAGUAAGGGUAAUGUUGAGAGAUGAUAGAUUUGUUGUUUAGAGAAAUUUGACACUGGAGUUUCUGAUUGGAUGACAUUUUCAGAAGAAGAAGUGGCAAAGAUUGUUGCAUAUGGAAAUACAGUCUCAUCAAAGACAUCAUGCCUAAGAAUAUGAACUUGACCUGAGCUUGUAAGACAUUUGCAUCCUUUAUGAGAUGAGCUAUAUCCAAUAAAGAUGCAUUUGCUAGUAUGAAAAUCAAACUCAUGUCUGUUAAAGUCUCUCAUGUAUGGAUAACAAAGACAACCAAAUCAUUUAAGGAAAUUGUAAUCAGGUUUAUGCUUGAAAAGUUUCUGAUGUGGGGAUAAGAGUCUCAAUACAGGUGUUGGCAACCUGUUUAUGUGAUAUACUGCUAUAUGAACAGUUUCCCACCAGAAUUUGAAAGGAAGAUCAGCUUGAGUUAAAAGAGUCAAGGCCAAUUCAAUUAUAUGCCUAUGUUUUCUUUCUACCAGUCCAUUCUGGUGAUGAGUGUAAGGGCAUGAGUGUUUGAAAAUGAUCCCAUUUUGGUUCAAAAAAUCAGUGAAUACUCAAUAUUCUCCCCCUAGUCAGAUUACAUCAUCUUAAUUGUUGUAUUGAACUGAUUCUAUAAUUCUGUCUUUAGAAAUGCAACUAAAUUUUUAAUCUCUUACUCUACAUAAAAUUGAAAUUCGAGUGGCUUAUCAAAUAAAAUUAAAACUAUUAAUUAACCAAAUAAAAUUAUUUAAAACCAUUGGGUAUGGUAGCAGGAGUUCUUGAAACUAUCGAUGCCAUGAAAUUUACUGGCGAAAAGGGUUUUAGAUGUCUAUUUUAUAAAUCUUUUAAUAAUUUUUUUAUUUACCAUUUUACUAUCCAUGGUAAAAGUGUCGCAUCGACAUUGAACAGUUCAACAUAUCAGUCAUUUCUCAUUCAGUCAUUAAGAAUUUACGUUUGGGGUAUUUUUGUAAUUAUGAGAAGGUAAACUAAUCGCAAAAUUCAUUUGGCUUGCACUUGCUCGCCUUUGCUGUGUGUUUGGUUAUGGCGUUAUCAUUAUCAUCUUCUCCACUCCUGCUGACACCAGACCUUAACCGUUCAGAUUCCCUUUCUCGACUGUCAUACCCUACGCCCCGUCUCCGUGUCUCCGAUAAACAGUGCUCAAUUAAGACCAUCAGAUUAUCCCGGACCCACAUUAAUCCAACGGCUCACAAUGACCGACAACCUCUCCAUCUCCAUUACAAGCUCCCUCUUCAGCUGGCUUCUUCUUCCGUCCUACUCUUUCUCGGAUUCGGAGCCCGUAUAUGCUCGGCUGGUCCCACGCAGCUCCCUCUCACUCCAGCUGUCAACCAACAAGACCAAUUGCUUGAUCAAGACACAGAACAAAAAGAGGAUGAGAAAUUGAAUCAAGAAUUUGAGAAUUGGAAAUGGAAGACGUACGCAUUGACCGUGCCUUUGAGAGUCGUUUCUCUUCAGAAUUCAGUGCCUCAAUCUUGGGUUAAGGAUUUUAUGCGAAGUCAAGGAAAGAGAUUGAAGUUUCAGAUGAAUUUGUGUGCUAGCAUUGAUGGGAUCGUUAACAAUUUAUCUACGCCCUUUAACAAAGUUAAGGCUAAGUCAGCUUCGUAUAUGGCUGCUGAUUUGGUUAGUGUUGGUGAUUCAUGGCUCAGUUUUGCGAUUAAAAAGAGAUUGAUCGAGCUAAUAGCUGAAGCUGAAGAUCAAGAUUGGUUCAAAUGCUUAAGUCACAAAUGGAAGGUAACAUCUUUAUCUUUUACCCGAUAAUUUUUAUUGUCUUACCUUGAAAUUUGGUAAUGUAAUUUGUUCUCUAUCUGUGUUACCCUUUAUAGUCAUUUUAUUUAUUUGUUUAUUGCUUUUAUUUGCACUAACGAAAUCUCAGGUAUAUCUACGCAGCAAUGAUGCAGGAGAAAUUGAUCCUCGAGGUCAAAUAUGGGCGGCACCAUACAGGUGGGGCACAAUGGCGAUAGGCUACAAGAAAAGUAAAUUUCAAAACCAUAAUUUGGCUCCGAUUGAGGUAAUAAUUGUACUUAAACUCAUUUAGUUUAAUAUCAAGCAAAAUCAAGACUGCCUUUCUCUUCAAUAUUUUCAAUGAUAAUAUCUUUAGAAGCAUCUCAUUGACGGGUAACAAUGGUAUCCCUGAAAGAGUCUAUAAACUCAAUGAUAUUAUCUUCUACAAUGGCUCAUUAAACUUUGUCGUUGCAGUCAAAUGUACACUCAGAGCAAUGAAAAGCUAUGCCACUGUAGCAUGUAGUGAUGGCACUUAAUAAGUGAAUUGCUAGGAUGUGAACUAGAAAAAUUAAAUAUUGUCUCCUUGGGUAUGCUAGCUCGUAAGUCAGGGUUACUAUUAGAGCUUAAGAUACUAUAACCAUGAGAAGCUAUUGACUGCCAAUUAAAAUAUCCAUUAAAAUGUCUAGGGAGUUAUGAAGGUGGAGGUAGCUUCCAAUAACUAACUUGAGUUUGGUAAAACAAACAGACAGUGUGUCUCAUGUCUCACAAUUCAAAUUAUCAUCUGUAAUGAUGGAGAAUUUUUCUAAUGUAUGAAGUAUGCUUUCAUACGUGGAUUAGCUUGGAGAAGAUAUCUCAAAAUAAAGAAUAUGGGGAGCGAAUGGGAAAAAAACAGUUCAGUAGUUUAUUAUUCUGUAGUCAAGUUUUGUCUUGAAAAUGGUCAAAAUUUAAAUGAAUAAGGACAGGGGAUCUUCAUUCUUUUUUCCCUUUUUUAUACCAAGAUAUCUUUCAACCUUUAUAUAAUCCCCACUGGAUAUCUGCUUCUAAUAAUUAAAAUAAAAAUUUCACCCACACAAAUAAAUACUGACCAAGCUCUAACAAUAAAAACUAACAUCUUUAGUCAAGUAACAUCUUUAGUCACGUAAUUUACAGUUCCUCAUCAUCUUAGUGUGAGCUAUCAGUACGAUCUAAAAACAUAAUAAAACUGGUUUGAUCCUGUUUAUUGAUGUUUAAAUGUUGUUUAUUGUGACAAGUAAAUUAGUAAGAUCUUGUUUGAAGUUGUUUUCCGAAAUGAACUGCCAAAUGGUAGUUUUUUUGGGGCAUCUGAUGGCUCUUUUUUCCUCAUUUUAAACAUGUGCCUGCUUGGAAUGGGAAGGAUUAGGCUGCAGAGUUGUUAUAUAUUUUGACAUGCUCUGGUAAUUACACAAUUUGUUCACACUGGAAAUUAGAAUGAGAAAUUUGUUGAUGCUGUUUUGAUAGAUCUGCAUUCUAUGCACAAUAACAUGAUUAAUGAAAAUGGAUUGUAGGACUGGAAAGAUCCGUGGUGGCCUGAGCUCGCAGGAAGAAUUUCAAUGGUUAAUUCUCCCCGAGAGGUUAUUGGUUCAGUUUUGAAGUAUAUGGGAGCAUCAUAAAAUUCAAACAAUAUUGAUUUGCAAGUUGCUGGUGGGAAGAUUGCUGUUCAGCAGAAUCUGGCAUUACUGGCAAACCAGGUACUCUUAAAGAAAUGAUAUCUGAUCAUUGCAUGUUAUUGCCUGACAACUGAUUUUGUUUGUAGAAGUCUGCUUCUUCAUACAUAUGAAUGCAUAUGCUAGUGUUUUCUUCUCCUUUUCAUACAUAUGAAUGCGUAUGUUGGUGUUGUCUUUUCCUUUUCAUACGUAUUAAUAAUACAUAUGUUGGUGUUCUCUCCUGAGAUGGAUGCAAUAAAGGCUUUUGCUCCUAAAUUUAGCUGAAGAAAUGGCAAGGGAUGUGAGAUUCUGUCUCAUUAAAUUAACAAAAACCCAAAACAAUGAAAAACCAUAAUAAUGUGGUGUGGGUAAACUGGCUCCAUUUGGUUCGUUUCCUUAAUGUGAAUACGCAAACAAUGGAGACUAACAAAAUGAAGUGACAACAACAAGUCAGUGUCCUUUGAUGGAUGCAUUUUUAAGCAGAAAUAGGUUUGUAAUUGACCAAAUUUGUCUGGCAUGCCAAUUUCGAAAAAAUUAAAUUAUGUGAUUAUUACCUGUAAUGAAGGGGGAUAGUAGGUGCAAUCAGGUGGAUCCCGGAAAGUUCAACAAAGUUCUGGUAUGGUGUAUUGAAAUUGGUUUGUGCAACUCAAGAGUCUUUCAGGUGAACGAUGAUGGGUUUUGAUUUAUGAAUGUUAUAAAUCUACUGUGCAUAGUAUUCUAGUAGAAUCAUUUAUAAGUUCUAGUUAUUGAAAUUGUCUACUUUGUCCGGUUUGAGUUAAGGGCACAUGUAAUAUGAAAAAUAGUUGUCGCAUCUUUUAGGUUACCUAACAUUUGAUCAAUCCUAUUAUGAGGGCUUCAAGAUGUCUAACAAUAUGUAGAAUGCCCAUGCUCCUCCCCAUUGUUUAUCUUAUACAAUAAUUUGUUUUAGAUGCUAAUAUCUUUGUCGAUACUGGUAACAUUAUUACAAUCUCUGCUUUUAUUGGGUUCUACAUAGGUUCGACUGUUUGACAGUACACACUAUCUGAAGGCAUUUGGAAUUGGAGAUGUAUGGGUUGCUGUUGGGUGGAGUAGUGAUGUUCUUCCUGCUGUCAAACGUAUGUCUAAUGUUGCUGUUGUUGUUCCCAAGUCUGGUGCAAGCUUAUGGGCCGAUCUUUGGGUAUUCCCAUGCCUGCCAUUCUACUUCGAUAUUCACUUUGUUAUCACCUUCAUAUUAGUGAUCAGUAAACACGAUAAUGUGACUAAUAAGUUUGUAUUCUCUUUAUAGGCGAUCCCUGCUGCCUCAAGACUUGAAACAAAACAAAUUGGAGGGCAAGUCAGAGGUCCGUCUCCAUUAAUCCAUCAAUGGAUAGAGUUCUGCUUGCAAACAGCAAGAGCAUUGCCUUUCAAGCAAGAGGUUAUCCCAGGCGCAUCUCCCUCUGCCCUUGAAAGUACUCUGGUUAAGUUGCCUGAAGAACUUCUGAAGGGUAAACCAAGUGUGGAUACUAACUUAAUUGCUGGAGUACCCCCCCGCUGAAAUUCUGGCCAGAUGUGAGUUUUUGGAGCCAUUAUCUGAAGCUACAUUGUCAGAUUAUGAGUGGCUGGUUGCUAAUCUGCAAAACCUGCUCCUGUCUUGAUGAAAAGGGUGCAGCAUUACUUGUCAUCAUUAAUCCAAAGCUUUCUAGCAAAGCUACAUUGAAAAGUUAAUGGCACUGCAUACAAUCAUGAGUUUUAAUGGAGCAAGAACUAAAUACAAUUAUCGCUAACAAAUACUGAAAACACAACCCACACAGGAAAUCACCCUUCGCGUGGGGAUGGAGAUGUUUACUGGAGCGAUAUUGAAUAUGUGCAAGGUGUUGUCCACUGCUCUUUGGGUUAUGGUGUGACUUGCGAUUUCAAGAUUGCCCAGAAACAAUGGAAAAGAUUAACAUAUCCUCCCAUGAGUGAAAACGGCUUGACUAAUUCUAAUUACCGAAUUGACUCAGGAUCAGGUAGCAAUAAUAACAGUUAACUAACAUUGCACAGUCCCGAGUACUUUUCCAGGAUCAGAUACAACGUGGUCUAAUGUUGAUAAUAAUACCUUAUUAAAGGACAAAUCAUUGUUCUUGGGUGUUGAUAGUAAUAGCUUAUUAAAGUAGAAGAUGAAGGUUGUGCAGGUGAUUUCAGAAAUAAAAUACAUUCUGAGAGAUGAUGGUCUACUAUUGCAAGCCCCCAGAUUUCAGAAUCUUUUGAUUGCGGCAUUUGGCAACGAUUCCACAAAUUCUAGAUUCCAACUGAGUUAUCAAUUGAAAAUGAAGUUGAAUUGAAAAAGAACAACAAAUACACAGUGAAGUUGAAUUGAAAAUGAAGUUGCAAGUUGCGCCCAUAGCUGCUGACUAAUAAUAAAACGAGACAAAUUAAUUAAACUCAGAUCUCUAUGUACAUGUCAACCUAACUUUACUUUUCCUUGUUUGUUAUAUUCACUUAACACUUGAUGCCUAAACCAUUAAAACCAAAUGACCAUAGAGGUAUUUGUAAUAUGUAAAAACAAACAAAAACACGUAAAAAAUUUUAAAAACAAUUAAUAAUCACACUCUAAAUUUACCACUCAACUCUAAAUAAUAACCAUACUCAAACAAUUUACAACUUUUGACGGGAGUAGCUAUGAGGAAAAUCCUUUCUCAAUGGAUUGCCAUUGCCCAAGAGUUGCAAUGAAAACGUACCACCUGCAGCUGUGCCGGAAGAUUCAACUAGGUCUGAAAAAGAUGAUAAUUUAAUUGAUAUGGACAGUAAUUGUGAUAUCGGAAAGCAUUAGUAUUCUAUAUGUGAACCAUUAUUGGCGACAUCGAUAGUUUUAUAUUAUUAAAAUGUGGAUGACUUCCAUUUACUAUUUUGUUAUAGACAAUCUUAUUCAAUUAACAUAUAGUUUUAAACUAUUAUGUAAAUCAAUCUAUUAAUUUUCAUGAUAUUUAACUGAGUUAAAACUAAGUGCAAUCAAUAAAUCUCUUUUCCUUUAAAAAACCGCUACGUUUUAAUUUUAGUGCUUAAUAUUUAUUGAACUCUGAUACAGGAAAUUUGAAAUCAAACUCGUAACUACAAAUUAUUUAAUUGCGAGUUGCUGUCCAUAGCUGCUGAUCUGUAGUAAUUAUCUAAUUGACUGAGGUGACAACAAUUUUUUUUUUUUUCGGAAAAAUGUCAAUAGCACAAAUUCAAUAAUUAAAUUCUCAUGUUUAAUUUGUUUCAAGUUAAAUUAUUAAUUACUAAAACUCUGUUUUAAGUCUUUAAUUUUAUAUCUUGGCGUAUAUGCAGAGUUGGAUUCUUGAGUGAGUUGGGCAUUAAAAUGUGUGGACUCCGGUAGCUGUCCCACAAGUGUACAACUCUACAAUAAUAAUUGAGUACACACUUUUAAUUCUGGGGACCCUUCAAUGAAUUUCUAGCCCCGUUGACUCCACUGACUAGAGUUUUGUAAAAUAAUAAAAAAAAAGUACAUAGAAUUCCACCAAAUGCAAAAGCAAAAUGUGUGGAAUUUAAUUUUUGGCCGUGUGGACCAAAAUACAAUUUAACGAAAAAAGAAAAAAAAAAUUGUAAGAUUUCUAAAAUAUGUGGAAAGUGAUUCAUGUUUUACUGAAAUGACUUGUCUCAUGAUUGAUUUUUUUUUUUUUUUGAAAAAUAUCAACGUCCAUAUCUUUCUACCCUAGAACAUGCUCACAUUCAAGUCUAUCUUUGCUAAUUUGAGAAAGAAAAUCAAAUCAAAUCAAUACCAAAGCAAUGAAAAGUUAAGCUUUUGAAUUUUAACUUCAGCUAGCAAACGUAUUCAGCGUUUUCAAAUUCUUCCCAUUGCAUAUCUUCUUCCUCCAUCAAUGCAAUAUUAAGUACUUUUUCUUCAUUAUAUUCUUUUCUUUGCAUUUCUUCUUCCUCCAUCAAUGCAAUAUUUGAACAAUUAAGAAAGAGUUUAAGAACAUAAAAAAUCUUCUAGGUUUAUACGGUACAACAAAUUUAAAUUCUCAAUUAUAAUAGAUAAUAAUUAAACUAAUAAUUAUUUAUUUACUUAUUUUGGUAAUUUCACCUAAGAAUAAUAUUGCAUUAGAAAAAAUCUAAUAAGUGGGGUGGUUUUAUACAAAAUCAACUACAUACAGUAAUAAGUGAGUACGCACCUUUGAUUCUCGGGACCCUUCAAUGAAUUUCUAGCCCCGUUGACUCCACGGGCUACGGCUAAAGAUCUGUAAAACAAGUAAAUAGAAUUUCCACAAAAUGCAAAACUUGUCGAAUUUAAUUUUUGACCAUGUGGAUCAAAAUGUAAAUUAAAGAAAAAGACAAAACAAAAAGAGGUAAAAUUUCCAAAACGUGUGAAAGAUGACUCAUGAUUUAUUAAAACGACCUGCCUCGAAUAUCAAGACGAUUAAUCUUUUUAAAUUUUUUUUUUUGAAAUAAUAUCAACUCUCAUAUUUUUCCACUCGCAGAACAAGUUCACAUUCAAGUCUAACUUGCUAAUUUGGAAAACGAAAUCAAAUCAAAUCAAUAUCAAAGCAAUGAAAAGUAAAACUUUUGGAUUCUAACUCCAGCUAGCAAACGUUGGAAUGCAAUAAUUAAAUUCUUCUGUUUAAUUUGUUUUAAGUUAAAUUACUAAUUACUUAAACUCUGUUUUAAGUAUUUAAUUUUAUGUGUUGGUGGGUAUGCAGAAUUGGAUUCUUGAGUGACUUGGACAUGACCACAAUGAAAUUGAUGGCAAACAAACAUUAAAAUGUGUGGACUCCGGUACCUGCCGCACAAUUCUACAAUAAUAAGUGAGUACGCACCUUUGAUUCUCGGGACCCCUUCAAAAAAUUUCCAGCCUUGUUGACUCCACUGGCUAAGGCUAAAAUUUUGUAAUAGAAAAAAGGUCAAUUCUUGUGGAAUUUAAUUUUUGGCCUUGUAGACCAAAAUGUAAAUUAAAGAAAAAGACAAAAAAGAAAAGGGGCAAGAUUUAUAAAACGUGUAGAAGGUGGUCCAUGAUUUAUUCGAAUAACCUGCCUCGACUCGAAUAUUGUAAUGAUUGAUUUUUUUUAUUUUUUUAAAAUAAUAUCAAUUCUCAUAUCUUCCCACUCCUUGAAAAUGCUCACAUUCAAGUCAAAUUAAAUGGACACCAAAACAAUGAAAAUUGAAAAGUAAAACUUUUGAAUUCUAACUCUAGCUGGCAAACGUAUUCAGUAUUUUUAAAUUCUUCGAAUCGCUUAUCUUCUUCCUCCAUCAAUGCAAUAUCAAGUAUUUUUUUCUUUUUCGUAAUCUUUUCUUUGCAUUUCUUUUUGCUCCAUUAAUGUAAUUUAACUUCUUUUUUUAUUUGAACGGCUCGGAAAGAGUUGAAGAACAUAAAAAAGCUCUUGGUUUUAUACGGUAAAACAAAUUUAACUUAUAAUUAUUCAACUAACAAUUAUUUAUUUACCUAUUUUAGUAAUUUCACCGAAGAAUAAUAAUCUAAUUACAAAAAAUCUAGUCAGUUGGGUGGUUUUAUACAAAGAGUAAUGAUAUAGCCACAAACUCUUGUACAAACUUAUUUUGUACAAACUGAUGUGGCGUUAAUUCAUUGGUUGAAUUAAAUAUCUCUUGGCCCACAUGAUUUGUUUAUAUUAUUUUAUAUUUCUAUUCAACCAAUGAAUUAAUGCCACAUCAGUUUGUAUAAUAUAAAUUUAUACAAGAGUUUGUGGCUGUAUCAUUACUCUUAUACAAAAUCAACUACAUACCCAUAUACAGAUGCAAAUGCAAAUAAUAUUUUUAAAUAAGAAAAUUGUAUAUUGAGAUGAAUAAGAUGUUUCUAUGAUUCUAUCUUAGGAAAGCUCGGUGGUGGUAACGACAUGAAGUUGCGAGUUGCCGCACACAGUUGCUAGUAAUAUAAUAAAACAAGACAAAUUAAUUAAACUCAGGCCUUUACGUAUAUGUUAUCUUAACUUUACUUGCCCUUGUUUGAUGAUAUUCAUUCUUGGAGCUAAGGGCGCAUGUAAUAUUUGUAAUUGUAUUAAGUAUAUAUUAAUGUGAUUUUCAAAAUCAGGUUUUAAAAUCUGUAGGAUAGGCUGAUUUUGGUAGUUUUGGGUCGGCCGUUGCAGUCAUUGGGACUGACUUAUUAUUAUUAUUAUUAUUAUUAUUAUUAUUAUUAUUAUUAUUAUUAUUAUUAUCAUCAUUAUUAUUAUUAUUAUAAUUAUAAUAUCAACUUCCAUAUCUUUCUAAACCCGGAAUAUGCUCACGUCACGUUCAAGUCUAUCUUGCUAACCUGAAAAAGAAAAUCAAAUCCAAUCAACACCAAAACAAUGAAAAUUAAAGCUUUUGAAUUUCAACUCCAGCUAGCAAACAUAUUCAGCGUUCCCAAUUUCUUCCCAUUGCAUAUCUUCUUCCUCCAUCAAUGCAAUAUUAAGUACUUUUUCUUGAUCAUAUUCUUUUCUUUGCAUUUCUUCUUCCUCCAUCAAUGCAAUAUUUGAUCGAUUAGGAAAGAGUUUAAGAACAUAAAAAAUCUCCUAGGUUUAUACGGUAUAGCAAAUUUAAAUUCUCAAUUAUAAUAGAUAAUAAUUAAACUAAUAAUUAUUUAUUUACUUAUUUUAGUAAUUUCACCUAAGGAUAAUAUUGUAAUUAGAAAAAACUAAUUAGAACAAUUUAAUUUUUGGCCGUGUAGACCAAAAUAUAAUUUAACGAAAAAGGAAAAAAAAAAGGGUAAAGAUUUUUAAAAUGUGUGGAAAGUGAUCCAUAUUUUGUUCGACUUGUCCCGAACAUCACGACGAUUGAUUUUUUUAUUUUUUUUUUAAUAACAUCAACUUCCAUAUCUUUCUACCCUCAGAACAUGCUCACAUCCAUAUUUUUUAUGUACUUAUUUUAGUAAUUUCACCUAAGAAUAAUAUUGUAAUUAGAAAAAAAUCAAAUAAGUAGGGUGGUCUUAUACAAAAUCAACUGCAUACAUAUAUGCAGAUGCAGAUAAUAAUUUUUAAUUCCUUUUUUUAAUAAGAAAAUUGUGUAUUGAGAUGAAUAAGAUGUUUAAUUUAAUUAAUUUCCUUACUUUCAUAUACAUUGUCUUUCUAUCUAGAGAAAGCUUGGUGCUCAGAACGACAUGAAGUUGCGAGUUGUCGCCCAUGGCUGCUGAUUAAUAAUAAAACGACACAAAUUAAUUGAACUCUGGCCUCCAAGUAUAUGUUAUCCUAACUUUACUUGCUCUUGUUUGUUAAUAUUCAUUCUUAGAGAGGUGAAAAAAAUUACAAGUCUUGAAUAACGAGGAGUUUAAUUGCCUCUAACUUUACUUGGCCUUCUAUAAUCUCAUUAAUAAUACAGAGAAUUAAUUAUCUUUUUAUUAUUAAACCAAAGAAUUAGUAGCAGUUAAUAUUAAUAUUGCCCACCCAAGAAAUAUGAGUGAAUUAAAGUAUUGGCAAGAGUUCGCUCAGAGGAGCAUUUAAACCACUUCCUUAUCAAUUGCGGCAGCCGUCUAUUAACUAAAACGCCAAUCUAAUACACGAAGAAAGAACAUUUACAGACUUGGCAAUUGAGUUCAUUAAGAAGUAGCAUCGCAUUCGGGUGAUGAGUUUCCUUUUGUUAAUAAUUUUAGUCUAAUUUCCAUUGUACUGAGAUCGCUUCUCGAGGUAAGUGAAAGUUACAGAUGUGGCAAAAUAAAUAAUUAAAUUAACAAAAUGCUAACUAAUUUUCCUAAAUACCUAGGGUUGUACAAUUUCAUCAACCUGGAAGAAUUGACAUUAAUGGACUGGUCUCCUCCCCAUAUAAUUAUAAUCCUUCUAGAAAGCUAAUUUUUAUUAAAUAUUUUCUUUUAAGUUAAUUUCAAUUAAAAUUUUUUUUAAGUUAUAUAUACUCUAAUGAGAUUCUGAAUUCCUUUCUUCCAAUAAUAAUGAAAACGUAUUAAAUUAGAAAUGAAAAAAUUGGUGUUGAUGAUUCAACCUGUUUGGAUAGAUUACGCGAAUAAAAUUGAAAUUUUGAUUUAAUUUUUGUUUAUUGUUAAUUCUCAGGCUAUCUUAAUUUCAAGAAUUUAGAAUGUUAAUUUGGUCAUGGAUUUCAACCCAUGAGUGUCAUAUUCUAGACUUAAUGGUACCAUUCUUUGAUUGAGGGCAAUGACUCUCACUCCUCUUGUAAAAAACUAUUUUCAACUAUUUUGAUGACUUAAAAAUUGAUAGAUUUAUUGUUGUCAUGACCAAAUUAUUCAUUUUAAUUAAACAUAAUUAAUGCAUCAAAGUUACCAGGUUUAUGUUCUAUCUUAAUGCGCUUUUUUUUUUUUUUCAGUUAUCAGCUAUGCCCCUGAGGCAUUUUGUAGAGUAUAGCUUCUGCUUACCUCUGUUUCAUUUUUUUUAAUAAAAAAAACAAGGGAAGGUUUUUCCGAGUCGUCCAUUAUUUGAUUACCGUCAAUCAAGAAAACGACCAAAUUAAUUUCUCUCCAAAAUUUCCAAAAGCUAGAAAAUUUUGUUAUUUGAAAAUAACAUCAUUAAUUAUAGAGUGGAUCAAACCGCGUUAUUGUCUUUUAUAAAAUUGAUGUCUUUUUAAGAGUCAAUGCAUUUUAUUUACACAAACCAGUCGACAUCAACUUGAACUUCCAUAUUUUUAUUAUUAUGUUAUUUAUUUUAAUCCCCGAUUAUUUGAUUAGCCACUAUAUAUAUCAAGAAAGCGACAAAAUUUAUUUCUCAUGACUUCCAAAAACUAGAAAACAACAUCAUUUAUUAUUUUUUUGCAACCCUAAUUGACAUCAACUUUAACUUUAUUAUGUUAUUAUUUCAAUCCCCCAUUAUGACCUUUCUAAUCCUCCAUUAUGCAUCUUUUAUAGUGCAAAUUUAAUUGCACAUCUAAAUAAAUUGAUUAUUGUCACUCCACCACCAAUAUUUCAAAUAGUCACUAGACCAUUUCUGCCUUUAAUUUUCCCUUAACUAUUGACUGUUUUUAGCAUCUUAAAAUAUACAUUUAUUCCUUGAUUAUGUGAUAAAAUUAUGAAAAUAUCCAUUUUAGCUUAAAUUAAUUGAAAUAACCAUAAGCGUAACUUAAAUUAAUAGAACAAAAUUAUCAAGUGUAUGUUCUAUGUUACAUUUUGAAGAAUUUAACAUAUACAAUGCUAUACUAUUAAUUCAUUUAUCAUUUAAUAUAUAUGUUCAAAUAUUUUAUAUAUUUAUUAAUUGUUAUAUAGUCAAAGGAUGAAUGAUUUUUCAGGUCUACAUGAGUUGGUGCAUCUGCAAGACUCAAUUUUGACAACAAUGAUCUAAGGGGUAAUUUACCUUGGCGUUUGACAAAUUUAACCUCUCUUCAAGAUUUACUUCCAAUCUACUUACUGUAAAUAUCUCCUCAUCUCCUCUCAUUUAUAUGAUAACCCUUGAAGAUCUCACAUUUUCAAACAAUCAUAUUAGGGUUUUUAUUAUUAGCAUCAUCGUGUCAAUAAUAUAUGUUGCAGUAAGAUUUUUUCAGACCAAUUCCCUUCUUCAAAUAAUAAUGGAAAAGUAUUAAUUUAAAAAUAAAAUGAAUAUUGUAAAAUAAAGAACAGAGUUUAUGAAUAAAACUCUUGUAUUCCUUGCAUUAACGUUGCUACAUAUAUAUAUAGAUGUACAACCCUAAAGAAUAGAAUCCCAGGUAGAAAAGCAUUACAGAUUCAUAAUAUAUAUACAAAUCUAAUUGCUUUAAAUAUGAAACCGAAUUCUAUACGACUUCUAUAUACAAAACCGAAUGCUAUACGAAUUCUAUACGUUAAUAAAUAUGCAUUGAUUAUAUCCUAAUUUUCAUCAAUUAUAGCGAGAGUUUCUCCAAAUCAACUCCCUUAUUCAAAUAAUACAGAAAAAAUAGUAAUUUAAUAGUAAAAUUAACAAGUGUUGAUUAUAUAUCCUAAGUUUCAUCGAUUAUGUGAUCAAAGUGGCAUUGUUGAUUUAUUUCUUGUUCAAUGUAAAUUUUUAGGUUAUCUAAAUUUCAAGGAUUUAAAAUCUUUGUUCAUGGAUUACACGCUUAUUAAUUUUUCUGCCAUUGACUGUCAUAUUCUAGACUUAAUGGUACCUUCCUUGAUCGAGGAUAAUUACUCUAUGUUCUCCUCUUAUAAAUUCUUCUUCCAUUAACAUCACUAGGAGUAUGUUGAUCUCUCAGACGUUAACUUCAGUGGAGAGUUUCCAAAUUGAUUGUCACAAAACAACACAAAAACUAGACACACUUGAUCUGUCUAAUAAUUCUCUUUCGGUAAAAUUAAUUAAUUUUAGGGGAAUAUUCGACCAACCUAUAUAAUUUUAGAUUGAUCAUUAAUUAAUUGGACGAAAAAAGUACUUGUGCUUUUGUGGCGACAAUUGAACCAGAGAAGUGAAGCUGUAAAGAUUUGGCAGUAGUAAAUUGUUAGAAAGACAUAAAGACAAGUUCCCAUUAUUAUAAUUUUUUCAAAAAACUUUUUUACAACACAUGCACCUGGCCAAAAAUUUUAUUUUGCUAACUAACAAUAAUUGAUUAGCUGACCGAAUUGACUCCACCUACUUGCUAAAGUAAAAAAAUAGAAAUAGAAUUUCCACAAAAUGGCAAACAUGUAAAAUCUAAUAUUUGGCCGUGUGGAACAAAAUACAAAUGAAAAAAAAAAUAGAAAAAAGGCCUAAAGACUUUUAAAAUGUGUGGAAGUCUUUCUGCCCUUUUAUAAUGGUGUGUUUUUCAAAGGAACAAAUAAUAAUAAUGACACUUCAACGGUUUGUUUUGAUAAUCACACCUAUACUCUUUAAUUUGAUAAAUGGUUACACAAAUUUUGUUUACAAAAAUAUAUUAUUCAUGUUCUGUAUUAUUUUUUAACAUCAUAUUUUUAUUUAUUAUAAUUGUUUAAAGUUAAUUGUUGGGUUGAUAUAUAAUAAAAAUGUAUAAUCGUUCUCUUACUAAACACACAUACUCAUAGUUUCUGUUCAUUUGUCAUCUCAAUCUAUCUCAUUUAUCCUUUGUUGAUAGCUCAAAACGCGUCACUGUAGAAAAUUAUAGCAAAACGACAAAUAUGGAAAAAAUGGGAAGAAAAUUAAUGCAUGAAAGAGUUGCAGAAGACAACCAAAUAAGUCAACUAUACGCUAGUUGGGUGUAUAAAUUGUUAGAUGUGUUAUAAACAAAUAGCAUAGAGCCUUGGUUGGUUACAGAGAUAGAAAAAGUGUGUGUUUUUUAGAACUUAAAGAUAUAGUUAGAAUGGGUGGUUCAAAAUCAAAAAUGGUGAUAAUGUUUGUUCUGUUAUUAAUAAUAUUAGAAGGUGGGUGGAGUGAAGGAUGUUUGGAUCACGAGAGAUUUGCUCUUUUGCGACUGCAACAUUUCUUCAAUGAUCCUUAUAAUUAUCUUCCCAACCGGGUAGAUGAUGAGGGAGCUACUGAUUGUUGUCAGUGGGAAAGGGUUGAGUGCAGCAACACCACAGGCCGACUGAUAGCGCUAGACCUUUUUGGCACGUAUUGGCGAGAGUACAGCUGGUAUCUGAAUGCUUCUUUGUUUACUCCCUUCCAACAACUUGAGUCACUUGAUUUACAUGGCAACAACAUAGCCGGUUUUGUUGAGAAUGAAGGUGCUUCGUCUAAUUCAAUUAAAUUACAUUUCGCUCUCCUAAUUUAAGUCGAAUAUCAAGACUGAGCAGCUAUAUGCAUAUUCAUUCAAUUGACAAUUUUUACAUAUUUUUUAAAAUGUUUAAUUUUGAAAUUACACCAAACAUCAUAUGUGAUCUUUGUUUUGAUUUUACUUGCAGGUCUAGAAAGAUUGAGCAACUUGAAGAGGCUUGAUUUAAGUUAUAACUUGUUCAACAAUAGCAUCUUAUCAUCUGUGGCUCGUCUUUCAUCAUUAGCAUUAUUAUAUUUAAGUGGUAAUAGGUUGGAGGGAAGUAUUGAUGUUAAAGGUACAUAAUAAAAACGUCAUCUCUUCUCCCAACUCUUUCAUUAACAUGCUAAAAUAAGAUUCAAGGCUUUGAAUUCAAUUUUUUUUAUGAGUAAAUAUUAGAAAAAUAGUUUUAAGCAAUUCAUAAAUACAAUUUUCAAUGUUUCUCAUAAUUUCAUCUUGUACUUUUGUAUGUCUUGACUUUAAGAUUAAAAAAAAAAUUACUCUAACUGUGAAGCAAAUACCCCAUGACUAAUUUACAAUUUUGUCCAGUUAAAAAUGAUAAAAUUUAUCAUUUGUUCAUAUUGAUUUAUUAACUCUAUUUUAAGUCUUAAGUCUUGGCGUCUUGGCAUGUUUGCAGAAUUUGAUUCCUUGAGCAACUUAGAGGAGUUGGACAUGAGCUACAAUGAAAUAGACAAUUUCGAGGUUCCUCAAGGUACACAAUUAAAAUAUUAUUUAAUUACAUUAAUUUAUUUCGUUUGAUUAGGGAAGGCCCAAAAUGUACAAAAACAUAAUUAAAAAAAAUAAAGAAACAGAGAAUUCAUAUUAUUUCAAAAAACAAAACGUAAUACUAUUAUUUCAAAAAAAGAAUGUAAUAAAGAUUUGAUUUCGGUUCUUUAAUCUUUACAGCAAUUGAAAAACGAUGUUGCUCUUUUCCUAAAGCAUAAAAUAUGAAAUGAGUCAUAAUUGAAUUAGUCAUUUAUUUUGUUUAGAUCUAAAUUUAGACAAUAAAUUUUGAUUUUUUUUUCAAUCAUUUCCUAAUUAUUAUUAUUAAACAGGUUACAGAGGUUUGAGGAAGCUGAAAAGCCUGCAUCUAUCGGGAGUUGGAAUUAGAGAUGGAAGCAAGUUGUUACAGUCAAUGGGAUCAUUCCCAUCCCUCAACACUCUUCACCUUUCGUUUACUAGUUUUACGAAAACAGUGACAACUACUCGAGGUAAGUAAAAGGUACGGAUGUAGCCAAAUUUAUAAAUUAAUUGUUAAUUAAUUAAUUUUUCCGUAUUAUUAAUUAAGCUAAAUUUGUUGCUCCUUCCUUCUAAAUCUAAACAGAGUUGCACAGUUUCACCAACUUGGAAUAUUUGAGAUUGGACGACUCCUCUCUCCAUAUAAGCCUUCUGCAAAGCAUUGCAUCAAUAUUCCCUUCAUUAAAAAAUCUGUCGAUGUUGGGUGGUAAAGUCAACGGUCUCCUACGCGGUCAAGGUAAAAGAAAAGCUUUGAUUGUGAACUCACUCAAUGGUGUCCUACGUGUUCAACAUUUUUAUUUAUUUAUUUUAUUGUUUAAUGUUUCUGCUAGGUUUUCCUCAUUUCAAGAGUUUGGAAUAUUUGAAUAUGGAUUUCACGCGCAUUGCACUCAACACCAACUUUCUUCAAAUCAUCAGUGAAUCGAUGCCUUCUCUUAAGUACUUAUCACUGUCAGAUUCAUAACAGUAAAAAUUUGUUGCUCAACAUGAUGUGUAUUUUUUUUCAAGGCACUUUGGAAACACAAUUGUUACUACAGAUAUUCUUCUCAACUUGGAGAUAAAUACAAAUAUUAAAAUGCAUAUGAUCACACAUAUUACUUCGAGUUUAGUAAGAUUUCAUUAAAAGAAGCAAUCAAACCACUUAUCAAUUGUCGCAGUCGUUCUAUAAACUAAAAUAGCAAUAUAAUACAAGAAAAAGAACAUAUAGAUACUUGGCAAGAGUUCAUUAAGAAGUCGCAUCACAUUCGGGUGAGGAGUUUGCUUCUGAUAUCUUGCUAGCUGGGGCUUUUUCUUGUCUUUCUACGUAUGCCGAGGGAAACCAACCAGCUUGGCCCUUGCAUUCACCUUCCGACCAUCCAAUAGGAGCAACCUUGAGAAGUUAUAACUAAAACGGUGAAUUAAACAAAAGUUGACCGUUCAAAGACCUAAGGGGAAAACUAAUUCUUUUACGUAGAAUGAGUGAACUAGUUGUGAUCACUGAAAUAACAACAUAACUAUGGAAGCAUAACUAGAUAUAAAUUCACAUGGCUAUAAGGGUAAACUGAGUGGUUUAGAACUGAGCUAGCAACCCUACUAUAUUCUGAUUUGCACUUCAAUGUAAAAGGGAAUAUAUGGUAGGAAGAAAGAAAACCAACCAUCAUUUGUUAACUCAUUGCUUUUCAAUCAAAAUUUUAAGAACAAAAUGCCAUGUGCUUUGAACAUCAAAUAAGUAUAAGCAUUAGUUCUAAAUUCCACAUAUCAUAAGUUGUUAGAAGGAUAAGUUAAUAGCAGAGUAGAAAAAUCUAUGUGUUGGUAUUUAGAGGGGAAAGUACCUGGCGAACCACAAUAUAAUCAUCAAUUGAAAGACUUAGCUUUCCAUUUGCUUGAGCAUCAAAUGGAUGUAUAACCUGCAAGAUAAUGGGAUAAAUAGAACUUUAAAAAAGCAUAACAAAAGCAGCAACAGUAGCAGCAACGUUCAUUGUAACCACUAUGAUCAUGGCCAACAAAGAUAUAUUAGAAACAAAAUUCCAUUUUUACUACGACAUUAAUAUGUACUAUACGAUAUCAUGACGAUUGGGUUACUAAGAGCUAUCAAAGUCUAAUAAGUUCUGUAUAACUUUAUGUAGUUAUUUAAAUUAUGGAUCAGAUUUUAAAUUUGAAAUUUUGACUGCUCUCCACAAAACAUGGCCUAUGCACAAGAAAGUCAUAGAUAAUGAGGAUUACAAGUGUCCGACAUCUUUUGAGUGAUGGAUUUAACAUGAGAGCUUAUGGUCAGUCAAUUUCCUCUGCCUAGCAAUAUAAGCUUUCUCGGCCAGAUUUAUCAUCAAAUACAUAGAUUGCCCCCAAGUCACAUCCAUAUAAACAUAGUUUUUCUAGGUAAACCAAGUAAGGAGUAUCAUAAUUCAGACAUAAUCAUAAAAAGGCCCAUCUAACUUAAGAGAAAAUCUCAAAAAUGGCUACAUCGUCUUGUAUCUAUAAGCAAUAUCAAGACUUUACAUCACCUGCUACAUCGUGAGUGGCUACACAACUUUCAAUGGUUUGUCUUUCUUUGGCAUGCCUAACUCAGCUUUGAUGUUGCUGAGAUAUUGAUAGUAGAGACACAUGAUACUUCUAGCUCAUGCAUUCUAUCUAACUCAUCCAACAACUAUCUCUUUUUUAAUUCAUUAGUGUUUGCUAAACCUCAUGCUUAAAAGUCCUGUUCUCCUAAACAAAGUUUCCUAAGAAUGACUUCCUUAGCACCACAUUUGGACACUUUUAGAGCAAUUUUAUUUUGGGGAAAAGAAUUUUCAAGGUGUUAACUAAUAAAUUUUAAAAAAUAAUUACAAUUUUUCCUACGAUCAUAUGACAAUUUAUCUGGGAUGAAAGGAUACAGAUAGACAUCUUCCACUUUCAAGACUAAUCACUACUUCCGUAGAUGUUGUGCAAUAAUACAAAUACUUGAUCAGAUGGUAGUGAUGGUAGAAAAAAAUUUUAUUGCUCCAAAAUUAAAAUAAGAAUGCAAUAUGUUAAGCAAAAGGCUGUGCAACAUCAAAUUAAUUGAUAAGUUUGUAAUUCAGUAAAUUAACAACUUUCAUGGUAAAAUACAACAAAUUUCUUUUGAAAAAAAUAAAUCUUAAAAGACAGCAUUCAAUUUUGUGCGCAUCUUAUUUCUUAAGAUUUUUCAGGAGGAGGGCAAUAGAGGGACUUUCACCUAUGCAAGAGAGCAGAAGCCUUACUUUCCCUAUAAAGUAGACGUCAUUCUGAUUAAUAUGCGUUUGCAAAUCAGCUCCGUUUGAAUCAGUAUUCUGAUAGACACACGAGGCAUUGACAUCCAUUUCCAAAGUCACAUGUUGCGAGGAGGACUCAUUUGAUUGCUCCUAUACGAUCAUCUAAUUCAAGUAGCAAGGGUUGGAAGAGAAUAAAAAGUCACAAUUAUUCUUUUGCAUAAGUGAGACGAAAAUGAUAAAUGCAAUAUUAUCAACAGUAAACAAGAAGAAGAUGAUAGUGGAAGUAUGCGGUGUGGCUGCCAGGUACUUGGAUUGUAUUGUCGGGUAAGGUAAUAGUAGAGAAUUAUAAGUUUGAACAGAGCAUGUUGGACUUUUGUUGACCAAAUUCAAAAGCCCAAUGGCACGGCCCGGAAGCUUUUGAAUAGAAAAACUUGCUAGAAAGCAUCAGUUUAAAUCACUACUUAAACGCUUGCUUUAACUGCACCACUUUGUACUGUUUUAUGUGUGUAGCGGUUGUGCGGUUGUAAUUCACGGCUGACGCUACGUGUUUGUUAGGUCAAAACUAUGAUACAAUAGUGGUACGGUACCAUUGUUACUUUCAAUCAUUGGAUCUAUAGUUGUACAGUUGCAUUAAUAAGAUCUAAUGGCUGAAAACAACAGUGGUACCAUACCACUGUUGCAACAUAACAGGACCCUAUUAGUUAUUUCAAAGGGAUAAAUAAGAUUGCUUACAACAAACCUACUAAUUUUAUAAAAUUCAAGUAAUAUAGAAUAAAAUAAAAAAAUAAAUACAAAAUUGACUUUUAUUUUUUAUGGUUGACUAUAUUUUGUGUUCUCUUCGGGCACUACUACAAUUCUUCCCUAUAUAUCAAUUACACCACAUACUAUCGACACAAGAAAUGAAAUCUAAUAUCACCCGUUUAGUUAAAAAAUCACUCAUGAAAAAAUUUUACCAUUUUGAUUUGAGGAUCCAUAUUUUAAACUGCAAGCUAAUGUUCAUCAAGAAUUACUGAUGGCCGUUGAGUAGAAAAAUUAUUUUUGGACAAAUUAUUUUUGUUGAUAGAAGAAUUUCUUUAGGGACUACUAAAUUAUUAAUAAAAAUGUCGAACACACCCACAUAUCAUCGACACAAUUGAUUUUGAGGAUCCAUGCUUUGAACUGCAGCCUAAUGUUCAUCAAGAAUAGAGUAUGGCUUGUGAGUAGAAAAUUUUCUUAUUUUGGCCCGAAAUAAAAAGAAAUUAAAUUGGAUGAGAAUCUGCCACUUUCUCAUGAAGAAAGGCAUACGGAGCAUACCAUGGUACCAUACAAAAUAAGGAGCCUCUAUUCUUUGGUUUUUCAAACUCUAAAGGGGCCAAUAUUGCCAAAUUCCCCCUUGAAAAUUCUGAUUACGACAUUAUUCAUCGCUUGAUGCAAUCAAAGUAGUGACAAAGUUAGGAAAAAUAUGAGUCCUAAGUAAUUGCUAGGCAGGGUUCCUGAGAGCAAAAUUGUCCUAAGCAUUAUAUGCAUACAUGGUGCGGUACAUAGAGCACGUUGAAUUCCCCACUAUAACACAAACCCAGAAAGACAAGUAAUAACUCAACUGAUAUAAAGACAAAAAGAAGAUAAAAUGAUAUAGAAAAAAGAAUUCAAAGAGACAGCAACAUACGAUAGACUGAAGCCACUUGAUCUGCUCAUUGAUUGCAGCCUUAAACUUGCAAAUAGUUACUGUACGCUAGUGCUCUAAGAAGUGAAAAUGAUGCCAGCCCUGAUUCCCUUUUGACUUCCAUUUACUGUCAAACAUUCUAGUAAUACAAAAAAUUGUUUAGAUAUCUUGCUAUAAAUAUAGCCGUUUGACUGUCAUAAUAAAGUCACAAAUAACCAUUCAUAUUGAUCUACUGUCACACAGCAUGCUUUAUGCAUACAACAGCUGUAUGUAUACCAACUCCUAACCUUAUCAAUACAUUUGGCAAAAACUUAAGAAGAAAGCUAUUUCUCCAUCUCUUUUUUGAAAUUUCACAAUAACCAGCACAAUGUGAAAGCUAUGUUCUAACCUUAUGAUAAAUGCUCCAGACUCCAAAAGGAUUUUAUAUAUGAGAGUUUGUUGCAGCAGAUAUAUUGACUUAUCAAGUAUGAAUCAUUGUCUGGAUGAACUAUCUUUAGAUAAAAGAAUAUUAGAACCACUGUAGAAUAUCUUUACGCUGCUGGUUCUAACAGGAAUCUGCAUGUGGCAACAAUUGCUAGAUCCACAAUUCCCCAACUUGAAAUACAUAGUUGCACACCAUGAGAUAGUGCUACAAUCUACUGAGAUCUAACUUAUAUGGUACUUUAAGCUACUAAUGUUUGCAUAUUUCUACAUGUUAAAUUAACACUAUCAUCUAUAAUCACUCCAAAACAACAAAUGAUAAGCAGCUUUUGGCCACUUAUUACUAGCAUCCACAAUUAUAAAUAAGAGAUCAUGGGUUUACUUGUUGCACCUACUUAAUUAUCUGCAGUUGACAUCCUGAAGCAAGGUUUAAAUAGUGACUGCUUAGAACCCUUGUAGUUGGAUCUUGACCUCUCCCAUUGUAGCCAAGAUUGGUUACUCUGGUAAUGAAUCAACACUCUCCUGCUCAGGGCCAUGAAGAUCUGAAAGCUCAGCACUAGUGGAGAACUUCAUCAAUCUCUUCUUCUCAGCACACUUGAGACAAGGCUGCAUUACGAGACCAAUCACCACAGCACCAACGCUUAAAACUGCAACUUUUAAAGAAGAAAGAGCCAACACAACACAACACAACACAACACAAAUCAAUAUGGUUGGAGGAAUACACAUGAUAAUGGCUCCAACAGUGCCAGUGGGUAUCUUGUAGGGACGAGAUGCAGCAGGAUAUUGUAUCCUUAACCAUACAAAUGCUAUGAACUCCAUAACCAUUCCAAAACAGUACAGGAAGUUCUCUGCAGCUACAAUAUCUCGAAAGCUCAGCCAUGAUAGCAAAACCACACCAGAUGCUGAGAAUAUGAUUCCAAUCAAAGGAGUCCCAUAACAAGACCUCUUAGCAAAAAACUCAGGUAGCAUUCCACACUCAGCCAUCCCCAAAAGUUGGAAAGAGUUGCUGCUCAUCUCAGCCACAAACAUGCCCAUAUUGGACAUUGCUGCAGCCCCCUGGAUGCAUUAUCUCAACCAAACUCCUCCAAGCACUUUAGCGAUAUCUGAAAAGUAACCAUCGGUCCACAAGUCGCGAUCUAAUGGAAUAGCUCCAGUUCCAACUAGAAGGGGAAAGAAAUACCCAAAAAUGACCAAGAUCAAAGCAUAAAACAAAGCCUUUGGAAGAGUCUUCUUGGGGUUAUCCACCUCUCCAGCUAGUGUACUUAUUGAGUCCCAGUAGUUGAGAUUCCAAAACAGGGUGUUCAAAUACAAAUUCCAAUCCACUUCACCUAAAUUUACUACAAGCCAUCUUGAAGGCUCUAACUUGGGAAGGGACACAAGUCCCAUAACCACAAAAGGAAGGAGUGAGAAAAUCCCUAAAAGAACAGCAGCCCAUCCCACAAUGGUUAGACCCCUAUAGUUCAUGAAAGUGAGAACAAAAGUCAAAGCUAACGCCGCAAAGGCUCUAGGUAACCCAUUGCCCAACGCAGGGAUACCAGACUUCAAGUAGUCAAGAAACAGAACUGGGUAUAAAGCAUUAUCAAUAACCCCACUUAGCCAUUUCAUCCAACCUUGCUGAAAACCCCAAUAUGGGCCUAAGGCAGAUGAAACCCAAACCACAUAACCACAAUUUUCAGAAAACACGGUACCCAUCUCGGCAGUAAUUAAAGCUUCAGGGACACUCCAUAUAAUCGGAAACACCAAGAAACCAAGAAGUGCUAAAAGAGGACCAGCUGCCUUUACACUAUCCUCAACACCAAACGGCCCCCCAGAAACCUCAUAGAAUAUAAGGAAAAUAAGUGGCAAGAUUGAUACUUUUUUAGUGCCAUGGACUCUAGGAGAAGAUGGUUGGUCAUUGAUAUUAACAUAUUCAACAGCAUCAGACUGCCCCAUUUCUACUGAAACUUGCCUAUUUACAGUGUUCCUCAAUUUCUGCAUCAAGUUUUAGCAUAACUAUCAAAAGGGUAUCCGCAUGUAAAUUAUGAAACAAAAUGAGCAUUUACUUUUUAAAAAAAAAUCAAAAAACAGAAAUGGAUUUCGCAGAGCACAUGAAUUUAAGUUCAACAUUAAACAGGCGCUUAAGAAAACAAAAGGGUCUGUUCGUAAAGCCAUCAGAUUGCAAGAUUGAACAACAUUAACGGAAUCAAUAGAAUAGAUGUAAAGAGAUCUGAAAAGAAAAUAAAAUAAAAGAUGAAGAGAGAUAAAACGAACCAUCAAAUAAGUGCAUGCAGAGCAGAGAGGCAGAUACUAGAGAAGCUCCGUCAUGUUAGAGAGAGCCUAAAUCAAUCAGAGCUCACUGAGUUUCUUUUCAACCGACCGGCAAAUUUGGAGUGGCACAAAAUAAUAUUUUUGCUUUUAAUUUUUGGAACACUUUUGAAUGGAAUUUUUUGUUUUUAAAAAAGGUAAGGGAGAUUAGGGCAUCAUAAAAAGAUUUUUUAAAUAAAAUUUUAUUAAUUAUUUAAAAAAUUAUUUUAAUAUUUAAUAUUUUAAAAAAUAUUUUAAUUAAAAUUUUUUAAAUAAAAAAUAAUUUUUUUUAAAUUUAGAGAAUUAAUUUUUUUUAUAAUUUUUUUUAUUAUUUUUUAUUGAAAAAAAAGAGAUAAAUACUUUAAUUGUUAUUAUUUUUUUUAAAUAAUUAUUUGAUUAAAAUAAUAUUAAAUUAUUUUUAUUUGAAGAGUUUUUUAAAAAAUAUCAUAUUUUUUUAUCCUUCUAUUUGCCACAUGAGUAAACAAAUAGAUAUUUAAAGAAUAAAAUUUAUAUAAUCUUUUGGAAAUGCUCUUAAUAUUUAUUUAGUCUUAUAUUUUUUAAAAUAUUUUUAAAAUAUUUUUGUCGUUAAAAUAUUGAUAUUAUUAUUAUUUUUUUAUAUUUUUUAAUUUAUUUUUAUAAUAUUAUUUUUAUAAUAAUUUUUUAUUUAGAUAUUAAUAAAAAAAUAAUUUAAUUAAUAAUUUAAUCCUAAAAUAAAUAAACACGUGUUUGGUUUUGGGCCUUUUCUUUUGUUCGUUUAAUAUCAUCUGGCUCGCUGAUUUGUGACUAAUUAUCAACGGAAUCCCGUUGGUUUCUAAAUUGAAAUAAUAGAAGGUCAUGAGACUAUUUACUCCAUUUAGCACUGCAGACUUAGAGUAUAUUGAAAAAGCUUUGUCAAAUAGUAGUAAUAGGGGCAUAAGAAAUAAAUUAUAGCUAUCACAAAUUCGUUAGGAGAAUUUCAAUUUUUUCCGUCAAUAAUGGCUAUGAAGCAAAAUUACCUUAGGUUAUAUUGCAACACUAAUACUUCAAAUCCUGAUAAGGGGUGAUAAAAUUAAGGUUGUUCAAAUCCCUUAAAAUGCUCCUUUGUUUAGUUUAAAAGUUGUUCUUAAAAUGGAAACGAUGACUUAUUUAGAAGAAAUGGUAAAUUUAUAAUUUGUAAUAUUAUUUGCACAAACAAUAAUAAUGAAGUGUUAAUUACCACUUAACAUUUUUAAUUAAUUUCUAAAUUUAAAACAAAUAUGAAAGUUGAUUGCUUCGAAGGUUGGAUCGACAAAUUGACAUUUGAAAAGAGAAGUAGGGAAUGUAUAUUCUGAUGAAAGGGACAAGAUUAAGUAAGGGGACAAUAUUCUCUAUUGGACCUACAAAUGGGGGGAAAGAUAUAUAUAUAUAUAUAUAUAUUCUUAUUUGUGGAUUGGGCAUCACGUGUAACUAAUAUAAAAGGAGAAAAUUUAGCAUGGUUUUAACAUAUAUAAGAAGAGAAAAUUAAUUGUUCAAACAAAUUAGAAGCAAAUUCUUUCAUAUCUUUCUUUAUUUUUCCGCUUACUUUCUUAGCAUCCAAACAAGUUAAAGUUAAAACGCUGUUGAGCCAACAAUAUGCAGGCAUCAAUAAGCAUAGUAGUUUUGUAUAUGUAUUCUAUACGAUAUUCUGGGGAUGUCAAUUGUAGAACAUUUUGUGGUAACUUUUUUACAUUAAUUAAUGUUUGAAGAACUUGUUAAAAAGAAAAUGGUAAUUUUAUUAUUUUGAAAGACAAAAAAAAAUAAAAAUAAAAGAGUGAAAGUGGCGUUACCUCAUGGUCAUUAGAGACUUGUUGCAAUGAUAGCUCAAAAUUAAAAAUUUGUGAAGAAUUAGUAGACAACGACGAUACUAUAUUUAUAUAGUCACCAACAUGUUGAUUUUUGUUUAAUGUUUGAUCGAUAGAAACUUUUGUCGUCGUCGUCGCCGUUGUUGAAUUCAUGCUUAGAAUACCACAAGAGAAGAAGAAGGGAUGAAAGGGAAGAGAAGAAGAGAGAAGUAGUGGAUAGCAAAUAUGAUAUGCUAGCUACACACAGGCCUUAGAGAGUUUUUUUUUUAAUAUUUAUUGUAUUUUUGUUUUUGUUAUUGGUUUGUCAUAUGCUUCCAAGGCAGCAAUGUGUUACAUCAUAAAUUGCACCUUUUAGGGGAGGUGGUAAAAAACAUGAGAGGAAUGCAUUCUAGCGCAUACAUGCAGAAAGAGUUUCCAAAUUUUCAAAAGUUUGUUAUUUCUUCCACCUUUUUUUUGCUUAAAAUAAAUUUUAAUUGUAUUUUGCAUUAACUUAGAGAAAAAAAAAAUCAAGUUCUAUGCAUAAACGCAUACAUUGAUUAGAAAAUGAGUUUUAUGGACACAAAGGGACAAUAUAAGAGAUUCUUUUUGUUUAUUAGAAGUAACAUAACUAGUUAGUGUAACAUGUAAUUAUAAGCUACCAAGAAUUUGCACUGAUGAUAAUUAACGGUAUAGAUUUUGAGCUAUGAAUGUCUUGUGGCUAGUUUAAUUGGAUUUUCGAGUUUUCAGCAGAUCUAUUUUAAUGAUUAUUAAAUUAUUUUCACUUCUUAUGCUUUAAUAAAAAAAAUUCAAUAUUUUUUGCUGUAUUCUAUAUUUUAAAACUUAAUUUUUAAUUCUUUAUAUUGCAAACCAAACUGAGUCAAAUAGAGUAUGCUCGAAUUUUUCCAAUGCCUUCAAGAAGAAUUCAUUUUAUUUUUAUAUAUUAAUUUAACACAUGUAAACCGGGCCGUUGGAUUGCACAUAAAGCAAAUGAUCAAACCGUUACAAGACCGGCCCAGGCCCACCGACUCUAUUUUCUUUCAUUUGACCAUUAAAAAGCUUUUGGCCACCCCCACCAAAUAAAUAAGCUCUUGUUCUCUUUUGUUUCCCUCUCAAAGGAAAAUAUCUGAUCACCGGAUAAUGAUUCCGGUGACACAAAAGAUCGAAACACCCCCCUAAAUUCCCUAAAUUUACAAUAAUACCCCACCAUGGAUGAUUCCGUUGAAAUGCCGCCUUACGAUGAAAGGCCUAAAAAGGGUUUUAACUUCACCUCCAUGCGCUUGAUCUUAACCCUCGUUUUCCCAAUUUUAACUUGCUUUUUGUUGGCAUUUUUUAUUGGAAUCGUAGCUGUUUUAUUCGGCGAAUCAUCAGUUUCCAGUUCCAUUUUUGUCCCUUCCUAGUGCAAAAUAGUGUCCAGCAGUAAGCUUUUUUUAACAUUUUCAAUUUUUUUUCCAUUUAUGAAGUCCAAAAAUUUUAUUAAUUUUGAUUUUUUUGAAUGAUUUUGCAGGUGUUGAUAUAAGGUCAUCAAAAGUUCGUGAACUUGGGGUGUUGAAUUAUAAGGCGAAGCGUGCGUUUUAUCCAUUUGAAGCAAUUAAAUUUCGCUGUCGGUAUGAUUACUAUUGGGCUUCUAUCUUCAAGGUAUUCAUACAUUUUCCCCUGUACUAUAAGCUUCUUAGUGGCGGUCUUGUGAGCGGAAGUGAGCGGUGUGGCUGACAGCUUCUUGAAAAUUAUGAACAGAGCAUGUUAGACUUUUGUUGACCAAAUUCAAAAGCCAAAUGGCACAACUCAGAAGCUUUUGAAUUGAAUAACUUACUAGAAAGCUCCAAUUUUUUGUUGGCUACAGUAAAAGGAUGUUGUUUUAUUCUUCUUAUACUUUACGCUUGCAUCAGCUUAAAUCACUUCUUAAACGCUUUGCUUUAACUCUACCGCUUCAUACUGUUCUAUAUAUGUAUCGGGUAUGCGGUUGUAGUUCAUUGCUGAGACUACGUGUUUGUUUGACGUGGUAGUUACGUUCCGAGUCUGUUAAACAUUCGGUGAUUAAAGUAUUAUCAGUUAUUUCAAAGGGGCAAAUAAGAUUAGCUACAACACACCCACUAGUUUUAUAAAAUUCGAAUAAGAUGGAAUAAAAUAAAAAAAUAAAUAAGUAAAUUGACUUUUAAUUUUUGUGGUUGAAUAUAUUUUGUAUUCUCUCAGGGCACUGCUGUAAUUGUUCCUUAAAUGUCAGUCACACCCACAUGUUACAGACACAAGAAAUGAAAUCUAAGAUCACCUGUUUAAUUAAAGAAUCACUCAUAAAAAAAUUUUGCCAUUUUGAUUUGAGGAUCCACAUUUUGAACAACCAACUUAUCUUCAUCAAGAACAGAUCAUGGCCUUUGAGUAGAAAAAUUAUUUUUGGACAAACUAUUUUUAUUAAUAGAAGAAUUUCUCAAGGGACUAUUAAAAUUACUAAUGAAAAUGUCAGACACACCCACGUACCAUCGACACAAUUGACUAUGAGGAUCCAUGUUUUGAACUGCCACUUAAUGUUAAUCAAGAACAGAGUAUGGCUUGUGAGAAGAAAAAUUUCUGAUUUUGGCCUGGAACAAAAAGAAAUUAAAUUGAAGGAGAAUCUGGUACUUUCUCAUUAAGAAAGGCAGACGGGGCAUACUAUGGUACCAUACAAUACGAAAAGUCUCCGUUCUCUGGCUUUUAAACUCUAAAGGGGGCAAUAUUCCCCAAUUACCCCGUGAAAAUUCUGAUUACGACAUUAUUUAUUGCUUGAUACAUAAGUAAAAGUAGUGACAAAAUUAGGAAAAAUAUGACUCAUAAGUAAUUACUAGGCAGGGCUCUUGAGAGCAACAUUGUACUAGGCUUUAUAUGCAUACAUGGUGUGGUACAUAGAGCACGUUGAAUUCCACACUAUAACAUAAACCCAGAAAGACAAGUAAUAUCUCAACAUAUAUAAAGACAAAAAGAAGAUAAAAUGAUACAGAACAAAGAAUUUCUAAGAGACAGCAACAUACAAUAGACUGAAGCCAGUUGAUCUGCUCAUUGAUUGCAGCCUUAAACUUGCAAAUGUUUACUGUAGCCUGGUGCUCAAAGAAGUGAAAAUGAUGCAAACCUUGAUUCCCUAUUUACUUCCAUUUACCAUCAAACAUUCUAUUCAUAAGAAAAAAAAUGUUUAGAUAUCUUGCCGUAAAUAUAGCCAUUUGAUUGUUUUAAUAAAGCCACACACAACCAUUCAUAUUGAUCCACAUUGCCACAUAGCCUGAUUUAAGCAUACAACAGCUGAAUGUAUACCUGACUCCUAACCUUAUCAAUACAUUGGCGACAACUUAAGAAGAAAACUAUUUCUCCAUCUCUUUUUUGAAAUUUCACAAUAAAACAGCACAAUGUAAGAGCUGCAAUGAAAAUGGACCGUCUGGAACUAUGGCGGAAGCUUCAACUAGUGUAGUGAUUUGACCUUCUUAUUAACCUGGCAAGAUCAAACACUGCCCUUGAUCUUGAACAGAUCAAUACGAUACGCACAACUUAUGAUUGAAUCCAGAAACCAUCAAAUCUUUAGCAAGAAUAAUUAAUCAGAAUCAAGAAACAAGUUUAAUGAAUAUAAACCUAUAAUUGGAACAAACACAGCCAAAGAACCCAAGAAUGACACAACGUACACCAAGGGAGAAGCUUUCCAGUGAGAUUAUAUUGAUGAUCAAAGAAGAAUCUUUUUACAAAGGUAACAAAAGUGAUUUCAGAGAAUAAGCUAUGACCCUCUCUCUUUUCAAUCUCUGUCUAGUUUGUUAACAGUGAUGACCCCAAUCUGCUUCGUUAGCCAGGUUCAUAACUGCGUCAGUGACAAACUAGCAAACCUAGAUUGAGCAGACUAACGACACGUGCAUAACGGCUUUAACGAACUUGGUUAAAGAACUGCUCACAUGUUCGUCACGCGUGUUGCUUAAAUGAUAGCCAAAACGACUUCAACCAGAUGCCGUUUUGAAGCUUAUGAAUUAUAAGUGAAAACACGUGCUUGUCUCGUGACAUUUAAAUGCAACAACAAGCCCAAAACACUGUCGUUUCACUAUGUUGAGUUUGCCAUCUCCAAGCUUCACAACUAGCAGCGAACAAGAUGAUAAUUUAAUUGACAUGGAGAGCUUUUAUAUCACUUUUACAACAUUCUAUAUAAUUGUGAUAUUGGGAAUCGUCGGUGCUGUAUAUGUGAACCCUCAUUGGCGACACUGGUGGUUUUAUCUUUGUUAAAAUAUGGAUGACUUUUCGUUACUAUUUUGUUGUACAUAACCUUAUUCCUACGAGAUUUAAUCAUUGAAAUUAUGUUAGUUUCAUUAGAAGGCUGAGUGGUUAGUGCUGCUACCCUCCAAUUUGGAGGGCAGUAGUUUGAACCCCCACAAGCGCAAUGUGGGGGUAUUUCCUUCUUUAAUUACAUUGUAUAAUUGAGUAAAGGUAAUUUUCUCUCUUACCCAAGUGUGAGUGGAGUAGACAUCCCUCGAUGGUUAAAACCUGGGCAGAGCUUCAUAAGUAUUGAUGUAAGUUGGUCCCAGUAAUAGUCUGAUUUGUAAAUAUCAGUUAUAGUCUCAUGUUUCCUUCCUUAAUUAUAUUGUAUAAUUAAGUAAAGGUACUCUUUUCCCCUACCCAAGUGUGAGUGGAGUAAAUAUCCAUCGAAUAUUAGUGAGGGUUAAAAUCUGGGCAAAGCUCCAUAAGUAUUGAUGUAAGUUGAUCCCAGUAAUAGUAUGAUUUGUAAAUAUCAGUUAUAGUCUCAUGUAAUAUGAGUUGUAAUUUGAGCAAUAGUUUCAUGUAAUUAAAAAAAAUGUUACUUUCAUUACAUUUUUCUUCGUUAAAAUUCUCAAGUAUCAAUUAUGUUUGCUUAAGAAAUAAAAUUUUGUCAUUAAAGUUGUAGUAGUAUUUCUAAGCAUCUCACAUUUUCAAUGAUUUUUCAUAAAUCAAUUAAUAUGUCGUACCAAUAUCAUGUUUAGUUUUUCAGACUAAAUAAUCAAGAAAGCAAACAAAUUCACAGUUUAGAGGGGUAAACUAGCUUUUAGAUUUUAGAACUAGGCUAGCUACCUCACCAAAUUCCAGUUUGUACAGUGAACUACAAGAUUGAGAAAAUAAUGUAUUUAUAGUUUAAUUGAAUCAUGACAAACAAUGUAGUCAUAGCUCAAUCGGACAUGAUCACGGAGAGGCAUAUUCUUUUCAAGUUAAUUUGAUCCAUUUAUAAGAAAUGAAGUGGAUCGAAGUUAAAAGUUCAAAUAAAAAAUCCUUGUUCUUGAGUUUUACGACGUCGUUACUCCUUCAAGAGGCUGAUUAUGCAAGUGAAUGGAGAAACAUAAUGCAUUUAUAAUUUUUUUAAUAAUUAUAAAAAUAAUUAACCAUAACAAAUCCCUUGCGUAAAUAAUAAUCAUUAUUUAAAAGGUCCAAAGAUGGUUAGUGCACAAUCAAAUUUUAAGCCCCUACCUCCUCGGCCCAAGAUUCAAACUUAGAUGAUAAGCCAAAUAAAAUUAUUUGAAAAUCAUUCAAUCAAGUUCCGGGGCAAAAAUACAAGAUCCUUAUUUACAUGAUAUAUAUGAAUUAAUGUAAUUUAUUUGAAUUGUCCAAAUUCAUUAGAGAUAAAACUAUAAAAUAUACCAAAAAAGUUAGAAGGAAGGCUGUGUUGGGAUAUUUUACAAACUAUAGGGAUCUGGUGAGAUUUUGAGCCAAACUGUAGGGAGUUGAAGGCAUUUGCCCAAUAUGUUUAGACGUACACUAACCGUUAUUUGAUCUUGUUGUUGGUCCCGGAUGAGCUGUAGUCUUAUUUUAAUUUUAUUUAAACUCACCAUAAGAUUCGCGGAGCUCCUAACUAACUUAAAUGACUCUGCAGAGCAUGUCAACACAUACCAUGUUUAACCGUUUUAUUUGUAGAAGAAUUUAUGAUUUCCCAUUAGCAUUAUUAUUGAAGUGGGGCAGGUCAAAUCUCAAUUGCUUGAAAAUUUUAUUUAUUAUUAUUAGUCUUGAAGUGGGGUGGGUAACGGUUCGCUCAAUUCGAGGGGAAUCAAAUAUAUCAUCCAAGGUAGAAUUGUGGAAAAUUAAAGCAAAAUAAGAAAUAUGGAAAGACAAGAAGAAAGUUAAGGCAUGAAAGACAUAUACAGUUGAAAUUGAUAAUCAUGUUUCUAUUUUGUUAACUAAUCAAAUGGAAAGCUGAACUGUAAACAAACAUUAAAACGUGUGGACCAAGCUCGCUGUCCUACAAGUCUACAAUAAUAAUUGAGUACUUUGAUUCAUCCUUCUAUGAAUUUCUACCCAUAUUGACUCCACCGAAAUUUCCACAAAAUAAAAUUAAAAAAAAAAACUGAAUUUCCACAAAAUACAAAACCCGUUGAACUUAAUUUUUGGUCAUGUGAACUAAGAUGUAAAUUAUAAAAAAAAGUAUAAAAUUAAAAAAGAUGAGAUUUCUAAAAUGUGUGGAAAGUGAUUCAUGAUUCACUGAAAUUACUUACCCCAGAUAUAAAGGUAAACCUAUCUAAUUUCAUUAAAAAUAGUUGAAAAACAUUAACUAAUAGAAAGCUACGGAAAUUAACCCCCCACAAAAAUGACUUUUUAUAGAAGAAUUUAUGUUUUUUAAAAUAUGUUAUCAAAGUGUAUUUGAUCAAAUCUGAAUUGCUUAGUAUGGUUAGGAUUUUGUGAACAUCACUAAAAAGUGAAAACUAUGAAUGAUAGGGGUGAUGCUUGCAAUAUGAAUAAAUAAUGGACUGAUUCAAUUUCUGAUUACAUUUAUAUAUUAUUGAUUAUUUAUGAAUUUUCAGACUUGUUAUGAUGUAUAACUAUGUGAUUUUGAAACUUGAAACCGUGGCAAACAUUGAAAGGAAUUAUAACUUGAAAGCAUGACUCACGGGGUAUGUCAUGAUUCACGUGCACAAAAAAGGUAGAAUUGUGGAAAUUUACAACCCAACGACAAGUACGGAAAGAAAGGAAGAAAAUUAAAAGACUUUGGGCCUAGCUGCGUGUAUAAAUUAUUAGAUUACUUUUUUUUUUAUAAGGGUAAUCAUCAAUUUACUCCAUAAAAAUCUUUAAUUCAAUUAAAAUUUAUGGUAUUUUAUAUAUUAAAAAUUCUAAAAUAAUUAUGUAUUCACUUGAAUAUAGUUUUAGUUAUAAAUGUUAAAAUAUUGUGGUAUUUAAUAUAUUAUUUAUUUGACAUUCAAAUUUAAUAAGGAUACAAAUGUAAAAGUAUAUAUUUUUCAGCUUUUUAAGUUGAAAAAAACAAACAACUUAAUACUUAUUUUUUGAGAUUCAGACAAAAAAAUAAACAUAUUAUUCAGAUUCAGACAUUCAGAUCUAUUCAGAAUUCUCACUAAUUCAGAUCUAUUCAGAUUUCAGAUAAAAAAAAAAAAAACAAAACGCCACCUAAGUAUAGUUAGGAUUGUGUGAACAUCACUGAAAACUAUGAUUGAUAGAAGUGAUCUUGGCAAUAUGAAUAAAUAAUUAACUGAAUCAAUUGAUUUAUAUAUUAAUGAUUGUUUAUGAAUUUGCGGACUUGUUGCGAUAUAAUAAUAGCAUAUGAUUUUGAAACUUGAAACAGUGGUAAAUAUUGAAAGGAAUUAAUUUGAAAGCAUGAUCCGUGGGGAAUGUGAUGAAUCGUGUUUACAAAAAAGGUAGAAUUGUGGAAAUUUAUAAUAGAACGAUAAAUAUGGUAAAAAGGAAGAAAAUUGAAAGACUUGGGGCUUGGCCUGGGUGUAUUUUCUAACAGUCCAAUGGACAAAAUUAUAUUUGUAUACUUUCUUUUCAGGAAAAAGUUAUUCUCAUCCCUAGGUUUCAUGCAAUAGCUCAUUCCAUCCUUAUUUUUUAAAUAAUAGACCAAAACAUUCUUCCGUUAACUCACUGUUAGUUGAAUGUCGUUUGUUAGUUAUUCAUUAAGAGUAAAAAAUGAUUUUCUAUCAAAGAGAAAAUUAGAAAAAUAAAUAAAAGUUGACAUAUAACUAAAAAUGAUUUUAUCUAAUCCCACUAAAUAAGAAAUACCAAAAAAGAUGAAAAUUUUAUAUUUCAAGCAGUUCUUUUUUCACUUAUUUCUAUUUUGGCGGUAUGAAAGCCCUAUAAACCCUAGAUCUAAGUACCAAAAAUAUUGCAAUUUUCUUAUUCAUAUAAGUAUACUCUCUAAUUGCACUAUAAAAUGACUUGAAUUGAAUUGAAGAUAAAGAAUAUAUUCAGCACAUACAAAGCACAUAAAAAUUGGUGGCAUUUUUGAGUUUUUCUUCCAAUGAUUUAAAUAUAUUAUUUUAAUUACAGUUUGUUCCUUAUGACAAUUAUUAAAUGGCUAUAUCAAACUAUAUCAUCGUUGAUUUCAUUUAAAAAAAAAAGUUAAUGAAUUUUGCAUACUUUGUAGUGUUAUUUAAUUGUGUAAAAAAAUUAUUUUAAUAUAGUUUGUAUCACUUUAAUGAAAAAUUCUAUUUUGCCCUCAAUGAAUUACUAGUUAACAGUUUUACACUAACGGUGAAUUAACAUAAGGAUAUUUUAGGCUAUUGUUUGAAAAGGAGGGAUAAAAUGGGCUAUUACAUUAAACUCUAAGGAUGAAAAAUGCUUUUUCCCCUUUCUUAUCAAUCAACUAACUGAUAAAAGUCAAAACUCAUAUUUUUUUUUCCUUGUUUCAAUCCCCUCUCAAUCAAAAAAGUUUCAUUGUCUAAGCAAUGAGGAAUAUGGCUAGAAAGAUUGUUAUUAGAAAGAUUUAUCAAUAGUAAUUGGUUCACAAUUGAACCGUUUUAGAUUAUUGUGAGUCAAUAUAGGUCCUGUUUGGAAUUGAAGUGUUGCAGCUCUUAAGUUAUAGAUGCUUUGGAAAAAAAACUAAAAUUAUGAAAUAAGAGUUAAUAAUAUAUAAUAAAUAUAAAUUUUAAAUAAUAAUUGUGACAAAAUUAUUAAAAAUAUAAUAGAUUUUUGAUAAUACAAGUAAAAAAAUCAUAACAACAUAGCUUGCAAGCUACAACAGUUAGUGUUUAACAAAUACUUUAAUACUGUGGCUUUUAAGUUACAGCUGUUCAAUACCUCAAUUCCAAACGCACCUAUAAAAUGGCUUGCUUCAAAAGUCUAUCAACCCAACUUGGAAUGCUCUCAUUCAAGUGGCUAUAACUAAGAUAAAACUUCGCUAAGGAAGAGUAAUUAAAAAAUGUAACUUUAACAUGUCCAUAUAGCAUUUUUGUUUACAAGUGAAUUUGUGUGAUAGAGAGAGGAUGUAAGCAAGAUAGUAAAGUCCUAAAUAUAUUAUUGUGUAUAAUGUCUAAAAUUUAAAGAGAAUCAAGCUGAUAAAACUCCAUUGAAAUUAGACCUUCAAGAAUACGGUUCUUGGGCAUUAUAAAAUGUUGUAAUGUUGAGAGAUUACCCAACCAUUAUGGAAUCCUACCAAGAUGAUUGUUACCACUAAGAUACAAUCCUUCUAGUGAACAACAAUCAGAUAAAUUUUUUGGGGAUCUCUCUUACAAAGUGAUUACCAUCCAAUCGCAAUUUUGAAUGAAAAUAAAUUUUUUUUAUUGGGAGUUUAACCUUAACAUUAAAUUUAGACAAUGAAUUUUAACUUUCUACAGUUAUUAAGCAGAUUACGGACAUUUGAGGAAUUUGAAAACAUUUCAUCCAUCGAAAGUUAAAAUUAGAGAUGGAAGAUAGGUGCUACAGCUAAUGGGAACAUUACUUCCUGUCCCUCAUCACACUUUAUUUUGGGUCUAAUAAUUUUACGGUAGCAUUGACCACUGCUCAAGGUAAGUAAAACUUACAAAUGUGUGGCAAAAUAAAUAAUUAAGUACAUAAACUGUUAACCAAUUUUCUUGAUAUAUACAGCUAAAGUAGUUGUAUAUUAGUGUCCUGAAACAUGUUUAUUAUGAUAGACACCUCCACCGUACCUCAAACAAAUCUGUCAUUAUUAGUGUCCUGAAACAUGUUUCGGCCGUCAAAGUCAUGAGAGGGUUGAUGACGCUACUACGUAUGAUGACACACCAGCCGACAGUGUAGUAACAGCUCAAAAACAAAAUCUACCAAAAUCAACGGAAGUUAAUAAAAAAAUAUUUUAUUAAUAAAAAAACUUAUUAUUUGUGGAGAUAUGUGUAUUUGAGUCUGUGGACUGAAAUGGAAAAUAUGAAGAAGUUCAGAGUCGUUGUGCAGAUUGACUUCAGUUGAGCGGGUCUAAUAGAUAUUUUAUGCUGACGUGGCACGAAUUAGUUAUAAUCUGUUAUAACGAUUCCAGAAAUAUCGGUAUAAAUAGAAGUUGAUGAGCAGUGCCUGUUGUACGAUCCUUUUCUUCUUCAGCAGUUCGUCAAUUUGCAUAGAAUCUGUUUCACUUAUGUUUGAUUAGUUGUUGAUCGAUAACGAGAGUAAAUUUUUCCUUCAAAUCUUGCUGGUUCGUGCCCCUGUUUCAGUUUUGGGUUUUUUUUUUUUUUUAGUUCUGGUUUCUUAAUUCAAUUGAAUUUCUUGGUGCUUAAUUCAUCAAGAUUCAGUGGAAUUGACUUGAAAAGGACUCAAUAGACUCAACAUUAUUUAACGACACUCGGACCGUGGGGUACCGUAAUCAUAAUAUUAAAAGAUUUAAAAUUUUAUGCAUUUAUUAAUUGUUAUAAUCUAAAAAAAAAUUAAUUAAUUCAGGUCAAUCUGAGUUGGUGCAUCUGCAGAGCCUUUUUUUUUUUUCCCCUUAUUGACCAUAACUUUCGACUUAUUAAUAGUUAUAUCAAAGGGUGUGGGUGUUUUACCUCAUCAUGUCUUCAAGCGGAAGAUGAAGACUAUGCAAGUGAAUACAGUGCAUUUCAACAUAGCAUAUUUAACCGUUUUAACAGUUAUUUGGACCGUCUUCAGAGCUAACAUCAACAUACUCAUUCAUAUGCUUAAUAAUGAACGAAUAGUCAUGGAUCGAUGUUUUGCAGCAAGAGCAACUCGACACAAUCUGGAUUCAACCUCCUCCUUUCUAACAGGGUGAUACGCCGCGGAGGUCGUCAAGGAUUCCAAAGCCUAGCAACAAGUAUGCUGGGUACAUUUGAAUUAUGCAUGGAUGCUUGGAAGUCGAACGGUCACAUGGCUCAAGACUUAUGCAUACGUUACAUGCAACAUGCAGCACGUUGGAAGAAUGGUCAUUGGAGCAGUCUACAUGGAUCAUGGGGGGGAUUCGGUCAACAUGGGAUCACUUGCUGAUUUAAUGGAGAUUUAUCAUUUGGUUUAAUUCAUUUUCGGUUGUUUAGUUAAGCUAAAAGAAUAAGUUAAGUUGUUAGCUUAGGACCUGCCUACAAUCUCGAGUGAUAGUUAGAUUGUUUGGCUAAGUUGUUUUAAGUAUAAAUAAGCUCCAACGGACUUGAAUAAAGGGCAUUGACUAUUAUCCAAAAAUCAAAUAUCUUGUGGUCUUAUUUCUCACCCUAAGUAGAAAUAUAUUCAACCACUUACGCUUUGACUGGGACCCCUAUCAGUGGUAUCAGAGCGAGGUUACUAUGUCAACCAACAAGGAACGCAUAGAGCGUGUGGAAGCCGAGAUCGGAAGCUUGCAAGAUGGAAUGAAGCGUAUGGAACUAGGGCUUACUGACAGAUUGCACCGCCUAGAAGAAACAAUGAGCAAACUGGUAGAUUCACUUCCAACUUCAAAAGGGAUGCCAAGUCACAACAAUUCUGAUCACGUUGGAUCCUCACAGCCUAGCCGUGGAGAUAGUGAAGGGAGCCGCCAUCAGCUAGCAUCAAGACUUACCAAACUGGAGUGUCCACGAUAUUCCGGCGACGACCCAACGGAGUGGUAUAAUAGGAUCAUGCAAUUUUUCGAGUACCAGAAAGCAACCAAUGAACAGAAAGUCUCCUUAGCUUCUUUUCACCUCGAAGGAGAGGCCAACCAAUGGUGGCAGUAGAUGCGACGAACUUAUCAAGAAGACGAAAAAAUAGUAACGUGGGAAAUUUUUGUGGAGGAGCUUUGGGCACGGUUUGGCCCUACUGAGUGCGAAGAUUAUGAUGAGGCGUUGUCCAGGGUUAAGCAGACAGGGUCACUACGUGAUUAUCAGAGGGAAUUCGAAAGGCUUGGGAACUGGGUACGAGGCUGGACGCAAAAGGCCUUGGUCGGGACCUUUAUGGGAGGAUUGAAGCCGGCAAUCUCAGAGGAAAUUCGGAUGUUUCGGCCCAAAACUUUAAAAGAAGCUAUAAGCCUCGCACGUAUGAAGGAUGAUCAAUUAACGCGACAAAGGAAGUUGCUACGACCACAGUACCUCAACCGUACACCACCAACACCAACAAACAAUACCCGUGCCCAACCAACGAGACCCAUCAAACGGCUGACUUGGGACGAAAUGCAGCGGCAUCGAGUAAUGGGACUUUGCUUCAAUUGCAACGAUCGGUUUACAGCAGGUCAUAAGUGCACCCAACCUCAGCUAUUGCUCCUUGAAAGUGAGACAAUGAAUGAUGAAACUACAUAUGAGGGAAUUCCUGAAGUCUUAUGAACAAAACCUGACACUAAAGAGCCUACCGAUCCAAAAAUCACUUUCUAUGCCCUCACUGGAUGGGCAGCCCCAAGAACCAUGCGGGUCACGGCAACGGUAGGACCAUAUGAGAUUAUGGUUCUGAUCGAUAGCGGUUCAACUCACAAUUUCAUCAGCUCCCGAAUGGCCAACAUGUUACGGCUGCCAAUCAUUCCCACAGCAGGAUUUUUGGUGCGAGUGGCAAACGGAGAAACGCUAUCGUGCAAGGGAAAAUUCGAACGGGUUCAGGUAUUAUUACAAGAAGUUCCAUUCACUUUGACUCUUUAUUCACUUCCAAUUACAGGGUUGGAUAUGGUGCUUGGAGUCUAGUGGCUUGAGAUGCUAGGCUCAGUGGUUUGCAAUUGGAAACAACUUACCAUGGAUUUCACUUGGGAGAACAAAAGUUGCCGGUUACAAGUCAUCGGGCCUCAAUCAAUCCAAACAGCAUCCUUGACCGAAAUUACCAAAGAGCUGAGACAAGGGCAGUCCGGUUUUGCUAUUUGUUUCCAUGUGAAUGUAGAAGACUCUCUCAACACAACAACUCCAGAUAUGCAAGACUUGUUAAAGGAAUACAACACUUUAUUUCAAAAGCCAACAAAACUGCCACCUAGACGAGAAAUCGACCAUAACAUCACAUUGAAAGAGGGAACUGAGCCAGUCAACGUACGGCCAUACCGUUAUGCCUAUUUCCAGAAAGCCGAAAUUAAAAAACAAGUCCAGGAGAUGCUGAAUUCGGGACUCAUUCGGCCUAGUACCAGCCCUUUUUCAUCACCAGUACUACUUGUCAAAAAAAAAGAUGGAAGUUGGCGAUUUUGCACCGACUAUCGGUCUCUCAAUAACGCCACUGUUAAAGACCGAUUUCCAAUCCCUACAGUCGAUGACAUGCUGGACGAGUUACAUGGAGCAGCAUACUUCACUAAAUUGGACCUAAGGGCCGGAUACCAUCAGGUACGUGUAAACCCAGCCGAUAUCCACAAAACGGCUUUUCGUACAUACAAUGGACAUUACGAAUACUUAGUAAUGCCGUUUGGCUUAUGCAAUGCACCAUCGACAUUCCAGGCCAUCAUGAACUCUAUCUUCCGUCCCUAUCUCAGGAAAUUUAUCCUUGUUUUCUUUGACGAUAUAUUGAUAUACAGUCCCUCUUGGUGUAGCCACCUUACUCAUGUUAAGCAGGCAAUGGAGGUUCUUAAACAACAUCAAUUUUUUCUUAAAGCAAGCAAGUGCACUUUUGGCCAACAAGAACUCGAGUACCUUGGCCACAUAAUUACCAGCCAAGGGGUAAAAGUAGAUGAGACAAAAAUUGCGGCCAUGGUCUCCUGGCCUCAACCGAAGAACAUCUCAGAGUUACGGGGAUUCCUUGGCCUUACAGGUUACUAUAGAAAGUUCGUCCAAGGAUAUGGAGUUUUAGCUCGGCCACUCACGAAUCUUCUAAAAAAAGGACAGUUUGAAUGGAAUGCAGAAGCGGACAAAGCUUUUAUCAAUUUAAAAAAGGCAAUGACAAGUACACCCACAUUAGCCAUGCCUAAUUUUAAUGAAACUUUUAUUAUUGUGACAGAUGCAUCCGGUGACGGCAUCGGCGCAAUACUCCAGCAACAAGGGCAUCCCAUCGCAUUUAUGAGUCGUGCCUUGGGAGUCACAAAAAAAUCUUAGUCCACAUACGCAAAAGAGAUGUUGGCGAUUAUAGAAGCUAUCCGUGUGUGGCGACCUUAUCUGGUGGGACGAAAGUUUAUCAUCCAAACCGAUCAACGCAGCCUUAAGUACCUUUUGGAACAAAAAAUAACGACACCCGAAUAGCAACAGUGGCUGGCCAAAUUGAUGGGGAUUGAAUAUGAAAUCCAAUAUAGGCCCGGCCGUGAGAAUGUUGCCGCCGACGCCCUUUCACGACGACCUGACAGUUCUGCUCUUAACAGUUUAUUUGUGGCGCAGGUAUCUAUUUGGAAUGAAAUAAAAACGGCUGCCCAAGAUGAUGAUUACAUGCAGCAAAUUACACAUCAGGCUCUGACUCAACCUACUGGCCCUUAUUUCAUGCGUAACGGGCUAAUUUUCUUCAAGGGCCGAGUUGUAGUUCCUCUUCGACUCCGUCAAUCUUUAAUUUUUUAAGCCCAUGACACUAAGAUGGGAGGUCAUUCAUGAGUUCUACGUACUUACAAACGUUUGAAACAACAAUUCUAUUGGCCUUCAAUGUUUCAAACGGUUCAUGACUAUGUAGGUAAAUGCGAGAUUUGUCAAAAAACGAAAGCAUCAACCCUUAAGCCUGCGGGUCUCCUCCAGCCCUUGCCAAUUCCUUGCCAAGUGUGGGAUGAUAUCACGCUCGACUUCAUUGAAGGGCUGCCAAACUCACACGGUAAAAAUUCUAUUCUAGUGGUGGUGGAUCGGCUCAGCAAGAGUGCACACUUUAUGGCCUUGACUCACCCAUUCACAGCAAAAACAGUGGCUGAGAAGUUUAUUGAUGGAGUGGUAAAAUUACAUGGCAUGCCGAAAUCAAUAAUCAGUGACCGAGACCCUAUUUUUAUUAGCAAGUUUUGGCAGGAGUUUUUUCAUAUGUCCGGUACACAACUCAAUAUGAGUUCUGCGUACCAUCCGCAAACCGACGGUCAAACGGAAGUUAUUAAUAGAUGUCUUGAACAAUACCUGCGAAGCUUUGUUCACCAAUGGCAGAAGCAAUGGAACUCUUACCUACCUUGGGCAGAAUACUGGUACAACACAACGUACCAUGAGUCCACAAGCAUGACUCCUUUUUUGGCUUUGUAUGGGCGACAUCCACUGGUAGUACCAAUGUAUCAUGUGGAAUCUUCUCCAGUGCACAAGGUAGAUCAAGCUUUGUUGUCUAGGGAUGAGCUGCUGCGACAAUUAAAACAGAAUUUGAAAAUGGCAACCAAUCGCAUGAAACAAUUUGCGGAUACAAAAACGCGCGACGUGGAGUUUAAGGAGGGUGACAUGGUAUUCCUAAGACUUCCACCGUAUAGGCAGACUACUGUAUUCCGUCGUGCUCAUCAGAAGUUGACCAGCAAAUACUCUGGGCCAUAUCCAAUUCUGCGAAGAGUGGGACAAGUGGCUUAUGAGCUUAAACUACCGACGGGAUCUCGAGUGCAUCCGGUAUUUCAUGUGUCCUUACUCAAAAAAUACGUUGGUGAGAUGCCUCAAUUCAGUGCAGAUCUUCCAUAUGUCAAUGACGACGGAGUACUCGUUUUAGAACCGGACAAAAUUAUUGAUGUUCGUUGGCUUAAAAGAGGUGGCAAGUUGGUGGAACAAAGUCUUGUCCGUUGGAAACGCCUUCCACAUGAGGACGCAACAUGGGAAGAUUCAGAGUUCCUGGCAAAGCAAUUCCCUCACCUGACCCUUGAGGACAAGGGUCCUCUUCGUGGAGGCGGUAUUGAUACACCGCGGAGGUCGUCAAGGAUUCCAAAGCCUAGCAACAAGUAUGCUGGGUACAUUUGAAUUAUGCAUGGAUGCUUGGAAGUCGAACGGUCACAUGGCUCAAGACUUAUACGUUACAUGCAACAUGCAGCACCUUGGAAGAAUGGUCGUUGGAGCAGUCUACAUGGAUCAUGGGGGGGAUUCGGUCAACAUGGGAUCACUUGCUGAUUUAAUGGAGAUUUAUCAUUUGGUUUAAUUCAUUUUCGGUUGUUUAGUUAAGCUAAAAGAAUAAGUCAAGUUGUUAGCUUAGGACCUGCCUACAAUCUCGAGUGAUAGUUAGAUUGUUUGGCUAAGUUGUUUUAAGUAUAAAUAAGCUCCAACGGACUUGAAUAAAGGGUAUUGACUAUUAUCCAAAAAUCAAAUAUCUUGUGGUCUUAUUUCUCACCCUAAGUAGAAAUAUAUUCAAUCACUUACGCUUUGACUGGGACCCCUAUCACAGGGGAUUUCGAUUUGAGUUACUUUGUGCUCAAGCAAAUUCACAUCAUAGUUUUGAUUCUUUAGAUAUGAAUUCAUCACAUUACAUAUAUCAGAUUAAGUGUAACAAAAUUUUUAAUUUACUGCGAAAAGAAUAUGCACUAAACAAUGAUUUCAAGACGAUUUGACUACCAAAAGCAGCUGUCAGAGUGCACUAAAAAUUUCUGUAGGAUAUUUUGUAGCUGUUUAAUAUGUUAUGAUGGGCAUAUAAUUCUCAAAUUUUGAUGCCUCUCAGCGAAAAAUAUAUCAAAGUUUAGAUUAUGUGUUCGAGCUUUAAUAAAUGGUCGGAAAAAAAGCUGCUGUCAGAGUGCACUGAGUGAAUAAUAAUAACGACAAUAAUAAUAAACUAAAAAACAGAAUUAAUUACUAUUGAAUGGUCGGAAAAAAAUUUGAAAACGUGUGAACUCCAAUAAUCACCCCACAAAUUCAGUGGCGAAUUUUGGAGAGGGCAAGGCCGGGCUUCUCAGAAAAAAAUUUAUUUAGUUACAAAAUUAUCUUUAUUGAAACCUAUAUAAAUUUUUUUUUAUAUUAAUUAGUUAUGUUACCUCUUCAAUUAUCAUCAAAUUUUUGUCUGUUCAUCAUUUGGUGAAUAAAUGUGUGUCUAAAUAAUUUCAAAUAACAUUUAGAACAAAUAUUUUGAGAGGUAAAGUUUAUUUUGUCUCCCAUUAUUAGGUGCAUCUAUAAUUUCUUAUUUACAAAAUUAUAUUGUACGAUAAAAAUUUAUUGAAUUAGGGGGAAAAAAAAAGUUCAGCUCACUCAAAAACAAAAAAUGGUAUUAACUUCGCCACCGCACAAAUCUAGAAUAAUAAUUAUUCCUUAUCAUGCUGGGGAUCCUUUACUUUCUAGCCGUAUUGACAGCACCAGGUAAAGCUUUGUAAAAUAAUAAGUUACUCAUUAGUGGUUUUUAAUCUUUUUAAUUCUUUUUACCGCACACCUGAUCAAGAAUUUUAUUUUGUUAACUAAUCAAUUGCAAAGCAUAUAUAAGUGUUGAACGGUACGCAAGAUUGGAAAAAAAAAUCUUAAAAAACGUGUGGAUUCGGGUGGCCACACCAGAAAUCUAUUACAAUAAUUAGCUUUGAUGCUGGGAAUCUUUUAAUUUCUGGCCGUAUUGAAAUUUUUAAAAUAACAAGUUCCCCUUCUCGUUUUUUUUUUUAUAAAUAUAUAAGCUUAUAACAAUUUUAGAAUAAUGACUCAUUUGUAGAAGAAUUUAUGAUUUCCCAUUAAUAUUAAUAUUGAAGUGGGGUGGGUCAAAUCUCAAUUGCUUGAAGAAUUUAUUUAUUAUUAUUAAUAUUAUUAGUAUUGAAGUGGGGUAGGGAACGGACCAGCAGUUCACUCAAUUCGUGGCGAAUUAAAUAUUACCAUCCAAGGUAGGAUUGUGGAAAAUUAAAGCAAAAUGACAAGUAUGGAAAGGAAGGCUGAAAGUAAGGCAUGACGAAAGGCUUUGAGAAGGCUGAAGACUUACCAAAGAAGUCAACUGAAAACUAGCUGGGGCCUGAGUGUAUAAAUUGUUAGAUGCGUUUGUUAUAAAUAACAUAGAGCCCUUUUGUUAUUUAUAGUUAUAGAGAAAGAGAGAAUGUGUGUCUUUUAAGAGUUAGAGAUAUAGCUAGAAUGGGCGGCUCAAAAUCCAAAAUGGUGACAAUGUUAGUUCUCGUAUUGGUAAUAUUUUGGGUGGGGGGGGGGGGGGGGGGGGGGGGGGGUUGUGAGGGAAGGAAGGUCCACAGGCCGAGUGGUACAACUACACCUUGGCCUUACUAGGAAUAUCGAUCUGGGAGAGUGGUAUCUGAAUGCUUCUCUAUUUACUUCCUUUCAACAACUUGGUAACAAAAUAGCCGGCUGCAUGCGUUGAGAAUGAAGGUCCUUCAUUUAAUUUAAUUUACUUAAUUUCUCCCUCCCAAUUAAUGUCUAAUGGAGCUCAUUCUUUGGUUUUACUUGCAGGUCUAGAAGCAGGUGUCAUCUAACAGCUGCUUUGAUAAUUUCCCACCCCUUCAUCUUUGAUGGAAAGAUGAAAUAAAAACAAAAUGGUGAAAAUGGUAUUGGUACCUGAGGCUAUGUAAUCUAAUUCAACAACUGCACCAUCAAAACGAUUACAUAAGUCCCAGAAGAAUCAAACAUUAGUUUGCAAAAUAUCAAUUGCUGGAGGUUAGAUUCUAACUUCCGCUCUUGAUUUUUAUGGGCAUGUUGUAUUGUACUUGCAUACGAAAAUCAUAUUUUAGUUUACUUACACUCAAUGCUUGGAUUAAAGUUUCAGGUGGGGAAAAUUGAAGGAGACUAAAAUGACUCAAAAAAAUAGUUGAAUGAGUGAGGGUUUUGUCUUCAUUUGAGGAGCUCUUUAUAAAUUUUAGGAUUUUUUUUCCCGAGAAAAUUUAUGCCAACUUAUUCUUUGCUUCUUUUCUGAAGGGACAAAUGCAACUGAAAGUGUAUUCUUGAAUUCUCCAGGAUAAGAGACAUAUGUUUAAUUAGAUUCUCGAGCCUUCAAAACAAUAUAAAAUUUUAUAUAUCUGAGCAUGAUGGUGUUUGACAUGACUUAAAAUUGUUUAAUUUACUCUCACGUACAAGAAUGCCUAGUUAUAUUGUCGCUCAGAGUCCGAGGUUAAUCCAUAAAGAAAUGAUUUAAUUUGUUUAUUUAAGAUUAUCCCAAAAAAUAAAAAUAAAAUUUAAAUAUAUGUAAUUUAAUUUGAAAAAAGUUAUGAAAUUAAAUUAUUUAGAGUCAUGGAUCCACUCUUAGUAAUAAAUACAAUUUAAUAAAUUCUUUUUAUUUUUAUUUUAUUGCCCAAAAGAUUAAUUAUAUAAAUUAUAAUUAUUUUUCCAUUAAUUUUAUUAUGGAUUAAGUACUUAAUGUGCCAAAACUUAACUUGUCUACAAUAUGUCAAAAUACCAUUUUACCAUACUUUAUGCUAAGAUAUUAAGAAUUCAUGUGCCAAACUCCCAUGUUUGUCUACAAUAAAUCCAAAUUUCAAAACAUAAAAUAUGGAUCAAAUUAAAUAAAAAAUAAUUUAAUUUAUAUAAUUAAAAAUAGAAUUUGAUUAAAUCAUAUUUUUCUACUUAGAGUUUUACCUCACCCUAACUAUUAGUAUUUAGCUAAACAUAUUUGAAAUAAAUGAAAUUAUUAAAAUUGAAAAAUACAUAAUUAAAAAAAUGGUAUUUGAAAAUUAGAAAUAAAACUAAUUUUAUUUAUUGAAAAUGUAUUACAAAGAGAGAUGAGAAGAAGAAUUUGAGGGAAAAGAAGAGAAGAAAAUGUGUGGAGAGGUGUGUGAAAUUAUAUUGUAAAGAUGUUACACAAACAAAUGAAUAAAAAAAAACUAAAUGAAAAUUACACAAAUUAAAAAGAAAAUGAAAAUUAAAUAAAAAAGAUAAAUGUGUAAGAAAAAAAUGCGCAAUAAAAAUAAAUAAACUGAAAAGUAAUUAACUAAAAUUAAAAUAACUAAAUAGGCGGUAAACAAAGUAAAUGCCAAAAAUAAAAUAAGUGCGAAAAUUAAAUUACAGAAAUUAAAAGAAGAAAGAAAGAAAAAAAUAAUUAUCUCAAAGUGUAAACUCUUUUUCUUUUUCUUUUCAAAUUUUAAAUAUUACCAGCCAAUUAAGUGAUUAAUUCAAAUUAUUAGGCUUUAAUAGUAAUUUUUAAAAUCAAUAUUCAGUUUAUUGAGUCCAAAUAAGGUCCAAAGAAGUUCAAGUUGUUGGUCUAAAAUUGAGAAUUUUGGGAAAUAUUGGCAACGGACCUAUUCAAAAAGCUCUAUAAUUUUGUGGUCAAACUGCAAUUAUGAGAAGAAUGAUCCAAAAAUUAGAAUUUUUGGGGUGAGUGAGAUUUAGAAAGAUUUUGUGGAUAUAACAUAAUUUAAGAAAGAAAAAGGAGGUAAAUGAAAAUUUACACAAAAAGUAUAAAAAGAAAGAAAAAAGAAAACAAAAUAAAUACCUCUCCCAGCAAUGGCGGUAAAAACUUAACACGACUUAAAAGCAUUUAAUUUACUCUAAAGUAUAAGAGUACCUAGUUAUAUUAUAUCGCGAGAAGUCCGAGAUCGAUCUACAGAAAAAUGAUUUAAUUUAUUUAUUUAAGUUUAUCUAAAAAAUAAAAAUAAAAUUAAAUACAUGCAAUUUAAUUUGAGAAAAACUAUGAAAUUGAAGUAGUUAGGAUUAUGGAUCUACUCCUAGUAAUAAAUGUAAUUUAAUAAAUUCUUUUUAUUUUUAUUUUAUUGACCAAAAGAUUACUUGUAUAAAUUACAAUUAUUUUCCCAUUAAUUUUAUUAUGGAUUAAGUACUUAAUGUGCCAAAGCUUAACUUGUCUACAAUAAGUCAAAAUACUAUUUUACCAUACUUUAUACUAAGAUAUUAACAAUUCAUUGUGCCAAACUCCCAUGUUUGUCUACAAUAAAUCAAAAUUUCAAAAUAUAAAAUAUAGAUAAAAUUAAAUAAAAAAUAAUUUAAUUUAUAUAAUUAAAAAUAGAAUUUGAUUAAAUCAUAUUUUUCUACUCAGAGUUUUACCUCACCCUAACUAUUAGUAUUUAGCUAAACCUAUUUGAAGUAAAUGAAAUUAUUAAAAUUGAAAAAUACAUAAUUAAAAAAAUAGUAUUUGAAAAUUAGAAAUAAAACUAAUUUUAUUUAUUGAAAAUAUACUACAAAAAGAGAUGAGAAGAAAAAGUUGAGGGGAAUGAAGAGAAAAUAAGGUGUGGAGAGGUGUGUUCCUCCCCCCACUUCUCUAUUUAUACUAAUACAUGAUUAAUCUAUACCACACAAAUAAAUAAAACUAAUUACAUCUUAGGCAUACAUUUGUCCCACUAACAAAAUAUAAACCUAAGUUAAUCCACUUAAGCACAUCCAACACAUUUCACUAACAAUUACCACACCUAACAUGAUAAAAACUUAUAAUUUCACAAUUACCACAUUUACUUUUACAACAAAAACCACGAAUCUUCUCGACAAUAACCUAAUUUCUCGGACUUUCGGAAUCUAAAAAUUUAAAUAAUAUUAAAUUUAUCUAAUAUAAUUAAAUGUAUUAAAUAAAAUAAUGUUUCAUUUUAUAUUUACCCUCCUUUUAUUAAAUUUACUAUAAUUAUAUUUAAUAAAAUAAAUAAUAUUAUAUAUUUAAAUAAUAUUAGUUAUAUUUAACUAAAUUAAAGCAAAAUGACAAGUAUGGAAAGGAAGGCUGAAAGGAAGGCAUGACAAAAGGCUUUGAGAAGGCUGAAGACUACCAAAGAAGUCAACUGAAAGCUAGCGGGGGCGUGAGUGUAUAAAUUGUUAGAUGUGUUUGUUAUAAAUAACAUAGAGCCCUUUUGUUAUUUAUAAUUAUAGAGAAAGAGAAUGUGUGUUUUUUAAUAGUUAGAGAUAUAGCUAGAAUGGGUGGCACAAAAUCCAAAAUGGUGACAAUGUUAGUUCUCGUAUUGAUAGGGGGGGGGGGAGAGGUCGAGUGAGGGAUGUUUGGAGCAUGAGAAAUUUGAUCUUUUGCGGCUGGAUGUUUGGAGCAUGAGAAAUUUGAUCUUUUGCGGCUUAAACAUUUCUUCAAUUCCCCUUAUACACUUCAAAACUGGGUAGGUGAACAAAGGGAAAGGGUUGAGUGCAGCAACUCCACAGGCCAAGUGGUACAACUACACCAUGGCCUUACUAGGAAUAUUGAUCUGGGAGAGUGGUAUCUGAAUGCUUCUCUAUUUACUUCCUUUCAACAAUUUGGUAACAAAAUAGCCGGCUGCAUGCGUUGAGAAUGAAGGUCCUUCAUUUAAUUUAAUUUACUUAAUUUCUCCCUCCCAAUUAAUGUCUAAUGGAGCUCAUUCUUUUGUUUUAUUUGCAGGUCUAGAAGCAGGUGUCAUCUAACAGUUGAUUUGAUAAUUUCCCACCCCUUCAUCUUUGAUGAAAAGAUGAAAUAAAAACAAAAUGGUGAAAAUGGUAUUGGUACCUGAGGCUAUGUAAUCUAAUUCAAAAACUGCACCAUCAAAACGAUUACAUAAGUCCCAGAAGAAUCAAACAUUAGUUUGCAAAAUAUCAAUUGCUGGAGGUUUGAUUCUAACUUCUGCUCUUCAUUUUUAUGGGCAUAUUGUGUUGUACUUGCAUCCGAAAAUCAUAUUUUAGUUUACUUACACUCAACGCUUGGAUUAAAGUUUUAGGGGGGGCAUUGAAGAAGACUAAAAUGACACAAAAAAAGAGUUGAGCGAGUGCGGGUUUUGUCUUCAUUUAAGGAGCUCUUUGUAAAUUUUAGGAUUUUUUUCCUAAGAAAAUUUAUGCCAACUCAUUCUUUGCUUCUUUUCUGAACGGACAGAUGCAACCGAAAGUAUAUUCUUGAAUUCUUUAGGAUGAGAGACAUACGUUUAGAUUCAUCGAGCCUUUAAAACAAUAUCAAAUUUUAGAUUGCUGAAAUUUUAUAUAUCUGAGUAUGAUGGUGUUCCAAUUAUAAGCUCCAGGGUGCAACUUCACUAAGGUUUAGAAUACCUUCCUAUAGAAUUGAGAAAUCUCCAUUGGCAUAAAUAUCCUUUGAAAAUAUUGCCAUCAGAUGUUGAAUUGGAGAACCUGAUUGAACUCAGCUUGCCUUGUAGUAAGGUUAAGCAAAUUUGGAAAAGAGAAAAGGUAUAAUGUAUUACUAUUACCAAAGUAUCUAUUUUUCUUUCUUUAAGUAUUUAUAAUGAAUAACUUUGAAAUUGAAUGAUGCUCAUUUAGUAUAGUUGUGUAUCUUUGGUUAUAGGAAGCUGUCAAGUUAAAAUCUAUAGAUCUUCACCACCCUCUGUAUCUCAAUAGGAUCCCAAAAAUACUAAAUCUUAAAAAAAUAAAUCUUUCAAAAUGUGAAAGCAUGCUUACGUUACCCGCGUAUAUCCACAAUUUCAACUAGCUCAGUAUGUUGUGUUUCAUGGGAUGCAAAAUUCAUUUUGUUUCUCAUGAAAGGAUUGACUUGUUCGGAUGUAUUAGGGUUAAUAAACCAACUAAUCCCAUAAUUUGUUGAUGUCGGGUCCUAACAAAUUACUGCAGUAUAUUGUAGAUCAAUACACUAUUUGAAAACGUAUUUGAUCCACACAGUGAAUGUUUGAGGGUGCAUUUCUCGCGAACCAGCCAUACCCUAAACGAGGAGCCGGUCUCCUUGUAAUUGAGCAGGCAGGUGAAGUCUGGUAGCAAAUAUCCAAGAGCAGGAAUUCUAUGCUCAAUCACAAGGACAUCCUCUUUUGGACUAUAAUUCGAACAAGGUUCCUGCUAGGAGCCGAGAGCCUUUCCUGCUGGAGAGCGGGGUCGGCAGGCCUAGUCUAUAACGGUUAGCGAGACGUGCACUCCUAUUCGAGAAUCUAGGCACGAAACCAACUCAGCUGCAACUACGACAUUCAGGCAUCCACUUCCGUAAGCUGAGGGAGGUGAUGGACGUGGAUCGUAGGGCGUCGGAUUUGUAAGACGGCUAUAAAACGGUAAUCAACGAAGGUAAAGGGGUUAGACACUUUUACACUAGAACUUAAGAAAUAAGACCAUUUACUAAAAAAGGAGAGAAACACUCAUAGGUGUUCCACUGCCUAAGAGAUCAUGAGAGAGCCACGAGAUCAGUGGCCGAGUUUCCCAAAAAGUAAACCUAAAUUUCUGACUUGAGCGUAGGAGGAUUUUUCCGGCGUGCUCUGACAAGUUUUUGUGUGCGCAUGAGUCUGCUAAGUCAUACAAGGCAUAGCUUUGCUCGGUUAGAAGAGUUACGUGAAGUAUCCUAGGUUGGUCGUGAGUUCGGGAGUUAAGGAGAGAUCCUGGUUGCAGACGAGCAGACACCAGAAUCUCGCAUCAACAGUGAAGAUGAUUCAAUAUUAAGCAUGUCAUAUAAUCUAGAAGUGGAUAUUGGACCAAUUUGAUGAUAAUGAAUUUCUUUCAAUCUCAAUCUUUUUCUUUUUAGCAACAUGACUAGUAAUUGUGCAAAUUUAAACUCUGAGAAUGAUUUCUCAAUCGGUUUCUAAAAUGAUGACCAUGCAUGUAUACGUGUGUGUGUGUAGAGAGAGAGAGAGAGAGAUCACACGUGUGUGAUUUCCUUUUGCCAAUAGGAUAUGCAGAGAGCUUGAUCUUACCCAAUAGCGAAACAAACUUCCUAAUAAGUGAAGGUAUAGUAUAAAUACUUAUACUUUCAUGUUAUUUUGUUCAUCGGUAGCUUGAUUAUUUUAUAUGCGUCUUCGAUUUUAAUUUUCUUUCCCUAUAAUCGCUAUUAUCUUUGAACUGGUCAUGAUUUGCCUAUUAGAUUUCUCAUGUUGUUUUGAGGUGCAAUGGAUUUUGAAUUUAGUGACGAGCAGUGGAAGCCAGAAGGCAAAUUAUGAAAAUGGAUAAAGAUCUAUAAUUAGCUGUUAUGGGAUGUCACAUAUCAUAUUGAUGGUAACAUUAUAUAUAUGUACAUAUAAUUAAUGGGGUUGGCUCACGAGCCCAUUAAUAAUCGUAUAUUAGCUUAUAUACUUCAAACAAUGUACUAUGAAGUAAUUUCACAAAUACUUGUUAGCUUAUGUGGAGCUUUAUUGAAUCAGUAGUUCACAGUUCAAUAAAAUGCAGGUUUGCUAUUUGAAGUACAUGGUCAUGGUGCGUACAUUCUUCAUAAGGCUAACUACUAAUUUAUCAUUGAAACUUGAAAAAUGUGAUAGAGAGAUGUAGAUAACAGCCGCAAAACACUGAGAUUGAAAAUCAGGGCUACUAAAUUCUAUUAAAAGCCCUUAAAAUAGACAGCGAUCAUCCUAAAAUAUUAAUUGCAAAGUUAUGCACUAAUAGAACUAUUGACUACUUAUCUUUAGCAGAAGGUAUAUUUUUAACUACAGCUUUCUGCUUUGUUCUAAGAACUAGGCAAAAGUGGUAUAUCUUCAAUCCAAUCAACAUAUAUACCACUUAUUUUCCCCUUCACUUCUGUCCAUUUUGAUUUGCACUUCAUAUCCUGCACUUGCUGCUUAGAAAUAGUCUUAGUCUGGACAUUGAAAGUAGAAAAAGUACUUGAAACAAUCAUUGGCACAGCCCGAGAUUCCAUUGAAUCGUGGACUCCAAGCUUUCAUAGUUCUAUAAAGAAAAUGACAAAACAUCAUACAACUGGCAUUCGGCUUUUAACAUUUGCACAACCUGAGCGCGUUAGCAAGCCCCUUAUUGCGUUCCCAUUGAAUAGACCUACUUCUGUUAUCCACAGAAGAUCCACCUCUCAAAAUGUUUAUCACCAGGCUAUUCUUAAACUGAGCCUAAACUGAGUAGAAACUUCCGCACAUCUCUCAGCAUUUACAUGAAGAAAGCGACAACUAUCCUCAUCUCUCAGCACAUCUCUCAGCAUUCUACAAAGUUGCAUUUCACUAAGCAAUCUAUCCUCUCCAUUCCUAGCAAAGUGACAUUGAUUCCCGUAUUUGUAAUCGCCUAACUUGGGUUUUGGGCAUAGCGUGGUCUUAAAAUUACCACCCAAUACUUUGUUCAGUGCCACUGGCAUCCACAAGCUCUAGCCUUGUUAGCUGAAUCAUAUUCAAUAGGACAGUGAGACAGCAUUUCACUGACAUAUUCAAUUUGACUACUUAUAUUGACGCAAAUAUUAGAAUUUGAAAUCACUUCUUUUAUUGGAAUAUUAUAUUAAAAUGACCCCAAAUGAAAGUUCUUGAAUGGAAAUGAUUUUUAUUUAAUUUUCCAACAGAUUCAAGAAAACCCAGAGAACAUUAAUUUACACAGUAAUAUGAUUAAGAGCUGAGAACGUACAUGUAGUAAAUGUCUAUCAAAAAACACCCAAGGGUUUCUUUAAAAUUAGAAACUAGUAAACAAAAAGAAAGAAUCAUUUUACAUUUUUAUCAACUUUGGGGUGAGUGAGGAGUGAGAAAUUGAAACCCUAAAGUAAUGACAACAGUAAGAUUCAGUAUGAAGUGAAACCCCAAUUUGAAAUGUAGGCAUGAGUUGCUGAGUCAGUAGAUGAAGCUGUAAAUAGGCAUUCGGUUUCCUUCUUUUCGGUUUGGAGGGCCAUGGAAUAGUGUAUUGGAGUGGGCUCCAAGUAAUAGCCUCUAUCACUGGAAUGACACAUCUAUAAAAUGUGAUACAUGGGGAAGGAUUGGACAUUAUAUUCUUAGAUUAGCGCCUUAUUUAGGGUGUAUAUUAAGCAGAUUAUAUAUUACAUGGAGAUGGAGUUUAUGAAAUAGAUUAAAAAGAAAAGGAAAUUUUGGUGCCUAAAGUUUGCCACUUGGAAUAUUUCGGUGUCUAAAAAUUCACUCACCACUUAUUUCAUGUUUGAUUAUAUGUUGAAAAGAUAUUAAAAUAGUAUAAUGCUAUUAAGGCUUAACGUAUAUUUUUUAUUAGUAGAGUGUAGAAUUUUUAAGAAAUAAAUUAUUAAAUUAUUAUAACUAACAUAUUAUUUUAAAGUUGUGUUAUGAAAAAAAUGAAAUAAAAAUGUACAGUAAAUAAGAAUAUUUUAAAACUUUUAUCUUUUUAAAAUUAUUUUUUAACAUAAGGUGAACUAUUUUUUUUUUAAAUCACAUAUUCUAGUUAAAAUCAAAUAUGUAUUUAUAUGAAGCUUGUAAAUUUUUUUUUUAGUACUGAUAUUUGGAUAUUACCAAUAAAAAAAAAGGUAAUGUGCAUGCUGAAUUAUUUUUGUAGCACACAAAAGGACAACACCGUUUAUGUUAUCAUACUAUCACUUCUGUUAUGAUAAUAUUUUUUUGUGGCCAAAUAUCUUCUUUUUUUUUUUAAGUAAAAGUGUGGACAAAAUGCAAAUCAGUUUUUAAUCCUCAAUCUCUCCCAAAAUAUAAAUUCGUAGGUACAUGGGUUGUUAAAACUAUAGCUGACAAAAAGUUACUAACAAAAACAGAAUGUCCAUUUUAUAACUUUCUUAAAAAACUUUCCUUAACUUUUUUAAAAAGUUACCAAUAAAAAGUUAUUUCUAAUUUUUAUUUUGUUAUAAUUUUUAUAACAAAAUUCGUAGUUCGUAGUUAACUAAACUCUUCUUAUUCCCUUUCUCAACUGCCAUACCCUAACCUUGUUCCCCACACUAAACCACGCUCAAUUAAGGCCAUCAGAUUCUCCCGGGCCCACAUUAAUCCAACUGCUCACAGAGACCGACAGCCUCUCUAUCUCCAUUUCAAGCUCCCUCUUCAACUGGCUUCUGCUACCGUCCUACUCUUUCUCGGCUUCGGAGUCCGUAUUUGCUCGGCCUGUCCCACGAAGCUCCCUCUCACUCCAAUUGUCGCCCCACAAGACCAAUUGCUUAAUCAAGACACCGAACAAGAAAAGGAUGAGAAGUUGAAACAAGAAUUUGAGAAUUGGAAAUAAAAAACGUACGCAUUGACCGUGCCUUUGAGAGUCGUUUCUCUUCAGAACUCAGUGCCUCAAUCUUGGGUUAAGGAUUUUAUGCGAAGUCAGGGAAAGAGAUUGAAGUUUCAGAUGAAUUUGUGUGCUAGCAUUGAUGGGAUCUUUAACAAUUUAUCUGUGCCCUUUAACAAAGUUAAGGCUAAGUCAGCUUCUUAUAUGGCUGCUGAUUUGGUUAGUGUUGGUGAUUCAUGGCUUAGUUUUGCCAUUAAAAAGAGAUUGAUUGAGCCAAUGGCUGGAGCUGAAGACCAAGAUUGGUUCAAAUGCUUAAGUCACAAAUGGAAGGUAACAUCUUUGUCUUUGAUCCUCGAGGUAAAAUAUGGGCGGCACCGUACAGGUGGGGCACAACGGUGAUAGCCUACAAGAAAAGUAAAUUUCGAAAGCAUAAUUUGGCUCCGAUUGAGGUAAUAAUUUUCUUUAAACUCAUUUAGUUUUAUAUCAAACAAAAUCAAGACUGCCUUUCUUUUCAAUAUUUUUUAUGAUAAUAUCUUUAGAAGCAUCUCAUUGACGGGUAACAAUGGCAUCCCUGAAAGAGUCUAUAAACUCAAUGAUAUUAUCUUCUACAAAUGGUUCAUUAAACUUUGUCGUUGUACUCAAAUGUACACUCAGAUCAAUGAGAAGCUAUGCUACGUUAGCAUGUAGUGAUGGCACUUAAUAAGUGAGUUGCUAGGAUGUGAACUAGAAAAAUUAAAUAUUGUCUCCUUGGGUAUGCUAGCUGGUAAGUCAGGGUUAAUAUCAGAGCUUAAGAUAGUAUAACCGUGAGAACCUAUUGACUGCCAAUUAAAAUAUCCAUUGAAAUGUCUAGGGAGUUAUGAAGGUGGAGGUAACUUCCAAUUUCUAAGGCCACAGAGUAGACAUCAUCCAGGAUCCUAAAAUAUCCAGUUAACCUCCUGCUCGAUGCGAUUAAUAAAUUUGGUCAAUGCCACUGAAACCUGCUAACUGACGUCACAAUGCGACAUGAGCACUUCAAAAUGGGACAGAUGGUCAGUAGCACUAAAUUUUUCUUGCCUAAGAUUGAGCAAUUGGUCUAACUACUAAUCCCUAUUGUAGGUUGAUCAUUAUUUUUUCAAUUAUGUUCAGUUUGACCCAAAAAGUUGCAGAAUCUUGAGCUGAAUAUUGUCACUGAACACUGUCAAUGUUGUUUAGCAUAGCCAACUAACUUGAUGUUAAAACAAACACACAGUGUGUCUCAUGUCUCACAAUUCAAAUUAUCAUCUGUAAUGAUGGAGAAUUUUUCCAAUGUAUGAAGUAUGCUUUGAUACGUGGGUUACCUUGGAGAAGAUAUCUCAAAAUAAAGAAUAUGGGGAGAAAACAGUUCAGUAGUUUAUUAUUCUGUAGUCAAGUUUUGUCUCGAAAAUGGUCAAAAUUUAAAUGAAUAAGGACAGGGAAUCUUCAUUCUUUUUUCCCUUUUUUAUACCAAGAUAUCUCUCAACCUUUAUAUAAUCCCCACUGGAUAUCUGCUUCUAAUAAUUAAAAUAAAAAUUUCACCGCUCUAACAAUAAAAAGUAACAUCUUUAAUCAAAUAAUUUACAGUUCCUCAUCACCUUAGUGUGAGACUAUCAGUACAUUCCAAAAACUUAAUAAAACUGGUUUGAUCCUGUUUAUUGAUGUUUAAAUGUUGUUCAUUGUGACAUGUAGAAAUGAUGAGGCGAAGUUUAUUUGGACAUCAAUUAGUAAGAUCUUGUUUGAAGUUGUUUUCUGAAAUGAACUGCCCAAUGGUAGUUUUUUGGGGGCAUUUGAUGGCUCUUUUUUUCCUCAUUUUCAACAUGUGCCUGCUUGGAACAGGAAGGAUUAGGCUGCAGAGUUGUUAUAUAUUUUUAGAUGCUCUGGUCAUUGCACAAUUUGUUCACACUGGAAAUUAGAAUGAGAAAUUUGUUGAUGCUGUUUUGAGAGAUCUGCAUUCUAUGCACAAUAACGUGAUUAAUGAAAAUGCAUUGUAGGACUGGAAAGAUCUGUGGCAGCCUGAGCUCGCAGGAAGAAUUUCAAUGGUUAAUUCUCCCCGAGAGGUUAUUGGUUCAGCUUUGAAGAAUAGGGGAGCAUCAUACAAUUCAAACGAUAUUGAUUUGCAAGUUGCUGGUGGGAAGAUUGCUGUUCAGCAGAAUCUGGCAUUACUGGCAAACCAAGUACUCUUACAGAAAUGAUAUCUGGUCAUUGCAUGUUAUUGCCUGACAACUGAUUUUGUUUGUACAAGUCUGCUUCUUCAUACAUAUGAAUGCAUAUGUUAGUGUUUUCUUCUCCUUUUCAUACAUAUAAAUGCAUAUGUUAGUGUUGUCUUUUCCUUUUCAUACAUAUUAAUACAUAUGUUGGUGUUCUCUCAUGAGAUGGAUGCAAUAGAGGCUUUUGCUCCUAAAUUUAGCUGAAGAAAUGGGAAGGGAUGUGAGAUUCUGUCUCAUUAAAUUAACAAAAACCCAAAACAAUGAAAAUCCAUAAUAAUGUGGUGUGGGUAAAUUGGCUCCAUUUGGUUCGUUUCCUUAAUGUGACUGCGCGAGCAAUAGAGACUAACAAAAUGAAGUGACAACAAGAAGUCAGUGUCCUUUGAUGGAUGCAUUUUUAGGCAGAAAUAGGUUUGUAAUUGACCAAAUUUGCCUGGCAUGCCAAUUUCAAAAAAAUUAAAUUAUGUGGUUAUUGGCUGUAAUGAAGGGGGAUAGUCGGUGCAAUCAGGUGGAUCCUGGAAAGUUCAACAAAGUUUGGUAUGGCGUAGUGAAAUUGGUUUGUGCAACUCAGGAGUCUUUCAGGUGAACGAUGAUAGGUUUUGAUUUAUGAAUAUUAUAAAUCUACUGUGCAUAUUAUUCUAGCAGAAUCAUCUAUAAGUUCUAGUUAUUGAAAUUGUAUACUUUGCCCGGUUUGAGUUAAGGGCACAUGUAAUAUGAAAGAUAGUUGUCGCAUCUUUUAGGUUACCUAACAUUUGAUCAAUCCUAUUAUGGGGGCUUCAAGAUGUCUAACAAUAUGUAGAAUGCCCAUGCUCCUCCCCAUUGUUUAUCUUAUACAAUAAUUUGUUUUAGAUGCUAAUAUCUUUGUCGAUACUGGUAACAAUAUUACAAUAUCUGCCUUUAUUGGGUUUUACAUAGGUUCGACUGUUUGACAGUACACACUAUCUGAAGGCAUUUGCAAUUGGAGAUGUAUGGGUUGCUGUUGGGUGGAGUAGUGAUGUUCUUCCUGCUGUCAAACGUAUGUCUAAGGUUUUAUGAGAAACGAAAGAUGAGUGUUUGUUUGAACAAAGUUGUUGCCAAUCUUGCAGAGUUCGAAAAGAAAGAUCACGGAGCGAAUGCCACCGAUUUCUUCAUCAUUUUAGCCUCCAUAGUUGAAGUUUCCUCAUUUGAAGCUGUUUAUGCAUACGCUUUUUCCCUGCUCUAGUACAGGAAAUUGAAGAAUUAACCAGAUGUGAUAUGCUGAAAGAGGGAAGUUUUCUUCCUUGAAUGUGGCCUUUGUGAUUUGUCUUGAAGGAAUAGGAUGAUCACUGGCAAAAACCCUAUCAAGGUAGAUUUUAUGAUGUUAACAUAUUAUUAAGCAUUUUGUUACAUCAGCAAUGAUGCUUUCAUAGCAUGAAAGUGUCUAAAUUUAACUGAAUGAUCUUGAUUAAUCAAUUAUGAGUUUUAAUCGAGUAAAAACUAAAUACAAUAAUCGUUGACAAAUACUGAAAUUGGGUAAAUAUGAUCUUGAUAUUGAGAAUCUGAAAACACAACCCACACAGGGAAUCACCCUUCGCGUGGGGAUGGAGAUGUUUACUGCAGCGAUAUUGCAUAUGUCCACUGCUCUUUGGGUUAUGGUGCGACUUGCGAUUUCAAGGUUUCCCUGAAACAAUGAAAAGAUUGACGUACCCUGCAAUGAAUGAAAGCGGCUGGACUAAUUCUGAUUACCUAAUUGACUCAGGAUCGGCUGGCAAUAAUGACAGUUUAUUAACAAUGCACAGUCCCGAGUACUUUCCAGGAUCAGAUAUUACGUGGUCUAAUGUUGAUAAUAAUAGAUUAUCAAAUGACAAAUCGUUGUUCUUGGGUGUUGAUUUCAGAAAUAAAAUACGUUCUGAGAGAUGCUGGUCUACUAUUGCAAGCCCCCAGAUUUAAGAAUCUUUUGAUGAUAAUUUACCACCUGUAACUGUGCCGGAAGAUUCACCUAGCACUGAAAAAGAUGAUAAUUUAAUUGAUAUGGACAGUUUCCAUAUCACUUUUAAAUCAUCUUAUGUAAUUGUGAUGUUAGGAAGCAUUAGUGAUCUACAUGUGAACUAUUAUUGGCGCCAUUUGUGGUUUUAUUUUAUUAAAAUAUGGAUGACUUCCCGUUACUAUUUCGUUGUAGACAAUCUUAUCAAUUAACAUAUAGUUUAAAAUCAUUAUGAUCUAUUAAUUUUCAUGAUAUUUAACUGAGUUAAAACUAAGUGCAUUCAAUAAAUCUUUCUUCCUUUAAAAAACUGUUGCGCUUUAAUUUUAGUGCUUAAUAUUUACAGAACUCUGGUACAGGGAAUUCGAAAUCAAACUAGUAACUACAGAUUAUCUAAUUGCAAGUUUUUGUCCAUAGUUGCAGAUUUGUAGUGAUUAUCUAAUUGACUGAGGUGACAACAAUUUUUUUUUUAAUUUUCAAUAGCAUAAUGUGGAAUUCAAUAAUUAAAUUCUCCUUUUUAAUUUGUUUCCAGUUAAAUUAUUAAUUACUUAAACUUUGUUUUAAGUCUUUAAUUUUAUGUCUUGGCCUAUAUGCAGGGUUGGAUUCUUGAGCGUGUUGGACACGACCAACAAUGAAAUUGACAGUAAACAAACAUUACAACACGUUGAGUGUCGACUCCAGUAGCUGCCCUACAAGUCUACAACUUUACAAACAAUAAUUGAGUACACACAUUUGAUUCUCGGGACCCUCCAAUGAAUUUCUAGCCCCGUUGACUCCGCCGACAAAAGUUUUGGAAAAUAAAAAAAAUUCAUAGAAUUCCACCAAAUACAAAACGCGUGGAAUUUAAUUUUCGGCCAUGUGGACCAAAACACAAUUUAAUGAAAAAAAAGAUAAGAUUUCUAAAAUGUGUAGAAAGUGAUCCAUAUUUUACUGAAACAACUUGUUAAAUUUUUCAAGGAUUUAGAAUAUUUGAUCAUAAAUUACGCCCAUGUUAAUUUUUCCGCUAUUGACUAUCAUUUUCUAGACUCACUGUCACCUUUCUUGAUGAACGGUACUUAGUCUCUCUUCUCCUCUUAUAAAAAUUAUAUUAAUUGAUUUCUUAUUAUAAUAAAUAGUCUUUAAGAACGUAUAGAUUUAUUGUUUUCGUGACCAAAUUAUGCCUGCUUAAGGUUGAGACUAUUAAUAAAAUUAAUAUUUAAUGUUUAUGUUAAAAGAUAUAAGAUUUUAUGCAUUCAUUAAUUGUUAUUAGCUAAAGGAUUAAUUAUUUUUUCAACCCAAUCAGUUGAUGCAUCUGCAAGAGUUUUUUCUUUUAUUUACCAUAAUUAUAUUCCGGGUACAAUAAAUUAUCUUUGGUGCUUGGAAAAUAUGACUUCUUACUUCAAGUUUGAUGUGUCUCUCUCCGUAAGCUUACUGGAAAUAUAUCCUCAUUUACUGUCAUUUAUCUAAUAUCAAAUGAAAGAUCUCACUUUUUCAAACUAUCACUUCCAAGUCUCAUUGUCACUUAGCCAUUCUUGGACCAUUCAAAACCAAUCUGUUGAAAUAAUCAAAUAUAUGCAAAAUUAGAGUCACGAUUGUUGGUCCCCCAAAUUCUAAUUAUAUAACUUCUAUAUAUCUCAUUGUCAGGUCACGAACUUGUUGGCACAUUUCCAAAUUCCUCUUCCAUCAGCUCUCACACGUUAAUUUUUAGGUUAUCUAAAUUUCAAGGAUUUAAAAUCUUUGAUCAUGGAUUACAUGUUUAAUUUUUCUGCCAUUGACUGUCAUAUUCUAGAUUUAAUGGUACCUUUCUUGAUCAAGCGUAAUUACUCUCUCGUCUCCUCUUAUAAAUUCCUCUUCCAUUAGCUGUUAGCCUAUAUGGCUAUAGAUAUUGAUUUUGAUGAUAACAAACCACAUGUGUUGAUUAAACAAAGAUUUAUGAAUUGUGCAUUUAUAAUAAGAAAAUGAUGUUAUGGAAUUAAAGUGUUUUUGGACUAAAGUGAAAGUAUUUUAAAACCUUUGAUAUUAUUUUAAAAUUUCAGAUUUGGACCUAUUUGAAAAUAUUUAAAUAUUUUGGGUCAUUCUAUAUUUUUACAUGGUUUGGGUGAAAUCAUAAUUUCAAUUUGAGUGUGUGAGACACUUGAGUGAAGAGGUUGGGAGAUAAUCUCUUUGUUGUAAGGGUUCAUUGACACAUUGAAGUCAAUUGUAAACGUUUGAAGCCUUAAAAAAACUUGGAUAGUGAAAUCCUCAAGUUUGAAUCGCUUGGAGGCGUGGACGUAAGCGGGGAUUGCCGAACUACGUAAAAAUUCGUGUGUUUGUUUCUCUUCUCUCUUGCUCAAUUGUUAUUGUGCUUUUAUUGAACUUAUUACUUUUGAAUUUAUUAAUGCAUUAAAUUGGAUUGUUAUGUGGCUUUGUUAGGAUAUUUUUUAAAAUACCAAUUCACCCCCCUCUUAGGUUGCACACUUGUAUUUCAUUAGCAUUACUAGGAAUUUGUUGAUCUCUAAGAUGCUAACUUGAGUGAAGAGUUUCCAAAUUGAUUGUUACAAAACAACAAAAAAACUAGACACACUUGAUCUGUCUAAUAAUUCUCUUUCGGUAAAAUUAAUUAAUUUUAGGGGAAUUUUCGGCCAACCUCUGUAAUUUCAAAGUGAUCAUUAAUUAAUUAAACGAUACAAAUAUCUAAAGUGAUUAGAUGUUUGCUGACAAUACAAGUUCAUGGCUUGAAAUUUGAUCUCUAUCGAUUGGUUUACAAAUGGACGCACUUGUGCCUUUGUGGCGAUAAUUAAACAGAGAUGUGAAGUUGUAAAGAUUUGACAAGUUCCCAUGAUUAGUAUUUUUUUUCAAAAACUUUUUUACAACAAAUUCAUCUCGCCCAAAAAUUAUAUUUUGCUAUCUAACAAUAAUUGAGCACUUGGCCGCAUUGACUCCACGUCUCCACCUACUUUCUAAGUAAAAACAUGGAAAUGUAAUCUCCACAAAAUGUCAAACGUGUGGAAUUUAAUUUUUGGCCUUGUGAACCAAAAUGCAAAUGAAAGAAAAAGAGAGAAAAAAACAAGGCCCAAAGACUACGAAAAGAUAUAAAAGUCUUUGGGCCUUUUUAUAACGGUGGAUUUUUUAAAAGGAAAAAAUAACAACACUUCUAUGGUUUGUUUUGAUAAUCACAUUUACAUAUACUCUCUAAUUUUUAAAAUGGACACAUAAAUCUUUUUUUUUUUUUUCUACAAACGUAUAUUAUUCGUAUUUUUUAUUAUUUUUAAUAUCAUAUUGUUAUUUUUUUUAGAAGAUAUUGUUAUUUAUUAUAAAUGUUUAAAGUAAAUUUUUAGGUUGAAAUAUAAUAAAAAGGUAUAAUCGUUCUCUUAUUAAACACCCAUACUUUUAAUUUCUAUCCAUUUGUCAUCUCAAUCUCUCUCAAUUAUUCUUUAUUGCUAGCUCAAAACGCGUUGCUGUUGCAAAUUAUAGCAAAAAGACAAAUAUGGAAAAGAAAAAAGGGAAGAAAAUUAAUGCAUGAAAGAUUUGGAGAAAACAACGAAGUAAGUCAACUAUAAUCUAGUUGGGUGUGUAAAUUGUUUGAUGCUUUAUAAGCAAAUAACAUAUAGAGACAGACAAUGUGUGUUCGUUUUUUCAUAGUUAAAGAUAUAGUUAGAAUGGGUGGUUCAAAAUCAAAAAUGGUGAUAAUGUUUGUUAUGUUAUUAAUAAUAUUUAAAAGUGGGUGGAGUGAGGGAUGUUUGGAUCACGAGAGAUUUGCUCUUUUGCGACUUAAACAUUUCUUCGAUGAUACUAGUAGUUAUCUUUACGAUUGGGGAGAUGGUGAGGGAGCUACUGAUUGUUGUCAGUGGAAAAGGGUUGAGUGCAGCAACACCACAGGUCGAGUGAUAGUGCUAGACCUUUCUAGCAUGUAUUGGGGAGAGUACAGCUGGUAUCUGAAUGCUUCUUUGUUUACUCCCUUCCAACAACUUGAGUCACUUGAUUUAACUGACAACAAAAUAGCCGGUUGUGUUGAGAAUGAAGGUGCUUCGUUUAAUUUAAUUAAUUUACUUUCUCCACCCUAAUUUAAGUUGAAUAUCAAGACCGAGCAAUUAUACACAUAUUCAUUUAGUCGACAAUUUUGACUUUUUUUUAAAUGAUUAAUUUUGAAAUUACACCAAUAUCUAUGAUCCUUUUUUUUUAUUUUACUUGCAGGUAUAGAGAGGCUAUCAAGAUUGAACAACUUGAAGAUGCUUAAUUUAAGUGAUAACUCGUUCAACAAUAGCAUUUUAUCAUCUCUAACUCAUCUUUCAUCAUUAAGAUCAUUAAAUUUAUUUUGGAAUAGAUUGGAAGGAAGUAUUGACGUUAAAGGUACAUAAUUAAAACUUCAUCCCUUCUCCAAGCUCUUUCAUUAACUUGCUAAAAUAAGAUUCAAGGCUUUGAAUUCAAAUUUUUUUAUGAUUAGUAUUAAAAAAAAACAGUUUUAAGCAAUUUAUAAAUACAAGUUUUAAUGUUUCUCAUAAUUUCAUCUUGUACUUUCAUAUGUCUUGAAUUUAAGAUUAAAAAAAAAAAACUCUAAUAGCGAACCAAACACCUCCACAACUAAUUAUUAUUAUUAUUAUCAUUUUUUUUUUAUUUGUGGUGAGGUUUGAAACAUUCAACUCAAUUUGUACUUAUUACAGAAUUUGAUUCUUUGAGAGAUUUAGAGGAGCUAGACAUUGGCGAGAACAAGAUUGACAAAUUUGUGGUCUCAAAAGGUACUAGAACGACUGCAAAAAAUGUAAACUUCUACAAAUUAGCUAGAUUCUUUGCCAUUUGGUUUAUUAUUUUGCAGGUUUGAGGAAGUUGAGGUAUCUCAGUUUAAGUGGUAUCAAACUCAAUCAUAGCAUAUUAUCUUCUCUGACUGUCUUUUCUUCGUUAAGAGAAUUAUAUCUAGAUGAUACGGGAUUCAAAGGAACAUUAGAUAUUCGAGGUAAGUCUAAGCCCUGCUUUCUCAUUUUAUAUAUGCCAGCUAGACUUGUGUAUCAUCGACAUAAUUUAAUAUUUAAUUUGAUUAGUCUGAAGGAAUUACAUGCUAAUUUAAACAUACUUUUAUUUACUCUGUCAAUCAAUUAAUUAAUUAAUUACUAUUUGGCUUGGUUUGGAUGAAUUCUCAUGAUGUUUUAAUUUCUUUAAAUUAAUUAAUUAAUUAACUCUGUUUUUAAGUCUUAAGUCUGGGCAUGUUUGCAGAAUUUGAUUCCUUCAACAACUUAGAAGUGUUGGACAUGAGUUACAACAAAAUCGACAAUCUUGUGGUUCCUCAAGGUAAACAAUUAAAAUAUUAUUCAAUUACAUUAAUAUAAUUCAUUUGGUUAGGGAAGGCCCAAAAGGUACAAAAAAAAUUAAAUAAAGAAACAGAGAAUUUGUAUUAUUUAAAAAACAGAAUGUAAUAAAGAUUUGAUUCUAGUUCUUUAAUCUUUAAAGCGAUUGAAAAAUAAUGUUGCUCUUUUCCCAAAGCAUAAAAUACGAAUUGAAUGCCAAUUAACUUAAUCAUUCAUUUCGUUUAGCUCUAAAUUUAGACAAUGAAUUUUUAUAUUAUUUCAAAAACAGGACGUAAUAGAAUUUAAAAAAAAAACAGAUUGUAAUAAAGAUUUGAUUCUAAUUUUUUAAUCUUUACUGCGAUUGAAAAAUGAUACAGCUCUUUUCCCAAAGCAUAAAAUACGAAUUGACUCCCAAUUAAAUUAAUCAUUUAUUCCAUUCAUCUCUUAAUUUAAAUAAUGAAUUUUGUUUUCUUAAAUCGUAUUCUAAUUACUAUUAAAAAACAGGUUACAGAGGUUUGAGGAAGUUGAAAAGCCUUUAUCUAUUGAGAGUUAGAAUUAGAGAUGGAAGCAAGUUGUUACAGUCAAUUGGAUCAUUCCCAUCCCUCAACACUCUUUACCUUUCGUCUAAUAAUUUGACGGAAACAGUGACAACUACUACUCAAGGUAAUUAAAAGGUACAAAUGUCGCCAAAUUUAUAAAUAAAUUGUUAAUUAAUUAAUUUUUCCGUAUUAUUAAUAAAGCUAAAUUCGUUGCUCCUUCCUUCUAAAUCUAAACAGAGUUGCACAAUUUCACCAACUUGGAAUAUUUGACAUUGGACGAUUCCUCUCUCCAUAUAAGCCUUCUGCAAAGCAUUGCAUCAAUAUUCCCUUCGUUAAAAAAUUUGUCGAUGAUUGGUUGUGAAGUCAAUGGCGUCCUACGUGGUCAAGGUAAAAGAAAAGUGUUAAUUGUGAACUCGCACAAUGGUGUCCUACGUGUUCAACAUUUUUAUUUAUUUAUUUUAUUGUUUAAUGUUUCUGCUAGGUUUUCCUCAUUUCAAGAGUUUGGAAUAUUUGAAUAUGGAUUUCACGCGCAUUGCACUCAACACCAACUUUCUUCAAAUCAUCAGUGAAUCGAUGCCUUCUCUUAAGUACUUAUCACUGUCAGAUUCUACUCUUGGCACUAACAGCAGCAGGAUUCUUGAUCGAGGUUAAUCAGAUGCUCCCACCCUCCCUUCUUAAUCUAUAAUAUUAAUUUUCAAUUCAAUAUUUAAUUACACAAACGAAUCACUUAUUAUAAAAGAAUAAUACGCAUUCAUUAAUUUUUAUGCUGUAUUAAUUGAUGAAUUUAAUAAAUUUUCAGGCCUCUGUUCGUUGGUGCAUCUGCAAGAGUUGCGCAUGGCUGAUAAUGAUUUAAGAGGUAGCUUGCCUUGGUGCUUGGCAAAUAUGACAUCCCUCCGAAUAUUAGAUGUUUCUUUCAAUCAACUUACUGGAAGCAUCUCCUCAUCUCCCCUCGUUCAUUUGACAUCCAUUGAAGAGCUGAGGCUUUCAGACAAUCAUUUUCGGAUCCCAAUUUCACUUGAACCACUUUUCAAUCACUCAAGACUCAAGAUUUUCCAUGCUAAAAAUAACCAAAUGAAUGCAGAAAUAACUGAGUCACAUUCUUUGACCGCCCCAAACUUCCAAUUACAAUCUCUCUCAUUGUCUUCCAGUUAUGGAGAUGGUGUCACAUUCCCCAAAUUCCUUUACCAUCAACAUGACCUGGAGUAUGUUCGUCUCUCACAUAUAAAGAUGAAUGGAGAAUUUCCAAAUUGGUUGUUGGAAAACAACACAAAAUUAGCAACUCUUUUUUUGGUUAAUGAUUCUCUUGCAGGACCUUUUUGGUUGCCAAUUCAUUCACACAAGCGGUUAGGAAUAUUGGAUAUAUCCAACAACAACAUCCGAGGCCACAUUCCAGUAGAAAUUGGAGAUGUUUUACCAAGUUUAUACGUUUUCAACAUUUCCAUGAAUGCUUUAGAUGGUAGCAUUCCCUCUUCAUUUGGUAAUAUGAAAUUCCUCCAAUUGCUGGACUUAUCCAACAAUCAAUUGACUGGUGAAAUCCCCGAGCACUUGGCCGUCGGUUGCGUCAACUUGCAGUUUCUCAUGUUAUCAAACAACAGCCUAAAAGGUCACAUGUUCUCUUGAAAUUUUAACCUGGCCAAUUUGAUGUGGUUACAAUUGGAGGGCAAUCACUUCGUAGGAGAGAUCCCACAAAGUUUGUCUAAAUGCUCCUCCUUAGAAGGAUUGUAUCUUACCAAUAAUAGUCUCUCGGGUAACAUUCCAGGAUGGUUGGGUAAUCUCACAUGGUUAAUACAUAUUAUAAUGCCCGAGAAUCAUCUUGAAGGUCCUAUUCCAGUGGAGUUUUGUCAACUUUAUUCGCUUCAGAUUUUGGACAUUUCAGACAACAACAUAUCUGGAAGUUUGCCAUCCUGUUUCCAUCCUCUCUCUAUCGAACAAGUUCAUCUUUCAAAAAAUAUGUUACAUAGACAGCUAAAAAGAGGUACAUUCUUUAAUUGCUCUUCCCUUGUGACAUUAGAUCUUAGUUAUAACCUCUUGAAUGGCAGCAUUCCGGAUUGGAUUGGUGAGCUUUCUCAGUUAAGCCACCUUAUCUUAGGUCACAAUAAUCUUGAAGGUGAAGUGCCAGUUCAAUUGUGCGAAUUGAACCAACUACAAUUGUUAGAUCUUUCUAAUAAUAGUCUUCACGGUUCUAUUCCUCCAUGCUUUGAUAACACAACACUUUAUGAAAGUUACAACAACAGUUCUAGUCUUGAUGAGAAAUUUGAAAUAUCUUUUUUCAUCGAAGGCCCUCAGGGAGAUGUAGAAAAGUGAAUCCGUGAAAAAUUUGAGUUCACAACAAAGAAUAUUGCGUACAUUUACCAAGGAAAAGUGCUUAGCCUCCUAUCAGGACUUUAUCUUUCUUGCAAUAAGCUAAUCGGUCAUAUUCCUCCUCAAAUUGGAAAUUUGACAAGGAUUCAAACAUUGAAUCUAUCAUAUAACAACUUGACAGGAUUGAUCCCAUCAACAUUUUCAAACUUGAAGCAUAUCGAAAGUUUGGAUCUUUCCUACAAUAAAUUAAAUGGGAAAAUCCCUCAUCAACUUGUGGAGUUAAAGACAUUGGAGGUUUUUAGUGUGGCAUACAAUAACUUAUCGGGCGAAAUUCUAGAAUGGACUGCACAAUUUGCAACAUUUAACAAGAGUAGCUAUGAGGGAAAUACUUUUCUUUGUGGAUUGCCAUUGCCCAUUUGCAGAUCACCAGCAACUAUGUCGGAGGCUUCAAUUGGCAAUGAACGAGAUGAUAAUUUAAUUGACAUGGAUAGUUUCUUUAUCACAUUUACAACAUCGUACGUAAUUGUGAUAUUCGCAAUUGUUAUUAUUUUAUAUGUAAAUUCUUAUUGGCGACGUAGAUGGUUUUACUUUGUUGAAAUGUGGAUAACUACAUGUUACUAUUUUGUUGUAGACAAUCUUAUUCCAACAAGAUUUUGUCAUUGAAAUUAUUUAGUAGUUUAAUUACGAUUCUUUAAGUACUAAUCAAGUUUGUAUAGGAAAUAAUUUUUUAUUAAAAUUGUAGUAGUAUUUAGCAUUAUAUAGCUUCCAACUUCCAAGCACUUCACAUUUGUCUCUACACUUACAAAACUGAGUGAUCAUGUUUUGCAGAUCUGGAUUUGGAGCAGGAUGGAUCCAAACCCAUAUCUGUCCACCAUAACUUAUAGCUUCCCUAUACUGUGCAGCAUACUUAAAUAAGAGAACCAUCUCCAAUGUUAAAAGCAUUCACUCUAUAACAUUCAUUUAGAAACUAUAUUCAGAAUAAUUUUAUAAUUAAACACAAGAAAUGAAACACCUAGAUACACUUGAUCGCCUAUUUUACUCUAAAAAAUAACGAUUAUGGUGCUAUCAUCAUCUUCUUCACUAGCAACAUUAACACCAAAUCGAUGGACCCAUACAUUUCAUCAAGAAAGGUAUAUAUCCAAUAAAGUUGAAGCCUAACAAAAAAAUCAGGAAGAUUAAUGCCUCACCACAACAAGGGGCAUAACAACAUCAAAGUAGAGAUUAAACAGUAUUCUCAAAGCUAAAACUCUCAAAUCCACCCACCAGAAUUUCAUAUCUCCUCAACAAUUUUAAGAACUAAAGAUAAUUAGGAUUUAACAUUAGUUUUUUAUAUAUUAGUUUCAUAAUUUACAAAUCAAUGAAGAUGAAGAUUAUGCGAAUAAAUUCAAAUUAUACCAUACAUUCUCUAGAUGUUACCAAAAAUUUCUAAGUCAAUCCCACAUAUUUCAUAAUUUUAAGACUAGAAAAUUCACUAGUUAGAAGUUUCAUUACCUUCAAGUGGAAGAUGAAGAACAUUAUGCAAGUGAUUCAGAUUAUAUCAUACAUACUCCAAAUGCAACUAGAAAUUAACAAGUUCAUGUGCACAUAUUUCAUAACAUUAUGAUUGAAAAGUUUCACAAAGAGAAAUUCUAAAUUCAAUCUCUUGCAUGAAGGCAGUUUGAUUGAUUUGAGUUACUUUAUGAUCAAGCUACUAAUAUAACAUUCAAGUCAGGGAGAAAGUAAAUUAAAAAUGGGAAGAAAUAACAGUAAAAAUUUGUUGCUAAACAUGAUGUGUAUUUUUUUCAAGGCAAUUUGGAAACACAAUUGUUACUACAGAUAUUCUCCUCAACUUAGAGAUAAAUACAAAUAUUAAAAUGCACAUGAUCGCACAUAUUACUUGGAGCUUAGUAAGAUUUCAUUAAAAGAAGCAAUCAAACCACUUAUCAAUUGUCGCAGUCAUUCUAUAAACUAAAAUAGCAAAUAUAAUAUAAGAAAAAGAACAUAUAGAUACUUGGCAAGAGUUCAUUAAGAAGUCACAUCACAUUCGGGUGAGGAGUUUGCUUCUGAUAUCUUGCUAGCUGGGGCUUUUUCUCGUCUUUCUAUGUAUGCCGAGGGAAACCAACCAGCUUGGCCCUUGCAUUCACCUUCCAACCAUCCAGUACGAGCCACCUUGAGAAGUUAUAACUAAAACGGUGAAUUAAACAAAAGUUGACCGUUCAAAGACCUAAGGGGAAAACUAAUUCUUUUAUGUAGAAUGAGUGAACUAGUUGUGAUCACUGGAAUAACAACAUAACUAUGGAAGCAUAACAAGAUAUAAAUUCACAUGUCUAUAAGGGUAAACUGGGUGGUUUAGAACUGAGCUAGCAACCCUACUAGAUUAUGAUUUGCAUUUCAAUGUAAAAGGGAAUAUAUGGUAGGAAGAAAGAAAACCAACCAUCAUUUGUUAACUCAUUGCUUUUCAAUCAAAAUUUUAAGAACAAAAUGCCAUGUGCUUUGAAUAUCAAAUAAGUAUAAGCAUUAUUUCUAAAUUCCACAUAUCAUAAGUUGUUAGAAGGAUAAGUUAAUAGCAUAGUAGAAAAAUCUAUGUGUCAGUAUUUAGAGGGGAAAGUACCUGGCGAACCACAACAUAAUCAUCAAUUAAAAGACUUAGCUCUCCAUUUGCUUGAGCAUCAAAUGGAUGUAUAACCUGCAAGAUAAUGGGAUAAAUAGAACUUAAAAAAAGCAUAACAAAAGCAGCAACAGUAGCAGCAGCGUUCAUUGUAACCACUAUGAUCAUGGCCAACAAAGAUAUAUUAGAAACAAAAUUCCAUUUUUACUACGACAUUAAUAUGUACUAUACGAUAUCAUGACGAUUGGGUUACUAAGAGCUAUCAAAGUCUAAUAAGUUAUGUAUAACUUUUGUAGUUAUUUAAAUUAUGGAUCAGAUUUUAAAUUUGAAAUUUUGACUGCUCUCCACAAAACAUGGCCUGUGCACAAAAAAGUCAUAGAUAAUGAGGAUUACAAGUGUCCGACAUCUUUUGAGUGAUGGAUUUAACAUGAGAGCUUAUGGUCAGUCAAUUUCCUCUGCCUAGCAAUAUAAGCUUUCUCGGCCAGAUUUAUCAUCAAAUACAUAGAUUGCCCCCAAGUCACAUCCAUAUAAACAUAAUUUUUCUAGGUAAACCAAGUAAGGAGAAUCAUAAUUCGGACAUAAUCAUAAAAAGGCCCAUCUAACUUAAGAGAAAAUCUUAAAAAGAGGGAUGCUGAGCUAUCAGUCUUGUAUCUAUAAGCAAUAUCAAGACUUUACAUCACCUGCUACAUCGUGAGUGGUUACACAACUUUUAGUGGUUUGUCUUUCUUUGGCAUGCCUAACUCAGCUUUGAUGUUGCUGAGAUAUUGAUAGUAGAGAGCAGAAGCCUUACUUUCGCUAUAAAUUAGACGUCAUUCUGAUUAAUAUGCGUUUGCAAAUCAGCUCUGUUUGAAUCAGUAUUCUGAUAGACACAUGAGGCAUUUACAUCCAUUUCCAAAGUCACAUGUUGCGGGGAGGACUCAUUUGAUUGCUCCUAUACGAUCAUCUAAUUCAAGUAGCAAGGGUUGGAAGAGAAUAAAAAGUCACAAUUAUUCUUUUGCAUAAGUGAGACGAAAAUGGUAAAUGCAAUAUUAUUAGCAGUAAAUAAGAAGAGAACGCUCCAAGGAAUAGAUAGAUGCAGACAAGCAAGUUAAAAUGCAUAGUCCCAAACCUCCGCAUACAACUUCUCUAAAAUAGCAAUAACGUGUUGAUGAUAUAUUUUCUCAGCAUCUACCUGCAAAGGCCCGAGACCGGGAAAACAACAAUAAAACCACUAGCUGAAGGAGAAAGCAAAGAAAAAAAUACACUUGACAUAAAUCUUGACAAGAAGCACAAUUUAAGACAUAACAAACCCCAAUCAUAUUAUUUUUGCUAGUCACACGCUAGUCUGUGCUAGUGAUGUAAGAAGUCACAAGGUCUCUUCAACAUUUGAACCAAUAAAAUUAUUAAGUCAUGGAUGUCACUAGCAAUGAUUUUAAUAUAAAACAUUAAAUAUUUCAGAGUUGUAACUUUAAAAUGGAUUCUUUUAUUCAAUACCAUAGAACUAAGUUUCCUUAUGAGAAGAUAGUAGUUUCGAUAAUAUUUUACAUAUAAUUUUUGCGAUACCUUCGUCUCGCACUACCAGUGAUACCCUCACUCUUNNNNNNNNNNNNNNNNNNNNNNNNNNNNNNNNNNNNNNNNNNNNNNNNNNNNNNNNNNNNNNNNNNNNNNNNNNNNNNNNNNNNNNNNNNNNNNNNNNNNUGUUGAAAUUUAUCUAAGUUCAAAAGUAAUGCAGAGUGGGUUUCUAAACUCCAUUCCACUAGCUACUUCCUUUAAGAAAAAUUCCACAUCAUUGGUUUGAAUUUUAACUGGUGGCAUAGGAUCAUAUGUCUUAAGCUUGAACUUCAUUGUGAUUUCGAAUUCCGAAGUAUUUAUAUCAAUAACUUGAGCUAUCUUCUCCACCAAUUCGGCAUAUGUUGUCGAUCGUGGUAUCAUUAUCCCUUUAGCCUUGGAACCUUUGAAUUUAUACUCGUCAUUUUGCUCAAUCCAUUCACCAUUGAAGAGAAUAAGCACACGUACCAAAACCAUAUAUGAUGAUACAAUAAAAACAAUAAUAUCAAAUUUCAUAUACAAGUAACUACACGACCUACACAACUACAUUACUUACAUGACCUACAUGACCUACAUGACUAUAUUACUUACAUGACCUACACGAAUUAUACGACUUACACGACUAUAUUACUUACACGACUUACAUGACUAACUAUAUGACAUACACAGUAUCAAAAGGAAUGCACGACGCGAAACAUUUUCGCCAUAAAUAAGUUAUAAACAACCUAUAUUGCAUAUAUUUCUAUAUAUAAGAAAAAAUGGUGAAAAUAAAACAUUAUAAUGUGAAGAAAAUUUCUAAAUUUUCCUAAAAAUAAAAAAACUUAAAACCCAACAACAUUAACAUACCUUAUUGGGUUGUUUAAUAAGUAAUGCACAUUAUUUCAGUUAAAAAAAAGUGGGUGUUAAAGAAAUGAAUACAUAAUCAUAUUUGUGUAAGAAGUUAUGAGAGAUUUUGAGAGAUUCUAGGAGAUUUUGAGAGAAUUUCGGCAGCAAGAAGAGAUUUGGGUGUUAAAGAAAUAUGAAGACAAGGAAGUUGAGUGAAUUUGAUUCAUUCAUUAAGGGCAUUUUAGACUUUACUCACAUUUGUUAGGGUAUCCAUGAAAACAAAAAAGGAAAGGGGUAUUUAAAUAAUUUUAAAACUAUUAAAGGGUAUUUAAUUAAAAACCCUAGGAGAAGAUGAUAGUGGAAGUAUGCAGUGUGGCUGCCAGGUACUUGGAUUGUAUUAUCGGGUAAGGUAAUAGUAGAGAAUUAUAAGUUUGAACAGAGCAUGUUGGACUUUUGUUGACCAAAUUCAAAAGCCCAAUGGCACGACCCAGAAGCUUUUGAAUAGAAAAACUUGCUAGAAAGCAUCAGUUUAAAUCACUACUUAAACGCUGCACCGCUUUGUACUGUUUUAGGUAUGUAGCGGUUGUGCAGUUGUAAUUCACGGCUGACGCUACGUGUUUGUUUGUACUGUUCUAUUCAGUGAUAGAGUAUUAUUAGUUAGGCCAAAACUAUGUUGCAACAGUGGUACAGUACCACUGUUGCUUUCAUAGCUGGACCCUAUUAGUUAUUUCAAAGGGAUAAAUAAGAUUGGUUACAACAAAUCUACUAUUUUUAUAAAAUUCAAGUAAUAUAGAAUAAAAUAAAAAAAUAAAUACAAAAUUGACUUUUAUUUUUUAUGGUUGACUAUAUUUUGUGUUCUCUUCGGGCACUGCUACAAUUGUUCCCCAUAUAUCAAUUACACCACAUACUAUCGACACAAGAAAUGAAAUCUAAUAUCACCUGUUUAGUUAAAAAAUCACUCAUGAAAAAAGUUUACCAUUUUGAUUUGAGGAUCCAUAUUUUGAACUGCAAGCUAAUGUUCAUCAAGAAUCACUGAUGGCCGUUGAGUAGAAAAAUUAUUUUUGGACAAAUUAUUUUUGUUGAUAGAAGAAUUUCUUUAGGGACUACUAAAUUAUUAAUAAAAAUGUCGAACACACCCACAUAUCAUCGACACAAUUGAUUUUGAGGAUCCAUGCUUUGAAUUGCCGCCUAAUGUUCAUCAAGAAUAGAGUAUGGCUUGUGAGUAGAAAAUUUUCUUAUUUUGGCCCAAAAUAAAAAGAAAUUAAAUUGGAUGAGAAUCUGCCACUUUCUCAUGAAGAAAGGCAUACGAAGCAUACCAUGAUACCAUACAAUAUAAGGAGCCGCCGUUCUUUGGUUUUUCAAACUUUGAAGGGGCCAAUAUUGCCAAAUUCCCCCUUGAAAAUUCUGACUACGACAUUAUUCAUCGCUUGAUGCAAUCAAAGUAGUGACAAAGUUAGGAAAAAUAUGAGCCCUAAGUAAUUGCUAGGCAGGGUUCCUGAGAGCAAAAUUGUCCUAAGCAUUAUAUGCAUACAUGGUGCGGUACAUAGAGCACGUUGAAUUCCCCACUAUAACACAAAUCCAGAAAGAGAAGUAAUAACUCAACUGAUAUAAAGACAAAAAGAAGAUAAAAUGAUAUAGAAAAAAGAAUUUCAAAGAGACAGCAACAUACGAUAGGCUGAAGCCACUUGAUCUACUCAUUGAUUGCAGCCUUAAACUUGCAAAUAGUUACUGUAUGCUAGUGCUCUAAGAAGUGAAAAUGAUGCAAGCCCUGAUUCCCUUUUGACUUCCAUUUACUGUCAAACAUUCUAGUAAUACAAAAAAUUGUUUAGAUAUCUUGCUAUAAAUAUAGUUGUUUGACUGUCAUAAUAAAGUCACAAAUAACCAUUCAUAUUGAUCUACUGUCACACAGCAUGCUUUAUGCAUACAACAGCUGUAUGUAUACCAACUCCUAACCUUAUCAAUGCAUUUGGCAAAAACUUAAGAAGAAAACUAUUUCUCCAUCUCUUUUUUGAAAUUUCACAAUAACCAGCACAAUGUGAAAGCUAUGUUCUAACCUUAUGAUAAAUGCUCCAGACUCCAAAAGGAUUUUAUAUAUGAGUUUUUGUUGCAGCAGAUAUAUUGACUUAUCAAGUAUGAAUCAUUUUCUGGAUGAACUAUCUUUAGAUAAAAGAAUAUUAGAACCACUGUAGAAUAUCUUUACGCUGCUGGUUCUAACAAGAAUCUGCUUGUGGCAACAAUUGCUAGAUCCACAAUUCCCCAACUUGAAAUACAUAGUUGCACACCAUGAGAUAGUGCUACGAUCUACUGAGAUCUAACUUAUAUGGUACUUUAAGCUACUAAUGUUUGCAUAUUUCUACAUGUUAAAUUAACACUAUCAUCUAUAAUCACUCCAAAACAACAAAUGAUAAGCAGCUUUUGGCCACUUAUUACUAGCAUCCACAAUUAUAAUAAGAGAUCAUGGGUUUACUUGUUGCACCUACUUAAUUAUCUGCAGUUGACAUCCUGACGCAAGGUUUAAAUAGUGACUGCUUAGAACCCUUGUAGUUGGAUCUUGACCUCUCCCAUUGUAGCCAAGAUUGGUUACUCUGGUAAUGAAUCAACACUCUCCUGCUCAGGGCCAUGAAGAUCUGAAAGCUCAGCACUAGUGGAGAACUUCAUCAAUCUCUUCUUCUCAGCAUACUUGAGACAAGGCUGCAUUACGAGACCAAUCACCACAGCACCAACGCUUAAAGCUACAACUUUUAAAGAAGAAAGAGCCAACACAACACAACACAAAUCAAUAUGGUUGGAGGAAUACACAUGAUAAUGGCUCUAACAGUGCCAGUGGGUAUCUUGUAGGGACGAGAUGCAGCAGGAUAUUGUAUCCUUAACCAUACAAAUGCUAUGAACUCCAUAAUCAUUCCAAAACAGUACAGGAAGUUCUCUGCAGCUACAAUAUCUCGAAAGCUCAGCCAUGAUAGCAAAACCACACCAGAUGCUGAGAAUAUGAUUCCAAUCAAAGGAGUCCCAUAACAAGACCUCUUAGCAAAAAACUCAGGUAGCAUUCCACGCUCAGCCAUCCCCAAAAGUUGGAAAGAGUCGCUGCUCAUCUCAGCCACAAACAUGCCCAUAUUGGACAUUGCUGCAACCCCCUGGAUGCACCAACUCAACCAAACUCCUCCAAGCACUUUAGCGAUACCUGAAAAGUAACCAUCGGUCCACAAGUCGCGAUCUAAUGGAAUAGCUCCAGUUCCAACUAGAAAGGGAAAGAAAUAUCCAAAAACGACCAAGAUCAAAGCAUAAAACAAAGCCUUUGGAAGAGUCUUCUUUGGGUUAUCCACCUCUCCAGCUAGUGUACUUAUUGAGUCCCAGUAGUUGAGAUUCCAAAACAGGGUGUUCAAAUACAAAUUCCAAUCCACUUCACCUAAAUUUAAUACAAGCCAUCUUGAAGGCUCUAACUUGGGAAGGGACACAAGUCCCAUAACCACAAAAGGAAGGAGUGAGAAAAUCCCUAAAAGAACAGCAGCCCAUCCCACAAUGGUUAGACCCCUAUAGUUCAUGAAAGUGAGAACAAAAGUCAAAGCUAACGCCGCAAAGGCUCUAGGUAACCCAUCGCCCAAAGCAGGGAUACCAGACUUCAAGUAAUCAAGAAACAGAACUGGGUAUAAAGCAUUAUCAGUAACCCCACUUAGCCAUUUCAUCCAAACUUGCUCAAAACCCCAAUAUGGGCCUAAGGCAGAUGAAACCCAAACCACAUAACCACAAUUUUCAGGAAACACGGUACCCAUCUCGGCAGUAAUUAAAGCUUCAGGGACACUCCAUAUAAUCGGAAACACCAAGAAACCAAGAAGUGCUAAAAGAGGACCAGCUGUCUUUACACUAUCCUCAACACCAAACGGCCCCCCAGAAACCUCAUAGAAUAUAAGGAAAAUAAGUGGCAAGAUUGAUACUUUUUUAGUGCCAUGGACUCUAGGAGAAGAUGGUUGGUCAUUGAUAUUAAAAUAUUCAACAGCAUCAGACUGCCCCAUUUCUACUGAAACUUGCCUAUUUACAGUGCUCCUCAAUUUCUGCAUCAAGUUUAAGCAUAACUAUCAAAAGGGUAUCCGCAUCUAAAUUAUGAAACAAAAUGAGCAUUUACUUAUUAAAAAAAAAAUCAAAAAACAGAAAUGGAUUUCACAGAACACAUGAACUUAAGUUCAACAUUAAACAGGCGCUUAAGAAAACAAAAGGGUCUGUUCGUAAAGCCAUCAGAUUGCAAGAUUGAACAACAUUAACGGAAUCAAUAGAAUGGAUGUAAAGAGAACUGAAAAGAAAAUAAAAUAAAAGAUGAAGAGAGAUAAAACGAACCAUCAAAUAAGUGCAUGCAGAGCAGAGAGGCAGAUACUAGUGAAGCUCCGUCAUGUUAGAGAGAGCCUAAAUCAAUCAGAGCUCACUGAGUUUCUUUUAAACCGACCGGCAAAUUUGGAGUAGCACAACAUAAUAUUUUUGCUUUUAUUUUUGGAACACUUUUGAAUGGAAUUUUUUGUUUUAAAAAAUGGCAAAGGAGAUUAGUAUUUCUAUCGUUAAAAUAAUAAUUUUCCUAACAUUAUUUUUUAUAUUUUUUAAUUUAUUUUUAUAAUAAUUUUUUAUUUAAAUAUUAAUAAAAAAUAAUUAAAUUAACAAUUUAAUCCUAAAAUAAAUAAACACGGUUUUGGGUUUUUUCUUUUGUUCGUUUAAUAUCAUCUGGUUCCCUGAUUUGUGACUAAUUAUCAACGGAAUCCCGUUAGUUUCUAAAUUGAAAUAAUAGAAGGUCAUGAGAUUAUUUACUCCAUUUAGCACUGCAGACUUAGAGUAUAUUGAAAAAGCUUUGUCAAAUAGUAGUAAUAGGGGCAUAAGAAAUAAAUUAUAGCUAUCACAAAUUCGUUAGGAGAAUUUCAAAUUUUUCCAUCAAUAAUGGCUAUGAAGCAAAAUUACUUUAGGUUAUAUUGCAACACUAAUACUUCAAAUCCUGACAAUAAAUUUGAAGAACUUGUUAAAAAGAAAAUGGUAAUGUUAUCAUUUUGAAAGACAAAAAAAAAAAGAGUGAAAGUGGCGUUACCUCAUGGUCAUUAGUGACUUGUUGCAAUGAUAGCUCAAAAUUAAAAAUUUGUGAAGAAUUAGUAGACAACGACGAUAUUAUAUUUAUACAGUCACCAACGUAUUGAUUUUUGUUUAAUGUUUGAUUGAUAGAAACUUUUGUCGUCGUCGCCGUUGUUGAAUUCGUGCUUAGAAUACCACAAGAGAAGAAAAAGGGAUGAAAGGGAAGAGAAGAAGAGAGAAGUGGUGGAUAGCAAAUAUGAUAUGCUAGCUACACACAGGCCUUAGAGAGUUUUUUUUUUUAAUAUUUAUUGUAUUUUUGUUUUUGUUAUUGGUUUGUCAUAUGCUUCCAAGGCAACAAUGCAUUACAUCAUAAAUUGCACCUUUUAGGGGAGGUGGUAAAAAACAUGAGAGCAAUGCAUUCUAGCGCAUACAUGCAGAAAGAGUUUCCAAAUUUUCAAAAGUUUCUUUAUUUCUUCCACCUUUUUUUGCUUAAAAUAAAUUUUAAUUGUAUUUUGCAUUAACUUAGAGAAAAAAAAAUCCAAUUCUAUGCAUAAACGCAUACAUUGAUUAGAAAAUGAGUUUUAUGGACACAAAGGGACAAUAUAAGAGAUUCUUUUUGUUUAUUAGAAGUAACAUAACUAGUUAGUGUAACAUGUAAUUAUAAGCUACCAAUAAUUUGCACUGAUGAUAAUUAACGGUACAGAUUUUGAGCUAUGAAUGUCUUGUGGCUAGUUUAAUUGGAUUUUUGAGUUUUCAGCAGAUCUAUUUUAAUGAUUAUUAAAUUAUUUUCACUUCUUAUGCCUUAAUAAAAAAAAUUCAAUAUUUUUUGCUGUAUUCUAUAUUUUAAAACUUAAUUUUUAGUUCUUUAUAUUGCAAACCAAACUGAGUCAAAUAGAGUAUGCUCUUCAAAUAAUUUUUCCAUUGCCUUCAAGAAGAAUUCAUUUUAUUUUUAUAUAUUAAUUCAACACUUGUAAACCGGGCCGUCAGAUUGCACAUAAAGCAAAUGAUCAAACCGUUACAAGACCGGCCCAGGCCCACUGACUCUAUUUUCUUUAAUUUGACCAUUAAAAAGCUUUUGGCCACCCCCACCAAAUAAAUAAGCUCUUGUUCUCUUUUGUAGGGGUGGGCAAAAAAACCGUAGUCUUAAAAAAACCGAACCGAACCGACGGUUUUUUCUAAUUCGGUUUGGUUUUUAUUUUUUUAAAAAACCGAAAUAUACCAUUUGUAAAAAAAAACCGAAAUGUCGGUUUGGUAUUCGGUUCACUUAGCUGAACCGAAAAACUGAACCGAAAAACCGAAUUAUUUUUUGAUUUUAUUCAAAUCAAACAUGUGUUAAUUUUUAACUGAUUGUGCAAGAUAACUAACAUAAACUUGCAUACACACAAUCAUGAGUAUAUAUAUGUAAGUGUUACAAUUUCGUAAAUCUUUAUUUCCCCCAAAAUAAACCCUAAAGCUAAAAUCAAAGAUUCAAAAUCGAAACCAAAUCCAAAUCACCCACCCCAAUCCACUGCAAUCACAGCCGACGCUGCUCACCGGCGAUAGUGUCACCGUGCAACACGCUGCUCACCGCGAAAGCUGCAGCUUCUUUUCACCGUGGGACAGCUUCAACUCACAGGCCUGAGGCCACCACGCGACAGCUUUGCUCUGCUCACCUGAUUGGAGUGGAAAUUCGAUGGUUUUGAAUGGUUUAUAUAUGCAUGUGAGGUGUUCGGCGCAUAUAAUCAACUUAAUUGUGCAAGAUGGGUUGUCACAAGUGAGUCAAUCAAUAGCUAGUAUUCGAAAUGCGGUGAAAUAUGUUAGAUCAUCUCCGGCAAGAUUACAAAAGUUCAAAACAUGUGUUGAUAGGGAGAAAAUCUCACGUGGAGGGCUUAUGGUGUUAGACGUGCCGACUCGGUGGAAUUCAACAUAUUUGAUGUUAGAAAAAGCGGUAGCAUUUGAGAGGCUAAAGGAAGAUGAUGGCCAUUAUACAAACUGGUUUGAUGAGGAUGAGAGUGAAUAAAGGAGGGUGGGGCCACCGAUUGAUAAGGAUUGGGAAAAUGCAAAGAGGUUAGUCAAGUGUCUUUCGAUUUUUUAUCAUGUGACUUUAAAAUUCAGCAGCUCUUUAACAGUCACUUCCAAUAAUUUCUUGAAUGAAAUGUGGAAAGUUUAUAUUCAUUUGAAGUCACUGGUUGAUUUUGUUAACAUAUAUGUUUUCAUAAUGUUAAUUUUGAUGAUAACAAACAAGAUUAAGAAUGAUUAAUCUUUUAAGAUCAAAUUAUUUUUUAUAUAUUUUAAAUAAAUCAUUAUUUUCACAUUAUAAAUGUUUUAUAUUUAAUGGAAAAAUGAUUUUAUGAAAAAUGAUUGUUUAAAUACAUGAAAUGUUUGUCAUCAUCAAAAAGGGGGAGAUUGUUAACAUAUAUGUUUUCAUAAUGUUGAUUUUGAUGAUAACAAACAAGAUUAAGAAUGAUUAAUCUUUUAAAAUCAAAUUAUUUUUUAUACAUCUUAAAUAAAUCAUUAUUUUCACAUUUUAAAGGUUUUAUAUUUAAUGGAAAAAUAUUUUAUGAAAUUGAUUGUUUUUAUUCUUUUUAAAUAAAUCAUUAUUUUCACAUUAUAAAUGUUUCAUACUUAAUGGAAAAAUGAUUUUAUGAAAUUGGUUGUUUUUCAAAGUUUAUGGUUUAAUUGAAAGAAUUUUGAAAACUUUGAUAUAAACAAGUAUUGCUUGAAAUUUUGGUAAAGGACUUAUUUGAAAAGUGUCAUAGCAUCUUUGGGCGAAAUCAUAAUUUCAGAAAGUUUUGGGAUUAACGAAGAAUUAUUUAGAAAUUCUGAAAUUGGACUUAUUUGCAAAGUUUAAUAACGUUUUGGGCCAUACUACAGUUUUAUAAAGUUUUGGGGUCAAACUAUAAAUUUUGGGAAAUGUUUUACUGUAGCAGUUACUGUAGCAAGCGGCUUACCGGAUACUAAUAAACGGCAAGUCGGAUACGGGGUAGUAAGCACCAGAACGAAAGCGGCUAACCGGAUGUCCAUAAACGGCAAGCCGGUUACGACAAAAAAUGUGCAUAACGGCUAGUAACGGCUAGUUUUUGAGUUCAAACUAUAUAAACUCAAAACCAAUUCAUUUUUGGUAACUCAAGCAAGCAUAAACAAGUGCACACAACUUAUAUUGAGCUUCAAAUUCGAAAAUCUUCAUAGAUUAAAUCUUCAUUGGGCUAUCAUUUGUAAAUCCACUCUUAAAGAGAGUUUUUGUUGUAAUUUUCAUUUCUCAUCAAAUUGUGAGAGUACAAGUGUGAGAAACACUUGGAGUGAAGAGAUUGGAGAUAUAAUCUCUUGUUGUAAAGGUUCAUUGACACCUUGAAGUCAAUUGUAAUCGUUUGAAGCCUUGGAAAGGCUUGGAUAGUGAAAUCCUCAAGCCCGGUGUGCUUGGAGGCGUGGACGUAGGCGGGGAUUGCCAAACCACGUAAAAAUCCUUGAGUUUGCUUUCUCUUCCCUUACUCUUUAAUUAUUGUGCUUUGAUUGAAUUUAUUGUUUUCGAAUUUAUUAAGGCAUUAGAUUGCUUGUUGUGUGGAUUUGUUAGGAUAAUUUUUAAAAUUCCAAUUCACCCCCCCCUCUUGGGUUGCACACUCAUAUUUCAGAUUUUAAUGAUUUUUUGUUAAAUCAAAUGGGUUACAAGAUGGAGGAAAAAUUUGUCAAGUAUUGGGGUCAUUUUUUUGAAAAGGUUAACAUGUUGUUGAUUGUGGCAAAUGUGCUUGAUCCUCGCUGCAAACUUGACUUUGUUAUAUGGUGUUUUAGUAGCUUGUAUGAUAUUAGAAAGGUUGAUGAAUUGAGAGCUAAUAUUAAAGAGUUGUUGUUGAAGCUUCUUGAAAGCUAUGGUGGUGAGAGUAAUCCAAAUAGAGGUGAGAGAUGUACGGCUGUUCAUGAUGGUGCUAGUAGUAGUAUUGAGUUAUUUGAUCCUUUUACACAAUUUAAAAAGAUGAAAGAAAGUUCAAAUGAUGACAUUAGUGGAAAAAAUGAUGUUGAAAAGUACUUGUCAGAGACUUGUGAGAGUGCUAGUAAUCCCCAGUUUGAUAUUUUGACUUGGUGGAAAUUGAAUGGGCCUCGGUAUCUGAUUUUAUCUCAAAUUGCCAAAGAUGUUUUGGCAAUUCCGGUGUCUACUGUGGCUUCUGAAUCAGCAUUUAGUACAGGAGGGCGCAUUCUUGAUCCUUUUAGGAGUUCUUUAACUCAUAAAACAGUCGAGUCAUUAAUAUGCACUCAAAAUUGGCUUCGUUCAACUCUAUUAGGAGAGCGUACAAUACAACCAAGUCAGGAAGAAGCUGAAUUCUAUGAAUUAGUUGAAACAUGUAAUAUUGUAAUUUAUUAUGUUAUUUUUUUCUAUUUCACUUAUAACAUUUUGAAUAUUAGAAUUAAUUAUUUUAAUAUAAUUGUUUUAAUUUCUUGAAGAAUUUUUUAGGCCAAUGCAAUCUCAAGAACAACAGCAAGUAGCUGAGGAGUAAAUGACAAUUGAUUGAUGUUGCUUACCAGUAAGUUUUCUUUAUUUUUUUUAAACUAGCAUCUUAUUUAUAUAGAUUGUUUAUUUAAUUAUUUAUUGUUUAAAUUUUUUUUAUAGAUCCAAAUAUUGAGUUGGAAAAUGCCUAAAGUUGAUGUUGAUAUUGAUGAAGAUGGGAGAAUAUUGUUGGCAUUUGUUUGCAAUUUUUUUUUUAUUUUGUGUUGUAAGUUGUAAUUGUUGUUAUUUUUAUUUCUCUUUAUAACAUUAUGAUUAUGUUUAUAUAGAUGGAGUAUUGGAGUUUGGUUAUGUAUUUUGAAAUUUUAAUAUUUCAUAUUUUGGGAGUAUCUUAUUAAUAGUUAGUAAGAUAUUAGUGAUAAAAUGUGUUUUGAAUACUUUGUAUUUAUUGUUAAUAUUUGUAAUAAAAUUAGAAUAAAUUAAUUGUUAAAAAAAUUAUUACAUUCAUGAGGCCCAAUGGGCUAAAAAUUCAAAAUAGGCCCAAUAGGCCCAGAAUCGAAAAAACCGAACCGAACCGAACCGAUCCGAAAAGAACCGUUUGAGUUCGGUUCUUAUUGAGUUCGGUUCUUAUUCAGUUCUUUUGAUAAAAUAACUGAUUUAAAUCGGUUCUACUUAAUUUCGAUCCGAACCGAACCGUGCCCACCCUUACUCUUUUGUUCCCUCUCAAAGGAAAAUAUCUAAUCACCGGAUAAUGAUUCCGGUGACACAAAAGAUCGAAACACCCCCUAAAUUCCCUAAAUUUAUGAUAAUACCCCACCAUGGAUGAUUCCGUUGAAAUGCCGCCUUACGAUGAAAGGCCUAAAAAGGGUUUUAACUUCACCUCCAUGCGCUUGAUCUUAACCCUCGUUUUCCCAAUUUUAACUUGCUUUUUGUUGGCAUUUUUUAUUGGAAUCGUAGUUGUUUUAUUCGGCGAAUCAUCAGUUUCCAGUUCCAUUUUUGUCCCUUCCCAGUGCAAGAUAGUGUCCAACAGUAAGCUUUUUUUAACAUUUUCAAUUUUUUUUCCAUUUAUGAAGUCCAAAAAAUUUAUUAAUUUUGAUUUUUUUGAAUGAUUUUUCAGGUGUUGAUAUAAGGUCAUCAAAAGUUCGUAAACUUGGGGUGUUCAAUUAUAAGGCGAAGCGCGUGUUUUAUCCAUUUGAAGCAAGUAAAUUUCGCUGUCGGUAUGAUUACUAUUGGGCUUCUAUCUUCAAGGUAUUCAUACAUUUUCCCCUGUACUAUAAGCUUCUUAGUGGCGGUCUUGUGUGCGGAAGUGAACGGUGUGGCUGACAGCUUCUUGAAAAUUAUAAGUUUGAACAGAGCAUGUUAGAGCACCACCAAAAGGCUCUUUAAAUAAGAUUUUAUUAUUUAUUUGAAGAGCCACAUCAAUAUUGAAAACUUCAAAAGACACUUCAAUUAAAAUUCUUCAAAUAAGAAUUGAUUCUCUCUCUUCAAAUUUGGAGAGUUAAUUUAUUCCUCUUCAAUUUAUAUUUUAUUACUUUUCAUUGAAGAAAGAGAGAAGUGCUUUAAUUGCUAUUGACUUUUCCUUUAAAAAACUAAUUAUAUGAUUAAAACAAUAUUAACUUAUUUAUAUUUGAAGAGUCUUUUGGAGAAUAUCAUAUUUUUUCACCCUUCUAUUUGCCACAUAGGUAAACAAAUAGAUAUUUAAAGAGUAAAAUUUAUAGAGGCUUUUAGAGAUGCUCUUAGACUUUUGUUGACCAAAUUCGAAAGCCAAAUGGCACAGCUCAGAAGCUUUUGAAUUGAAUAACUUACUAGGAAGCUCCAAUUUUUUGUUGGCUACAGUAAAAGGAUGUUGUUUUAUUCUUCUUAUACUUUACGCUUGCAUCAGCUUAAAUCACUUCUUAAACGCUUUGCUUUAACUCCACUGCUUCGCUGGGGCGGAUUUACCUUGGAACAAGUGGGGACUUAAGUCCCCACUGAAAAAAAAAAAUUGUUUUAAUAAUUAAUUUGAUUUGCCAAAACUUCUCAAUAAAUUUUUCUUAAGCCCCCCAUAAUUUCUUUCAACAAACAAUUGAUCUAAAUGAGUUAUUUUCUGUCAGUUGUAUCCAAAUGAGUUCUCUGCAAUUGAUAUCAUGGCACUUAAAAUUCAACUUGAUACAUAUAUUUUGGAUAUGCGCACUAGUGCGAGACUAAAAGACAUAAGGUAUAUCCAUUGGUUUACUUGUUAAUAAUAUUAGCAUUGACUUUACCUGUUGCCACUGCUAGUGUAGAGAGAGUAUUUUCAGCCAUGAACAUUUUGAAGAAUUGAUUAUAAAGCUGUGAGUAAUGGAUGAAUGAUAGUUUAAUUAUUUACAUAGAAAAAUACUUAUUUAAUAAUAUUGAUAAUGAACUUGUAAUGCAACAUUAUUAAUGUAUGAAAACUUGAAAGGACAAUUGUAAACAUAUAUUGAAGUAUGAUAAAUCUUUCAAAUUUAUAUAUUUAUUACUUUUUAAAUUUUUUUAUAUUGCCGUUGAAUGAGCCCCCAGUCAAUCAAUAUGUUGUCUUCGCCCUACUUCGUACUCUUCUAUAUAUGUAUCGGGUAUGCAGUUUUAGUUAACAGCUGAGACUACGUGUUUGUUUGACGUGGUAGUUACGUUACGAGUCUGUUAAACAUUCAAUGAUUAAAGUAUUAUCAGUUAUUUCAAAGGGACAAAUAAGAUUAGCUACAACACACCCACUAGUUUUAUAAAAUUCGAAUGAGAUGGAAUAAAAUAAAAAAAUAAAUAAGUAAAUUGACUUUUAGUUUUAGUGGUUGAAUAUAUUUUGCAUUCUCUUAGGGCACUGCUGUAAUUAUUCCUUAAACGUCAGUCAUACCCACAUAUAAUAGACACAAGAAAUGAAAUCUAAAAUCACCUGUUUAGUUAAAGAAUCAUCAUGAAAAAAUUUUGCCAUUUUGAUUUGAGGAUCCACAUUUUGAACAACCAACUUAUGUUCAUCAAAAACGGAUCAUGGCCUGUGAGUAGAAAAAUUAUUUUUGGACAAAUUAUUUUUUUUAAUAGAAUAAUUUCUCAAGGGACUAUUAAAAUUACUAAUAAAAAUGUCAGACACACCCACGUACCAUCGACACAAUUGACUAUGAGGAUCCAUGUUUUGAACUGCCACAUAAUGUUCAUCAAGAAUAGAAUAUGGCUCGUGAAAAGAAAAUUUUCUGAUUUUGGCCUGGAACAAAAAAAAAUUAAAUUGAAGGAGAAUCUGCUACUUUCUCAUUAAGAAAGGCAGACAGGGUAUACUAUGGUACCAUACAAUAUAAAAAGUCUCCGUUCUCUGGCUUUUCAAACUCUGAAGGGGGCAAUAUUCCCCAAUUCCCCCUUGAAAAUUCUGAUUACGACAUUAUUCAUCACUUGAUACAUAAGUACAAGUAGUGACAAAAUUAGGAAAAAUAUGACUCAUAAGUAAUUACUAGGCAGGGCUCUUGAGAGCAACAUUGUACUAGGCUUUAUAUGCAAACAUGGUGUGGUACAUAGAGCACGUUGAAUUCCACACUAUAACACAAACCCAGAAAGACAAGUAAUAUCUCAACUGAUAUAAAGACAAAAAGAAGAUAAAAUGAUACAGAACAAAGAAUUUCUAAGAGAUAGCAACAUACAAUAGACUGAAGCCAGUUGAUCUGCUCAUUGAUUGCAGCCUUAAACUUGCAAAUGUUUACUGUAGCCUGGUGCUCUAAGAAGUGAAAAUGAUGCAAACCUUGAUUCCCUGUUUACUUCCAUUUACCAUCAAACAUUCUAUUCAUAAGAAAAAAAAUGUUUAGAUAUCUUGCCGUAAAUAUAGCCAUUUGAUUGUCUUAAUAAAGCCACACACAACCAUUCAUAUUGAUCCACAUUGCCACAUAGCCUGAUUUAAGCAUACAACACCUGAAUGUAUACUGACUCCUAACCUUAUCAAUACAUUGGCGACAACUUAAGAAGAAAACUAUUUCUCCAUCUCUUUUUUGAAAUUUCACAAUAAAAUAGCACAAUGUAAGAGCUGCAAUGAAAAUGGACCAUCUGGAACUAUGGCGGAAGCUUCAACUAGUGUAGUGAUUUGACCUUCUUAUUAACCUAGCGAGAUCAAACACUGCCCUUGAUCUUGAACAGAUCAAUACGAUACGCACAACUUAUGAUUGAAUCCAGAAACAAUCAAAUCUUUAGCAAGAAUAAUUAAUCAGAAUCAAGAAACAAGUUUAAUGAAUAUAAACCUAUAAUUGGAACAAACACAGCAAAAGAACCCAAGAAUGACACAACCAGCACCAAGGGAGAAGCUUUCCAGUGAGAUUAUAUUGAUGAUCAAAGAAGAAUCUUUUUACAAAGCUAACAAAAGAGAUUUCAGAGAAUAAGCUAUGACCCUCUCUCUUCUCAAUCUCUGUCUAGUUUGUUAACAGUGAUGACCCCAAUCUCCUUCGUUAGCCAGCUUCAUAACUGCGUCAGUGACAAACUAGCAAACCCAGAUUGAGCAGACUAACGACACGUGCAUAACGGCUUUAACGAACUUGGUUAAAGAACUGCUCACAUGUUCGUCACGCGUGUUGCUUAAAUGAUAGCCAAAACGACUUCAACCAGAUGCCGUUUUGAAGCUUAUGAAUUAUAAGUGAAAACACGUGCUUGUCUCGUGACAUUUAAAUGCAACAACAAGCCCAAAACACUGCCGGUCCACUAUGUUGAGUUUGCCAUCUCUAAGCUUCACAACUAGCAGCGGACAAGAUGAUAAUUUAAUUGACUUGGAGAGCUUUUAUAUCACUUUUACAACAUUCUAUAUAAUUGUGAUAUUGGGAAUCGUCGGUGUUGUAUAUGUGAACCCUCGUUGGCGACACUGGUGGUUUUAUCUUUAUUGAAAUAUGGAUGACUUUUCGUUACUAUUUUGUUGUACAUAACCUUAUUCUCAGGAGAUUUAAUCAUUGAAAUUAACAUGUUAGUUUCAUUAGAAGGCUGAGUGGUUAGGGCUGCUACCUUCCAACUUGGAGGGCAAUAGUUUGAACCCACAAGCGCAAUGUGGGGGUAUUUCAUUCUUUAAUUACAUUGUAUAAUUGAAUAAAGAUAAUAUUCUCUCUUACCCAAGUGUGAGUGGAGUAGACAUCCUUCGAAUAUUAGCGAGGGUUAAAACUUGGGCAGAGCUCAAUAAGUAUUGAUGUAAGUUGGUCCUAAUAAUAGUCUGAUUUGUAAAUAUCAGUUAUAGUCUCAUGUUUCCUUCCUUAAUUAUAUUGCAUAAUUAAGUAAAUGUACUCUUUUCUCUUACCCAAGUGUGAGUGGAGUAAACAUCUCUCGAAUAUUAGUGAGAGUUAAAAUCUGGGCAGAGCUCCAUAAGUAUUGAUGUAAUUUGAUCCCAAUAAUAGUAUGAUUUGUAAAUACCAGUUAUAGUAUCAUGUAAUAUGAGUUGUAAUUUGAGUAAUAAUUUCAUGUAAUUACAAAAAAAAAUGUUACUUUCAUUACUUUUUUCUUCGUUAAAAUUCUCAAGUAUCAAUUAUGUUUGCUUAAGAAAUAAAAUUUCAUUAUGAAAAUUGUAGCAGUAUUUCCGAGCACCUCACAUUUUCAAUGAUUUUUCAUAAAUCAAUUAAUCUGCCAUACCAAUAUCAGGUUUAGUUUUUCAGACUAAAUGAUCAAGAAAGCAAACAUACAAAUUCACAUUUUAGAGGGGUAAACUAGCUUUUAGAUUUUAGAACUAGGCUAGCUACCUCACCAAAUUCCAAUCUGUACAGUGAACUACAAGAUUAAGAAAAUAAUGUAUUUAUAGUUUAAUUGAAUCAUGAGAAAACAAUGUAGUCAUAGCUCAAUCGGACAUGAUCACGGAGAGGCAUAUUCUUUUCAAGUUAAUUUGAUCCAUUUAUAAGAAAUGAAGUGGAUUGAAGUUAAAAGUUCAAAUAACAAAUCCUUGUUCUUGAGUUUUACGACGUCGUUACUCCUUCAAGAGGCUGAUUAUGCGAGUGAAUGAGGAAACAGAAUGCAUUAUCCAAUUUCACUCAUAUAGAAAAUUAAUUUUUUAUAUAUACUAAUCAACACUAGAUUGAUUAUGUUUUGUAUGUUUAUAUGCUAAUCAACAAUAAAUUAUAGUAAAUGAAGAAAUGCUUCAAAAUUUUUUAAUUUAAUUUAGAAAAUCAAUUAUUAACAUUAAUAUUCCUAAUAAAAAUUAUUUUCCAUCGGUAUUCAAAAUUUUCACUUAUAGAAAAUGCGUUUUACGUGAAUACAAGUUAUUGUGUAAAUUUGAAUGAUAGCGAAAAAUAUUUUUUUUAAUAAUUGUAAAAAUAAUUAACCAUAACAAAUCGCUUGCGUAAAUAAUAAUCAUUAUUUAAAAGGUAGAAAGAUGGUUAGUGCACAAUCAAAUUUUAAGCCCCUACCUCCUCGGCCCAAUAUUCAAACUUAGAUGAUCAGCCAAAUAAAAUUAUUUGAAAAUCAUUCAAUCAGGUUCUCGGGGCAAAAAUACAAGAUCCUUAUUUGCAUGAUAUAUAUGAAUUAAUGUAAUUUAUUUGAAUUAUCCAAAUUCAUUAGAGAUAAAACUAUAAAAUAUACGAAAAAAGUUAGAAGGAAGGGUGUGUUGGGAUAUUUUACAAACUAUAGGAAUCUGGUGAGAUUUUGAGCCAAACUGUAGGGAGUUGAAGGCAUUUGCCCAAUAUGUUUAGCCGUACACUAACCGUUAUUUGAUCUUGUUGUUGGUCCCGGAUGAGCUAUAGUCUUAUUUUAAUUUUAUUUAAACUCACCAUAAGAUUCGCAGAGCUCCUAACUAACUUAAAUGACUCUGCAGAGCAUGUCAACACAUAGCAUGUUUAACCGUUUUAUUUGUAGAAGAAUUUAUGAUUUCCCAUUAGCAUUAUUAUUGAAGUGGGGCGGGUCAAAUCUCAAUUGCUUGAAAAUUUUAUUUAUUAUUAUUAAUUUUGAAGUGGGGUGGGUAACGGUUCGUUCAAUUCGAGGGAAUCAAAUAUAUCAUCCAAGGUAGAAUUGUGGAAAAUUAAAGCAAAAUAAGAAAUAUGGACAGAAAAGAAGAAAGUUAAUGCAUGAAAGACAUUUACAGUUGAAAUUGAUAAUCAUGUUUCUAUUUUGUUAACUAAUCAAAUGGAAAACUGAACUGUAAACAAACAUUAAAACGUGUGGACCAAGCUAGCUGCCCUACAAGUCUACAAUAAUAAUUGAGUACUUUGAUUCAUCCUUCUAUGAAUUUCUACCCAUAUUGACUCCUCCGAAAUUUCCACAAAAUAAAAAAAAAAAAAAAACUGAAUUUCCACAAAAUGCAAAACCCGUAGAACUUAAUUUUUGGUCAUGUGAACUAAGAUGUAAAUUAAAGAAAAAGUAUAAAAUUAAAAAAGAUAAAAUUUCUAAAAUGUGUGGAAGGUGAUUCAUAAUUCACUGAAAUUACUUGCCCCAGAUAUAUAGGUAAACCUAUCUAAUUUCAUUAAAAAUAGUUGGAAAAAAUUAACUAAUAGAAAGCUACGGAAAUUAACCCCCCACAAAAAUAACUUUUUAUAGAAGAAUUUAUGUUUUUUAAAAUAUGUUAUCAAAGUGUAUUUGAUCAAAUCUCAAUUGCUUAGUAUGCUUAGGAUUUUGUGAACAUCACUAAAAAGCGAAAGCUAUGAAUGAUAGGGGUGAUGCUUGCAAUAUGAAUAAAUAAUGGACUGAUUCAAUUGAUGAUUACAUUUAUAUAUUAUUGAUUAUUUAUGAAUUUUCAGACUUGUUACGAUGUAUAACUAUGUGAUUUUGAAACUUGAAACCGUGGCAAACAUUGAAAGGAAUUAUAACUUGAAAUCAUGACUCACGGGGUAUGUCAUGAUUCACGUGCACAAAAAAAGGUAGAAUUGUGGAAAUUUAUAACCCAACGACAAAUACGGAAAGAAAGGAAGAAAAUUAAAAGACUUCGGGCCUAGCCUGCGUGUAUUAAUUAUUAGAUUAUUUUUUUUUUAUAAGGGUAAUCAUCAAUUUACUCCAUAACAAUCUUUAAUUCAUUUCUUAAAACUAUCAAAACUUUAAUUUAUCUUUUAAACAUCGUUACCUCUUCAUUGGUUUUAAUAGUUCAAAGGGUAAAAUUAUGUUUGCAUAUUUUCUUGACCGCCAACUAAAUGAUAAAACUCAAAAUUCAAUCUUGUUAUCUUGUUUCAAUCCUCUAUCAAUCAAAUAAGAUUUCUAAAAUAUGUGGAAGAUAUUGCAUGAUUUCCUCAACCUACCUGGCCCGAACAUCAAGGUAAAUAUCUCUAAAAUAGUUUAUUAAAUCUCAGUUGCUAAGUAUAGUAAGGAUUGUGUGAACAUCAAUCAAAACUAUGAUUGAUAGAAGUGAUCUUUGCAAAAUGAAUAAAUAAUUAACUGAAUCAAUUGAUUUACAUAUUAAAGUUUAUGAAUUUUCGGACUUGUUGCGAUAUAAUAAUAGCAUAUGAUUUUGAAACUUGAAACAGUGGUAAAUAUUGAAAGGAAUUAAUUUGAAAGCAUGAUCCGUGGGGAAUGUGAUGAAUCGUGUUUACCAAAAAGGUAGAAUUGUGGAAAUUUAUAACAGAACGAUAAAUAUGGUAAAAAGGAAGAAAAUUGAAAGACUUGGGGCCUGGCCUGGGUGUAUUUUCUAACAGUCCAAUGGACAAAAUUAUAUUUGUAUACUUUCUUAACAGUCAACUGAUUGAUAAAAGUCAAAACUGGUCUCUUUUUUUUUUCCUUGUUUCAAUCCCCUCUCAAUCAAAAAUGUUUCCUUGUCUAAGCAAUGAGGAAUAUGGCUGAAAAGAUUGCUAUUAGAAAGAUUUAUCAAUUGUAAUUGGUUUAAAAUUGAAUAGACACUUCAUUUUUAAGAUUGUUAUGAGUCAAUAUAGGUCCUAUUUGGGAUUGAGUUCUUGUAAUUUUUAAGCUACAGCGGCUGUGGAAAAAAAAUUAUAAUUAUGAAAUAAGAGUUAAAAACAUGUAAUAAAUAUAAAUUUUAAAUAAUAGUUUUGACAAAAUUAUAAAAUAUAUAAUAUAUCUUUCAUAAUACAAGUAAAAGAUCAUAUCAACAUAGAUUGCAAGCCACAACAGUUAGUGUUUACCAAACAAUUUAGUGCUGUAACUUUCAAGUUACAGCUGCCCAAUCUCAAUUUCAAAUGCACUUAUAAAGUGACUUGCUUCAAAAGCCUAGCAACCCAAAUUGGAAUGCUUUCAUUCAAGUGGCUAUAACUAAGAUAUAACGUCCCUAAGGAAGAGUAAUUAAAAAAUGUACCUUCUUUAACAUGUCCGUAUGGCAUUUUUUUUUUAAGUGAAUUUGUGUGAUAGAGAGAGGAUGUCAGCAAGAUAGUAAACUCCUAAAUAUAUUAUUGUUUGUAAUGUCUAAAAUUUGAAGAGAAUCAAGCUAAUAAAACUCCAUUGAAAUUAGACCUUCAAGAGUACGGUUCUUGGGCAUUAUAAAAUGUUGUAAUGUCGAGAGAUUACCCAACCAUUAUGGAAUCCUACCAAGAUGAUUGUUACCACUAAGAUACAAUCCUUCUAGUGAACAACAAUCAGACAAAUUUUUUGGGGAUCUCUCUUACAAAGUGAUUACCAUCCAAUCGCAAUUUUGAAUGAAAAUAAAUUUUUUUUAUUGGGAGUUUGACCUUAACAUUAAAUUUAGACAAUGAAUUUUAACUUUCUUCAAUUAUUAAACAGUUUACAGACAUUUGACAAAUUUGAAAACACUUCAUCCAUAGAAAGUUAAAAUUAGAGAUGGAAGCUAGGUGCUACAGCUAAUGGGAACAUUAAUUCCUGUCCCUCAUCACACUUUAUUUUGGGUCUAAUAAUUUUACGGCAGCAUUGACCACUGCUCAAGGUAAGUAAAACUUACAAAUGUGUGGCAAAAUAAAUAAUUAAGUGCAUAAAUUGUUAGCUAAUUUUCUUGAUAUAUACAGCUAAAGUAGUCGUUCCCCUUUAAAAAAAAUGUUAAACAAUUUCGGCUGAGCCUGCUUGUGGUUUUGAUAAAAAGGAGGGGCUGGCUUCAAAUAUUUGAAUAGGCAUCUCCGCCGUACCUCAAACAAAUCUGUCAUUAUUUGUGCCAUGAAACAUGUUUCGGCCGUCGAAGUCACGAGAGGGUUGAUGACGCUACUACGUAUGAUGACACACCAGCCGACAGUGUAGUAACAGCUCAAAAACAAAAUCUACCAAAAUCAACGAAAGUUAAUAAAAAUUUAUUUUAUUAAUAAAAAUAAAUAAAUAAACUUAUUAUUUUUGGAGACGUGUGUAUUUGAGUCUGUGGACUGAAAUGGAAAAUAUGAAGAAGUUCAGAGUCGUUGUGCAGAUUGACUUCAGUUAAAUGGGUCUAGUAGAUAUUUUAUGCUGACGUGGCACGAAUUAGUUAUAAUCUGUUACAACGUUUCCAGAAACAUCAGUAUAAAUAGAAGCUGAUGAGCAGUGCCUGUUGUACGAUCCUUUUUCUUCGUCAGUUGUUCGUCAAUUUUCAUAGAAUCUGUUUCAUUGUGAUCUGUACAAAGUCUUCUGUAAAUCCACUUAUGUUUGAUUAGUUGUUGAUCACUAACGAAGUAAAUUUUUCCUUCAAAUCUUGCUGGUUCGUGCCCCUGUUUCAGUUCUGGAUUUUUCUUUUUCUUUUUUUAGUUCUGGUUUCUUAAUUCAAUUGAAUUUCUUGGUGCUUAAUUCAUCAAGAUUCAGUGGAAUCGACUUGAAAAGGAAAACAUUAUCCACCUGGAACGACUUCAAGUCCAAAGUAAAAGACAAGAGUGGCUCCCCGCAAUUUUCUUGUUUUCAGUAUAUUUUCUCUUUUUCUUUUUUAAAAUCUUUUGACGCAUGCAUAAUAUACCCUUGUUUAUUAUCUCUACUUUGCUCUGCUCAAGUCCAUUUUUUUCAAAUAUUAUUUUAAAUAAUAAAUUUAAUAAAAGUACAUUUGUGUAAUUAAGACUCUGCUAUUAUAUCACACAUACGCAUAUAAUAUAACUAAGCAUUUGUUAUUAUAGCAAAGAUCCAUAGCAUGAAAGUGAAUAAAUUUAACUAAAUGGUUAAUUAAUCAAUUAAGUUUCAUGAGCUUUAAUCGAGUUAAAACCAAGUACAAACAUCGUUAACAAAUACUGAAAUUGAGUAAAUUAAAAAAAUAAAAAAAAUUAAUUCAAGUAAUAUGUAGUUUUUACAUGUUGAUCAGCAGAAUACAACAUUAAAUUUUGUCAUUGACAAUAUUGCAUACCAGUCAUCUAAAGCAUUACCUCACGAGGUUUUAUGAGAAACGAAAGAUAAGUGUUUGCUCUGAACAAUUAAAGUUGCUGCUACCAACCUCCCCGAAGACCAAGAAGACGGAACAGGAAGCUAAUGCAUCAAUGUCUUCUUCAUUAUAGCUGCUGCGUAGUUAGGUGUAGUUUCCUCAUUUGAAGCUGUCUAUACAUAGGCUUUCCCCCUGCUUAUGUACAAAUAAAUGAACAGCCUUGAAGCUUUAUUAUUCGCAACAAAAGGGAUUACCAAUUGGAGAAGACUUUACAGAGUUCCUCUCACACACUCUCUCAAUUUCAUCUAGAAGUCCCUCCGAAAGCAUCUCCCAAAACAGUUAGUCAUCUUUUAUACUCUGUUUUCUAGAAACAGAGUCCUAACUAAAUUAAUUGACUGUACAGUGCAUUUCAACAUAGCAUAUUUAACCGUUUUAACAGUAAUUUUAACCGUCUUCUGAGUUAUCAUCAACAAAUUCAUUCAUAUUUCUCCAGUCUUACGGACGAUAUCAUAUGUUUAAUAAUGAAUGAAUAGUCUUGGAUCAGUGUUUUGCAGCAAAUUCACAUCAUAGUUUUGAUUCUUUAGAUAUGAAUUCAUCACAUUACCGAAAAGAAUAUGCGCUAAAAAAUGAUUCCAAGACUAUUUGACUACCAAAAGCUGCUGUCAGAGUGCACUGAAAUCUUGACUCCUCUCAGCGAAAAAUAUAUCAAAGUUUAGAUUAUGUGUUCGAGCUUUAAUAAAUGCCUGAGUUAAUAAUAAUAACAACAAUAAUAAUAAACUAAAAAGCAAAAUUACUAUUGAAUGAUCGGAAAAAAAAAAAUUUGAAAACGUGUGAACUCCAAUAACCACCCCACAAAUUUAGUGGCGAAUUUUGGAGAGGGCAAGGCCGGGCUUCUCAGAAAAAAAAUGACGAGUAGAAUUGUGGAAAAUUAAGCAAAAUGACAAGUAUGGAAAGGAAGGCUGAAAGUAAGGCAUGACGAAAGGCUUUGAGAAGGCUGAAGACUACCAAAGAAGACAACUGAAAGCUAGUUGGGGCCUGGGUGUAUAAAUUGUAGAUGUGUUUGUUAUAAAUAACAUAGAGCCCUUUUGUUAUUUAUAGUUAUAGAGAAAGAGAGAAUGUGUGUUUUUUAAUAGUUAGAGAUAUAGCUAGAAUGGGUGGUUCAAAAUCCAAAAUGGUGACAAUGUUAGUUCUCGUAUUAAUAAUAUUAGGGAGGGGGGGGGGGGGGGGUGUGGAGUGAGGGAUGUUUGGAGCAUGAGGAAUUUGCUCAUUUUCGGCUUAAACAUUUCUUCAAUUCCCCUUAUAGACUUCAAAACUGGGUAGGUGAACAAAGGGAAAGGGUUGAGUGCAGCAACUCCACAGGCCGAGUGGUACAACUACACCUUAGUCUUACUAGGAAUAUCGAUCUGGGAGUGUGGUAUCUGAAUGCUUCUCUAUUUACUCCCUUUCAACAACUUGGUAACAAAAUAGCCGGCUGCAUGCGUUGAGAAUGAAGGUCCUUCAUUUAAUUUAAUUUACUUAAUUUCUCCCUCCUAAUUAAUGUCUAUAACCAUUAGGAGGAACAAGGGAUUUUAUUAACUCAAAUAUAUCUAAUGGAGCUCAUUCUUUGGUUUUACUUGCAGGUAUAGAAGCAGGUGUCAUCUAACAGCUGCUUUGAUAAUUUCCCACCCCUUCAUCUUUGAUGGAAAGAUGAAAUAAAAACAAAAUGGUGAAAAUGGUAUUGGUACCUGAGGCUAUGUAAUCUAAUUCAAAAACUGCACCAUCAAAACGAUUACAUAAGUCCCAGAAGAAUCAAACGUUAGUUUGCAAAAUAUCAAUUGCUGGAGUUGUUUCGGUUGCACGUUAAUAUCAAUUCCGCUCUUGAUUUUUAUGGGCAUGUUGUAUUGUACUUGCAUACGAAAAUCAUAUUUUAGUUUACUUCACUCAACACUUGGAUUAAAGUUUUAGGUGGGGAAAAUUGAAGGAGACUAAAAUGACUCAAAAAAAUAGUUGAAUGAGUGAGGGUUUUGUCUUCAUUUAAGGAGCUCUUUAUAAAUUUUAGGAUUCUUUUUCCUGAGAAAAUUUAUGCCAACUCAUUCUUUGCUUCUUUUUUGAAGGGACACAUGCAACCGAAAGUAUAUUCUUGAAUUCUCCAGGAUAAGAGACAUACGUUUAGAUUCUGGAGCAUUUAAAACAAUGUCAAAUUUUAGAUUGCUGAAAUUUUAUAUAUCCGAGUAUGAUGGUAUUCCAAUUAUAAGCUCCAGGGUGCAACUUCACUGAGGUUUAGAAUGCCUUCCUAUAGAAUUGAGAAAUCUCCAUUGGCCUAAAUAUCUUUUGAAAAUACUGGCAUCAGAUUUUGAAUUGGAGAACCUGAUUGGACUCAGCUUGCCUUGUAGUAAGGUUAAGCAAAUUUGGAAAAGAGAAAAGGUAUAAUGUAUUACUAUUACCAAAGUAUCUAUUUUUCUUUCUUUAAGUAUUUAUAAUGAAUAACUUUGAAAUUCAAUGAUGCUCAUUUAGUAUAGUUAUGUAUCUUUGGUUAUAGGAAGCUGUCAAGUUAAAAUCUAUAGACCUUCACCACCCCUCUAUCUCAAUAGGAUCCCAGAAAUACUAAAUCUUAAAAAAAUAAAUCUUUCAAAUUGUGAAAGCAUGCUUACGUUACCCCCGUAUAUCCACAAUUUCAACUAGCUGAGUAUGUUGUGUUUCAGGGAUGCAAAAUUCAUUUUGUUUCUCAUGAAAGGAUUGACUUGUCCGGAUGUAUUAGGGUUAAUAAACCAACUAAUCCCAUAAUUUGUUGAUGUAGUAGAUUGUAGAUCAGUACACUAUUCGAAAAUGUAUUUGAUCCACACAGUGAAGUGGAUAUUGGACCAAUUUGAUGAUAAUGAUUUUCUUUCAAUCUCAAUCUUUUUUCCUUUUAGCAACAUGACUAGUCAUUGCGCAAAUUCAAACUCUGACAAUGAUUUCUCAAUCGGUUUCUAAGAUGAUGACCAUGCAUGUAUAUGUAUAUGCGUGUGUAUAUGUGUGUGUGUGUGUGUGUAGAGAGAGAGAGAGAGAUCACACGUGUGUGAUUUCCUUUUGCCAAUAGGAUAUGCAGAGAGCUUGAUCUUACCCAAUAGCGAAACAAACUUCCUAAUAAGUGAAGGUUAGUAUAAAUACUUACACUUUCAUGUUAUUUUGUUCAUCAGUAGCUUGAUUAUUUUAUAUGCGUCUUCGAUUUUAAUUUUCUUUCCCUAUAAUCACUAUUAUCUUUGAACUGGUCGUGAUUUGCGUAUAAGAUUUCUCAUGUUGUUUUGAGGUGCAAUGGAUUUUGAAUUUAGUGACGAGCGGUGGAAGCCAGAAGGCAGAUUAUGAAAAUGGAUAAAGAUCUAUAAUUAGCUGUUAUGGGAUGUCACAUAUCAUAUUGAUGGUAACAUUAUAUAUAUGUACAUAUAAUUAAUGGGGUUGGCUCACGAGCCCAUUAAUAAUCAUAUAUUAGCUUAAAUACUUCAAACAAUGUACCAUGAAGCAAUUUCACAAACACUUUUUAGCUUAUGUUGAGCUUUAUCAAUAAAAUGCAGGUUUGCUAUUUUACGUACAUGGUUAUGGUGUGUGCAUUCUUCAUAAGGCUAACUACUAAUUUAUCAAUGAAACUUGAAAAAUGUGACAGAGAGAUGUCGAUAACAGCCGCAAAACACUGAGAUCGAAAAUCAGGGCUACUAAAUACUAUUAAAAGCUCUUAAAAUAGACAGUGAUCAUCCUUAAUCGCAAAGUUAUGCACUAAUAGAACUAUUGACUACUUAUCUUUAGCAGAAGGUAUAUUUUUAACUACAGCUUUCUGCUUUGUUCUAAGAACUAGGCAAGUGGUAUAUCUUCAAUCCAAUCAACGCAUAUACCACUUAUCUUCCUCUUCACUUUUGUCUAUUUUGAUUUCCACUUUAUAUCCUGCACUUGCUGCUUAGAAAUAGUCUUAGUCUGGACAUUGAAAGUAGAAAAAGUACUUGAAACAAUCAUUGGCACAGCCCGAGAUUCCAUUGAAUCGUGGACUCCAAGCUUUCAUAGUUCUAUAAAGAAAAUGACAUAACUUUAUACAACUGGCAUUCUGCUUUUAACAUUUGAUCAACCUGAGCGAGUUAGCAAGCCUCUUGUCGCGUUCCCAUUGAAUAGACCUACUUCUGUUAUCCACAGAAGAUCCACCACUCAAAAUGUUUAUCACCAGGCUAUUCUUAAACUGAGCCUAAACUGAGUAGAAAUUUCCGCACAUCUCUCAACAUUUACAUGAAGAAAUCGACAACUAUCCUCAUCUCUCAGCACAUCUCUCAGCAUUCUACAAAGUUGCAUUUCACUAAGCAAUCUAUCCUCUCCAUUCCUAGCAAAGUGACAUUGAUUCAUGUAUUUGUAAUCGCCUAACUUGGGUUUUGGGCAUAGCGUGGUCUUAAAAUUACCACCCAAUACUUUGUUCAGUGCCACUGGCAUCCACAAGCUCUAGCCCUGUUAGCUGAAUCAUAUUCAAUGGGAGAGUGAGGCAGCAUUUCACUAACAUAUUCAAUUUGACUACUUAUAUUGAUGCAAAUAUUAGAAUUUGAAAUCACUUCUUUUCUUGGAAUAUUAUAUUAAAAUGACCCCAAAUGAAAGUUCUUUAAUGGAAAUUAUUUUUAUUUAAUUUUCCAACAGAUUCAAGAAAACCCAGAGAACACAAAAUUUACACAGUAAUAUGAUUAAGAGCUGAGAACAUACAUGUAGUAAAUGUCUAUCAAAAAACACCCAAGUGUUUCUUUAAAAUUAGAAACUAGUAAACAAAAAGAAAGAAUCAUUUUACAUUUUUAGCAACUUUGGGGUGAGUGAGUGAGUGAGUGAGUGAGAAAUUGAAACCCUAAAGUGAUGACAACAGUAAGAUUCAGUAUGAAGUGAAACCCCAAUUUGAAAUGUAGGCAUGAGUUGCUGAGUCAGUAGAUGAAGCUAUAAAUAGGCAUUCGGUUUCCUUCUUUUCGGUUUGGAGGGCCAUGGAAUAGUGUAUUGGAGUGGGCUCCAAGUAAUAGCCUCUAUCACUGGAACGACACAUCUGUAAAACGUGAUACAUGGGGAAGGAUUGGGCAUUAUAUUCUUAGAUUAGCGCCUUAUUUAGGGUGUAUAUUAAGCAAAUUAUAUAUUACAUGGAGAUGGAGUUUAUGAAAUAGAUUAAAAAGAAAAGGAAAUUUCGGUGUCUAAAGUUUGCUACUUGGAAUAUUUCGGUGUCUAAAAAUUCACUCACCACUUAUUUCAUGUUUGAUUAUAUGUUGAAAAGAUAUUAAAAUAGUAUAAUGCUAUUAAGGCUUAACGUAUAUUUUUUAUUAGUAGAGUGUAGAAUUUUUAAGAAAUAAAUUAUUAAAUUAUUAUAACUAACAUAUUAUUUUAAAGUUGUGUUAUGAAAAAAAUGAAAUAAAAAUGUACAAUAAAUAAGAAUAUUUUAAAACUUUUAUCUUUUUAAAAUUAGUUUUUAACAUAAGGUGAACUAUUUUUUUUUUUAAAUCACAUAUUCUAGUUAAAAUCAAAUAUGUAUUUAUAUGAAGCUUGUAAAUUUUUUUUUUUAGUACUGAUAUUUGAAUAUUAUCAAUAAAAAAAAGGGUAAUGUUCAUGCUGCAUUAUUUUUGUAGCACACAAAAGGACAACAAAGUUUAUGUUAUAAUACUAUCGCUUCUGUUAUGAUAAUAUUUUUUUGUGGCCAAAUAUCUUUUUUUUUUUUAAGUAAAAAAAAGUGGACAAAAUGCAAAUCAGUUUUUAAUCCUCAAUCUCUCCCAAAAUAUAAAUUCGUAGGUCCAUGGGUUGUUAAAACUAUAGCCGACAAAAAGUUACUAACAAAAACAGAAUGUCCAUUUUAUAACUUUCUUAAAAAACUUUCCUUAACUUUUUUAAAAAGUUACCAACAAAAAGUUAUUUCUAAUUUUUAUUUUGUUAUAAUUUUUAUAACAAAAUUCGUAGUUAACUAAACUCUUCUUAUUCCCUUUCUCAACUGCCAUACCCUAACCCGAGCAAAUUGCGUAGGAUAUACCUGUUUUCCCUCAAAAUACUUAAAAUAUACCUCCAUAUAUUAAAAUUGCUAGCUUUACACAUUUAUACUUAAAAAGAUCAGGGAAAAUACAAAAAUAACCUUAAUAAAAAUACUCAACUUAUUAAUAUGCUUAAUCGACUCAUUUAAUAUUCUUACUCGACUUUUUACCGGACCAUACACUCGACUUAGUUAAUAUGCUUACUCGACUUAUUUAAUAUUCUUACUCGACUUCUUACCCGACCAUAUACUCGAUUUAUUUAAUAUGUUUACUCGACUCAUUUAAUAUUCUUACUCGACUUCUUACCCGACCAUAUACUCGACUUAUUUAAUAUGCUUACUCGACUCAUGUAAUAUUCUUACUCGACUUCUUAUCCGACCAUAUACUCAACUUAUUUAAUAUGCUUACUCGACUCAUUUAAUAUUCUUACUCGACUUCUUACCGGACCAUAUACUCAACUUAUUUAAUAUGCUUACUCGACUCAUUUAAUAUUCUUACUCGACUUCUUACCGGACCAUAUACUCGACUUAUGUAAUAUGCUUACUCGACCCAUGUAAUAUUCUUACUCGACUUCUUACCCGACCAUAUACUCAACUUAUUUAAUAUGCUUACUCGACUCAUUUAAUAUUCUUACUCGACUUCUUACCCGACCAUAUACUCGACUUCUUUAAUAUGCUUACUCGACUCAUUUAAUAUUCUUACUCGACUCAUUUAAUAUUCUUACUCGACUUCGUACCCGACCAUAUACUCGACUUCUUUAAUAUGCUUACUCGACUCAUUUAAUUUUCCUACUCGACUUCUUACCCGACCAUAUACUCGACUUAUUUAAUAUGCUUACUCGAUUCAUUUAAUAUUCUUACUCGACUUCUUACCCGACCAUAUACUCGACUUACUUAUCUCUAAUUCUUACUCGACUAAAUUCUCGAUUUACCCGACUUCUUCCUGCACUGAUUCUUCAAUCACUCAUAACUUAAAUGUAGUCUUAAAUCCCUACAUUGAAAUAGUGUGUGUGUGCAAGCACAAAAAAUGAAUAAUGUACUACUAAAAUUCAUAAAUCAUUAGGAAGUACACUUAUAAGAAAAAUAGAGAAUGGUGAGAGAAGCCCAAAAAAGAGAAGCAAUGGGAGAAGAGAGAUGUGAAUUCUUAGUUUUUUUAAGGUUAUUUUUGACUUGUCCUAUCUUCAUAAGGUAUAUGUGUGUAAUAGGGUACAAAUUUGGCAUUUAAGGGUAAAUUGAGGGUAUUUAAAUAAAAAACCCCCUAACCCUGUUCCCCAUGUCCCCACUAAACCACGCUCAAUUAAGGCCAUCAGAUUCUCCCGGGCCCACAUUAAUCCAACUGCUCACAGAGACCGACAGCCUCUCUAUCUCCAUUUCAAGCUCCCUCUUCAACUGGCUUCUGCUACCGUCCUACUCUUUCUCGGCUUCGGAGUCCGUAUUUGCUCGGCCUGUCCCACGAAGCUCCCUCUCACUCCAAUUGUCGCCCCACAAGACCAAUUGCUUAAUCAAGACACCGAACAAGAAGAGGAUGAGAAGUUGAAACAAGAAUUUGAGAAUUGGAAAUCAAAAACGUUUGAGAGUCGUUUCUCUUCAGAACUCAGCGCCUCAAUCUUGGGUUAAGGAUUUUAGAAGUCAGGGAAAGAGAUUGAAGUUUCAGAUGAAUUUGUGUGCUAGCAUUGAUGGGAUCUUUAACAAUUUAUCUGUGCCCUUUAACAAAGUUAAGUCUAAGUCAGCUUCUUAUAUGGCUGCUGAUUUGGUUAGUGUUGGUGAUUCAUGGCUUAGUUUUGCCAUUAAAAAUAGAUUGAUUGAGCCAAUAGCUGGAGCUGAAGACCAAGAUUGGUUCAAAUGCUUAAGUCACAAAUGGAAGGUAACAUCUUUGUCUUUGAUCCUCGAGGUAAAAUAUGGGCGGCACCAUACAGGUGGGGCACAACGGUGAUAGCCUGCAAGAAAAUUAAAUUUCGAAAGCAUAAUUUGGCUCCGAUUGAGGUAAUAAUUUUCUUUAAACUCAUUUAGUUUUAUAUCAAACAAAAUCAAGAAUGCCUUUCUCUUCAAUAUUUUUUAUGAUAAUAUCUUUAGAAGCAUCUCAUUGACGGGUAACAAUGGCAUCCCUGAAAGAGUCUAUAAACUCAAUGAUAUUAUCUUCUACAAAUGGUUCAUUAAACUUUGUCGUUGUACUCAAAUGUACACUCAGAGCAAUGAGAAGCUAUGCCACUUUAGCAUGUAGUGAUGGCACUUAAUAAGUGAGUUGCUAGGAUGUGAACUAGAAAAAUUAAAUAUUGUCUCCUUGGGUAUGCUAGCUCGUAAGUCAGGGUUAAUAUCAGAGCUUAAGAUAGUAUAACCGUGAGAACCUAUUGACUGCCAAUUAAAAUAUCCAUUAAAAUGUCUAGGGAGUUAUGAAGGUGGAGGUAACUUCCGAUUUCUAGGGCCACAUGGUAGACAUCAUCCAGGAUUCUAGGAAAGUGCAGUUAACUUCCUGCUCGAUGCAAUUAAUAAAUUUGGUCAAUGCCACUGAAACCUGCUAACUGACAUCACAAUGUGACAUGAGCACUUCAAAAUGGGACAGACGGUCAGUAGCACUAAUUUUUUCUUGGCUAGGAUUGAGCAAUUGGUCUAACUACUAAUCCCCUAUUGUAGGUUGAUCAUUAUUUUUUAAAUUAUGUUCAGUUUGACCCAAAAAGUUGCAGAAUCUUGAGCAGAAUUUUGUCACUGAACACUGUCAAUGUCAUUUAGCAUAGCCCACUAACUUGAUGUUAAAACAAACACACAGUGUGUCUCAUGUCUCACAAUUCAAAUUAUCAUCUGUAAUGAUGGAGAAUUUUUCCAAUGUAUGAAGUAUGCUUUGAUAUGUGGGUUACCUUGGAGAAGAUAUCUCAAAAUAAAGAAUAUGGGGAGAAAACAGUUCAGUAGUUUAUUAUUCUGUAGUCAAGUUUUGUCUCGAAAAUGGUCAAAAUUUAAAUGAAUAAGGACAGGGGAUCUUCAUUCUUUUUUCCCUUUUUUAUACCAAGAUAUCUCUCAACCUUUAUAUAAUCCCCACUGGAUAUCUGCUUCUAAUAAUUAAAAUAAAAAUUUCACCGCUCUAACAAUAAAAAGUAACAUCUUUAGUCAAAUAAUUUACAGUUCCUCAUCAUCUUAGUGUGAGACUAUCAGUACAUUCCAAAAACAUAAUAAAACUGGUUUGAUCCUGUUUAUUGAUGUUUAAAUGUUGUUCAUUGUGACAUGUAGAAAUGAUGAGGCGAAGUUUAUUUGGACAUCAAUUAGUAAGAUCUUGUUUGAAGUUGUUUUCUGAAAUUUCUGAAAUGAACUGCCAAAUGGUAGUUUUUUUGGGGCAUUUGAUGGCUCUUUUUUUUCCCUCAUUUUCAACAUGUGCCUGCUUGGAACAGGAAGGAUUAGGCUGCAGAGUUGUUAUAUAUUUUGAGAUGCUCUGGUCAUUGCACAAUUUGUUCACACUGGAAAUUAGAAUGAGAAAUUUGUUGAUGCUGUUUUGAGAGAUCUGCAUUCUAUGCACAAUAACAUGAUUAAUGAAAAUGCAUUGUAAGACUGGAAAGAUCUGUGGCAGCCUGAGCUCGCAGGAAGAAUUUCAAUGGUUAAUUCUCCCCGAGAGGUUAUUGGUUCAGUUUUGAAGUAUAGGGUAGCAUCAUACAAUUCAAAUGAUAUUGAUUCGCAAGUUGCUGGUGGGAAGAUUGCUGUUCAGCAGAAUCUGGCAUUACUGGCAAACCAGGUACUCUUACAGAAAUGAUAUCUGCUCAUUGCAUGUUAUUGCCUGACAACUGAUUUUGUUUGUAAAAGUCUGCUUCUUCAUACAGAUGAAUGCAUAUGUUAGUGUUUUCUUCUCCUUUUCAUACAUAUAAAUGCAUAUGUUAGUGUUGUCUUUUCUUUUUCAUACAUAUUAAUACAUAUGUUGGUGUUCUCUCCUGAGAUGGAUGCAAUAAAGGCUUUUGCUCCUAAAUUUAGCUGAAGAAAUGGCAAGGGAUGUGAGAUUCUGUCUCAUUAAAUUAACAAAAACCCAAAGCAAUGAAAAUCCAUAAUAAUGUGGUGUGGGUAAAUUGGCUCCAUUUGGUUUGUUUCCUUAAUGUGAAUGCGCGAGCAAUAGAGACUAACAAAAUGAAGUGACAACAAGAAGUCAGUGUCCUUUGAUGGAUGCAAUUUUAGGCAGAAAUCAGUGUCCUUUGAUGGAUGCAUUUUUAGGCAGAAAUAUGUUUGUAAUUGACCAAAUUUGUCUGGCAUGCCAAUUUCAAAAAAAUUAAAUUAUGUGGUUAUUAGCUGUAAUGAAGGAGGAUAGUAGGUGCAAUCAUGUGGAUCCAGGAAAGUUCGACAAAGUUUUGGUAUGGCGUAGUGAAAUUGGUUUGUGCAACUCAGGAGCCUUUCAGGUGAACGAUGAUAGGUUUUGAUUUAUGAAUAUUAUAAAUCUACUGUGCAUAGUAUUCUAGUAGAAUCAUCUACAAGUUCUAGUUAUUGAAAUUGUAUACUUUGCCCGGUUUGAGUUAAGGGCACAUGUAAUAUGAAAGAUAGUUGUCGCAUCUUUUAGGUUACCUAACAUUUGAUCAAUCCUAUUAUGGGGGCUUCAAGAUGUCUAACAAUAUGUAGAAUGCCCAUGCUCCUCCCCAUUGUUUAUCUUCUACAAUAAUUUGUUUUAAAUGCUAAUAUCUUUGUCGAUACCGGUAACAAUAUUACAAUAUCUGCAUUUAUUGGGUUUUACAUAGGUUCGACUGUUUGACAGUACACACUAUCUGAAGGCAUUUGCAAUUGGAGAUGUAUGGGUUGCUGUUGGGUGGAUUAGUGAUGUUCUUCCUACUGUCAAACAUAUGUCUAAUGUUGCUGUUGUUGUUCCCAAGUCUGGUGCUAGCUGCCUGCCAUUCUACUUCGAUAUUCACAUUGUUAUCUCCUUCAUAUUAGCGAUCAGUAAACACGAUAAUGUGGCUAAUAAGUUCGUAUUCUCUUUAUAGGCAAUCCCUGCUGCCUCAAGACUUGAAACAAAACAAAUUGGAGGGCGAGUCAGAGGUCCAUCUCCAUUAAUCCAUCAAUGAAUAGAAUUCUGCUUGCAAACAGCGAGAUUUUUGCCUUGCAAGCAAGAGGUUAUCCCGGGUGCAUCUCCCUCUGCCCUUGAAAGUACUCUGGUUAAGUUGCCUGAAGAACUUCUGGAGGGUAAACCAAGUCUGGAUACUAACUUAAUUGCUGGAGUACUCCCGGCUGAAAUUCUGGCCAGAUGUGAGUUUUUGGAGCCAUUAUCUGAAGCUACUUUGUCAGAUUAUGAGUGGCUGGUUGUUAAUCUGCAAAAACCUGCUCCUGUCUUGAUGAAAAGGGUGCAACAUUACUUGUCAUCAUUAAUCUAAAGCUUUCUAGCAAGAGCUACACUGAAAAGUUAAUGGCGCUGCAUGCCAGUCAUUAUAAUGCUGUCAGGGCAAUUGGGUCAGGGCAAUUAGGUCUGAGCAUAACUUCAUUAGGAAAAGAGGCUUCAGCUACGUUAAAUAUUACAGGAUGUACUGAGAUGGCUGAAGUUCUGAAGGUUUUAUGAGAAGCGAAAGAUGAGUGUUUGUUUGAACAAAGUUGUUGCCAAUCUUGCAGAGUUCGGAAAGAAAGAUCACGGAGCGAAUGCCACCGAUUUCUUCAUCAUUUUAGCCUCCAUAGUUGAAGUUUCCUCAUUUGAAGCUGUUUAUGCAUACGCUUUUUCCCUGCUCUAGUACAGGAAAUUGAAGAAUUAACCAGAUGUGAUAUGCUGAAAGAGGGAAGUUUUCUUCCUUGAAUGUGGCCUUUGUGAUUUGUCUUGAAGGAAUAGGAUGAUCACUGGCAAGAACCCUAUCAAGGUAGAUUUUAUGGUGUUAACAUAUUAUUAGGCAUUUUGUUACAUCAUGAAAGUGUUUAAAUUUAACCGAAUGAUCUUGAUUGAUCAAUUAUGAGUUUUAAUCGAGUAAAAACUAAAUACAAUAAUCGUUAACAAAUAUUGAAAUUGGGUAAAUAUGAUCUUGAUAUUGAAGAAUUUGAAAUCACAACCCACACAGGAAAUCACCCUUCGCGUGGGGAUGGAGAUGUUUACUGCAGCGAUAUUGAAUAUGUCCACUGCUCUUUGGGUUAUGGUGCGACUUGCGAUUUCAAGGUUGCCAUGAAACAAUGGAAAAGAUUAACAUACCCUCCAAUGAAUGAAAACGGGUGGACUAAUUCGGAUUACCUAAUUGACUCAGGAUCAAGAUCGGCUGGCAAUAAUAACAGUUUAUUAACAAUGCACAGUCCGAGUACCUUUCCAGGAUCAGAUACGACGUGGUCUAAUGUUGAUAAUAAUAGUUUAUUAAAUGACAAAUCGUUGUUCUUGGGUGUUGAUUUCAGAAAUAAAAUACAUUCUGAGAGAUGCUGGUCUACUAUUGCAAGCCCCCAGAUUUAAGAAUAUUUUGAUGAUAAUUUAUCACCGGCAACUGUGCCGGAAGAUUCAAGUAGCACUGAAAAAGAUGAUAAUUUAAUUGAUAUGGACAGUUUCCAUAUCACUUUUAAAUCAUCUUAUGUAAUUGUAAUGUUAGGAAGCAUUAGUGAUCUAAAAGUGAACUAUUAUUGGUGUCAUUGGUGGUUUUAUCUUGUUAAAAUAUGGAUGAUAUUUUAUUGUAGACAAUCUUAUUCAAUUAACAUAUGGUUUAAAACCAUUAUGUUUUAUAUAAAUCAAUCUACUAAUUUUCAUGAUAUUUAACUGAGUUAAAAUCAAGUGCACUCAAUAAAUGUCUUUUCCUUUAAAAAAACAGCUACGCUUUGAUUUUAGUGCUUAAUAUUUCGUAACUACAAAUUAUAUAAUUGCGAGUUGCUGUCCAUAGCUGCUAAUUUGUAGUGAUUAUCUAAUUGCCUGAGGUGACAAUAAUUCUUUUAUCUUCAAUAGCACAAUGUGGAAUUCAAUAAUUAAAUUCUCCUAUUUAAUUUGUUUCAAGUUAAAUUAUUAAUUACUUAAACUCUGUUUUAAGUCUUUAAUUUUAUGUGUUUAUGCAGAAUUGGAUUCUUGAGCGUGUUGGACAUGACCAACAAUGAAAUUGACAGUAAACAAACAUUACAACGUGUGGACUCCGGUAAGCACCAAUGAAUUUCUAGCCCUGUUGACUCCGCCAACUAAAGUUUUGUAAAAUAAAAAAAUAAUACAUAGAAUUCCACCAAAUGCAAAACGCGUGAAAUUUAAUUUUCGGCCGUGUGGACCAAAACAUAAUUUAACGAAAAAGGAAAAAAAUAAUAAGAUUUUUAAAAUGUGUGGAAGGUAAUCCAUAUUUUACUGAAACGACUUAUUAAAUUUUUCAAGGAUUUAGAAUAUUUGAUCAUAAAUUACGUGCAUGUUAAUUUUUCCGCCAUUGACUAUCAUAUUCUAGACUUAAUGGUACCUUUCUUGAUGAAGGGUACUUAGUCUCUCUUCUCCUCUUAUAAAAAUUAUAUUAAUUGAUUUCUUGUUAUAGUUAAUAGACUUUAAGAACGGAUAGAUUUAUUGUUUUCAUGACCAAAUUAUGCAUGCCUAAGGUUGCAACUAUUAAUAAAAUUAAUAUUUAAUGUUUAUGUUAAAAGAUAUAAGUUUUUAUGCAUUCAUUAAUUGUUAUUAGCUAAAGGAUGAAUUAUUUUUUCCCAAUCAGUUGAUGCAUCUGCAAUAGUUUUUUUUUUCUUUUAUUGACCAUAAUUAUAUUCCGGGUGCAAUAAAUUGUCUUUGGUGCUUGGAAAAUAUGACAUCUCUCCGUCAACUUACUGGAAAUAUCUCCUCAUCUACUCGCAUUUAUCUAAUAUCAAUUGAAGAUCUCAUAUUUCCAAACUAUGACUUCCAAAUCUCAUUAUCAUUUGAGCAUUCAAAACUAAUCAAGUGUGGAAAUAAUCAAAUAUAUGCAAAAAUCGAGUCACAAUCUUUGGCCCCUCAAAAUUCUAAUUAUAUAACUUCUAUAUAUCUCAUACAUUUUCCAAAUUCCUCUUCCAUCAACAUCACUAGGAGUAUGUUCAUCUCUCACACAUUAACUUGAGUGAAGAGUUUCUAAAUUGAUUGUUAGAAAAUAAUACAAAAGCUAGACACGCUUGAUCUGUCUAAUAAUUCUCUUUCUGUAAAAUUAAUUAAUUUUAGGGGAAUUUAGCCAACCUCUGUAAUUUCAGAGUGAUCAUUAAUUAAUUAAACAAUACAAAUAUCUAAAGUGAUUAGAUGUUUGCUGACAAUACAAGUUCAUGGCUUGAAAUUUGAUCUCUAUCGAUUGACUUACAGAUGGACGUACUUGUGCCUUUCUGGUGAUAAUUGAACCAGAGAUGUGAAGCUGUAAGGAUUUGGCAGUAGUAAAUUGUUAUAAAGACAUAAUGACAAAUUCCCAUGAUUAUUAUUUUUUCCAAAAACUUUUUUACAACAAAUUCAUCUCGCCAAAAAUUUUAUUUUGCUAACUAACAAUAAUUGAGCACUUGACCGCAUUGACUCCACGUCUCCACCUACUUUCUAAGUAAAAACAUGGAAAUGUAAUCUCUACAAAAUGCCAAACGUGUGGAAUUUAAUUUUUGGCCUUGUGGACCAAAAUGCAAAUGAAAGAAAAAGAGAGAAAAAAACAAGGCCCAAAGACUUCUAAAAGAUGUAAAAGCUUUGGGCUUUUUUAUAAUGGUGGAUUUUUUAAAAGGAAAAAAUAACAACACUUCUAUGGUUUGUUUUGAUAAUCACAUUUACAUAUACUCUCUAAUUUUCAAAAUAGACACAUAAAUAUUUUUUUUCUACAAAUGUAUAUUAUUCAUAUUUUUUUAUUAUUUUUAAUAUCAUAUUAUUAUUUAUUAUAAAUGUUUAAAGUAAAUUUUUAGGUUGAAAUAUAAUAAAAGGGGAUAAUCGUUCUCCUAUUAAACACCCAUACUUUUAGUUUCUAUCCAUUUGUCAUCUCAAUCUCUCUCGAUUAUUCAUUCUUUCUAGCUCAAAACGCGUUGCUGUGGAAAAUUAUAGCAAAAAGACAAAUAUGGAAAAGAAAAAAGGGAAGAAAAUUAAUGCAUGAAAGACUUGGAGAAAACAACGAAGUAAGUCAACUAUAAUCUAGUUAGGUAUAUAAAUUGUUUGAUGCUUUAUAAGCAAAUAACAUAUAGAGACAGACAGUGUGUGUUCGUUUUUUCAUAGUUAAAGAUAUAGUUAGAAUGGGUGGUUCAAAAUCAAAAAUGGUGAUAAUGUUUGUUAUGUUAUUAAUAAUAUUUAAAAGUGGGUGGAGUGAGGGAUGUUUGGAUCACGAGAGAUUUGCUCUUUUGCGACUUAAACAUUUCUUCGAUGAUACUGGUAGUUAUCUUUACGACUGGGCCGAUGAUGAGGGAGCUACUGAUUGUUGUCAGUGGGAAAGGGUUGAGUGCAGCAACACCACAGGUCGAGUGACAGCGCUAGACCUUUCUGACACGUAUUCGGGAGAGUACGGCUGGUAUCUGAAUGCUUCUUUGUUUACUUCCUUUCAACAACUUGAGUCACUUGAUUUUAGUUUAAACAAAAUAGCCGGUUGUGAUGAGAAUGAAGGUACUUCGUUUAAUUUAAUUAAUUUACUUUCACUCUCCUAAUUUAAGUGGAAUAUUAAGACUGAGCAACUAUAUGCAUAUACAUUAGUUGACAAUUUUGACAUAUUUUUUGAAGUGAUUAAUUAAUUUUGAAAUUACACCAAUAUCUAUGAUCUUUUUUUUUUUUUUAAUUUUGCUUGCAGGUCUAGAGAGGUUAUCAAGAUUGAACAAUUUAAAGAUGCUUAAUUUAAGUUAUAACUGGUUCAACAAUAGUAUCUUAUCAUCUUUAACUCGUCUUUCAUCAUUAAGAUCAUUAAAAUUAUAUGCGAAUAAUUUGGAAGGAAGUAUUGAUGUUAAAGGUACAUAUUUAAAACUUCUCUCUUCCCCAAGCUCUUUCAUUAACCUGCUAAAAUAAGAUUCAAGGCUUUGAAUUCAAUUUUUUUAUGAUUAAUAUUUUAAAAAAAAGUUUUAAGCAAUUUAUAAAUACAAGUUUUAAUGUUUCUCAUAAUUUCAUCUUGUACUUUCAUAUGUCUUGAAUUUAAGAUUAAAAAAAAAACUCUAAUAGCGAACCAAACACCUCCACAACUUAUUAUUAUUAUUUUUUAAUUUGUGGUGAGGUUUGAAACAUUCAAGUCAAUUUGUACUUAUUACAGAAUUUGAUUCUUUGAGAGAUUUAGAGGAGCUAGACAUUGGAUGGAACAUGAUUGACAAAUUUGUGGUCUCAAAAGGUACUACAAAUACCAUAAAAAAAUGCCAACUUUUACAAAUAAGCUGGAUUCUUUGCCAUUUGGUUUAUUAUUUUACAGGUUUGAGUAAGUUGAAGUCUCUCGGUUUAGCUGGUAUCAAACUCAACCGUAGCAUCUUAUCUUCUCUGACUGUCUUUUCUUCGUUAAGAGAAUUACAUCUACGUGAUACCGGAUUCAAAGGAACAUUCGAUGUUCGAGGUAAGUCUAAGCCUUGCUUUCUCAUUUUAUAUAUGCCAGCUAGAUUUGUGUAUCAUUGACAUAAUUUAAUAUUUAAUUUGAUUCGUCUGAAGGAAUUACAUGCUAAUUUAAACAUACUUUUAUUUACUUUGUCAAUUAAUUAAUUAAUUAAUUACUAUUUGGCUUGGUUUGGAUGAAAUUCUCAUGAUGUUUUAAUUUCUUUAAAUUAAUUAAUUAAUUAACUUUGUUUUUAAGUCUUAAGUCUGGGCAUGUUUGCAGAAUUUGAUUCCUUCAAUAACUUAGAAGUGUUGGACCUGAGUUGGAACGAAAUCGACAAUCUUGUGGUUCCUCAAGGUAAACAAUUAAAAUGUUAUUUAAUUACAUUAUUUUAAUUCAUUUGAUCUGGGAAGGCCAAAAAGGUAAAAAAAAAAUUAAAUAAAGAAACAGAGAAUUUGUAUUAUUUAAAAAACAGAAUGUAAUAAAGAUUUGAUUCUAGUUCUUUAAUCUUUAAAGCGAUUGAAAAACAAUGUUGCUCUUUUCCCAAAGCAUAAAAUACGAAUUGAAUGCCGAUUAACUUAAUCAUUCAUUUUGUUUAGCUCUAAAUUUAGACAAUGAAUUUUUAUAUUAUUUCAAAAACAGGACGUAAUAGAAUUUUUUUUAAAAACAGAUUGUAAUAAAGAUUUGAUUCCAAUUCUUUAAUCUUUACAGUGAUUGAAAAACGAUACUGCUUCCCAAAGCACAAAAUACGAAUUGACUCCCAAUUAAAUUAAUAAUUUAUUUCGUUUAGGUCUAAAUUUAGAAAAAUGAAUUUUGAUUCUCUUCAAUCCUUUCCUAAUUAUUAUUAAUAAACAGGUUACAAAGGUUUGAGGAAGUUGAAAAGCCUUGAUCUAUCGGGAGUUGGAAUUAGAGAUGGAAGCAAGUUGUUACAGUCAAUGGGAUCAUUCCCAUCCCUCAACACUCUUCACCUUUUGUUGAAUAAUUUUAACAAUAUAGCGACAGCUACUCAAGGUAAGUAAAAGUUGGAGAUGUGACCAAAUUUAUAAAUAAGCUGUUAAUUAAUUAAUUAAUUAAUUUUUCCGUAUUAUUAAUUAAGCUAAAUUCCUUGCUCCUUCCUUCUAAAUCUAAACAGAGUUGCACACUUUCACCAACUUGGAAUAUUUGACAUUGGACCAUUCCUCCCUCCAUAUAAGCCUUCUGCAAAGCAUUGCGUCAAUAUUCCCUUCGUUAAAAGAUUUGUCGAUGUUUGAUUGCAAAGUCAACGGUCUUGUACGCGGUCAAGGUAAAAGAAAAGUGUCGAUUGUGAACUCACUCAGUGUUGUCCUACGUGUUCAACAUUUUUAUUUAUUUAUUUUAUUGUUUAAUGUUUCUGCUAGGUUUUCCUCAUUUCAAGAGUUUGGACCAUUUGGACAUGGUUUUCGCGCGCACUGCACUCAACACCAGCUUUCUUCAAAUCAUCCGUGAAUCAAUGCCUUCUCUUAAGUACUUAUCAAUGUCAGAUUCUACUCUUGGCACUAACAGCAGCAGGAUUCUUGAUCAAGGUUAAUAAUAUAAAUAUUUAAUUACACAAACGAAUCACUUAUUAUAAAAGAAUAAUACGCAUUCAUUAAUUUUUAUGUUGUAUUAAUUGAUGAAUUUAAUAAAAUUUCAGGCCUCUGUUCGUUGAUGCAUCUGCAAGAGUUGUACAUCGAUAAUAAUGAUUUGAGAGGUAGCUUGCCUUGGUGCUUGGCAAAUAUGACAUCCCUCCGAAUAUUAGAUGUUUCUUCCAAUCAACUUACUGGAAGCAUCUCCUCAUCUCCCCUCGUUCAUUUG